RNAcentral lists this long non-coding RNA (200870 nucleotides) under Capsicum annuum. Its description in RNAcentral is "long non-coding RNA (CANN_LNC012195)". The record is from RNAcentral. Lineage: Eukaryota; Viridiplantae; Streptophyta; Magnoliopsida; Solanales; Solanaceae.
AACUUUUCACGUUGUUGCUUUGUUUUCAAAUUCUUCACCUUGUUGCUUGACUUUCAACUUCUUCACUUUGUUUCUUGACUUUUCAUUUCUUCACCCUAUUCUCCAGGUGGGUUCCUGACUUGCUAUUUCAUUAACUUGUUGCCAUGCUUUCAACUUCUUCAUCCUUUUCUGCAGGCGGGCUCCUGACUUGCUAUUUUUCAAUCUGUUUAACUUUAAAUUUGUUCACCUUGUUGCUUGGUUUUCCAUUUAUUCUCCCUGUGCUUUGGGCAGGCUCCUGAAAUCACAUCAAAACUAAAAAGAAAAUUAUCCCAAACAAAUAUUAUUAUAAAGAGGUUUUAUUUGCCAGAAAAGUAAAGUUUCAAAAACAGAAAUUGAAUUUUAUCCCUUGUUUAUCAUCAGAAGACUUUUGGAAAAGUCACAUCAUACUUGCAUGUUGCAAUAAUGAAUCAAAACUCUGACCAAGAAAUGCAUCUCUUGAGAGUACAAUUGAAUAAGCAAGACUAGGAAGUGUAUCUCCUAAGAAUUAAAGUGAGGGAUUCUAACUAGAAAGUGUGUCUUCUAGAGAUACAAGUUUAAGUUAAAAGUGUGUCACCUGACAAAUGAAAACUAGCAAGGAAGUGUGUCUCCUAAGGAUUAAGUGCAAUAAAUCAACUAGAAAGUUCAUUUUCUAGAAAUCAAGACUCAAGUUAGGAAGUGCAUCACCUAAAAAUCAAAAUUCGAAAUACGCAAUCAAGGAAGUGCAUUUCCUUACCAAUGUUGCUUAAAUUAUCAAAACGAGGAAGUGCAUCACCUAAAAAUCAAAAUUCGAAAUACCCAAUCAAGGAAGUGCAUAUCCUUACUAAUGUUACUUGAAUUAUCAAAACAAGAAAGUGCAUCUCCUUACCAAUGCCGCUUGAAUUACUCAAACAAGGAAGUGCGUCUCCUCACAAAUGCUUCUUGAAUUAACCAAACAAGGAAGUGCAUCUCCUUAGAAAUGUUUUCAUGAAAUAACCAAACAAGGAAGUGCAUAUCCUUAGAAAUGUUUUCAUGAAUUAACCAAACAAGAAAGUGUUUGUCCUUACAAAUGUUGCUCGAAUUGCCUAAACAAGGAAGUGCAUCUCCUUACAAAUGUUGCUUGAAUUAACUGAACAAGGAAGUGCAUCUCCUUACCAACACCGCUUGAAUUACCAAAAUAAGAAAGUACGUCUCUUAACAAAUUUUGCUUGAAUUAACCAAUCAAGGAAGUGCGUAUCCGUACAAAUAUCGAACGAAUUACCAAAUAAGAAAGUGCAUCUCCUAACAAAUGCCUCUUGAAUUACUCAAACAAGGAAGUAUGUCUCCUCACAAAUGUUUCUUGAAUUAACCAAAUAAANNNNNNNNNNNUACAAAUGUUGCUUGAAUUAACCAAACAAGGAAGUGUAUCUCCUUACCAACACCGCUUGAAUUACCAAAAUAAGGAAGUGCGUCUCCUAACAAAUUUUGCUUGAAUUAACCAAUCAAAGAAGUGAGUCUCCUUACAAAUGUUGAUUGAAUUACCAAAUAAGGAAGUGCAUCUCCUAACAAAUGUCUCUUGAAUUAAUCAAACAAGGAAGUGCAUCUCCUCACAAAUGUUUCUUGAAUUAGCCAAAUAAAGGAAGUGCAUAUCCUUACAAUAUUGCUUGAAUUGUCCAAACAAGUAAGUGCUUCUCCUUACCAACAUCACUUGAAUUACAAAAACAAGGAAGUAUGUUUCCUAAUAUAUGUCUCUUGAAUUUCUCUAACAAGGAAGUUCAUCUCCUUACAAAUGUUGUUUGAAUUACCAAACCAAGGAAGUGCAUCUCCUUACAAGGAAGCGUGUCUCCUAGAAAUCUUUAAUUAUGAAUUUUACCAGGGCUUUGAAUACCAAAUAUGUGCAGAAAUAUUGUCUCCUUCAUUUGUGGAAGUGCGGUAUUGCAACUUUCGAUGUUUAGGCUUUGAAAUCCUUGAUUCGAAGGUAACAUGUGUUCCUCUUUCAUAUAAAGAAAACUUGUUAGUUUAAAAACAUGGUGGCUGGUUUGCGGUUUUGGCUUUCGUGGAAAUUGCUCUUGCCCCAGUUGUAUUUAAUCUUGCUUUCAACCAUUAACAUGUGUCACUGUCUUGCUGUAUCAAUGACCCGAACUCAGAUUAUUAAGAGUGACUCUUAAACAAAUACAGUAUCCUUGCUUUGUCAUGCUUCUCAGAUAAACCCUUUAAACCUUGGUAUUUCCAUGAGUUCCCAGACUUGUCGGUUGACAAAACUUUCUGCAUGCCUUGUUUUGGCUCACAAUCAUGUCUUUAGCAUGUGCUGACCCCUUUGUCUUGCUUUGUGUAAUUGAAGAAGCUGGUAGCCAGUUUUGAAAUAUUUCUCACUUAUUUUGACAUGAACUUGACUCAAAGACAAGAGAAAAAUGACAAUGACUUUUAUUUGGACAAUUGACUCAUAAAAACAAAAUAAAAAUAAAGAGAAGAAAGAAAAGACAAUGAGUGUCCCCAUUUGAAACAAAGAAAUGAAAAUUUUUUCUAGACAUGACAGUCAACUCUAAUGAUUAUGCCUUGCAUUUUGGAUUAAGCUACCUAAUCUUUCCAUCCAAACUUUCUACCAAUUGUUGUUGAGUUAAUGGCCUUGAAACUGAGUUGCUCUCUUAGGACAAUUGCAUUCAGACCUCAUUCGGCUAGUGAUGCCUUGAAGGGUCUUUUCCUAAGCUCACCAUUGUCUUAUGGUGUCUGUGAGGUUUUUUACUAAUGAGACUCUCUUAUUCUCAUUUCUCCCAACUCACAAUUGUCUCACGGUGCCCAUGAGGGUUUUCACCAGUAAGACUCUCUUAUUUUUAUCUCUGUCAACUUACUAUCGCCUUACGGUGCCUGUGAGGAUUUUCACCAAUAAGACUCUCUCAUAUUUUAUUUCUCUCUUGAUUCCUUAUGCUGAGAAACACAAGUAGUUUCCAAAAUGCGUCAUCAUAUCCAUUGCAUGCUUAGCCUUAACAUUCUUAAAGAUUGAUCUAAAGGUCUUUCUUUGAUUGUAACUUGUCUUUUGGAUAGGGUUAGAAAGAAAAGAUGGCAUGAGGCCCAAACGACACUUGAAGUGGGUUAGAACUUACAACUUUUGGAAUCGACUCAAAUAAAUGAGGAUUAACUCAUGCCCCAGUUUCUUUUGACCGGAUGAUUCUAAAUUGUUUAUUUAGUUGGACCAAGCCCUCUUUUUUUGGAAACAUUUUUGUCUCUUUUUUGAAACUUUUUGACUUUAUCUUUUUACUCGACACUAUUCUUUGAACUUUGCUUACUCUAUCUUGAUUCCAAAAGAGGGGUAUGAAAGAAAAUAACACUAAGGCUCAAAUGGGGUAAACAAAGGAUGACACAAUGUUUGCAUAGCAGAAUGAAAUGCCUUCAUCAUAUCAAUCCUUGAGAAUGCAAGUACAUAACAUACAAUUGGAAGUGAGAGAUGAAGAUCAUUUGCGACAUCUUUUUAAACAGAUUGAGUCUGUGUGUCACUACUUCUUCUAUAAACUCCACCUUUGUUGUACAUUCCUCAUAUCAAAUGACUCAUACUUUCGUGGAGCAGCUUAUCUUCUUGUUUCUCUUGAUAUAGCGAUCACACAUCCACUAUUUGACCUAAUUGGGACUUGCCUUUCGAUCGAUGACCAAGUUGUUCUUGUGAUUCUCAAAAUAAUUGCCUUAACUUGUCACCAAAUGUCUCAGCNNNNNNNNNNNNNNNNNNNNNNNNNNNNNNNNNNNNNNNNNNNNNNNNNNNNNNNNNNNNNNNNNNNNNNNNNNNNNNNNNNNNNNNNNNNNNAAACAACACAUAUUUAAAACACAAAGGAAAAUGAGACUCUUCAUUUAGUCAAAACAAAAGAUAAAAGGGUUUGAACAUAAACAACAAAAGGACAAAACAAGACAGAUCCCGAACUACAACCCUGAAAUAAUUCAGAGAACAAAAAAUAAAACAAAACAAGCUACCAAACCCCUUUCUACUAAGGAGAGAGAUGACUUCUCAAUUGCUCAGCCUGAUAUCUUAGCCACUGGUUUGCAUAUCAGCAUGACUAUAGUUUUGCUCACUGUCAAUGUUCUGCACCAUGAUUGAUUUAUCUUGAAUAAUCUUUUCAAUUUCUCUUUUCAAAGCACGACAAUCUUCAAUACUGUGACCCUGAACAUCAUAAUGAUAUGUACAUCGUACAUUAGGAUCAAAACUUCUUGAAUGUGGGUUAGGAGUAUAACCAAGGAGAGAAGUGAUCAUGCCUUGCUGUACCAAUCUCUAGAAUAAACUUGCAUACGACUCUCCAAUGGGUGUGAAGCUAUCCCUCAACUUCUGUCUCAUUUCAUUAUUUGGCCUAAAUUGAAAACCAGGCCUAGAAGGGCUUCGGUAUGUAUGUGGAGUUGGAGGAUAACUCGGCAGAGUUGGCGCGCGCCAGUGUGGGUAAGAUGAGGGUUGAACAUAUGGUUGCGCAUUAUAAACUUGAUAUGGAGAUGGGGGAAUGGAAUAUAAUGGAUUUUGGGAAGGAUUCUGUGGAACUUGGGCCAUAAACUUGGGUUUGAGCCCGGAGGUAACGAUGGUAUGGUCCUCUUGCCCGUGCCUUUUGUCCAACUAUAAUAGCAGAUGCAUCUUCCUCAUUCUUCUUUCCUUCAACACUUCCCGAACCUUUUUGAAUUGGUUGAGUAGUAGCUUUCAAUGUUGCAAAACUCACAAUGCGAGCGGUCUUAAUUCCAUCCUCUACAAUCUCCCCUAUUUUGAGGACCUCAAUAAAUGGCUUGCCUAAUGUAGGUAAAAAGUAUUGAUAAUAUGUUUCAUCUUGCGCUUGAAUAAACACCUCCACUAUCUUGCUUUGUUUCAUUGGCGGUUUUACUCUAGCAGCUUAUUCGCGCCAUCUGAUCGUAUACUCCCUGAAACUCUCAGUAUUCUUCUUUUUUAUACUAGUUAGGGAUUUUUUGUCAGGUCAACUCCACAUUGUAUUGAAAUUGUUGCACAAAUCCGUUAGCUAGGUCAUCCCAACUAAUCCACUUGUCAAUGUCUUGAUCAACAAAUCAUUCCGAAGCUAGGCCUGAAAGACUCUCCCCAAAAUAAGCCAUGAGUAGUUCUUCCUUUCCUCUAGUGCCCCUUAGCUGGUAGCAAUAGCGUCUCAAAUGUGCUACAGGAUCGCCAUGUCCAUCAUACUUCUCAAACUUCGGCAUUUUAACACCAAGAGGAAGAUGUACACCUGGAAACAUGCACAGAUCUUUAUAUGACACUUUUGUACCCCCCAAGUCCUUGCAAUUUUUUAAUAGUCAGUUCCAAACUUCUCAAUUUUCUGGCUAUUUCCUCUUGUUCUUCUGUCAUAACAGGAUUCUCAGUGUUAGGAGGAAAUUCAGGUGGUUGAAGGCAAUCGUAAGGACCAGUCGACUUAAAUGUGGGCUCGGGAGCGUAAUGCUGAUCACUAAAAAUAUUCAAUACACGGUCGCCUCUAGAGUGAGGAAUCACAACCAUUGGAUUGACAUUAAUAGCAGGAGCUCCAGACGGGAGUGGGGCUGCAAAAACAUGAAUAGCAGGUGGAGCCGAGCAUGUGGUAAUUUUGUAUUGAGGAGUGAGGAAAUGAAUAUUGGAAGUGUUUGGAUAUUGUUGCCCCGGAGUAGGUCCUGAUGCAUGUCGUGGCAUGUCGACCAAAAUAGGAAAUUGUGCAUGUGACACUAGAGGCAAACUAAAAAGAUAUUCCAGAUUAUCUGCGGGAAAUAGAGGAGGCGGCAACCCAUUAGCCCAAGCUCGAUGCAUUUCUAUCAUUUGUUGCCUCAAUUUCCGAAUCUCUUCAUUAGCUCCUACAUUCUCAUUCCCCAAACUCCCUAUCUGAUUAGUGACAACAAACUCGGUAUCCUUGUUGGCCAUAACUUUCUCUGUGACUUGGAGCAAUAUGGAGGACCAGCCAAAAUGCUACAAACCAACCACCUUAAAUUAACUAGACAAGAGAUAAUAAAUGCGUUAGAGUUCAACGAUUUUUCAAAACCUCUUCUUUUUUUUUUCUUGAAAAAAAUCACCGAACCCUAGAAGGGCGCCUACGUAUCUCACCCCGAAAGGGAAGAAUCAGGUGUGCGUAGUUCGUGAAGUUUUUUCAAAAUGGCCAAUUAAACUCUUUUUUCUUUCUUGAAACAACGUGUCAAAAGAAUUGACGAAUUAUAUUUUUUUUCAGUUUAAAUCUCUAUACAAAAUGAAACCUGUGAUUACCAAAGAAAAAUCUUUUUGGGUUUUCGAUUUUUGAAUUUCAUGUGAAAAUUAAACUUGAACCUAUUAAAGGAAAAUCUUUUUGUAGUUUUCUUUUAAAGACGUAUAUGAAACGCCUACUCUAAAUGGAGAGUGAAGAAAUAUUUUUGGAUUUUUCAAAUAAGAUUCCCGAACCAACAAUAGGCUGUCUACGUAUCUCACUCCCAAAAGAGGAAAAUCAGGGGUGCGUAGUUCGUCCAUAUUGGACAAAUAAAGAUUAACUAACAGACUGAUCCUAACUUAAGAGACACAACCAAAGACCGAAGAAUAAAAUAAAAUAAAAUAAAAUAAAAUAAAAUAAAAAUUGGGUUUUAAUUUGACACCAACAACUAUGAAAGAAUUUUUUUUUGAAAUUUUCAAAUUAUGAAUGCGUGGUAAAGGAAUAAAAAGAUUUUUUUUUUUUUUGAUAUUUUCGUUAUAUGAAAUGUACAAAACUUCUACCAAUUUUUUCAUUAUAUUUUUUUUUACAUUUUCCUUUAUAAAACCUCCUAUUGUAAAAACAAAUCUUUUUUUCGAAAUUUUUGAAUUGUGAAAAACAAAAGCCAUAAAGAACUCUAAAAACUACAAAACUCUUUUUAGGACUAAUUUUUUUCUUUUUCUUUUUUCUUUUUUUUUUUUCACACACUUUACUUUCUAACACAUGCUUUACCCCACAUCAUUCUGUCAAAUGACCACAUUAUCCUCAAAGAUGCAACAUUUAGCACGUACGAAUGCUUUAGAGGUAAGUCUCCUACAAAGGACCCAGUGGACCCGCUAGGUCUCAAUAUGAUGCACAUAAGCAUGACCUAAAGGCUGACCCACGUUGGGGUUCACUAAUAAGGCCGUUCGAGGGAGCGUAUGGUCGAUAGUGUCUGCUUAGAUUUUCAUCUACUCCAUACAUCCAACGGCUCCCCCCUAAAAUAAAGGUGACUCAACUAGAGUUCGUGCGCACGACGUGCGCUCCGAGACUUGUUGCAGAAAGAAUUGACUCGGGUUAUGCAAAUGAUGUCAGAUAUAAAGCGGUAACACAUAAGGAAAACUGUAAACAAAGAGCACAGAAACACACAACAGUGAUAACAAUAACACAAACAAUAUUCACAAACAAUGUUUAUACACCCAUAAUGCCAAACAAAGUUGAUACGACUCCAAAAAUAAGCCCAAAUUCUGCAACAUCCUCAGUGGAGUCGCCAGAGCUAUCACACCCCUUUUUCAUACUCCAAAAGAUUAAUUUUUAAGUUCGAAAGGGUUUUUUUUAUCAAGUGACAAAAAAUGAAAAUUCUAUUCCGUAAAGGAUUUUUUUAUAAUUAAAUUUAGAGUAGCCACUUGGCAUAAUCCGGUGUGCCAAGUCACCUUUGGAAAAUUCUUUUCGAAAUGGUUUGACUCUUUAAAACUAGUUUGCAAACAAAGAUUCCGGCUAAGGAAUUCUAUUGACCAAGGGGAAGGUGUUAGGCACUCCUCGAUCCCGUGGUUUGACCACGGUCGCUUGGCGGAGCGUAUAGGCUAAUUUGACAUUAUGAAUAUAUAAACCACACAAAACAUGCAAAACAAUCAAUCAAGCAAACAAGAUAANNNNNNNNNNNNNNNNNNNNNNNNNNNNNNNNNNNNNNNNNNNNNNNNNNNNNNNNNNNNNNNNNNNNNNNNNNNNNNNNNNNNNNNNNNNNNNNNNNNNNNNNNNNNNNNNNNNNNNNNNNNNNNNNNNNNNNNNNNNNNNNNNNNNNNNNNNNNNNNNNNNNNNNNNNNNNNNNNNNNNNNNNNNNNNNNNNNNNNNNNNNNNNNNNNNNNNNNNNNNNNNNNNNNNNNNNNNNNNNNNNNNNNNNNNNNNNNNNNNNNNNNNNNNNNNNNNNNNNNNNNNNNNNNNNNNNNNNNNNNNNNNNNNAACGUUUAUUUCAAGUCAAACAACUAAUGAAUCAAACUAAUCAAAAUUCACUAAUUAUAUCAAGUUUUCAAUUCUCGCCCCACUUAUUCUUAAUGAUUAAACCAAUUCUAUACACAUUUUAUCAAUCAAGUUUUCAACUUCAAAUUCAACAUCAAACCAACAAACAACGAUAAAAUUCAAUCAUGUCAAACACACAAAUCAUUCAUAACUAUGUGGAGAUUGAGAGGCGAAAGGAUAGAAUUGGACUUUUAGAUUGACUUAAAGGGAGAAGUAAGAGUCGUUCCGAGAGCCUCAACGGUUACCAAAUCUCGAAUAUGAUCCAACUCCAACACGGAUAUCUCCAGAAUCCGAUUCAAACUCAAAAAUAGUGAACACCCAAAAUAAAAUACGAACAAAACCGAGACUGGAAGACGAAAUUCACGAGGAUUAAACUGAAUCUCUCUAGAAUUAGAUUGAACCUCACCGGAAUUAGACCCAAAACCGGUCAAGUCGACUGAUUCGAGUCAGGUACCAUGGUCAAAAUCCACAGUUACCUUUCCGUUGGAACUCCGGUGACGGUGACCGAAACAAGCAGAAAGAGAGCACAAUAACAUUUUUUGGUGAAAAGAUGCUAUUUCUUGGCCACAAACGCCGAAAUAGUUAAACCCCAGUCCCUUUUCUCUCCCCUCUUGCUCGGACAUCUCUCCAAUUCCAUUCACUCUAUCCCCUGUCGAUCCUCAUCUCCAUCCCUCUUUUCGAUUUCACUAUUCCCUCCUACGAUUCAUCUCACCUUUCACUAUUUUUCACCCCUUUUAUGCGAUUUUUUAUAUGGGUGUGCGUGUGUAUGGCUAUAUUUGAGAGUGGAAUGGUGAGUUGUGUGUGUGUUAUUCUGUGUGUAUGCGUGAUUUCUUUUUGUGAAGAAGGAAGGAAGAUUUUUGUUUUUUGUAUCCGUCCUAGAGAGAGGAAAUAAUGGUAUCUGCCUCUUUUUCCCUCCCCCCCCCCACCCCGAAAAAGGAAGUUCUCGGCGUAUAUAUAUGUUAGAAUGGAAAAUGGGGAAUGAAUUUUUCUUUUGCUGUGGGGCCCGUGAAUUUUAUUCCUUGGGUUCCUUUUUUGUGUGUUGAUGUGUGGGACACGUGAGUGGGGUGAGGGGGUAGGGGUAAGGUAGGUACGGGUAUGGCAUGGGGUGGUGAGGUGUGAGGUGUCCACUUUUAAUUGGAUAGGUUAUUAGGAUAAGAUAAAUUAGUUAGAGGUAUUAUUUUUAUUUAUUUUUGUAUUUUUCUGGGAUAUAAUUAAAUGAGGUUGGACACAUGGUAAGGUGAACUAAAAAUGAAUAAAAUCAGACUUCGGAAGGGACAAAAUUAAGUGUCUACACAUUGGAUAUUAUAUCAUUCUAGAAUUUCGAUUUAAUGCCCAUCUCAAGCACCAUUUUGUUGAAAAAUUUCACAUGCAAUUUAUUUUUUCUUUUGUUUCUUCAUCAAGUUUCAUUAAAUUCAAAAGUUUCCUCAAUUAAUGCUGCUGCAUUAAAGUUAACAAUGAGAAAACCACAACAUGUGUGUCAAACUAUUGAUCGAACACUAUUUUUUGUUGGAUUGAAGUUUUUUCUUUAUCUAUUUUUGAGAAAAAAAAUAAAAACAUAAUUAUCUUCUCCUAAAAUUCUAUGUUCACGAGUUUUUCCAUCUAUUCCAUAAUCACAGCAAUCAAAUAUUUCCACUAUUGCUUUCUCUAAUUAAUUCAACCCAUUCUUGCUAAUAUUACUGUUAUUACUAAAGUGAAAGAAGAUACAACCUUCCAUUGGCCAAAUACCUAAAUUAAUUGAAGGACAAAGCCAAAGAAUUUAAUUAUCUAGUAGCAACAAUAAGAUUCUUUUUUCAUGAAAAUAGUAGAAAGGAAAGGUCAAAUGAAAUAUCCAUGAAGAUGUUCGUAAAGUUCUCCUUAAAAUAUGUCCUUUGCAAAAUACAUAAAAUCAAACUCAUACAAAUCAUCACUUACAGUACAGUUGCAAUAAUCAUAAUAUUUGUCGCCUUCAAUCUUGUAGUGUCCCUUGUUCAUUUUGUGAAAGCGGGCAGACAAGGGUUGGAAAGAAUUCCGUCAAAAGACCAUAAUGAAAUUCAUUAAUAUGUAAACAGUUGCUUACAUUAUCCUUCAGAUUGUAUAUCAUGAUUUUAUCGUGAAACAUAAGCAGAAAUUCACCUCUUUUUGUUAGAAAAAAGAGUGAGAAAAUAAAUAAUCCACGGGAUAUAGAGAAUAAUUGAUAGUAAAAAUCUUUCUCCAGGAUGCUUUAUUCUCAUACUCCCUCAUUGUCCACACAUCCACGUGAGUAGUCGAAUUAUUAUAAAUCAUAGACAGAUUACUUUUCAACACUCCCAACACUAGAAAUUUAUCCUCUUCUCCACAAUAAGGUCGCUCUACCUUUUUCCAUUUCUCAUUCCUCAAAUCAAAAGAGGUUAUGCUCCAACCACUUUUUAUAUCAAUACUAGUAGCCCAAUAAAACGUGCCAUUCACAAAUUUACCUGGACCAAUUAACCGCGUCACUCUCCGAGAACAAUGUAUUGUUCGCCAAGAAUUGUCCUUUAGGCUAUAGAUAUUGAUCUCUUGAAAGUUACGUGGAUAGCGAGUAAUAGAAAAACUGCACAGUACCUUAUAAUCAUCAUGAAUAUCAUCAUAUCCAAAACCAUAUGUGCAAUGAGCAUCAUCCUUCAAUUUAGUUCUAAAACCAGGCAACUUCUUAUACUUUCUUAAUGCUGGGUUCCAUAAAAACAAUUCUUUUGCCUCAUUGACAAGACAAAUCAAUCCAUUGACAGAACCCUCAAUCACACAAGAUAUACCAGAGUUUUUCAUGUGAUAAUCCAAGUUAGUUUCCUCCAUAAUAGGACAUUCCUUAAGGUUGAAUUCUGGUUGGGCUAUCCUCCACAUAACACUAUGGUUAGUAUAGUCUUUGUUCUUAUUAGCUGAUAAACUUAGAUGAUAUUUGGUAAACUCAGGGCUAGAAAUCAAAGAACUCCAAGAUUUUAAAACAGACUUGAAUUGCAAGAGAGAUUUAAUGGGAAGCCUUGAGAGAAUUUUAGUAAGGAUUUCAGCUGGCCAAUAAAGUUUUGUGGGGUUGCUUUGAUUUGGGUGUUGAUGGGAGACUUCAUCAGAUACCGGGUGUUUUUUUAAUAAGUCGAAGUCAGUUUCAAAACUUAUUUGUCCUUCUAGUUUCAGCUUUUCCAUGUCUCUUUGAUUGAUUAAUCUGUUACCUUGUUUAUCAGAUUCUGAAUUUUCUUGCUUUAUUGCAUUAUUCUCUCCAUUUAGUAGCAUUUGGAUCUUUGUAAAUGUUGGAGCCGAUAAAGAGAGAAAGAGAGAAAGAAAGAAAGGAAUGAAUGAACUAAAGAUGAAGUUUCUUUUGCUAGAAUUUAUAACUUGAUCAUAUCGCUAGAUUAAGUGAAGUGUUAUACUAAAUCUCUCAUCUCACUCAUUUAUGUAAAUUUAUGAUUAGAUUAUGGUGAAUUAAUUAAGGAUGAAAUCAAGUUGAAUGAGCAAUUACAUANNNNNNNNNNNNNNNNNNNNNNNNNNNNNNNNNNNNNNNNNNNNNNNNNNNNNNNNNNNNNNNNNNNNNNNNNNNNNNNNNNNNNNNNNNNNNNNNNNNNNNNNNNNNNNNNNNNNNNNNNNNNNNNNNNNNNNNNNNNNNNNNNNNNNNNNNNNNNNNNNNNNNNNNNNNNNNNNNNNNNNNNNNNNNNNNNNNNNNNNNNNNNNNNNNNNNNNNNNNNNNNNNNNNNNNNNNNNNNNNNNNNNNGUUGAGAAACAGGGUGGAUUAUCUCAGGGUAAUAUCUCGUACGUGCUGCCAUAUUCAUAAGAGUUAAGAAAUGUUGCUCUAAUGUAAUGAUCUCAGGUUCCAAUGCUUGGCCACGGCAUUUAAAGUUGGGAAUUGAAGUUUUGAUGUAAUCAAUAAAUUUCUCUGAAUAAGGAGGAUAUGGAACUACUCCAUGAUUAGAGUGGUAAUGAUAGAUAGACUUCAAGAUUGCAAAAUUUUGAUUAUAGUCAUAGUCAUCUUCAUUUUUCAAUUCAUUUUAUGAUGUUCCUCCUUGUUCGAAAUUGGAAAAUGUUGGCACAUUAAUGAGCUUCAAUUCAUAUGAUUCGGACAUGGGACACUUUCCUUUUUCUUCAGUUUUUGGAAAUGAUUCAAUUCAUUUGCUUGCUUAUUAAUGAAUUAAACACAAUAUGAAUUGCUAUGCCAACAAUUUUGCUUAUAUUCUUAGUUGAUCUAAUUUAUGUUAUUAGUUGGAUUUAUGUUUUAUAAUUGAUUUAGUUUCUAUUCUUUGUUGGAUCUAUUAAUAAGUAAUGCGUUUCCUCAAUUAAAUAUGAGAAAACGACUCACACAUUCAGGUACAAUUUUUUUCAACUUAUCAAUUUUUUCCUUUCUAAAUCAUGCAUUGUUGCUUUUAUAAUUUAUUUUUUUAGGGUACUAUUGAAAUGGACCCAAAGAAAAGAGGUAUUGCAUGGCAAACAUAAUUUCUGGUGGUAAAAUAUAUAUGUGCUUACACUAAAAUGUAUGUUUAUAUUUACACUAUUAUAUUAAAGUGUGAAGGAUAUUUGAAAAGUGAUUUGAACUUUUUGUACUUCAUUACAAAUCUCCGUAAUAAUUAAGACUAUUUAAUUUUAAAUAAUCAAAUGUUACACAUGUAAGACACGCGCGGUUAAACUAGUUUAACUAAAAUCACUAAAAAAUACUGUACUUGACUUCAGAUUAUUAUUCCAUAAUGUCAUUUAAUGAAUGGAUUAUGGAGAAUAAUUAAGGAUGCAAACAAUGAAUUUGAAAUAACUUCAGCGUUAUCAAAAUUAGUCUUACAAAGAGAAAUGGUUAACAAUGAUAUAAACUCAUUCCUAUCUUAAUUACUCGCUCCAUUUCAAAAUAAUUAUCAUGUUUUACUUUUUGAAAGUCAAGUUGACUAAUUUUUAAGAGAUAAGGCAAAAAUACCACCCAAAAAAAAAAAACUAUAUUCGAAAUUCUAGCGACACAACUAAACUUUACAAGGGUCCAAUUACCCCCCUAAACUCAUAUAAGUGUAUUUUUAUACUCGUUUUAGGCUCACGUGGCUGUCAAGUCAAACAUAAAAUGAACAUAAAAUAUUUUGCUACUUAGCAGCCACGUCAGCAUAAAAGGAGUAAAAAAUAAUAGAAAAAUGAGCUUAGGGUGCAGUAGGACNNNNNNNNNNNNNNNNNNNNNNNNNNNNNNNNNNNNNNNNNNNNNNNNNNNNNNNNNNNNNNNNNNNNNNNNNNNNNNNNNNNNNNNNNNNNNNNNNNNNNNNNNNNNNNNNNNNNNNNNNNNNNNNNNNNNNNNNNNNNNNNNNNNNNNNNNNNNNNNNNNNNNNNNNNNNNNNNNNNNNNNNNNNNNNNNNNNNNNNNNNNNNNNNNNNNNNNNNNNNNNNNNNNNNNNNNNNNNNNNNNNNNNNNNNNNNNNNNNNNNNNNNNNNNNNNNNNNNNNNNNNNNNNNNNNNNNNNNNNNNNNNNNNNNNNNNNNNNNNNNNNNNNNNNNUAGUUUAUUUAAUUAAAAAGAAGACUUGAAAAGGCCAUUUAACAAAAGAUCCCGUGCUAUGUCUACUUAAGUGUUUCGUUGUUAAAUGAAAUUUACUCCUUUUAGGGUUCAGUUACUAUUUUCUACUCAUUGUUUGUUAUAUUCAUACCAAAAUUUAAUUUUUCACUUUAUUCGAAAAUUAACGUUUGACCUUUGAAAAUUUCAAAUGCAACUGUUACAUUCUUUCGAAAAAGUUUAGUCUUUAGAAAAUAAUGUUUUGUGAAAGAUCUUUUAUUUAAGUUAUGAAUUAGUUAUUUUAUAUUAAAAUAAAACUAAAAAGGAUAAAUUUGUAACAUCUUGAUUGAUUUAGCAAAAGUGUGGGCAAACUUCACUAUUCAUUAAUCUAACACACGUGGCACACACGUGUGCCUAUGUGGACCCUCAGUGUAGACACGUAAUUUUUUAUCUUCCCUAAAUUUUAACUUGUCUAUCAAUAUUUAAUAUUUAUAUUUAUAUUUAUAUUUAAUCAUAUAUUAUUUUUAUUUUUAUUCUAAUCUAAAAAAAUAAUGUAAAAAGUAAAAAUAUAUGUUUUCUUUUAUAAAUUUUAAUAAAUAAAUUAGUAGUUUAAAUACUAUUUUAUUAUAUUUAUAUUUGUCUAUUUAUAAAUUGUUAUUAUGUUUUAUUAAAUAUAAAAUUAAUUAAUUAUUAUUAUAUUAAUGUUUUAUUAUUUCAUUUGUUUAUUUUUCUAUUAUCUUAUUUAUUUAUUCAUUUACUUCUAUUUAUUAUUUAUCUUUAUUUAUUAUUAUUAAUUAAAUAAUAUAUAAUAUAUAGAUUUUGAUUUUUAAAUUUAUAUCCCCCCUUCCCCUUAUCUGACUUUUAACUGUUCCCUUUCAAAAGUCCUUUUAUAAAAGGACUCCCUAUUCAGUUAAAAAAAGGCAGAGACUACGUACUUGAGCUCUACAAUAUCAGAUAGAUUAAUUAAAUAAUAUAUAAUAUAUAGAUUUUGAUUUUUAAAUUUAUAUCCCCCCUUCCCCUUAUCUGACUUUUAACUGUUCCCUUUCAAAAGUCCUUUUAUAAAAGGACUCCCUAUUCAGUUAAAAAAAGGCAGAGACUACGUACUUGAGCUCUACAAUAUCAGAUAGAAAGAAAACCAGAGAGAAAAAUACAGAGAGAAAAACACAGUAAGGAAGAACUCUGAAGGAGAAAACAAAGAAAAGAAAGAGUAAAAAAUCAAAUUUCAAGAUUAUGUUGAAGUUUUCGGUGACAAUCUUUUAUUUCAUCGCUCAAUUUAUUCAUUACAGGUUCAUAUUCAAACAUUUAUGUUAUCAAUUUUAUGGUGAAAAAACAUGAAUGAAAUAUUCAAUAUGUUCUCUGUGGAUGAACACAUAUAAUGAGAUAAUUUAUGCUUGAUAUUUCACACAAUGUAUUAUUAACAGAAUCCAUCUUUUACAUUGUAUAUUCACAACACACUACAUCACUGAUAUUUUAAUUUUUUAUUGCCAUACACACAUACCCCUCCGAAAACACAUGCAUAUACUGUAGCACGCACAAACAUAGUAAUAAGAAUUGACAAAAAAUUAGCAAAACAGAGAAGAAAAUCAGUGACAAAUGAGAGAAAGAUCAGAAAAUAGAGGAGUGAAUAGAGAAGAAUUGAUUUCUUGAAUUUUCCAGUGAGUUCUCAUCGGAAACCCGCCGGAAAACAACCCAAAAAUGCUGGAUUUCUCUCUCCGUUCAGCCGUCACUGUCCAUCAGUGGCCGGCGACUCAGGCGCAGCAUCGCCGCCGAUGUCCUUUCUCCUCUUCUGCCGCCCUUGUCGCGCCAUGGAAGGGCUUGAUCUAGCCGGAAUCGUUUACCGGCGAAGCCCAAACGGUGCUGCCCCUCCUCUUUCCUUUCUUCCGACACCGGUGAACCUCCUUAUCACUGUCGCUGGCAAAAUUCCGAAGAAUUUCCGUCAUCCACACACUGAAAAAUCCUAACCCCAAUAGCAGAUUUGGCUAGUUUGAUUGUACGUAAAAAAUAAGUUGUUAAAGAUAAUUUAAUGUACUAUUGUAUAUAUAUUUUUGAAUAUUUAAAUGAAGUUUAUGUUUAACUUAUAUUCUAUUUUGCUAUUUAAAAAUUUAAAUGAAAAGGCUUUACGUUUAUAUAUAUAUAUAUUAUAUAUAUAUAUUUUAUUAUUUUAUUAUUAAACUUAAUUCUUAAAACUUAAUAAUUAUUUAUUAAAUUAAUUAUAUGCUUUAAUUGUAUAUUGUUCUAAUUUAUUGUCAAGGUUAAAUAGUAUUUUGAAAAGACAAAUUGUAUGAAUUUACAAAAAAUAAAUUAAAGUCUUUAAUACCAGAUAAUUUUUAAAUACGUUAAAAUAUUUGUCUCAAUUAAGAAUGCGACAUAUGAAUCUUUCUGAGACAUUUAAAAAUUUAAGGAUGCAAUAAUGCACCUCGAUAAAUAUUUUUCUAAUUUUUUUUCACUGAGUUAACACGAGAGUAUUAAAUAGUUUCAGUAUAUUAAAAAAAAGGAGAGAACCUAGGCCUUAACAUAAUUUAUUCAAAAUAGUUUAAGUUAAGAUAAGUCAAUAAAAGCGACCGUGCUAGAACCACGAGACUCGAGGGGUUCCUCAUACCUUCUCCCCGUUCAACAGAAUUCCUUACCCGGUCUUCUAUUUUUGCAGACUAACAAAGAGUCAUUUCCUUUUGAUUAGGGAUUCAAUAAGGUGACUUGGAACACCAUAACUCAAUUCUAAGUGGUGACUCUGAAAAUGAUAAAAAUUAAUCCUUAUUCAAUACCGUUAUUUUAAUUGAAAAAAAUCCUUCGACUCGUUCCUGGAGCGAAAAAGGGGUGUGACAUCUAUGGCGACUCUGCUGGGGACUAAUAAGAAUUCAAGAUUUUUAUAUUAACUUAUAAUUUCUUUAAUUAUUGUUGACAUUGUGUUUGUCGGCCUUAUGUGCUACUUGUCGCUUAUUUACUGCUUUGAUAUUUAUUGAACUGUAUUACAUACUGUCUUUUCUUGCACACCCCUCUGAGUCUCUGAAAUAGGAUCGAAGGAAUGCAACCCAUGCAUCCUACUUUCUUUUGGGAUAGCCGGAGUGUUAAGAUACUUGGUGAAGGAUAUAGUCAUACAUGUUAGGCGGGGUUCGGAUCGACAACAAAGGCAGUGUUGCCCUGCUACCGACCAAGUUGACCUUCCAUGGCUCGACUGUCCACUCGGGUAAGCCAGUCUAGACACCUAUCCCUAUUAGGUUUAAACUUAGAAGAACUGAAAACUCAGAAUCUGGUUAUCCCUAUUAGGUACCGCUUUAUUUGCAUCAUAUGCAUUUGACUUAGCGAGACUCGGAACAGGGGCCGAGUCUGUCUAGGACAGGUAACCUACUUUAUAAAGACCAACAUGUGCAUCCUACGUGCUUUUUGACAUUUGUUUGGAAGGCUAUUUGUUUGUUGACCGGCUUUUAGGCAACAUUAAAAUGCAAGAGAUUAAAUUAUCAUCACAUUUAGUGAAUCAUUUUUCAAAGAAAAAUUUUAUUUUUUAAAAGAGAAAAUUUUUAGUAAUAUAGUUUUAUGGUUUUCAUGAACUAUGAGGGUCUGAUUCUCACAUCUUAGCAGGAUACGUAGGAAGUCCUUCUCAGGAUACGACCCUAUCUUUGGAAAAUUAUUCAUUGACUUAUUGGGAAAUAUUUUGAAAAUAUGAUUACUUUCAUAAUUAUUUUUCUAAUUCUGUCUAAUUUUUAUGUAUCUUAAUAUAUAGCCCUGAAUCUUUAGGGAUCAUGAGGCUAAGUUUUACAAAAUAAAAUAUAUAUAAAUCUUAACAAUCCUAAACCUUUAGUGGUCGUGAGGCUGAAAUUUUUAUACAACUUCAUCUAUAAAACAAUCAUCCUUAUUUUCUAAGUCAUUCUAUUUUGUUUUCUUUUCUUUUGUUCCUUUUAAGUGUACUUAGGGGUAUUGUCUCCAAAUAUAUAGUUAAAAUUGUCUAGAGGUCUGUUAUUGCAAAGUUUUUGAUAAAGUCAAUUCAGAUAAGUGUUUUUUGUAAAAAUAUUAUUAGGCAUAUUUUUCUCACUUUGAUUUUGAUAAAAUUGUUCUUUGCAACUAAGUAAUGGUCGCACUAGGUCUCACGAGUCAAGUUAAAAAUUCUUUUCAAAAAUUAAUGAAUUAAGUCUUGCCUAAGUCUAGAUAUUUAUUAAUCUCAUGUCCUUGUCAAUAGGUAUAAAAUGUCUCCUCCUAUUCGUGGAAAGCGUCCAAAGAGAACGAGGGAUGAGAGUAUACCGCUUCAGGUUGUGGAUUGUACCCCUUUGCAUCUUUGGUUGUGGUGGAACGAAAUGGAUACAUUCGAUUAUGAUGAGAUACAUAAGUAUUUGAGUUUUUUGACGAGUAUUAUGUCAAUCAAGCCUAAUAGGGAGGUGAUUGAUGCAUUACUAAGCUUCUGGGACCUGAAGAACAAUGUGUUUCGUUUUUUGGAUUUUGAGUUGACUCCUACUUUAGAGGAGAUACCGGCAUAUGUUGGAUAUGGGGAUGUGAAUCGGAAUAAACUUAUAGUCCCAAGACUCAUUUCGAUAAACAGAUUCUGCAAGCUCAUAAACAUACGAAACUCAAAAGAAGAAUCAAUGAAAAAAGGUUGGGUUUCCUUGCAGUUUUUGUAUGACAAAUAUGGAAAACGAUAGGGGUUUGAAAACUACGGUAAACAACUUUCUAAUAAAGAAAGUUUUGAGGAUUGGAAAUUUCAUAGACGAUUUGCAUUCAUGGUAGCCUUUCUAGGCACUAUGAUCUUCCAGAGGAGAGAAGAAAAAAUUAAUAUUCGUUUAGCGGGGGUGGUACAGAUACUGAUUAAGAAAGAUUACACUAUGGUACCAAUGAUCCUGGCAGAUAUCUAUCGUGCUUUGGCCGUUUGUCAGAAAGGAAAGAGUUUUUAUCGAGGGAUGUAAUAUCUUAUUACAGAUGUGGAUUGUGGAGAAGCUUUACCGAUGUCCUACAAUGGAAAGGUUUAAUUCUGAAUGAUUUAAUCGCAUCAAAGAUUACGAAGAGAGGUUAGAGAAAUAUAAAUGCCCAGAAGGAGUUAGAGAUUGGGAUAAGCUUUUUUGUUCUCUGAUAGCAGAUAAAAUCACUUGGAAUCUGCCUUGGUUCCCUUGGAGGCAAGUCAUACAUAGUUAUUUCAUUCGGCCGUUCUUGUUAUUAAUGGGUAUUAAGGGUGUUCAACCGUAUGUUCCAUUGAGAGUUCUAGUCAGCUAGGAAGACAUCAAAUAAUUCCCAUAACGAAAAAUAUGACCGAGUUUGUAUUUGAGAUCAGACCAGAGAUCCCACUUUCGAAGGAAUUGGCCCAACAGAUUUAGGAGGGUUACCGUAUCAUGGGGAUUGAAACAAUGAUCAUAGAGCGUGAGAAAGUAGAAGUGCACCCAGAUUACCGUGAAUGGUUUGAAGAAUAGUUAAGUCCACUAGCUAGACUAGAAAUAUCGAUUAGGGGACCUAUAGAUCAAAAAGAUGCAAUCAGGAUAGGGAUUGAGAGAGCUAUGCGAGAAUAUCAUGAGGACAACCAAGCUUUGAGAGCAGAAUUAGAGCAUGCCAGGGAAAAAAUAGACGAACAACAAAGGGAAUUUAUAGAAGAGAAAGCUAAAUCAGCAAAUAUUGAGGUUACACUUUGGGGAUAAAUCAAACUGGCUACCACUAUGGGGUCUGCCGCAUCUCCCCGAUAGCAACUGCAAGAAGUUGAAAAGAAUAUACAAGAAUAAUUUGAUCGAGAGAGAUCUCAAUGGAUCCGUGAAAGAGGAAUAUUACAAGAAAAUUUCGAGGUUGCUUCUGUUUGUGAAUAGCGUGCAAGAGAGAUGGUUGAUUUCCGAGAUCGACAGGCCCAUGAAUGGGAUUAGGCCUUCAGUUCCCUUCGAGGGAAGGUCCGUGUAGCACAGGAUACUACCAGAAUGGGUUUAGAUUAUCAACAGUUAGAUCGUGAUGACUUUUUGGUGCAAGUACUAGAUUUUGCACAGGGUCUCACUACUUCAUUGGAGGACAUAUACUUGGGUUUGGGAGGACAUAUCAAGCCGAAGUCUCCUUGAAUGGAUAAUUGUUUUCUUGGUCAUAGUUUUUCAUUUUCAUUUUUAAAACUUCUUGUUUAGAUGUUAUGACUUUUAGUUUUCAGAUAUCAAUUAGUAGGUUUUAUCUUAGGAGUUGGGUCAGUUAUUUUGUCGUAUUUAUAUUAUAGAAUGUAAUGAAGUUGAUUGUUUACUCCUAUAUAUAUUACAUAUGUUUUACUUCACUUACUUUAUUUUCUUCAAUAAAAAAAAGACAAAACAAUCAUUUUGUUAAAAUUCCUCCCGAACUAUGCAAGAUCUGAUUCAUGUCCUGGCAUGAUACAUAGGCAACCCUCCAAAGGGUUCGAUCAUAACUUUUGAAAAGUAUGACUAGAAAAGCCAGGAUGAAUCACAAAGCCUUUCAUGGUAGGUUGGGAAAUGCAUAUAGAAGCAUGACAUAUAAAGUGGCAUUAUAAUGUGUUAAAUAUAUAACACUCACUUGUUUACAACUUGAUAAUAGAAAGAUAAAAUGAUUGGUGGUUGGUUUGUGGUUUAAAAUGGCACCACAUCCAUACAACACCAGAUACAAAGGAAAAAGAAAAAUGACCCACAAAGAAGAUAUAGAGUCUGACAAAGAAGGUAUAGAGUCUGACAGUGAAGAAGAGCAAAAUCAUUUGAUUUCGCAGGAAAUAGCAUCAAUGGAAGAACUUAAGUUGUGAAACAAUAGAUGGUAGAGAUGUACCUAGCUUGUUUGAAUAGAAAAGCUCCACAUUCUUCAAUCCCUAGACUUUCAAGUUCAAAUGAUCCAAAUCCUUCUCUAGCUCAAACUAAUGAUCCAUUUUACCCACCAGGAUUUGGCCCAUUUGCUUAUAUGUUUGGUAUUACUGGUACUUCUACUACGCGCCCACCAAAUUCGGCUGUCACAAAUAAUCCACUUUUUACUUCUAUGGUACCAGCUGUUGCGGGUACUCAAUCGACAGUACCAAAGAAUAUGGGGGAACCAAGUCAUGAUCUGUUAUAUCCUCCUGAAAUAACUUUCAAAUCCCAAAAUCCUCAUUAUCAUUCUUAUCAACACGAUUCUCUAAUCAUGAUUGAGAAGAUUAUUAAAAAUAAGGAACAAGAGAAAAUGGCUAGAAAAGUAAGAAGCUUGGAGCAAAGUAUGAGAAAUAUGCAAGGAUUAGGUGGAUUAAAAAGUGUUUCAUACAAAGAUUUAUGUAUGUUUCCUGACGUCCAUUUGCCGCUAGGGUUCAAAUUGCCAAAGUUUGACAAAUACGAAGGUCAUGGCGAUCUUGUUGCUCACUUGAAAAAGUUCUGCAACCAAUUAAGGAGAGCAAGAGGAAAAUAAGAAUUAUUAAUGGCUUACUUUGGAGGAAGCCUGACAGGAAUAACUUCUGAAUGGUUUAUUGACCAAGACAUUUCCCGUUGGCACGUGUGGGAUGACAUGGCUUGAGAUUUCGUUCAGCAAUUUCAAUAUAACAUUGAAAUAGUGCCAGAUCGCACUACGCUUGCUAACAUGAGAAAAAAAUGACUGAAAGUUUUCGAGAAUAUGCUAUCAGAUGGAGAGAGAAGGCUUCAAGCGUCAGACCAUCGAUAAAGGAAUUUGAAAUGAUCGAUAUCUUUUUGCAAGCUUAAGAACCCGAUUAUUUCCAUCACUUACUUUCUACUAUUGAAAGCACAUUUGCUGAAGUAAUUAAAUUUGGAGAGAUGGUAGAGAAUGGAAUAAAGUCGGGAAAGAUUAUCAGCCAUACUGCUUUAAAAGCAACAACACAGGCAAUUCAAAGUGGUGUAGGAAGUUUUGGGGGAAAGAAAAGAAAAGAGGAUGUAGCAACUGUCGUACCAAGUCCACGACAACAUUGGGGAGGUGUGCAUCAACCAUAUGCACAAAAUCCAUUAUAUUUCGUUCCAUUCCCCCAAUAUCCUUUUUACAAUGCAUAACCAAAUGCUCGGGCUCCUUCAUACCCGCAAUGCGUGCACCAGCCAUUCAAAAUCAUCCACCGGUCCCGUAAGUUCAAAGAGGCCCUCCUAGGUCUAAUUUCUGACCUAGAGCAGACUACAAAAGGGAUAACAUGGGCAAAUAUAACUUCACUCCUAUUGGAAUAUCUUACACCAGUUUAUUUCAUAGGCUGAGGAAAAUGAAUGUUCGAAACCCAAUUGGGAGAAGAAUCCCGAACCCUCCUUCGAAGAACUUGGACUAUUCUAGAAGAUGUGAAUACUGUUCUUAUGCCCUAGGGCACGACACAGAGAAAUCUUGGUAUCAGAAAAGAGCUAUUCAAGGACUGAUUGACACCCAACAGAUCAUGGUACAAAGUUCAGACGCUCCAAAUGUCAAACAAAAUCCACUGCCAGAUCAUAAUGAAGCAAACAUGCUCAAAGUGAUACCUAGUGGUAAAGAUGCUUUAAUGUCCUUCAAGCCAAUCAUUAAAAUUUAAAAUGAUUUAGAAAAAUCAACAAAUACUAUGGAUUUGACAAAAGAAAAACCUAUAGAAGCAGAGGUGGUGAUAACAAAACCUGAAUCAUCGAAUGUUCCCUUGAUGAUGGAGAAAGAGAUUCAAGAAAGGGUCAAGUCAAGUAAAGCCAAAACUUAUUGUUCCUGAAAGAUCCCCUAAACCUCUCUUAAUCAUAAAAGGAGCUCCUAUAGCUCCCAUUGUUAUUAAACCAGUGUCAUAGUUGCCUAUGGUUAAUACUAAGGCAGUUCCUUAGAAUUAUGAUCAUGUUGUGGUGAUGCACAAGGGGAAGAAAGUGAUUAAAGUUGUGGACAAAGUAGGGGGAUUAACUCGAUAUGGAAGAUGUUAUGCCCCAAUAGAGUUAAGAAAUAAUAAACAAGGAAAUGAAGAACGAAUGACGAUCAAGAAGCCUUUUACUGAUGAAGAAGCUGAAGAAUUCUUAAAGAAAAUGAAAUUGCCAGAAUAUUCUGUUGAAAGGAUCCUUGAAGCAAACAAGACAGACGAUGAAUUUCCUGUGGAAGGCACUGGACAUAAUAAGGGUCUCUACAUUACUAUGAAAUGUGAACAUUCCAUCGUUACUCGAGUGUUAAUUGAUGGAGGAUCAGGCUCUAACAUUUUUCCUAUGUCAACUUUGCAAAAGUUGAAUGUUAAUGUAGAAAGAAUUCGACCUAACAAUGUAUGCGUCAAAGGUUUUGACGGAUCAAAAACUGAUGCCAUUAGUGAAAUAGAACUCAUAUUGACAAUUGGGCCUGUGGAUUUUCUAUGGAUUUCCAAGUACUGAACAUUGAUGCUUCAUAUAAUAUGUUAUUUGGAAGGCCAUGGAUUCAUAGGGCUAAAGCAGUCGCAUCAACAUUGCACCAAAUGGUAAAAUUUGAACAUGACAGACAAGAGAUAGUCGUUCAUGGUGAAGGAGACUUAUCCAUGUAUAAAGACUACUCCGUUUCCUCCAUCGAAGCAGAUACUACAAACCGAGUAUUAAUUCAUCAAACUUUUGAGGUAGUGGCUGUUGAGCAUAUCCUCGAGGGAAAUCUCAUCGUAAGACCACAAUUAUCCUCUGCAUCUGUUAUGGUAGUGAAUGAAAUGUUGAAGCAUGGUUUCGAAGUAGGUAAAGGUCUAGGAUUGUUUUUGCAAGGCAGGGUUCAUCCAGUAAACCUCCAUGAGAACCUUGGUACUUUUGGUUUGGGAUACAUGCCCAAUGCUGAAGAUAUAAAAAAGGUUAAAAGGCAUAAGAAAGAGUCAUGGGCACUUACCAAAUCGAUACCGCCACUCACGAAUCCUUUAUAAAAGUCAAUGUUGUUAGGUCCUAUAUGUUAUAUACUGCAGAGUCAGUGGAUGAUGAUGAUACAGUGUUGAUUGGCCUUUUCCAGAAUAUGUUCAUUGAAGCUGAUAUGGUUAAAAUUGGGGAAGGUAUCAGUAAUGCAUAUGUGCAGUUUAUCGGCCCUGAUGUCCAGCUUAACAUUUGGGAGGCCACUCCUCUCCCUACUAUGAAGGAGUUUUGGUAGUUUGUUUAUUUUUCUUUCAGUCUUGGUAGCUUGUUUUUUUUCUGUAAUUUGAAUAAUUUUAGGAUUGUAAUUCAGAUCUUUACCUUGGUAUUUUAGGUUAAAACUCUUUCUAGAUUUGUUUUUAAUAAAGUACAGUCUCCCUUUAUUUUAUUUUGAGUCUGAUAUUUAUUUGUUUAUUUAUUUUCUAUCAUAUAGUUCUUUCUAUACUGAUUCUAAUGAUAUCACAUGCAUGAAGAAUUGUCAACUAAAUUUAAAAACCCAAUCUAAUUAUAAAAUAAUGAAUAAAGAAGUUGAAUAUGAUGAAAAAGAAGCAUUUGAAGAUAUAAGCAAAGAUUUCAAACAGUUUGAGAACAAGUCAAACCCUAAUUUGGAGGAAAAUGAAGCGAUCAAUUUAGGAGAUUAUGAAAAUAUUAGGGAGACUAAGAUAAGUGUAUAUGCUCAACCACAACAAAAUAAAGCUAUAAUUGAAGCUUUUCUUGAGUACAAAGACAUCUUUGCGUGGUCAUAUGAUGAUAUGCCCAGUUUGAGCACCGAUGUGGUAGUUCACAAGUUGCUAAUUGAUCCUGCUUUUCCACCUAUCAAGAAAAAUUUAAGGAAUUUUAAAAACGACGUGAUUGUAAAAAUCAAAAAGGAGAUCACGAAGCAACUUGAAGCUAAAGUUAUUGGAGUGGAUCAAUAUCCUACUUGGUUGGCAAAUAUUGUCCCUGUUCCAAAGAAAGAUGACAAAGUUCGAAUGUAUGUUGAUUAUCGUGAUCUAAAUAAAGUGAGUUCGAGAGAUAAUUUUCCACUUCCUAAUGUCCAUAUUUUGUUGGACAAUUGUGCUAAACAUGAUCUUGUCUCUUUUGUGGAUUGUUAUGUGGGAUAUCACCAGAUCAUUAUGGAUCCAGAAGAUGCCAAAAAGACAUCAUUUAUCACGUUAUGGGGGACAUAUUGUUAUCAAGUUAUUCCGUUCCGACUAAAGAAUGUUGGGGUAACUUAUAUGAGGGCAAUGACUACAAUGUUUCACGACAUGUGCACAAGGAGAUUGAAGUUUAUGUUGACGAUGUGAUCAUUAAAUCCAGAGAGCAGUCUAACCAUGUCAAAGAUCUUAGAAAAUUCUUUGAAAGGCUUCGAAGAUAUGAUCUCAAACUUAACCCAGCAAAAUGUGUAUUUGGCAUACCGUCAGGAAAGAUCUUAGGGUUUAUAGUCAGUCGACGCGGCAUUGAGUUAGAUCCUUCAAAAAUAAAAGCUAUUCAAGAUUUGCCUCCACCAAAGAAUAAAACAGAGGUGGUGAGUCCACCAAAGAAUAAAACAGAGGUGGUGAGCUUACUUGGAAGGUUGAAUUAUAUCAGUAUAUUCAUUGCUCAGCAUACGACAACCUGCGAGCCAAUAUUCAAGUUGUUGAAGAAGAAUGCUAAAGUUGAAUGGAUUGAAGAAUGUCAAGAGGCAUUUGAAAAAAUUAAGAGAUACUUGUCGAAUCCGCCUAUUUUGGUUCCUCCAGAGCCAGUCAGACCCUUGAUAUUGUACAUGUCUGUCUUAGAAAAUUCUUUCGUCUGUGUAUUGUGUCAACAUGACGUUAUAGGCAGAAAAGAACAGGCCAUAUACUACCUUAGCAAACAGUUUACCACUUAUGAGGCUAAGUACACUCUUCUUGAGAAGACAUGUUGCGCCUUAACUUGGGUAGCCCAAAAGCUGAAACAUUACUUUUUAUAUUAUACUACUUACCUCAUAUCUCGUAUGGAUCCUUUAAAGUACAUUUUUCAAAAGCCAAUGCCCAUAGGCAGACUCGCAAAAUGGCAGAUAUUGCUCACAGAGUUUGAUAUUGUCUAUGUCACACAAACUGCAAUGAAAGCUCAAGCUUUAGCAGAUCAUUUGGCUAAAAAUCCUAUUGAUGAGGAGUAUGAACCAUUGAAGACUUACUUUCCAGAUGAAGAGGUAUUGUAUGUUGAUGAGUUUGUUUCUGGCGAUAACCAUUCAAGCUAGAAGUGGUUCUUUGAUGGAGCUAUUAAUGUAAAAGGAGUGGGAAUAGGAGCAGUUCUUAUUUCUGAAUUAGGACAAUAUUAUCCUAUAAUAGCCCAACUUUGAUUCUAUUGUACCAAUAGUAUGGCAGAAUAUGAAGCUUGCAUUUUGGGUUUGAGAUUAGCUAUUGACAUACGGAUCCAAGAAUUGUUAGUGUUAGGAGACUCAGAUUUGUUAGUUCAUCAAAUUCAUGGAGAUUGAGAGACUCGUGAUUCAAAGAUCCUACCAUAUCGAGGUUGUUUGCAAGAUCUAUGUCAAUGAUUUGUAUCAGUAAAGUUCAAAUACAUUCCCAGAGCUCAUAAUGAGAUUGCUGAUGCUUUGGCAACCUUAUCUUCGAUGCUUAAACAUCCCGACAAAACUUAUAUUGACCCUUUGCAUAUACAGAUUCAUGAUCAACAUGCAUAUUGCAAUGUGGUUGGGAAGAACUUGAUGGGGAGCGGUGGUUCCAUAAUAUCAAAGAAUAUAUUCAGACUGGAAAAUAUCCUAUACAUGCCGAUGGUAACCAAAAGAGAACCAUUCGAUGUUUAUCUAGUGGAUUUUUACUAAGUGGAGGAAUCUUGUAUAAGAAGACUCCUAAUUUGGGACUUUUGAGAUGUGUAGAUGCUAAAGAAGCUUCAAAUAUCAUGACUGAAGUACAUUCUGGGAUUUGUGGACCAUACAUGAGUAGGUAUGUUUUGGCAAUGAAAAUUCUCCGAGAAGGUUAUUAUUGGCUCACCAUGGAGCGAGAUUCCAUCAAUUUCAUUCGUUAAUGUCAUGAAUGUCAAGUACAUGGGGACUUGAUACAUUCCCCUCGAUCUGAGUUGCAUACAAUGACUGCUCCAUGACCUUUUGUGGCUUGGGGAAUGGACAUAAUUGGACCAAUUGAACCAAAGGCUUCGAAUGGACAUAGGUUCAUCUUAGUAGCCAUUGAUUAUUUUAUAAAGUGGGUGGAAGCAGUGACUUUCAAGUCAGUGACCAAGAAAGUGAUGGUUGAUUUUAUCCACUGCAACAUCAUUUGUCGGUUCGGCAUUUCAAAGAUAAUUAUCAUGGAUAAUGCUGCGAAUCUCAAUAGCCAUCUGAUUCAAGAAGUGUGCCAACAAUUUAAGAUUAUGCAUCGGAAUUCAACUCCUUAUCGUCCAAAGGCGAAUGGAGCUGUAGAAGCUGCCAACAAGAACUUAAAGAAAAUACUCCGUAAGAUAGUGUAGGUUCCCGAUAGUGGCAUGAAAAGUUAUCUUUUGCUUUGUUGGGUUAUCGUACUACAGUUUGGACUUCAAUUGGUACAACUCUUUACUUGUUAGUGUACGGAACUGAAGCAGUUAUACUUGUAAAGAUUGAAACUCCAUCUCUUCAAGUAGUUGUAGAAGCUUAAAUUGAUGAUGACCAAUGGGUCAAGAUUCAUUUGGAGCAACUAAGCUUGAUUGAUGAAAAAAGAUUAACAUCAGUAUGUCAUGGACAACUAUACCAGAAGAGAAUGGCCCGAGCAUAUAACAAAAGGUGUGUCACAGACAUUUUGAAGUUGGUCAGUUAGUACUAAGAUGCAUCCUACGCCAUCAGAUUGAAGCCAAAGACAAAUUUUCUCCUAAUUGGCAUGAACCAUUCAUGGUGAAGAAAGUGUUACCUAAUGGCGCGUUAUAUCUGAUAUAGAAGGCGAAAUGGAAGGAAUCCCGGUUAAUGUUGAUGCAGUUAAAAGAUAUCAUGUAUGAUAUUCUUGUACAAUUACAUUAUGUCUGUUUUGUACUUGCAUUUUAAAAUAUUGAAAUGAUGAAGGCAUUUUGUUCCACUAUCCGAAUAAUAUAUCAACCUUUGCUUAUCCUUUUUGAGCUUUUAUCUUUCUUCGUACCCCUCUUUUGGAAUCAAAUUAAAGUGAAAAAAAAUCAAUCAAAAAUUCAAAAUCAAGCAAAAGAAAUUUUCCUGAACUACGUUUGACCUGAUUCUUGCUAUGACAAGAUACGUAGGCACCCCUACUUUGGGGUUCGGUCCAACCAAAAGAAAAUUCAAAUUACCCAAAAUAAAAUGAAACUGAGGCAAAAGUUUAUUUCCCUAAAAAGAGUCGAUUUCAAAAGUUGUAUGCUUUACCCAAUGUUGUGUAAAUUUUGAGCUUCACGCUGAUCUUUCUUUCUAACCCAGUCUAAAAGCCAAGUUACAACCAAAGAAAGACCUUCAGAUCAAUCUUUGAGAAUGUCAAGACUAAACAUGUUAUGGGUGCAUGAUAUUUAUAUUUUUGGUGUUUACUUAAAAGAAAAAGUGAAUGAAAAUGAGAGAGUCUUAUUAGUGAAAACCCUUUUGGGCACCAUAAGGUGACUGUGAGCUGAAAAAAAUAAAAAUAAGAUAGACUCAUUGGCAAAAACCCAUUGAGGUGCCACUAGAUGAAGGAGGUUUGUUAUCCAGAAGGAACAAGUUCAAGAUUGACCUAAUUUAAAGUUCAAUAAGUGGACAAAAAUUGUAAUGAUUAGUGUGGGUAGAUUUGGCUGUUUGAUUCAAAAUGCAUGUCAUAAUCACCCGAAUCAGUUUCCACAUUCAGAUAAGUUUUUCUUUCUAUUUUUAAAAAGAGAUACCUAUUGUCUUUUUCUUUUUUCUUUUUAUUUUGAUUUUUGAUAUUUUGUGUCCUUAUCAUCAAAUGAAAAUUUUUGUUGUCUUUUGUGUGUUUUUGAGUCAAAUUCACGUGAGGUCAAGUGAGAAAGAACUCCAAACUUACUACCAACUUCUUCAAUGGUAAAAAGCAAGCCAAAGGGUCGACGUACAAAGACAACACUUCAAAGUAUAAUAAAGUACUCAGAAUGAUCGUGAUUUGACAAUUCUUGGCUAGUUGAAAGAUAAAAGGUAUAUGAAAAGUUAAAUCUUGAGAUAUUAUACAGGAGAAAUAUGUUUUGAGUUGAGAGUAUCAGUAGUCAGAAUUUUGGGUCAGAAGUAUGACAAGUCAAUGGAUAUCAAUCAAGGAAUGAAAAGGAGUUGAGCAUGGAAAGUGCAAGAACAAUCAGUUCAAGAUCCAAAUACCACAAACCAACCACCAUGUGUUUUUAAAACUCACAAUUUGUCUUUGUUGAAACAGAAACAGAAAGUUUUCAAAUAAAGGAUGCAAUUUCAUACUUCUGUCAAUGCAAGAGUCAUGAUUACAACAUACGAUAUUGGAUCUCAGUUAUGGAUCAUAUUUGAAAAAUUAGAAAAAGGAAGUCUAGGAGCCCACCUGAAGAAUAGAGUGAAGAAAUUGUAAGUCUAGGAGCCUGCCUGAAGAACAGGAGGAAGAAAUUUGUAAAUCCAGGAGCCCGCCUGAAGAACAGGGUGAAGAAAUUACAAGUCUAGGAGCUCGCCUGAAGAACAAGGUGAACAAAUUAUAAGUCCAGGAGCCCGCCUGAAGAACAUGGUGAAAAAAUUUGUAACUCCAGGAGCCCGCUUGAAGAACAGGGUGAAGAAAUUUGUAAGUCAAGGAGCUCGCCUGAAGAAUAGGCUGAAGAAAAAGAAAGUCCAAGAGCCCGCCUAAAGAACGGGGUGAAGAAAUUGUAAGUCUAGGAGCCCGCCUGAAGAACAGGGUGAAGAAAAAAGAAAGUCGAGGAACCCACCUGAAGAACAGGGUAAAGAAAAGAGAAAGUCCAGGAGCCCGUCUGAAGAACAGGGUGAAGAAAAAAGGAAGUCUAGGAGCCCGCCUGAAGAACAGGGUGAAGAAAAAAGGAAGUCCAGUAGCCCACCUGAAGAACAGGGUGAGGAAGUAACAAGUUAGGAGCUCGCCUGAAGAAUAGGGUGAAUUUUCAAGUUCAAGUCACGAAGAUUUGAAUCAAGAUUUUAGAGAUUGUAAUUUUCAUUUAUAUUUUUCAUUUUUGAUCUUUUGUUAGCCAUUUGAAUGUAAAAGGCAGAAGUUGUUAACUGGAAACUCGACAGAAUAUCAUUCGACUUUUAACUCUUUUUCCCUCCAUAUUACCUUUGAACUACUCGUGACCUGAAUCCCUUAUAACCCGGGAUAGGUAGGAUGUCCAAAAACAGGACUCGGUCACAUUUUUACUUUUAUUUUUAUUUUUAUUUUAUCCUUAUCUUUCAAAUAAUUGGAGGGUCAAAAAUCAUAUCUUGUCUACUUCUUUGUAUGAAAAUUCUUCGAGAUUCCACACAAAGAGGGGCAAAAAUGUAGACACGUGAUUUUUGAUCCUUCCUAAAUUUUAACUUGUCUAUCAAUAUUAAAUAUUUAUAUUUAUAUUUAAUCAUAUAUUAUUUUNNNNNNNNNNNNNNNNNNNNNNNNNNNNNNNNNNNNNNNNNNNNNNNNNNNNNNNNNNNNNNNNNNNNNNNNNNNNNNNNNNNNNNNNNNNNNNNNNNNNNNNNNNNNNNNNNNNNNNNNNNNNNNNNNNNNNNNNNNNNNNNNNNNNNNNNNNNNNNNNNNNNNNNNNNNNNNNNNNNNNNNNNNNNNNNNUUAAAUUUUUGCCCCCUUCCCCUUAUCUGACUUUUAACCGUUCCCUCCCAAAAGUCCUUUUAUAAAAGGACUCCCUAUUCAGUUUAAAAAAGGCAGAGACAACGUACUUAAACUCUACAAUAUCAGAUAGAAAGAAAACCAUAGAGAAAAAUACAGAGAGAAAAACACUGUAAGGAAAAACUCCGAAGGAGAAAACAAAGAAAAGAAAGAGUAAAAAAUCAAAUUUCAAGAUUCCGUUGAAGUUUUUAGGGACAAUCUUUUAUUUCAUCACUCAAUUUAUUCAUUACAGGUUCAUAUUCAAACAUUUAUGUUAUCAAUUUUAUGGUGAAAAAAACAUGAACGAAAUAUUCAAUAUGUUCUCUAUGCAUGAAUACAUAUAAUGAGAUAAUUUAUGCUUGAUAUUUCACACAAUGUAUUAACAGAAUCCAUCUUUUACACUGUAUAUUCACAGCACACUACAUCACUGAUAUUUUAAUUUUUUACUGCCAUACACACACACACCUCCGAAAACACAUGCAUAUACUGUAGCGCGCACAAACACAGUAAUAACAAUUGACGAAAAAUUAGCAAAACGGAGAAGAAAAUCAGUGACAAAUGAGAGAAAGAUCAGAAAAUAGAGGAGUGAAUAGAGAAGAAUUGAUUUCUUGAAUUUUUCAGCGAGUUCUCAUCGGAAACCCACCGGAAAACAACCCAAAACCACUGGAUCUGUCUCUCCUUUCAGCCGUCACUAUCCAUUUGUGGUCGGCGACCCAGGCACAACAUCGUCGCUGUCCUUUCUCUUCUUCUCCCACCCUUGUCGCUCUAUGGAAGGGCUAGAUCUAGCCGGAAUCGUUUACCGGUGAAGCCCAAAUGGCGCUGCCCCUCCUCUUUCCUUUCUUCCGACACCGGCGAACCUCCUUAUCACUGUCCUUGGCAAAAUUCCAGCGAAUUCCCAUCAUCCACAUACUGAAAAAUCCUAACCCCAAUAGCAGAUUUGGCUAGUUUGGUUGUACGUAAAAAAUAAGUUGUUAAAGAUUAUUUAAUGUACUAUUGUAUAUAUAUAUAUUUUUGAAUAUUUAAAUGAAGUUUAUGUUUAACUUAUAUUCUAUUUUUCUGUUUAAAGAUUUAAAUGAAAAGGCUUUAUGUUUAUAUAUAUAUUAUAUAUAUAUUUUAUUAUUUUAUUAUUAAACUUAAUUCUUAAAACUUAAUAAUUAUUUAUUAAAUUAAUUAUAUGCUUUAAUUGUAUAUUGUUUUAAUUUAUUGUCAAGGUUAAAUAGUAUUUUGAAAAGAUAAAUUGUAUGAAUUUACAAAAAAUAAAUUAAAGUCUUUAAUACCAGAUAAUUUUUAAAUACGUUAAAAUAUUCAUCUCAAUUAAGAAUGCGGCAUACGCAUCUUUCUGAGACAUUUAAAAAUUUAAGGAUGCAAUAAUGCACCUUGAUAAAUAUUUUUCUAAAUUUUUGUUUUUCUUUUCACAAAGUUAAUACGAGAGUAUUAAAUAGUUUUAGUAUAUUAAAAAAAGGAGAGAACCUAGGCCUUAACAUAAUUUAUUUAAAAUAGCUUAAGUUAAGACAAGUCAAUAAAAGCGACUGUGCUGGGUUCUCCUCGGUCAACAGAAUUUCUUACCCAGUUUUCUAUUUUUGCAGUCCAACAAAGAGUCAUUUCCUUUUGCUUAGGGAUUCAAUACUGAAAAUGAUAAAAAUUAAUCCCUAAUCAAUACCGUCAUUUUAAUUGGAAAAAUCCUUCGACUCAUUUCUGGAGUGAAAAAGGGGUGUGACACUCAGUGUGUUGAUUUACUGAUGUGCCACCUAGACACUAAGGUUGCCAAAAAUCUGAUUUUAAUUAGUCCAGAGGCUAAUGAGAUCCUUCUAAAGUACGGGUGUAUCUCAGUAAUUUCGUGUAUAGUUCAGGGUGGAAGCAGAACAUUUUUUCAAAAAAAAAUUAAAACUAGUCGUGAAUGGGUCUCAAACCCGAGACCGUGAGGCCCUUUGCGUGAAAGUUUACACCCCUUUUGCCAUUGAACCAAGCUUUUUGCUUGUGUCAAGGGGGUUCAAUUUAAUAUAUAUACACACAGAGAAAAAAGAAUUCAUAUAUAUAUAGUACUUUAAGUUAGUUAGUACGGACAAGAAUCUCGAGCGUAUAAAUUAAUAUGGUACAAAAAAAAAUCAAUUAAAAUAUCAACACAUUAAGUUAAUAAAGUACAGAAAAAUCCUCAAAUAUAUUAAAACACACACACACACACAUAUAUAUAGUAUGAAAAUAAAAUAACUUUAAACAUCAAUACUCUUAAUUAUAUUAAAGGUUGACUGGACGAAUUAAGUAAUAAUGAAAUAAAAAUAAUCUAAAUCUUAAGGGCAAGAUAAAACAUAUCUGUCAUAAUAUAUAGAUCAGUCAUGUAGAAGGUUAAUACAAGAAAAUAAGAAAGCAAGAAGGAACUUUUUUUUAUUUGAAGUGACUGAGGAUAGGGUAUAUGUGUGAGAAUGACGAUGCAGCUCUUCCUAGAUUCAUAGUACUAAAAUCAGUGUGUACAUAUUUCACUAGAACUAUUAAGUAUUUACUGAAUUAAUGAGUUCUUUGUUAUUUUGCCCUUAAAUGUCUAUUUUUGUUUGCGAUUUGCAUCUUAUUCUUUUAAUGAUUCCUAAUAUAUUAAAUUCCUUGCAACUUAUAAAGAAAGAAAGCAAAAAUAAAAAAAAAUAUUGGAGUUGGUUGAAAAGAAAGUAAUUUAUAUACUAUAUCUCACUUCAAAAUACCGCGGUUUAUAUAUUCAUAAUGUCAAAUUAGCCUAUACGCUCCGCCAAGGGACCGUGGUCAAACCACGGGUAUAUGUUAUUAUCUUUUUCAGAUUGAGUUAAUAAUUUUAUGUACCGAAAGUCUAUUCUUUUUACACUGCUAGAUUUUAAAUGUCAAUUAUUUUUAAACAUCUUAGAAAUAAAACAAACAUUCAAUAUAAAUUAAUAGGUCAAAUUACACUAUCAUUACAAAAAUCACCUAUAUAAGCUAAAUCCUACAACAAAUAAAUAUGUACAAAUGCUUUACACGAUUAAUUAAAUAACUCAUUGAUAUAUCUUGUUUAAAGCCGGUUAAAUAAGAAAAACUUAAAAUUUAUAAAUAUUCUUUAAAUGAUCUGAUAGUAAAAAAAAAUAAAAAAAUUAUACUAAUAAUGUAUAUAAGUUAAUGUAAGUGUUGUUUGUCAUUUCAAUAGUUAAUCACUUCGAGGAGAAAGUGAAAUUAUUAAUUAAUCUUCUGACCCUAGGAUUUUGGUUACACAUCGGAUUAUAUAUACACACACAUAAUAUUAAUUUCCUUUUUUGAACAAAAUAAGGACGUUAUCUUGAUUCCGCUCACUUUUCUGCUACUUAUUAAUUAGGGGAGUAGUGUUAAUCUUUAUUUCUAAGCUUUCACACAGUUGAUUUUUAGUAUCUGUUAGUUUUGUUCUCUCUUAAACUACGCCAUUCCAUCAAUGAAAUCAAUCCAUUGACAGAACCCUCAAUCACACAAGCUAUACCGGAGUUUUUCAUGUGAUAAUGCUAGUUAGUUUCCUCCAUUGUAGGUCAUUCCUUAAGGUUGAAUUCUGGUUGGGCUAUCCUCCACAUAACACUAUGGUUAGUGUAGUCUUUGUUAUUUUUAGCUGAUAAACUUAGAUGAUAUUUGGUAAACUCAUGGCUACUAAUCAAAGAACUCCAUGAUUUAAAAACAGACUUGAAUCGAGCCUUGAGAGAAUUUCAGUUGGCCAAUAAAGGUUUGUGGGGUUGCUUUGAUUUGGGUGUUGAUGGGAUGCUUCAUCAGAUACCGGUUGUUUUCUUGAUAAGUCAAAAACUUCAGUUUCACAACUUGUUUGUUCUUCGAGUUCCAGCUUUUCCAUGACUUCUUGACCGAUUAAUCUGUUAUCUUGUUUAUCAGAUUCUGAAUUUUCCUGAUUUACUCCAUUAAUCUCUCCAUUUAGUUUUUCCGCAGGUAGCAUUUAUAUAAAUGUUGGAACCAAUAAAUAAAGAAAGAAAAAGGAAAAAAUAAUGAAAAAGUUUGACCAAAUGUUCAAAUCUUAACGGAGGCUAUAAAAGCUAAAUGAUUCUUUUUUCUUCGAUGAGAGUGUCAAAAAACUUUCAACAGUAACAAAGCCGGUCUUACUAGGAGAAAUGGUCAAUAGUGAUGUAAUUUCAAGGAAACAUAAAAUACGACCUCCUCCAUAUUUUCUACAUAUUAUAUAACAAUAGAAAGAAAGAUAAAUAUAUGCCCCUCUAUUACUGUAAUUUCAAGUGGAUAGUGUACUUAUACUCUCGCCAUCUACCAAGUUAAAAUUAAUUCUUUUGAAUUUCAAACAAUAAGACAUGGCUUUAAAAAUUAUCUCACUCAUUUUAUUUACCUCUCGAUACCCAACCUAACUAAAAAAAAUCAAUUCGUCUUUUAUUCAGACAUGACACAAUUUCAUUUAUUGAUUGUGUAGAUGGAUUGGACUUUUUUCAAUUGGACAGGGUUUGGAGUGGUAAAAUGUGAGGUAAUUAUUUUAAAGCCGCAUGAUAUUCUUGGAAUUUAAAAAAAGUCAGUUUUAGAUUAUUUUCUAAUUCAGUAAAUAUAGGUCUUUCAACAAAAAAUGUAAAUAUGCCUAAUUCGUCAAACGAUGGCGUAUAUAUGCAUAACUUUUUUUAAUGAGGCAUAUAUGUCACGACCCGACCCGAGGCCCUGGCCAUGACGGGCAUCCCGAACCACGAAGGCCCGAGAGACCCCUGUCUCUGCCCAACCCACCAGUGAUAUUGUCCGCUCUGGGCCCUGGCCCGCACGACUUUAAAACGCGUCACUAGGGAGUAAGAUUUUCUUACAUAUAUACCCAGCAUCCUUCUUGUGUUUAUGCCGAUGUGGGAUUCUAAGUUGGGGUGUUACAUACACCCCUUUAUGGACUCAGCGUCCUCGCAGAGGUUUGUCCCACCGAAUGGAAUUUGCCUAGACUCAGGACUGAUGUUUGCCCUGCCUUACCGGGAUUUGCCUACGCUUAGUUUGAACUCUAGCCCACAUCGAUAGGGCUGACACAGAAGCAGCUCUGAUAUCACUAGUGGGUUGGGGAGUUAUAGGGGAGUCUCGGGCCUUUGUGGUUUGGGAUGCCCGUCGUGGCUAGGGCCCUGGCUCGGAUCGUGACAGAGUGGUAUCAGAGCCGCUCCUGUGUCAGCCCUGUCGAUGUGGGCUAGAGUUCAAACUGAGUAUAGAUGAAUCCGGGUAAGGCGGGACAAACCUCAGUCCUGAGUGUAGGCAAAUCCCAUUCAGUGGGGGCAAACCUAAGCGAGGACGUUGAGUCCAUAAGGAUGGGUGUAUGUAACACUCCAACUUAGGAUAUGGAGUCCCACAUCAGCAAAACACAAAAGGGAUGCUGGGUAUAUAAGUAAGAAAACCUUACUCUCCAAUGACGCGUUUUAAUGCUGUGCGAGCUUGGGUUCAGAGCGGACAAUAUCACUAGUUGGUUGGGCAGAGACAGCGGUCUCUCGGGCCUUCAUGGUUCAGGAUGUCCAUCGCGGCCAGGGCCUCGGAUCCGGUCAUGACAAUAUAUUCUCUCUAAAUCACAAAAUUGGAGGGUAUAUUUACCCCCUUUUUCCUAUAACAAUUGUUAAUUAUGCAUGAUUUGUUAUUAAAUGAUAUGCUUCUUACAUCGACUUAUGAUUAAUCAUGGUCCAGGGCCUCGGGUCGGGUAAUGACAAUAUAUUCUCUCUAAAUCACAAAAUUGGCGGGUAUAUUUACCCCUUUUUUCCAAUAACAAUUGUUAAUUAUGCAUAAUUUGUUUUCAGAUGAUAUGCUUCAUACAUCAACUUAUGAUUAAUCAUGGUCCAGGGCCUCGGGUUGGGUCAUGACAAUAUAUUCUCUCUAAAUCACAAAAUUGAUGGGUAUAUUUACCCCUUUUUUCCUAUAACAAUUAUUAAUUAUGCAUAAUUUGUUUUCAGAUGAUAUGCUUCAUACAUCAACUUAUGAUUAAUCAUGGUAAAAUAUCGCGCUGCGUCUACUACUCUUUUCAGUGGGGUCAAAAAACAUGCACGAACUAUAUUUUUUCUUCAACAACUUAAUAAUAUGUUCGAUAACGAACAUUUAACUCAGUGUUUAGUCUAUAUGAGAAUGUACGCUAUGCUUGAGGACAUUCCUAUGUGUUUUUAGUUUUCCAUAUAAGCCAAGUUUUACCAGCCAUAAAUCACGACAGAUCAGUACACGCCUUACUCGAAAGGUCAUUUAUUGUCUGGUCAACAAAAUAAUCUAGUGUGAACACUAUACAUAGAGUUAUGGACAGUAAUCUGCAGUGAGAUCUAGUACAAUUAAUAUUUUACUGAUUUUAAAGAAAUCAAUUAGCUAUAAAUAUUAGCAAGAGAAAGAACCGUCUCCGCAUUCUCAUAAAAAAAUCUUCUUUCUUUAUCAGCUUCAACAUUUUCACAAAGAAUCACCAUGCCCAAAAUGCUAACUUCAGGAGAAAAUCAAGAAUCAAUCAUCCCUGAACUUGCAAAAGUAACAGGAAAAAGAAAGCUCCCAGCAUCUGAAGUGUAUCAAUUGAAGCGUGUGUUUGCGAAAAUUUAACAAAAAGGAAAGCAUCCGAUGUCUGAAUCAUAUGAAUUGAAGCCAAUUAAUGUGCCUACAUUUUCCAUGCUUGAAAGAGGAGGAACAUCUGAAAUUAAACUGGAAAUAGAGGACGAUUAUGAUUAUAAUCAUGACUAAGCAAUCUUGAAGGCUAUCUAUCACUACUAUUUCAAUGGUGCGGUAAUUUCGCAUCCUCCUUAUUCAAAGAACUUCAUCAACUACUUCGAGGCUUCAGUUCCCAAUGUGAAAUUUCGUGGUCAGGCAUUGGCGAAUAAGAUUGUUAUGUUAGAGCACCAUUUCUUAAAGGUUAUGAAAAUGGCUGCACGUGUAGGAUAUUACCCCGAAAUAAUCCACCCUAUUUGUUGCAAAUUUUCAACUUGUCGAUGGGUUUAUGGGGAUAAUUCAGGAGACUAUUAUCCAGUUGGACAAGAUCAAGAUGAAACUGGAGUUGUUGAUGCGUCCAUGAUUUUCAAAGUCGAUGUCUUCAUUGUGGCAUUUUAAAUUAUUUCUUGGAGCAUUAGUUUAAAGUUUUUAAUUUUCUUUCAUUAAACUGAAUCUAGCUGUUUGUGUGAAUUAUUAAUUUGGAUAUUCGUUAGCUCGAAAUUUUCAGUUCAGCUCAAAAAUUUGAUUUGAUAUAAAAUGUUUCCUUUUUCCAAGUUUGAUAUCUUGUCUUCAACUUAUAGAAUCAGAUAUGUUAAUUGUUCCUCUCUUCUUCCGAGGAAGGAAAAGAAUAACGAUGAAAAAUGACAUAAUUUAACAUAGAACAAAAUCUGCAGAUACUAAAAUCAAUUGCGCGAAACUUGAAAACUUAGAAAUGAAGAGCAACACUACUCCUCUAAGUUAAUAGAAAGUUAGGAAAAUCAAGGGAACGUCAUCAUUUGUCCAAAUGAGGGAAUCAGUAGCUACGGUUAAGUCUGGAAAGGAUACAUCGUACAUAUAUGUAUAGAGAAGUAUCACUUAAGAGCAUCAACUUAUGCUUCAAUACCGAGAAAACAACCUAGAAUUAUGCUUCAAUUUCAAAUGUGAUACACAUUUUGGAAACUGUGAUAUGGGAGCAACCUUAUCUACCUAAAACUGCUGGGGUAUGAAUGUGGUACAGAUUUUAGGUAACUGUUGGAUGGGAGCAUGAACGUAAAUUGGCAAGGAGAAUCUAUGAACUUAAUUUUUCUAUAUAUCCUAGAUUUAGUUUAGCUGCAGGAUCUAUCGAAAACAACCUCUCUACAUCACAUGGACUGCGUACACUCUACCCUCCUCUGAGGUAGUGUUCAGUGUAAUCAAUCCAUACCACUACCUUAGAGGUGAUAUAGAGAGGUUGUUUCUGAAUGACCCCCCUGCUCAAGAAACAUGUACUCUUUAAAUAGGAAUAAAAAAAAACUCAACCAACUAGAGAAACUUACUGAAAAACAUUACCCACUAACCUAACGACUAAUUAUCCACUUAUCUAAAUAUUAGCAACUAAUAAAGAAAUGUUUUGACUCAACUAGGACUACUAACAAGCGUGUUACUAUUGUCAAUUUUCUGAGUCGAGUUUUGUGAGGCAACAAUGGCAACAAUAGUUCUCAUCGUCUUCAUUUUUGCUACCGGUGCAAAAGUCUCUUCAUAGUUCACACCAUACUCCUGCUUGUUACCAAGAACAACCAACCGAGCUUUGUAUCGAUCAAGAGUUCCAUCAGAAUGAAAUUUAAUUGAAUAAACCCAAUUACAUCCAAUUGGAUGGACAUUUGAAGGACAUGAAACAAUAUCCCAUGUGUCAUUUUCUUUGAGAGCCAAAAGUUCUUCCUCUGUUGCCUUCUGCCAACAUUCAUGCUUAGAAGCAUGUGAGUAAUAAGUUGGAACAUAAAUGGUGGAUAAAGUAGAUGAAAAGCCAUACCAAUUAGGAGUACGAGAUACUCUCGUAGAUCGUCGAGUGGGCUCAAGAGGAGUAGGCCUUGAAGAAUUCUCAGAUUCUAGUUGUGGUGCAGUUUCAAGUGGUGGAUCAAUAUCAGGAGGGGGUAAAGUUGGCCGCCGAUGUUCGUACAUAAAUUCGGAUUUGAACCUCUUAGAAGAAUAUGAAAAAUCUUCAAAAGUAGGAAGAAGAAGAGAAUCAGGAGAUGACUCAACAUGAGUAGGAAAAAAAUACUGAUUCUCAAAGAAAACAACAUUUCUAGAAAUAUAAAAUUUAUUAGAACAUGGAUCAUAACGGAGAAAACCUUUAUGUGAAGUACUAUAACCCAUAGAAACACAUUUAGUAGACUGAACAGAAAGUUUAUUAUGCUGAGAAGGAGGAAGAUGCACAAAACAAAUACAACCAAAUGUAUGAAAAUUAUCAUAGCUUGGAUUUUUGUGAUAAAGACAAAAAUAUGGAGACUCAAGAUUUAACACUUUAGAUGGCAGCCUGUUAAUUAAAUAGACAGCAGUAGACAAAGCUUCAACCCAAUAUUUAGAUGGGACAGAGGACUCAAUCAAUAAAGUACAAGUGACAUCUAAAAGAUGACGACUUUUACACUCAGCGACCCCAUUUUAUUGUGGUGUAUAUGGACAAGAGCGUUGUGAGACAAUUCCUUGUCUAGCAAAAAAUUUUUGAAUUCAUUUGACAUAUAUUCUUCACCAGAAUCAGAUCAUAAUAAUUUGAUACAAGUAGAAAAUUGAGUCUCUAUGUAAGCCAAAAAUAUCUUGAACAUGGAAAAUACUUCAGAUUUGGUACGAAGAAAAUACACCCACGUAAAUCGAUUAUAAUCAUCUAUGAAUGUCACAAAGUACUUGAAUUGAGCAUGAGAAACAAUUGAUGAAAUACCCCAAACAUCACUAUGAACAACAUCAAAACACUUUGUAGCACGACUACCCAAAUUAGGAAAAGGAAGAAUUUACUUUUGCCUAAUUUACAAGUAGAACAAUCAAAUGAAGCAGGGAAAAAUUGAUUUUUACUUCCUAAUAAACCAGAAUUUGAUAAAUAGGACAACACAAAAGAAUUUGGAUGUCCUAGACGCUUAUGCCAAAGCUCAAUCUUAUUAGCCACAGAAGUACAAGCAAAAGAUAUAACAGGAGGAAUGGAAAAUUGUAUAGGAAACAAUCUUCCAACUUUAGGCCCUUUUGCGAUUAUCGUCCCCAACACCUGAUCCUGCACGAGACGACCAUUACGAGAAAAAUUUAUAUCACAAUUGUCAACCAAUUGUCCAACUGAAAUAAGACUAGUUGAGAGCUUCAGUGAAACAAAAACAUUCUUGAAAGUUGGAGCAAUAUCCCCAACCUUGGUAAUGGGUAAAUUACUACCAUUAGCAACCUGUAUUUCUAAUGAACCUUGAUACUUACGAACAUAUUUUAGCAUGCUUGUUGAGUUGGUCAUAUGAUUGAUUGGAAGCACCAGAAUCAACAAUCCAAAAGUUAGAUUUAACAUCAAUACCUUGUAAUCCCAAUGCUAAAAAGGCUGAUACGAUCAUUUGUUGUACCAUUUCAGGAGUAACAACUUGUCCUGAAGGUCCUGAAUAUGAGUUCUCAAGAGUGGAACCAUUUAUUGCUGCAUAAAAAUUAUUUACCUUACGAUUCUGAGGGCGUGUGGGACACUCUUUGAUAAUGUGUCCUUGUUGUUUAGAAUAAUUACAAAACUUCUUGCCAUAAUUUCUAGCAAUAUGGCCAUAUUCCUUGCAAUUGUAGCAUUAAGUUCUAUUCAUAUCCCUACUCAUCCCUUUACCUUGAGCAGCAAAUGCAGCAGUGACAUCAUUUCCUCUUCUGAAAGCAUUUUGUGUGACAUAACGCUGCUCUUCACAAAGCAAUUGCCUAAAACAAACAUCUAGGGAGGGAGACGGUUCACGAUUCAUCAAGUUAGAGAGAACACUCUCAAGCUCAGAGCGUAACUUCAUCAAAAAUUGAUCUCAGUUUCUUUGCUCAUGAACUUCCUGAAUUAUAGAGAGAGAUUCGGAAGGUAUUUUGGCAUAGAAAAUAUCUAUAAAUUCAGCCCAUAAUUUCUAAAAUCCAGAAUAAUAAUCCUGAAUAGAAAGACCUCCUAGAGAGUAAUUAGCAAUUUCAUAUUCUAAGUGAAAGCGCCGGGCACUAUUAACUUGGUUAUAAACUUUUUGUAAAUAAUCCCACAUGGCCUUACCUGUCUUGUAAGGCCUGAGAUUAGAAAUAAUAAGAGGGUCAAUUGACCCUAAAAGCCAUGUCAUCACUCGAGCAUCUUUAAUCUUCCAUUCACUUAACUUUGUAGGAUCAGUAGGAGCAGGAUUGGCUCUAUCUAUAUGGCCCUAUAGUUCUUUUCCGGUGACAAAUAACUGAAACUGAAAUUCCCAUGACAAAAAUUUCUUUCUAGUGAAACGAACACUGAAUGAUUCAAACUGAUAUGAACUCAUAAUUAUGUAAACUAGAAAUACUAACUCAAAAAGAACAACCAAAAUGACCAAGAUCAAAUUCCUAGGUGUUAAUUGUCGAGGAACAAUCAACAAAAACCAAAAUUUUCAAAAUAAAUUUUGAAAGAAACCACAAAUGAACUCUAAGAAAAAAGACAGCCAAGAGAAGGCUUUGAUACCAUGUCAAUUUCCUGCUGAAUACCUCACAAUAUUGAGAGUCUUGUCAUUAAAUAGAAAAUAUUCAAUGAUUACAUCCCUAAAGAUCCGUCUUCCUAUCCCUAUGGAACAACUUUUCUAUCCCUCUAAAUCCACUAUUCUAUCCCACCAAAUUGCUCUUACUAAAGUCACUAUUAUUCUCUUUAACUACUAAUUAAAAUUUAUGUAAUUACACCAAUAUACAACAAUAUAUGAUUACAUUAAUAUACAAUAUUUACAUCAUACUAACAACUAUGCCAACUAAAUAGGCACCACUAAUAAUAUUUGAAUCAAAAAGUGAUAAUAUUGAAGGUAAAUAAUGCCCGCCAGCAACCAGCCCUCUCCGGUGGCUGGUCUACAUCUAUCUAAUACUGAGUUCCCACCAUUGCCCUCUAAUUUCAAUAGUAAUACUGGCCUAAUAACUCAAACCCUAGUUUGCACAAAAAGGUAUCAUUUGCAGAUUCUCUUAACCAAACGGAUCAACACACUUAUAAAAGUCUCUGUAAAGACUUUACCAUGGUUGGAGGUACCCCUCAGAUCAGAUAGAUGGAGGAAUAAGUCAAUAGAAUGAACCAAAUUCAAGAUCUUCAAUUUGCAGUCAUUGGUAAAUUUACAUAUGAAUAGAGUGAUUUAGAUGAAUUAAGGAGGCUUAUUCCUCAACAAUGUGAUGUUAAAGGCGGAUAUCAGAUUGGAUUGUUUCGGGGUAAAAAUAUUCUUAUUCACCUAAAAAAGCAGGAUGAUUUUAUUAAUCUUGUUUCGAAAGGAGCAUAUUACAUCAAUUGCAAAGACGGGUAUUCUUACCUAAUGCGUACAUUGAUAUAUGAUACUAGGUUUAAGGUUAAUGAGGAAACAUCGAUGUCCAUGGCAUGGAUCUUUUUUCCUAACCUUUUGCCUACCUUUUUGUGAAAGAAUGUUUAUUCUCUUUAGCUGCAGCUAUGGGCAAACCUUUACAACUAGAUCAGGCUACAAUUAAUAAGUCUAGACCUAGUUGUGCUCGUGUAAAGGUGCUAAUAGAUCUAAAGAAAGAUUUUCCUAAGGCAAUACAGAUGAACAUUGUGAAUGAAGCUACUGGGAGGUAAGAGCUAACAUGGUUUCUAUCAAAUACGACGAUGUCCCCAAGUAUUGUUGGGAAUGUAAGAUGCAGGGAACAGUAUGGAAGAGUAUCGAAUGAGUAAGGUAUCAAAGCAUAAGGAAGAAAAUAAAGCACAACAAUACAAUAAUGAACAUGGUGGUGAGAAAAGGUCAUAGGAAACUAUUCUUCCUUAUCUCCCACAAGUGCAUAAAUUUCAAAAAGGAAAGGCUAGAAUUCUCUCUAGCGGUAGAGUAGUUGGAGACCCUAGUCAAUGGAAUGUGGUAAAUGAUAAACGACAUAUUAACAAUCACACCACCAUACCAAUUAAGAAUAAGUUUGAUGGCCUUGUCCAAGAGGAGGAUGAUAAUGCAAGAGAUCACAUACAACAGGUGAUAAUUCCAAGGAUUUAAAUGCUACAAAAUGGAGUGAAGGGGAGAGGAUAUCAAUAAAAGAUUGGGUCGUAAAGUCAUUUGGACAGAUUCUACAACCUGAAACAUUAUUUGCAGGAGCACUUGAACAACAAAAAAGGGAAGAAACAUCAUCUGCAACAACUCUUGAACAACAUAACAGGGUAGAAACAUCAUCUGGAGCAACUUCUGAAGAACACAAAAGGGUAGAAACAUCAUAUGCAUCAGUUGUUAAACAACACAAAAUGGUAGAAGAUCAUCAAGUGGAGGAAACAGAAAAAAAGCUCAUGAACAUAAGGAUUGCGGAUACUGGUAAAGGUGAUAAAUCAUUAGUACCUUAUAGUCAACAUAGUGAACAUGAUAGACAAGAUGAGACCAGUACAAAAAUUCAAGAGUAUUCUGAUAUUAACAAUAAUAGUGAUGAUCAAAUGGUAGAAAGUAAUAAGAGGGCAGUAGUUUUAUUUUCUACAGAUGAGUCCCAAAUAGUGAUCUUGCAAAAAAAGUCCUCGAAUAAAGUUUUGCAUGAUAUCAUAUCUCAUAAUGUGGAUGAAAAAGAAUUGUUUGAAAUCGAAGUACCUGAGCAGGUAGAGGCUCUCAUGGAAGGAGAAGACACUAAAAAUGCAUUACUACACAUUACCAAAGAUGUUGAUUUAUCUCCAAAGGUCAUGAAAGCUGCUAGAAAAGGUAAAAAAACAAGUAGAUAAUGGAAGUGCUCAAAUUGUCAGAGUCCUGCCAAAAAGAAGUAGAUCAAUCUAUAAAAUAUGAAGUUAUUCAUUUGGAAUAUAAGAUCAGUGAAGUCACAACAAGCUUUUCAGAGGGUUCAAAUGCUACAUAAUUAUCACAAGUUUUCUUUUAUUGCUCUAAUGGAACCUUUUCAAGAUAGUAAAUUUAUCAACAAAUACAGAAGAAGAUUGCGCAUGCCAAUAGCUACUUCUAACUGUAAUGGAAAAAUAUGGGUCUUUAUAAACCAUGAUUUUGAUAUUAUAGUUAUUAGUAAUACAGAACAAUAGCUUAUUAUAAAGCUGAAACAUCAGAUUAUGCAUCAUAGUUUUUACGUCACUAUUGAUUAUGUUAAGUGCAGUACAGAUCAAAGAUUAGUUUUGUGGAAUAAUAUUUAUCAGGUGGAAAAUAAAAUGAUGGCCCUUGGUUAGUUGUGGGUGACUUUAAUGUGGUAAUGAAUGCAGAAGAGAAAAUAAGAGCUCUGUCUGUGGUAGAUACUGAUCAUGAAGACUUUGAAUGUUAUAUCUCAUCUUGUGACUUAAUAGAAGUUCCUUUCAAAGAGAGCCCCUUCACAUGGUGGAAUGGUAGAGCUGAUAAUGAUUGUAUUUUUGAGAGGUUGGACAGAUUUUUAUUAAUCAAGAGAUGCAGAACUGGUUCAAUAAUACUGAAGUUGAACAUUUACCAAGAACUGGAUCAGACCAUGCUCCAAUGUUGCUUACUUGUGAAGAAAAUGAUUCCAGGAAACCAUUCAGGUUCCUACAAUUUUGGACAGAGCAUAAAGACUUUAAGGAGAUUGUUAGACAUAAUUGGGUUACCAAUGAGUUUGGAAAUCCUUUUCUAGCUUUUAAGGAAAACAUCAAGAGGGUUAAGAAUGCUUUGACCAAAUAGAGCAAGGACACUUAUGGGGAUAUUUUUAAGAAAUUGAUCAUUAGAGAAGACAUUGUUAGAAUCAAAGAGAAUCUCUUUGAAGAAGUGCGAAAUACUAUCAGAGUUAUGUUGCAAAAGGUUCAAUCUGAAUUUAAAAGAUAUCUUCACUUUGAAGAGAUUUUUUGGCAACAAAAAGAUGGGUAUGAUUGUUUGAAAAUAGGGAUAGAAAUACAAGAUUCUUCCACAGCAUAGUAAAGGGAAUAAGGAAUAGACUUUAUCUAAAGAGAAUACAAAAUAGUUAGGGGACCUGGUUGGAAGAGAAAGGACAGAUAGCUACAUAAGCCAUUGAUUUUUACCAUACACAGUUCUCUCAAGAGAAAGAUUCCACUGAUUUUUCAUUAUUGAAGCACAUCCCUGAAUCUGUGACUCUUGAAGAAAACCUUUUGUUACGCAAAACCCCAUAGUUAGAGGAGGUUAAGAAGGCUGGUUUUUUCUUAAAUGGUGAUAGUGCUAGUGGACCUGAUUGUUUAAUAGGGAGAUUCUACCAGUGUUGUUGGGAUAUAGUUGGGAAUGAUAUCCUAACAAUGGUUCAUGAUUUUUUUCAAGGUAACUCUUUGCCAAAGUCUAUUACUCAUACUAAUUUGGUGCUUUUACCUAAGAAAGAAAAUGUUCAAUCUUUCUCAGAUUUAAGACCUAUUAGUUUGAGUAAUUUCAUCAAUAAAAUUCUUUCUAGAAUUAUUCAUGAUAGACUUGAGGCUUUGCUACCUAAUUUGAUCUUUUGUAAUCAAUCUGGUUUUGUAAAAGGUAGAAGCAUCAUCAAAAAUAUUUUAUUGACUCAAGAGAUUGUUAUGGAUGUCAGAAAGAGAGGUAAUCCUGCAAAUAUGAUACUUAAGUUUGACAUGACUAAAGCCUAUGACAGAGUUUCUUAGUUCUUUCUGAUGAAAGUUUUAAGAAAAAUGGGCUUCUCUCAUAUUUUUGUAGAUUUGAUUUGGAGAUUGGUAUCUAACAAUUGGUAUUCUGUGUUGAUUAAUGGGCAAGCUCAGGGUUUGUUUCAUUCAACUAGAGGUGUUAAGCAAUGAGAUCCUUUAUCUCCUACCCUUUUUAUUUUAUCGGCAGAGGUUUUAUCUAGAUCCUUGAAUGCUUUAUUUGAGGAUAUGCAGUUUGUGGGUUAUGGUCUUCCUAAGUAGAGUUCACAAUUGAAUCAUCUUGCAUAUGUAGAUGAUACUAUUAUUUUUGCUUCUGCUGACAAAUAUUCUUUGAAAAAGAUUGUGUCAACUUUACAUGAAUAUGAAGUUUAGUCUGGUCAGAAAAUUAAUAAAGAAAAGAGUUCUUUCUUUAUACAUCAGAGUGUUACUACAGAUUUAAAAAGAUUAGUGGAAGAAUGCACAGGUUUUUUCAGAGGUCAGUUUCCAUUCAAAUACCUUGGUCGUCCGAUCACUCAUGCUAGGAAAAGAAAAGAGCAUUACGUGGAGCUUAUUAGAAGGGCGAGAGACAAACUUCAUGAUUGGAAAAGUAACAUGUUGUCCUUCGGGGGAAAGGAAGUGUUAAUCACUAGUGUUUUACAAAGUACUCCAAUUCAUGUGUUAUCGGCGAUUGUUCCUCCUAAUUGUGUUUUGAAAGAGCUUCAUAGAAUUUUUGCAAAACUCUUUUGGAGUAAUAAAAUUUUAGGUAGGGGAAAGAAUGGUGCUUCUUGGGAUAAGGUUUGCUUACCUAAAAUUGAAGGUGGUUUGUGUUUUAAAUCUAUGGGUGAUAUAUCUCAAGCUAUGUUUGCCAAGCUUUGGUGGAAAUUCAGGACCCAAAAUUCAUUAUGGGCUAAUUUCAUAUGGAACAAGUACUGCAAAAAACAAAUUCCCACUCUUUUACAAUGGAAAGGUGGUUCUCAAUUAUGGAAACACAUGCUACAAAAUAGAGAGAUUGUUGAGCAGAAUUUGUGGUGGGAACCAAGAGGAGGUUCAUCUAGCAUUUGGUUUGAUAAUUGGACUAAUCAUGGUCCAUUAUAUGUUCAACCUACUGAAGUUCUAGGAUGUCAUUCUCUGACAGAUAUUGAUAUGUUCUUGACAGAAAAUGGUUGGGAUUUUGAACUCAUGCAAUAACAUUUGCCUAGUAAUACUGUUGAACAUGUUAGGAUGAAUAUGGGCAAUGUUAGAUAGACUAGAGAAAUGGAUAAACCUUGGUGGAUAAAGAAUAGUACUGGGAAGUUCACUAUCAAAUCUGUUUGGGAAAUUUUAAGAAAGAAAUCUGCUCCUAAUAAUGAUUUUAUGAUGUUGUGGGUGAAGGGGAUUCCUUUCAAAAUUUCUUUUUUUGGAUGGAGGGUAUGGACAUAUAGGGUUCCUGUGGCUACUGUCAUGGCUGCCUGGAAUCCUACCAUUUCCCAAAUGUGUUAGUGUUGUAGAAUUUCCAUCAGGGAAAUCAUAGAGCACCUAUUCUUGAUAGGAGCAGAAGCUAUUUUUAUAUGGGGUUAUUAUUCUAGAUGUGCUGGUCUCUUUGGCCCUUGGGUACAAGUUAAACAGACUAUGAAGAAAUGGUGGGUUGUUCAAGGUAAUAUUAGAUAGAAAAUAAUCUUUCAGGCACUUCCUAACAUCAUCCUAUGGUUUCUAUGGAAGAGGAGGAAUACAAUUCUUCAUAGUGGUCCAUACUCUAGAAAUAAGGUUUUAUGGGAUAUUAAUGAUUCUAUCUGAAAAUUUAUUAGGUUAAAGUUCAAUUUAUCUUUUCCUAAUAAUUGGCCCCAAAUGGUUUCUCUGUUGGAAAUUAUAGACCUAAUUUUCAUUGUAAAGUUGUUAGGUGGAUGGCUCCUCCUUUUCGUUGGUUAAAAUGUAAUACUGAUGGUGUCUCUAAAGGUAACCCAGGUCCCAGUGCUGCUGCUUUUUGUUUGAUAAAUCAUGAAGGAGAAUUUAUGGGAGCUAACGGUUUUCAGAUUGCUGAUACAACUAACCUAGUGGCUGAGGCUAGAGCUAUAAGGGAAGGGCUCCGAUACUGUUUAGAUAAUCAGCUCACCAACAUUAUCCUGCAAUCUGACUCUUUGGCUAUGGUUAACAUUAUCAAUGGAAAUUGGGAGAUUCCUUGGACUAUUUCUAUAGAGGUCAAGACUAUUAACAGGAUAAAAAAUGGCCUAUCAGUGAGAGUACAACACUCCUUAAGAGAGGGAAAUACUCUUGCUGAUUUUUUUGCUAACUUAGUUUUUAGUUCUGCAGGUACAUAUUAAUUCAGCUCAAUUCAGGAAGUCCCAAGUGCAGGGAAAAAGAUUAUUAAUCUUGACAAGACCAACACUCCAAUCUUAAGAAUCAGGAAAAUAAAUAUAUCAAGCAAUUCCAACUGAUAAGUUCAAAUCUUAAGUUUUACUGUACAUGUUUCAUUACUGAGAUAUAAGUAAGGCCACUAGUGAAUUUUUGAAUAGUUGAUUGGGAAGACUGAAGCAAUUUCUAGUGGUUAACAGUACCUGCACCUGGUGAGAGCAUUGAGGUGUUCAUUGGGUACUAAACCAGGACUUAACAACAUCAUUCAUAUUCUUCAUCGUAGCCCAAGAUUGUUUCACUCAGAUACAGUGUUUCAAGUAUAACACUGUUGGGGUGAUAAUCAAUUUUAGUAUCUUGACUUCAUAUGGUGGUAUUAAUUCCUUUGGAAUUCAAUCCAUAGAAGGAAAGGUAAUGAAAUCAAAAAUUACUUCGAAAGGUGUUAGAUGUACCUGAGCUCCUAAGUUGAUGUGAUUCAUUUCAACUUCUAGAUAUAAGUUAGAGAUCCUAAUCUUGACUUCAUGCACCAGUAGAGAAAUUGAGUUAAAGUCAAGAAACGAGCUAAUAUGGGGGGUUCCAACUACUUGAGAAAUUGAAGAUGAUUUACCUUUUCAUUGAUUAUUUGAGGCGCAUCAUUCAUCUAGAUUAUGAAUAACGUGGGAGUAAUCUUAUAGCAAACAAUCAGAACCCAUUCCUUUUUCAGUAGAAUUUUGACCCAGAUUAUGAAGUUGAAGCUUCUACAGAGGCUUUACAUGUUCCACUUUCCUAAAUGUUUAUUUAAUUCUUUUGUUUCAUUUAAGCUUUGUUCUAGGACCGGGUCAACAGCUUUGGGCUGACUUUUAUUAUAUCUUUUCAUUAAUAAAUGUGGUCCAUUUGGGCUUUUUGAUUAAAAAGAAUGAAUCAAUAUUCAAUAUUCCUUCUUUAUUCAAAAUUACAAACUCCAUGUUUCUGCCAGAAAUUAUCAGUGCUUGGCUUGUACUACAGAACUUAAUCUCUAUAUCACCUUUUGUUGCGUGAUCAUGAAUGAAAUGAUAACGGAUAUCGAUGUGCUUUAUUCUUCUAUGAAGAAGAAGAUGAAGACGAAGAAGAAGAAGAGCUGCUGAAAAAGGAAAACAAGUGUCUGAACAAGGAAAACUAGAAUACUACGUUGACUAUGAUGCUGAUCAUCUGGAUGUCGUGAUUUUAAGAUCAAUCUUGGAUUUCAACUGGUGCUAUGGGGAUUUUCCAUAUCCAUCCUAACUUAAUCUCAUCUAUCAGAUCAUGAAUGCAAUCCUCGAUUUGCAAAUCACCAUAGAGGAAUUAAGGUAAAAGAUUUACUUGCAUAUAAGGAAAAUCUCAAUAAAGUUAGGGAACUGGAAGGCGAUAACCCCAAGAUGGACCGACCUAUUCAUCAGGAUUUUUUCGAGUUGUGUAUGCGAUUAUGGGGUAAUUAGCCGGAAGAUGAUGGUGAUGACUGGAGAUGGAGAUAUAUAGCUUGAAAUACUAAUUUUCAGACUCACUGCAGUAUAAAGUUUACAGCAGCAUUAGGAUUUUCUGGCUAAAAGUUCUUCUACGCAUUAGCAGGUUGAUUUUGUGAGUGAAUCUGAUGUAUGGGCUAUUCUUGUUAACCUGUUUAACAUAUCUUGUUAAGUAUUCACUUUGAUGAUGCCAAAAGAGGGAAGAAUUAGGUGUAGCUGUGUUGUGAUAGUGUGUGUGUGGUGUAGCAGUGGCUGUUAGUAUGAGGUGCAGUGUGUAAUGUGGCUGUGUAUUUUGUUAAUAUGUGGUAUGAAGAGGGAACAGGCUAGUGAAUGAAGAUAGGGUCCUCACACUCAGGGGAACCUUAGGUACAACAGGUGGAGAUAAAUGCUUGAGGGCAUGUGUUAUAAGUCCUUAGUUUUAAUGAUUGAUAAAUUGCAUGUUGGGACCUGAUUCUUGAAGACUGUACAACAACAACAACAACAACAACAACAACAAACCCAGUGUAUUCCCACCUAGUGGGGUCUGGGGGGGGGGGUAAGAUAUACGCAGUCCAUACCUCUACCUCUGAUGAAGUAGAAAGGCUAUUUCCGAUAGACCCCCGGCUCAAGGUACGAGAUACCACACAAACACAUAGUAAAACACAGAAGCAGGUUACAUAACAUAAAUACGGCACCCAUAAGUAUGAUGAAAAAAUUGCAGAUUACUUGGGGAACAGGUUGCGGUGACACAUCACUGUCACAGUUAACCUCACAGUUGGACGAAAGUACAAAAAGUUGGUGGAAAGCUGCUGCAACCUUUUUUUCUCAGUCAAUGGGAUUCUUCCUAGGUUUUCUUGUGUCAUACAUAUAUUUCUCAUUUUCCACAACAAUAAAUCCAAGCUUCUAUAUACUUACAACAUAUUUCUCUCUUAAAGCUCUUGGAUCAAAGACUCACUUUUGUAACAGGGAACUGAUAGCUCAUAAAGUUGUAAUUUACUUUCUUGUUAUAUUUGAGUCUUUGUAUUGUGAUCUUAAAUGUCACCUACUGCUUCUUGCAUGAUUAUUAGUAGGCAUUGUGGUGUAAAUCUCAUUUCACUAUAAUCAUCUAGAGUUAGGUUAUUUUCAAGAUAGAGUUAGCUUGGAUGGUGUGUGGUGCAGCAGAGUUACUGUGAGAUUCUCCUUGUAAUACAGUUAUUACUAGGAGAAGAAGGAUUAGGAGUUUAAUCCUUGAAAUUUGGAGUCUGUGUUCAAGUUUGCUUAGAUAUAGUAGAGCUUUAGAAAUUCUAGAGGAAAGUCCUGUUUUUUCUUCCUUGAGCAAGGAGUUUCCACGUAAAAUUGUUGUACCUGCCAUUUACUUUCUCCACUCACUUUAUUAUUAAGCUUUCUCCAAGUUCUUGCUCGUUGAGUCUGUUUGGGAUCAGGUCCCAAAGUUGAGGAGCAACCCACUACAACUCUUCAUACCUUUUCUUCCAUUUAUAGAAAAAAAAGAUGGAGUAUCGUUAGUUAGUAUGUCAAUUUGAAAACAAAGAGCACGAUGCAGUCUAUGAGAAUGUGAGAAACUGGAGCUUCUGAUCCAUUUAUUCUGAUAUGCAAUCCAUGGUUGGUAUAUAUUACAUGUAUAAUAUGUUACAAAACCUUUAAAAUAGAUAAUCAGAUCAUCAUGGUGUGGUUUGCCUGUAUUUUCUGUUUGACUAUAGUUUUCAGUUCACCUGAAAUUUGUGUAAUAUUGGAUCACAGAUCAUGAAAGGUUAUUUCGAUAUGAAUUCUGAAAAUUUUUCACUUUCCGCUUUAGUUUGAUAUCUUCUCUUUAACUUAAUUACAGAAUCAGAGAUGCUAAUUCUUCUGAUGAAGGCAAAAAAAAUAGAUAGAUAUGCAGUGUAUUUUGAAAUGUACAAGAAGAUAGUACUAGCUAUCAUAUUGAUGAAACUCUUAAGCCCUAGAAAUGAUGAGCAACACCACCUAAUGAUAGAUGUAGCAUAUAAUCUAUGAGUCUAACUGUACUCGAUAUAUAUUUGAAAAAUCCUCGGAGAUGAAUUAACGAGGAUUUGAAGAUGAAGUUUGUCUAAUGUGCUAUGCACUAUGCCUCUGGUAUAGAUGAAAUGAUUAUCAUAUCCAAAUUAUAAAGCUAUGACACAAUCAAAUCCGAGCAAAUAAAAUAUUGAAUUGGAUCGAACCAAUUUCUGCCGGAAGUUACCAGAAGUAGUCUGCUGAGCACUUUUCAGUUCAAGAUUAAUGGGAUCAGAAAACAUACAUGGACUAUAUAUUUUUCUUCAACAACUUAGUAAUAUGUUCGAUAACGAACUUUUAACUCGGUGUCUAGUCUAUAUUAGAAUUGUUACACCCUUGAAGUUUUGAUGAUCCGCAAACUAUUCCACAAGGGACCUGCUAGAUGACAUACUACGUGUCCAUGGGACUUGGUCUCGUUCACAGUGCUCCUUGACAUACAUUGUUUGGCUACAGCUGGAAGUUAUACUUUCUUAUAAAAAGUUGGUGGCGCGGCAGUAGAGGAGCUGAACCUUGACCAAUAGCAAGAUGCCUAGGUUUUGUUGCUCACAACCAAUAACAAGGAUCAUUUACUCACAACAAUACCUUGUUUUUGCUUGCAAAAAGUUGAACUUUUAAGAAAUAAAAGCCACUCAUGAAUACAGCUCAUUCAGGGGACCUGAUAACUCAUUCAUCUUAAGUCUAGUGUGUGUGUUGUAUUACUGAUUCAAUUGAUCUUAUAUUAUAAAUCUACUCAUGAUUACAAAGGAUAGUAGAUGUGUCACUUGUCUAAGUCUUAGUUCAAGUUGAAGCAACUAGAGUUGGUUGUUCGAGUUGUUUGUAAGUUGGUUAAGUAUUUGUUCCUCUCAUUCACAAUUUGUGUCCCUGGUAGAGUUACCUAAGAUGUGUGAGUAGAUUUAGUCAGUUGUAAGUAUGUUAGGCUUACCACACUUUUCUUGUGAUAGAGCUAUUACAAGAGUUAGUUGGAAAUACUGAUGGCAGGUCGUGGUUUUUAGUUCCCUUGAGCAAGGAAGCUUCCAUGUAAAAACUUUUGUGUUCUUUACUUCUAAUGCAUUGUCUCUUCUUUAUUUAUUUUGCACUGCAUUCAUAGAUCAGGGACCAGGUCCUGUUGUGUUAGGUGGACUCAUAUUGUUGAAGUAUGAAGAAAAGAGUGGAGAAGGAUCUAGAAGAAGCAAUAAUAGACUAGUUGUUUUUCUAUUAUAACUAUUUUUAGUUAGUCACACUAGUGCUAAUGGCUAGUUAGUUAGUUAGGUAGCCUAAUCUCUAGCCAAUAAAUGUAUAUGACUAUACACAUUGAAGAACAAUGAAUACAAGCAGUUACUCUUCUCUCUCAUUUUCUUGCUCUUUCAGUUCUCUUCCUUCCUCUCUUCUACAAAUGCUAUCAAAAUCUGUACUUCCUCUAUUGUUGAAUAAACAAGAAGCUUACUGAUAUCUUGUAUAAUUACAUGGUAUCAAAGCCAUUAAUCACUAGAAAACUAGUAGAUCAAGGUCGAUUCUAGUGCAUUGAAUCAAGAUCAAUAAGUCUUGAAUUAAGGUUUACAAAUCUGCAAUAAUGGUGAAUCCAAAUGCGGAUGUUGAUGGUGCUGAAGCAUCUAGAGUUACUCCCAGUUCAUUGGCCUACAAUCAUCCUCUCUUUCUCAGCCCUUCUGAUGUAAGUGGCAUACAAAUCAUCUCUUUUCAAUUAAUAGGAGUUGAGAACUUCUCAAUCUGGUUUAGAUCCAUACGUAUAGAUUUAUUAGGGAGAAAUAAGUUGGGCAUGGUAGAUGGAACAUGUUCUAAAGAUAAGUACUAAAAUGAGUUGAGUAGUCACUGGGAAAGAAUCUAUGCAAUUGUACUUUCUUGAAUCAUGAAUUCAGUUUCUAAAGAGUUACUUGGUGGAAUCAUGUAUACAUCUUUGGCUAGUGUAGUUUGGAAUGAGCUAUCUGAAAGAUUUAACAAAGUUGAUGGGGGAAAGAACCUUUAAUCUGCACAAAAAAAUAUCCACAUUGUCUCAAGUAACUGCUUCAGUGUCUGUGUAUUUCUCAAAACUAAAGGAUUUACGGGAAGAGUUUGAGGCUUUUGUGCCUGCACCAGGGUGUGAAUGUGAGAAAUCAAAAGAAUAUGUACUGCAUCUGCAGAAACUGAAACUGUUUUAGUUUCUUAUAGGUCUGAAUGAGACCUACACACAAGCAAGGAGUCAAAUCUUGCUUAUGACUCCUUUCCCAAAUAUGAACCAAGCUUAGGCAAUGAUCAUAAGUGAUGAAAGUCACAAAUCUGUUGCAAGUCAGGAUGGAAUCUUGGGAAUGAAUCUUGCAGUUAAUGCCAAGAACCUUGAGAUAGACAUGUAUGCAAGAAAUGGUUUAGGUGGAAAUAACAAUCAGAAGUUCAAGAAAAAAUUCAAUCUACAAUGUAAUUUCUGCAAACUGAAGGGGCACAAACUGCUGGAAGUUGGUUGGAUAUCCUCAAGAUUACAAAGAUAAGAAGAAGUUCAAACAUGAAGGAACCAACUCAGCUUGCAAUAUGUCUGUGGGUCUUCAUGAGUGUGCAAUGGAUCAAAAUGGUUAUGAUCUGUGUGCAGGUCAGUACUCUCAUUCUAAGUCUAUGUAGAAUUGGGCUACUAAAGAUGCAGGGCAGGCUCCAGUAUAUGACAACUCUAUAGGUUCUUACAAAUGUCUCAUCUUAAGGGGUUCCUAACUCAAUCAAAUAGCAAGAGCAGCUGCAACCAAGUGUGCCUAUUAUAAGACAACCCAUAACCAAAGUGCAUCAAAGGAGAUCAAAUAGAGGUCAAGGAGUUUUUCAGAAAAACCAACAACUGUAGAGUGUUUCUACUACAACAGAAGUUGUAGUUCAACCUUGUUCAUCUUAGGAUCAAAGGAAGUCCACUAGAGAAAGAAAAUCACGAGCAUGGAUGAAUGAUUUUGUUUCCAAAAACACAAGGAAGGUACCUCAUGCUCUUGCUAAUCAUGUAUCAUAUAACAAACUGUCCCAUCCCUAUAAUAACAAUGUGCUGAAAACAUCAUGUGUGGCUGAACCUACAAGUUACUCUGAGGCCUGUAAAGAUCCAAGAUAGGUGGAAAUAAUGAAGACUUAAAUAAAUGCCUUGAAUUCCAAUCACUCUUGGGAAAUUGUUCCUUUGCCUAGAGGAAAGAAAGUUAUUAGUUGCAGGUGGAUUUAUAAAGUGAAAUACAAAGCUUCAAGAGAAGUUAAGAGGUUUAAAUCUAGACUGGUAGCAAAGGGAUAUGAACAAAGAGAGGGGAUUGAUUAUAAAGAAACAUUCUCACCUAUUGUGAAGAUGAAGACAGUGAGAACUGUUCUUGCUGCCGCAGCUAAAAAACACUGGCGUGUUCAACAAAUGGAUGUCUACAAUGCAUUCCUAAAUGGAGAUCUAGAUGAUGAAGUAUACAUGGAUCUACCUCAGUGAUACGAAACAAACAAGGAAACACGAAAUCACACCCCAAAACAGUCCAAAAAUUACAACAAAUCAUGGACCAAAUAGGGACCUCUCUUGGAUUCACUAUCUAGAACAAGAAAGAAGAGGAUACAAGGUGUUAAUACACCAAAACAGCUAGCCAAAAACAAGUUUAGCAACACAAUAUAAAGCUGCACAAUAUUACAAUAGCAACAAGAACAAACGGGUUACAUUAACAGAGCAAGAAGCCGAAACACAAACAAGAUACAAGAUAGAUAGUUAGACAAGUUUUGAUGUAUUCUUAACAACCCAAGAGCAUAUUCCACUCUUGGACCUUUAACACUUCACACAAAAAACACCUAACACUUACAAUUGACAAAAGAGAGGCGUCCACCACCCAAGCACCAACGUAUCAAGCAAAAUGCAACACAAAAGAGAAUCCACCCUUAUGCUAUGCCCUAGUUUCGGUUAUGGACUCUCUCUCUCUAAGAAGAGUGUUCUUUCUUCAACAUUCAUAAAAACUACCAACUAAAACCCUACAAUGUUAAAUUUAUAUUACAUUACAAAAUAAAAGACAAAAGACUAAAAGACCUUUUAAUGAAAAGGGCUCCAAAAAUAGCCCAUGGAGUGUGCUUGGGACGGUUUUGGGCCUCCUUCACACUUAGACUUGUGCACUCUUUAGGUGGUCUUCAAAUUACUCAAAAAGUGUACAUGAUCAUGAUCAUACUUGUAUUACUUAUAGAUUGUCUAGUCAGGGGGAGCAUACAGUGUGUAGACUACUCAAAUUCCUUUAUUGUCUCAAAUAAGCACCAAGACAAUGGAACACCAAGCUAUCAGAGGUUUUGAUAAGGUCUUAGUUUAUUCAGAGCAAAUAUGAUCCAUCCUUGUAUAUCAAAAAGACAAAAGAAGGAAUCAUUCUUGUGCUAGUGUAUGUUGAUGACAUGUUGAUGACUGGAGAUAGUCUAAAGCUAAUAGAAAAGACCAAGACAACGUUGCAUCAAAACUUCAAGAUGAAGAAUUUAGGUGAGCUAAGAUAUUUCCUUGGAAUAGAGUUUGGAAGGUCUGAUAAAAGGAUAUUGAUGCAUCAAAUAAAAUAUGUAUUGGAGUUACUACGUGAACUAGGCUUGACAGCAGCCAAGUCUGCAGCUGCUCCUAUGGACUACAACACCAACCUGACAUCUAGAGAGUUUAAUGAGAAUGUCAAGCAAAACCAGUCUGCUGAUGAUCCACCAGCAAACCAAGAAGCUUAUCAAAAGUUGAUUGGAAAAUUGUUGUACUUAACUAUGACAAGGCCAGAUAUAGCCUUUUGUGUUCAAACUCUAAGUCAAUUCCUUCUGUUAGGGUUUUUGCACUGAUUUUGUUACUAAAAUUAAAUUUUACUUUUUCUUGGAGGAAAAUAAAAGUUACCAUAAUUACUUUUAUUUUUUCUAAAAGGAAAAUAUAAAACUUUUCCAUAUUUGACAAACCUCUUUCAUGGAGGAAAGAUUUGGACAUCUAUAAAUAGAAGACCUCCCUUUUCAUAGCAAUAACACAAUAGCAUCCACAAUGUAGUACUUAAAAGAGUCUUGUUUAGGGGAAACUUCUCCAUUGUUUUUAUGUUUUUUAAUAAUAUUAGUUUUUAAUAUGUAGUCCAAUUGGCCAAACUAUAUUCAAUAAUAUAUUUUUAGUAUAUUUUUAUUUGUCAUCUGAAUUAUCACCGUCUUGGUUUGCAAACUUUAAGUUUACAUGACGCCCUCUCGAUUUCGAACCCAACAAGUGGUAUCAGAGCCCACAGUUCAAUUAAUCGAUGGUCCAAUUGUUGAACAAAGUUGCAAUCAAUUUGAUGAUAAUGAAGAUAUAUGUCCAAAUGCUACAUGUGGAGAGCAAGUUUCAACCAUAUUUUCAACACUCCUACUGCUGCAUCUUUAAAAAUAAAAAUAAAAAUAAAAAAUUACUUUUAAACCAAUUUUUAACCAUGAUAUUUUAAACCUUAUUUUUAACCAUGGCAAGCAGCAGUUAUGAAGAUUAUAUCAAGAACAAAAUUCAUGCAUGUGAUGUGAAAAAGGCGGAUCAAGUGAAGAAAAUCAAGCCAAAAAAGGGGAGAUUUGUUAGGGUCUUUGCCCUGAUUUUCUUACUAAAAUUAAGUUUUACUUUUUCUUGAAGGAAAAUAAAAGUUACCAUAAUUACUUUUAUUUUUUCUUAAAGAAAAAUAUAAAACUUUUCCAUAUUUGGCAAACCUCUUCCUUGAAGGAAAGAUUUUGGACAUAUAUAAAUAGAAAACCUCCCUUCUCAUACCAAUAACACAAUAGCAUCCACAAUGUAGUCCUUAAAAGAGUCUUGUUUAGGGGAGACUUCCCUAUUGUUUUCAUGUUUUUUAAUAAUAUUAGUUUUUAAUAUGUAGGCUAAUUGGACAAACUAUAUUCAAUAAUAUAUUUUUAGUAUAUUUUUAUUUGUCAUAUGAAUUAUCACCAUCUUGGUUUGCAAACUUUAAGCUUCCAUAUGACGCUCUCUCGAUUUCGAACCCAACACCUUCAAGAUCCUAAGAAGUCUCACAUGGAAGCAACACUUAUGGUUGUGAAGUAUGUUAAAAACCAUCCAAGUCAAGGUGUGCUACUGUCUAGUAAUGCAGAUGACAGAGUAAGUGCCUAUUGUGAUGCAGACUGGGCAUCAUGUCCUCAGACUAGAAGGUCUAUAACAGGCUACUUUGUGAAGGUUGGAGAAUCAUUAGUUUCCUAGAAAUCAAAGAAGCAAACUAAUGUCUCCAAGAGUUCAGCAGAAGCAGUGUUUAGAAGUCUUGCAGCAGUCACAACAGAGUUGGUUUGGAUCCUAGGCUUGAUGAAAGAAAUUGGGAAUGAAGUAGUUCUACCAGUAGAUGUGUUCAGUGAUAUCAAAUCUGCUCUGCAAAUAGCAGCAAAUUCAAUAUACCAUGAGAUAACAAAGAAUAUUGACAUUGACUCCUUCUUUAUAGGGAAAAACUUGUGAAAGAAAUGAUUAGAACUCACUAAAUUGCAACCCAAGAUCAACCUGUAGACAUGCUAACUAAGGGAAUGACAAGAGCACAACAAGUUCAUCUCAAUGCCAAGCUAGGGAUCAGUGACAUCUUCACACCUUCCUAGCUUUAGGGGGAGUGUUGAAGUAUGAAGAAAAGAGUAGAGAAGGAUCUAGAAGAAGCAAUAAUAGACUAGUUGCUUUUCUGUUAUAACUAUUUUUAGUUAGUUACACUAGUGCUAACGGCUAGUUAGUUAGUUAGUUAUCCUAAUCUCUAGUCUACAAAUGUAUAUGACUAUACACAUUGAAGAACAAUGAAUACAAGCAGUUACUCUUCACUCUCAUCUUCUUCCUCUCUCAGUUCUCUUCCUUCCUCUCUUAUACAAACACUAUCCAACUCUGUACUUCCUCCAUUGUUGAAUAAACAAGAAGCUUACUGCUAUCUUGUAUAAUUACACAUAUACUCCAUCAAGAAUGUACGCUAUGCUUGAGGACAUUCCUAUAUGUUGUAGCUUUUCCAUAAAAGCCAAGUUUUACCUUCCAUAAAUCACGACAGAUCAGUACAGGCCUUACUCGAAAGGUCAUUUAAUGUCUGGUCAACAAACUAAUCUAGUGUGAACACUAUACAUAGAAUUCUGGACAGUAAUUUACAGUGAGAUUUAGUACAAUUACUAUUUUACUGAUUUAAGAGAAAUGAAUUGGCUAUAAAUAUAGCAAGAGAAAGAACCAUCUCCGCGUACUCAGAAAAAAUUCUUCUUUCUUUCUUGCUUUCUUUCUUUCCUUCUUUCUUUCUUUCUUUUUUAUUUCUUUAUCAGCUCCAACAUUUUCACAAAGAAUUACCAUGCCUAAAAUGCUAACUGAACUUGCAAAAGUAACAGGAAAAAGAAAGCUCCCAGCAUCUGAAAUGUAUCAAUCGAAGCGUGUGUUUGCGAAAAUUGAAGAAAAAGGAAAGCAUCUGAUGUAUGAAUCAUAUGAAUUGAAGCCAAUUAAUGUGCCUACAUUUUCCAAUCUUGAAAGAGGAGGAACAUCUGAAAGUAAACUGGAAAAAGAGGACGAUUAGGAUUAUGAUCAUGACUUAUCAAUCUUGAAGGCUAUCUAUCACUACUAUUUCAAUCGUUGGGUAAUUCCACAUCCUCCUUAUUCAAAGAACUUCAUCGACUACAUCGAGGCUUCAGUUCCCAACGUGAAAUUUCGUGGUCAGGCAUUGGCGAAAAAGAUUGUUAUGUUAGAGCACCAUUUCUUAAAGGUUAUGAAAAUGGCUGCACAUGUAGGAUAUUACCCCAAAAUAAUCCACCCUAUUUGCCGCGAAAUUUUCAACUUGUCUUUGGGUUUAUGGGUAUACUUUCGGAGACUAUUAUCCAGUUGGCGAAGAUCAAGAUGAAACUGGAGUUGUUGAUGCAUUCAUGAUUUACAAGGUCGAUGUCUUCAUUGUGGCAUUUUAAAUUAUUUCUGGGAGCAUUAGUUUAAAGUUUUUAAUUUUAUUUCACUAAACUGAAUCUAGCUGUUUGUGUGAAUUAUUAAUUUGGAUAUUGGUUUGCUCAAAAUUUUCAGUUCCGCUCAAAGUUUGAUUUGAUAUAAAAUGUUUCCUUUUCCAAGUUUGAUAUCUUGUCUUCAACUUAUAGAAUCAGAUAUGUUAAUUGUUCCUCUCUUCUUUCGAGGAAGGAAAAGAAUAAUGAUGAAAUGACAUAAUUUAACAUAGAAAGUUAGCAAAGUCAAGUGAACGUCAUCAUUUGUCCAAAUGGGGGAAUCAGUAGCUACGGUUAACUUGAUUAUAUCGCUAGAUUAAGUGAAGUGUUAUACUGAAUCUCUCAUCUCACUUAUUUAUGUAAAUUUCUUAUUAGAUUAUGGUGAAUUAAUUAAGGAUGAAAUUAAAUUGAAUGAACAAUUAUGAUUAGAUUAUGGUGAAUUAAUUAAGGAUGGAAUCAAGUUGAAUGAGCAAUUACAUAGGUUAUAAAUGCUAAGCGGUUCUUUUUGUUGUUUCGGGUACACAAUCUGUAUGUUACUUCGCAUAAACUUCAACUAAGUUCAAGAACAAACUAAUUUCCAAACUAAUAAUCCAUGUAAGUGUAGCAACUAGGUUCAGCUUAGUGAAAUAAUAUUGAGAAAUUUAAACUAUUGCUCCAAGAAAUUAUUUAAAAUGCUGCUAGGAAGAUUUCAACCUUGAAAUCAAAGAAUGGAUUAACAACUCUAAUUUCCAAUUUCAUCUUCCUGUUCAUCAACUAAUAAUAAUCUCCGAAAUUAAUCCCAUAAAGCCAUACACAAGAAGAAGAUCUGCUGAGAAAUAGGGUAGAUUAUCUCUGGGUAAUAUCCUGUACGUGCUUCCAUAUUCAUAACAGUUAAGAAAUGUUGCUCUAAUGUAAUGAUCUUAGUUGCCAAUGCUUGGCCACGACAUUUCAAGUUGGGAACUGAAGUUUCGAUGUAAUCAAUAAAUUUCUCUGAAUAAGGAGGAUAUGGAACUACCCCAUGAUUAGAGUGUUAAUGAUAGACUUCAAGAUUGCUAAAUCUUGAUUAUAGUCAUAGUCAUCUUUUUUUUUCAAUUCAUUUUCUGAUGUUCCUCCUGGUUCAAUACGUAAACAGGACUUUUAACUUGAUACUUAAUUAUAACUAUGACCUUUUUUAAUCAAUCCAAGAGGAAUCGAUUUAGCAGUCUAUACAAAAUCUGAACAAAAAAACACUCCAAUCCUACCUGAAAAAAUUCGAGUAUACAUUCAAAACCAUGCGCGUCAGAGUUAAAAUUGAAGUGUUUUUUUUGUUCAACUUUUAUAUAGUUAAAAGGCCUACUUGUGUACUGGCAAAGUUAAAGGUCAUAGUUAUAAUGCGUAUUUUUUAUUAGGUGGCGGCAUCUAAGUAGAUCAGUAAUCCACGUUGGAGCGAUUGAGUUUCACGCAUGUAAGUUGCAGAAUUGGAGUAUUUUUUUUGUUCAACUUUUACAUAGUUAAAGGGUUUAUUUGUGCACUGACAAAAUUAAAGGACAUAGUUAUAAUUUGGUGUCAAGUUAAAAAUCCUGUUUAUGUAUUAUGCCUAACUAAAAUACUGUACUUCACUUCAGAUUAUUAUUCUACAAUGUCAAUUAAUGAAUGGAUUAUGGAGAAGUAAUUAAGGAUGUAAACAGUGAAUUUGAAAUAACUUCAGCGUAAUCAAAAUUAGUCUUACAAGGAGAAAUGGUCAACAAUGAUAUAAAGUCAUUCCUAUCUUAAUACUCGCUCCAUUUCAAAAUAGUUGUCAUGUUUCAUUUUUUGAAAGUCAAGUUGACUAAUUUUCAAAAGAUAAGGCACAAAUAACCCUUUCCCUCUCCCCUAAAAAACACUAUAUUUAAAAUCUUAGCGACACACCUAAACUUUACGGGGGGUUCCUAUUACUCCCUAAACUCAUUUAAUUGUACUUUUGUACUCUCUUUGUUCUCACGAGCUGUCAAGUCAAAAACAAAAUGAACAUAAAAUAUUUUGCUACUUGGCAGCCACGCCAGCACAAAAGGAGUAAAGUUUAGGUAUGUCACUUGAAUUUCGGGUAUAGUUUGAAAGAUAGUUGUGCCUUAUCCCAAUUGUCGAAGCUAAAUCAUUUUAUCUUAACACAAAAUUUUAAAAUUAAAUUUAGAUAUUCAAAAAUUAAAUAUAUAUUACACUUUUUCUCAUAUCAAUAUGAUGAAAAGUAAAUCUUAAAACAUUGAUAAAAAAUUAUAUCAUCUGUCUCUCAAAAAGAAAACUGUGACAAGUAAAAAGAAACGACGAAAAGAUUACUAUAUGUUUCUCAUAAUAUCUCUCUUGACAAAGAUUUCAUAGAAACAUUAAAUAAGACCUCCUAUACAUGUUUUAUAAUAAAUGUAAAUUAUGUUAUUAAAUAAUUAUUAAGUCAUGUCAAUACCUGGUGUUUUCUUGAUAAGUUGAAAACCUCAGUUUCACAGUGUUACGUUACUGCAUUAUUCUCUAGAUCUAGUUUUUCUGAAGGUAGCAUUUGGAUCUUUGUAAAUGUUGGAAUCGAUAAAGAAAGAAAAAAAUAAAGAACUUUUACUUUCUUUGGAACGAACGGAAGAUGAUGAGAUUAUCCUUCUUUUGCUAGAAUUUAUAACUUGAUCAUAUCACUAGAAUAAUUAAAGUGUUAUACUAAAUCUCACAUCAUAUUAUCACUCAUUUAUAUCAAAUUAUGAUUUGAUUAUGGUGAAUUAACUGAGGAUGGAAUCAAUGAAGUUGAAUGAACAGUUACAUGACCAAAUGUUCAAAUCUUAACAGAGGCUAUGGAAAUACUGGUUUACAAGUUGUUUCCAGUUUGAGUAGUGAUCUUGGAAAUGUGAAAAGAGUGGUAAUUCUCAAUGUAAAUAAUUUAAAAGGUACAGUGUUCAAACUUGUCCAUGCACUUAUUGUCACGACCCGAACCGAGGCCCUGACCGUGACGAGCAUCCCAAACCAUAAAGGCCCGAGAACCCUUAUAACUCGUAAUCAUAUACACCAUUCACAUACAAAUAGAAAAUAUGGAAUAAUAAAAAAUGAAAGGAAAUCAUGGUCAUAAGUCUGAUAUAAGUUGAACCAUGGAAAAUGAAAUCCAAACCAUCUAACAAUAUCUGAAAACCGUCUGCGAAAUCUCUACUACAUGGCCACUAACAAAAUUUGAAAAUUGGGACAAGGCCCCCGGUAGACCAAAACCAUAAUUACUAAUAAUUAACUGAAAGUAAACAGGCCUUCUGGAAUAUAGAAUGCUCACCAACUGGACAAUGCAACUCUGUCUGAUGACUGGACCCCUAUUCUGAGCCUCAGAACCUGAGAGGUAGGGGUAGGGGGUCAAUACAGAUGUACUGGUAUGCAAAGUAAUUCAAAAUAAAGCUUUUAUAUAAAUAAAAUAAUGGAGAGCAAUUUGUCAAAACAUCAUACAUAAAAUAGUUUUCAAAACACAUGGGCACCUUUCUAAAAAAAAUCAUAAAUCAUUCUUGACAAUGCAAUUUUUGAUCUUCGUAUUAAUUCUGAGUUAGGUGGUACACCCCUAAAAGUCUAAAACCCCACGGGAAAUAUGGAGUCUUUCAUUGACUCGGCGAGGAAGCCCCCAAUCCAAGUGUGCUGUAAGGGUUGGAGUGUCUAAGUCUAAUACACCACAGGGAAAUAGGUCAGCGUAUAAUAAUAUACUAUGAUCGGCAAAUCACGGCUUUUGGCAAUGAGUUGUAUGAAACUCGUGCCUUCUUCGGGGGACCACCUAAUCUCUUUGUGCCCAAUUUUAAUCCAUUACUAGAACAUAUCAUUCUGAAAUCUUUAGUCAUGAAAAUCUGCUUUCUAAGCUUGUGAGUCUAUUAUGACAUUGUCUAUUUUGAUAUCGUCAUACCAAGACUUUCAAGUCGUAAUUCUAAGCCAUAGUUUUUAAAGCAUAUUUCUUUCAUUAAAACUCAAUUCAGACGACCCAGCUUUGCAAACAGUAUAAAAAAUUUCAUGUUCCUAAACAUAAGUCAAAACUAUGCAAGAAUCCUUCAAACAUAUGGUGGUCAUGUGCUUUUGGAAAAAUCAUGCACUCUUUCAUUAUAUGAAUAUUUUCAACAUUUAUCAACACAACUACCCUCUCUUUUGAAAUUGUAAUCGUAAUCCAAUCAUAACAUAAUUCAAGACAUUUUAUGCCAUGCUUUCCAAGGAUGCAUUCAAAACAAUCUAUAGCAUAUGAUAAGUAAAGAAAAAUCAAAACAAGAGAGGGAUUUUACAUAAGUCAUGCUCUCAAUUAAAUAGUCAACCUUAAACCACAAGCAUACAUAUGUACACAAUUUCAAAUCAAUGUGGGGGAAGGUCAAAAGACCAAAACAACACCAUCAAGAUUUCUAAAAUAUCAAUGUAUUCAUAAAUCUGAAAACUCCUUUCUUAAAAUCAUGAUUUCUAUGCCCAUGAGAUUUUAGGAAAACCUCGCGUACCUCUAUUUAGGAAAUUAAAGGAUGCUUCUUGAUGCUUACGGCUUGGGGAUUCCAAAUCUCCAAUUUUUUCCAAAAACCCAUGGUUGAAUCUUGAGUUAUUUGGGUUUUUAGUUAGAAACCCUUGAGAGAGUUCUUGAUGAAUUUUGGAGCAAAUAUGUGUAAUGUGGUUAUUUAGGAACUUGAUCCCAUGUUUAAUAUGUUAUAGGGAUUGAAAAAUACCAAAAAUAUGUGUUUAAUAUGGUUAUUUGGGAUUGUACCUUCCAUUUCAUUUCUUGCUGGAUCAAAUAAGUUUGGGUAUCCGUAACGCCCCAAAGUUUUUUUUAGCUAAAUUUUGUCCCUAAAAUAUCAAGCAUUAUCUUCUAGAAUGAUUUAUAAUUAUUUACCUAUGGAAUCCCUUAGAUUUCAACUUUUCAUUACGUAGAUGAUUGAACAAUAUUUCCAUCGAUAUAAGAUUUGUCCAAAACGGACACUCAAUUAAGAAGUUAUGGCUAUUUUAUAUGCUAGUCGUAAAACAUCAUCAUUCUGGUGUUUAGCGCAUUGCAUAGAGGGUUUAAUUAGCAAUUGUCAAUUUCCAGUGGGACCUCAUGAUAGUGGAGCGUCGCGGAGGAUCCCAAUUUUCCAUUCGUUAAUUUCCAGUGAGCCACCGCGAUAGUGGCAUGUCGCGGUGGCCCAUAAAAUCGGGUUCCUAUUUUAAUUUUUCCAGCUUCAUUCAGAAGUUAACAAGGGUAAUUUGGAAUUUUCCCAAUCCUCUUAAAAUGUCCAAACAAUAGAUUUAAGACCUCUACAAGCAGAAUAUAUGACAUUCUCAAGAUUUUCCUCAAAACAAAAACCCUAGUUCAUAUACUUCUCCUCCAAGAAACUCAAGAUUCAACCGUGGGUUUUUAAAAUUGACUGAAGAUUUGGAAUCCUCAAACCGUAGGCUUCAAGAAUCAUCCCUUAUUCUUUUUAAUCGAGGUAAGUGGGGUUUUUCCUAAAAACUACAUGGGAUUAAAACCAUUAGAGCUUGAUUUUUAGAUUUUUAUGCAUGAAUUUCAAAUGGGUUUUGGAAUCUAUGUUCUAAAUUUUGUACUCCAAAUGUUUUAAUGUUUUUAUUAUUUUGACCUUGUGUUCCUAUCCCAUAAAUUGAUUUACAUGCAUACGUAUGUGUAUGGAAUUUGAGAUUUAAGAUCGUUGAGAGCAUAAAUUAUGAACUCCCUCUCGUGUAUUGAAUUAAAGAUUAUGGUUUUGUGAUUUUGAAGCUGUUUUCUCAAUAUUAUAGCAUUUGAGCAUGAUUUGAAAUUGUUGAGAGGGUGUUUCUUGAUAUAAAUAUGUUCUUGUGUUUAAGAGAAAGAAUCGCAUGUGAAUUGAGAACUUUGACAUGACCACCUUGUACUAUUGAAAUGAUUGACAAAGAUAAGUUCCUUGCAUGUGUUUACAUGAGGUUUGAGAAAGAAUUUUUUUGAGUUGAAUUAUUGAAAUGGUGGUCCCAAAACUUGUGUUUUGAAAAUAGAGAUUUAUGAUAGACUAAUAAUGGCUCAGAGAUGUGACUUGCAAGUCAAUGGUAUGACAAUACCAUAUGUAUUUAUGCCAUAACAGGGUAUGUUUUCAGAGUAUGUUUUCUGAGACUGCAUGUUUUGAUAGAGUUUUAAAAAGGGGCUUAAAGAGGGUUAGGUGAUAACCCAAAGAAGGCGCGAGUUCAAGCAAUUCUUAGCCUGAAACCGUAUUUACCGAUACGGGUAGAUUAAUAUUGUACGCUGGCGACGGCCGUGUGGCGUAGUAGAUUCAGAGACUCUGACUCUUGUGGCACACUUGGGUUGGGGGCUUCGCUGCCGAGUUAAUGGUAGUUUCCAUAGCGCAUGGAAUUUUUUAGAGUUGUAGGGUAUACAACCUAGCGCAGAAGUAACACAAAUUUCUUAAAGUUGAGAUGGUUUUUACAAAUUCUUUAAAAUGCCCAUGUGAAUUCUUACUAUAUGAUAUACUUAUUAACUAUUUUAAAUUGCAUUCAUAUAUGUUGAUUUAUAAAUGAUUAUUUUUGAUAUUCUCUGCGUACCAGUGCAUCUGUAUUGACCCCCGGUCCCCCUACCGCUUAGGUUCUAAGACUCAGUCUAGGGUUCCAGAUAAGCAGUAGAUAUUUCGGACAACUAAUCAGAUUGUGUAGUGGUGAGACUUCUCUAUUCCAAAAGACUUGUCUUUUUAGAUUAUGUCACUUAAUUCAGUUUUUGUCUACUGGGGGCCUUGUCCCAGUUUCAGACAGUUGUCAGAUUUUCUUAAAGUAGAGAUUUUGCAGACUGAGUCAAAUGUUAUUUAGAUAUAGUUGAUUUACAGUUUCCAUACUUAUGUUUAAUUCAGAAUUGACCAUGUUUCUGUUGAAGAUUACGUUUCUGCAUAUUCUUUAAUUAUAUGAAUGUUGUGCAUGAUUACCAGAUAGAGAAGGGCAUUCCGGUCCUUCAGGGUUCGGGAUGUCCGUCAUGGACAGACCCUCAUUUAGGUCAUGACAAACGUGGUAUCAGAUCACGGUUCAUGGUCCCACGGUGUUUGCAAAAUUGCGUCGGGUAGAAUCUUAUUUAUGGGUGUGUAGCGCGCCACACUUAUAAGCAGGAGGCUACUUGUAACGCCCUGGAAAACGGGUCCCGGAGCGUUACACGGUGCUUGAGGCUACGAGUAGCCCCAAUCUAACCCUUUGAGCCAUUUUCAUUCAGUUCAACACAAAUCAACGGGGUUUCCAUAAAUAACCCUCAAAUAUCAACAAAGUAAUCAUCAUCCAAGAAUAAAGAAUUUCAGAAAGAUAACAAAAUCCGACUUAUUAGUCAACUCCCAACAUCUAUAGUAGUCUGACAAGCCUCUAAGAAAAUCAAUAAAACCAGCAAUCCAUUGAGACAUGUCUCAACUGACUCAUACUUAGUUAUCAAAUGUAAACAAUUCCGUGAAACCAACAUCAGACAUCAUGUCCUCGGAAUAUGAGGUCUCACCACAAUAGAGGAUGUAGAACAGCAUGCCUGAAGAAUCAUUGUCGAACCUGGAACUGAGCGCCUGAACCUACAUUCUGAGAAAAUGCAGCCCACAUCCAAAGAUGUGGGUCAGUACCAUGGAAAGGAACCGAGUAUAUGGGGGUGUAUGCAGUUGUUUAAACAUCAUCAUCAUAAAUAUUUAUAAGAAAUAUGCAGGAUGUAUGAAAGACUCACAUAGCCCGAACAAAAUCAUCAUAAUCAUGAGAGGAUGAAAUAAGUACAAUAACACAUGUGAGUCAUCAUAUAAUUUGUCAAUCACUUUCAGUUCAUCAAGAAUAUCAAUUCUCAUAAUGUAAAUAUCAUUUAAAUCUUUCAAAAGAAUAAUUUUCACAAUUCCACUUUCGAAUCACUUCACCAUUCACCAUAAACAUAAGGAAACACACACACUGGGAGAUCCUAUAUAAAUAUAUAUCGGGAGCCAUCAUGCUUCCCAUCUAUCAAAAUCAACCACGUUGUGGAUUUCUUUCACACUCGAGUUCAAAACAACUCCAUUAAGACCAAAAGGUCAAAUCAUUCAAAAUAUCUCAAAUAUUCAACAUCAACGUGCUUAUAACGCACACUUUCUCAAAAAAAAAAAAAACACAAUUUCCAAUGGGGAAUCACAACUCAAAUAUCAAAAUCAUGAUAAAUAUUGUUCAAGAUUCAUGCUUUAUAUCUCCACACGUGUAAAUUCAUCUUUCAAAAUCAUAAACAUCAACAUUUCAUAGUAAUCAUCAUAAGAUACGGGUUCAUGCUUCAAAUUCGUAAAAAUCAAAUAAAAAUCAUGCCUUUGUAAAGAAAAUUACUUUUGGGCACAAGAACGAAAGAGAGUUCUUGUUGAAAAACCUCACAUACCUUGAAUGAUGAACUUUAGAUAGAUACUCAUUUUUGAUAUGUUAAUCUUGCCUUUGAAUGAUGGUCCUUGGAGUUCUUGAACUAGGAACUUGGAAUCUUGAAUAAAUUUGCAGAAUUAAUAGUGAACUUUGGAGGUUCUUGAAGUUGGAUGUAGGAGCUUAAGGUUUUCUUUNNNNNNNNNNNNNNNNNNNNNNNNNNNNNNNNNNNNNNNNNNNNNNNNNNNNNNNNNNNNNNNNNNNNNNNNNNNNNNNNNNNNNNNNNNNNNNNNNNNNNNNNNNNNNNNNNNNNNNNNNNNNNNNNNNNNNNNNNNNNNNNNNNNNNNNNNNNNNNNNNNNNNNNNNNNNNNNNNNNNNNNNNNNNNNNNNNNNNNNNNNNNNNNNNNNNNNNNNNNNNNNNNNNNNNNNNNNNNNNNNNNNNNNNNNNNNNNNNNNNNNNNNNNNNNNNNNNNNNNNNNNNNNNNNNNNNNNNNNNNNNNNNNNNNNNNNNNNNNNNNNNNNNNNNNNNNNNNNNNNNNNNNNNNNNNNNNNNNNNNNNNNNNNNNNNNNNNNNNNNNNNNNNNNNNNNNNNNNNNNNNNNNNNNNNNNNNNNNNNNNNNNNNNNNNNNNNNNNNNNNNNNNNNNNNNNNNNNNNNNNNNNNNNNNNNNNNNNNNNNNNNNNNNNNNNNNNNNNNNNNNNNNNNNNNNNNNNNNNNNNNNNNNNNNNNNNNNNNNNNNNNNNNNNNNNNNNNNNNNNNNNNNNNNNNNNNNNNNNNNNNNNNNNNNNNNNNNNNNNNNNNNNNNNNNNNNNNNNNNNNNNNNNNNNNNNNNNNNNNNNNNNNNNNNNNNNNNNNNNNNNNNNNNNNNNNNNNNNNNNNNNNNNNNNNNNNNNNNNNNNNNNNNNNNNNNNNNNNNNNNNNNNNNNNNNNNNNNNNNNNNNNNNNNNNNNNNNNNNNNNNNNNNNNNNNNNNNNNNNNNNNNNNNNNNNNNNNNNNNNNNNNNNNNNNNNNNNNNNNNNNNNNNNNNNNNNNNNNNNNNNNNNNNNNNNNNNNNNNNNNNNNNNNNNNNNNNNNNNNNNNNNNNNNNUUUCUCACUUCGAAUGCAACAUAGAAUGCAUAAAUUCAAGAAACUACAGCUGAACACAUAAUAAAUGAUAGCUGAACUGUUGCAACUUUUAUCAAAAGUGCAUGAUUUAGGAAAGAACGGUACCUUCGUCUUGAUCGGAGUUCGCAGAAAAUAGGUACGGAUACUUGGAUUGCAAAUCCGCCUCAGCUUCCCAAGUUUCACCAUCAACAGAUUGGUUUCGUCACAACACCUUGACCAAGGGAACUUCUUUGUUCCUUAGUCUUCGGACACUGAAAUCAAGAAUCUCAACAGGUUUCUCAUCAAAAGAAAGAUUUUCUUGAAUGUCAGCACUCACAGAGGAAUCCACUACCACAUCAUCGCUAAUAUGCUUUCUAAGCAUGGAGACAUGGAAUAUUGGAUGAACAGAGGACAACUCGGAAGACAACUCGACCUCAUAAGCUACCUUACCAACACGACUAAGAAUUUUGUAAGGACCAACAUAAAGGGGACUAAGCUUCCCCUUCUUUUCGAAUCUCUUCACCCCCCUCAUGGGUGAAAUUUUCAGAUACACUAGGUCACCAACUUCAAACUCAAGGUCUCUCUUUCUAACAUCCGCAUAUGGCUUUUGACGACUCUGCGCAGUUUUCAACCUUUCCCUAAUCAACUUAACUUUUUCUAUAGCCUCAAUUACCGAAUCAGGACCACUCACAGCCGCUUCAACCACCUCGAACCAACCUAUGGGUGAUCUACACUUUCUCCCAUAUAAGGCUUCAAAUGGAGCCAUGCCAAUACUAGAGUGGAAACUGUUAUUGUAAGCAAACUCUAUCAACGGUAAGUGAUCAUCCCAGCUUCCGUUAAAGUCAAGUGCAUAAGCUCUCAACAUAUCCGCUAAGGUCUGGAUGUCUGCAGAUGAAAAGAAGAACUCAAAAGCACUUAGGUACCAAGACCCUUUUGAAAAGCUUUCCAAAAUUGCAAAGUAAACUGAGUACCCCUAUUCGAAAUGAUAGACAAGGUAACUCUGUGCAGUCUGACUAGUUCUCAGAUAUACAAUCUAGCGUAAUCCUCAGCAGUAUAUGAAAUAUGAAUAGGUAAGAAAUGAGUAAACUUAGUCAACCUAUCAACCACAACCCAAAUGGAAUCAUGAUGGCAUCGGGAAGGAGGUAAACCAAUCAUGAAGUCCAUAAUUAUCUCUUCCCACUUCCAGGUGGGAAUACUAAACUCUUGAAUCAUAUCACCAGGUCUUUGGUGUUCAACCUUAACCUGUUGGCAUAUUGCAAACUUAGCUACAAAUGCUGCUAUAUGUUUCUUCAUGACACUCCACCAAUAGAUUUCCUACAAGUCUCGGUACAUCUUAGUGGCACCAGGAUGAAUAGAAUAUCGCGCCCCAUGCACUUUAGCCAUAAUCCUCUAUCUCAGAUCAUCAACAUUCGGGACACAUAAUCUAUCCUGUAAUCUCAACAUACCAUCUCCCCCUUGGGAUAAAACCUCUACUUUUUGGUCCUUGACCGACUCCUUUAGUCUGACUAAACUAGCAUGUAAGUAUUGCUUUUCCUUCACUUCCAAAACCAAGGAGGAUUUGGAACUACUCUGAACCCCUAUACUACCUUUAGCAGAGUCAAACAACCUAACCCCUAAUCUAGCCAAACGAUGUACAUCACGAGCCAACUCUUUCUUACCUUAUACCACAUGUGAAACACUACCAAUGGACACUAUACUUAGGGUAUUCACCACAAUAUUGGCCUUCCUCGGAUGGUACAACACACUCAUAUCAUAGCCCUUUAACAAUUCAAUUCUCUCUAGGUAAACACAUACUGCAGACUCUUAUGAUCAGUGAAAACAUCAACAUGGACACCAUACAAAUAGUGUCUCCAGAUUUUCAAAGCAAACACAAUAGCAGCCAACUUAAGGUCAUGGGUGGGGUAAUAUUUCUACUUGGGUUUCAAUUGUCUAGAAGCAUAAGCUAUCACCUUACCCUUCUGCAUUAAUACGCAACCCAACCCAACUCUCGAAGCAUCACAGUACACCACAAAACCAUCAACACCAUCAGGCAAAGUCAAAAUAGGGGAUGAAGUGAGUCGAGACUUCAACUCCUGAAAACUCUUCUCACAAGAUUCAGACCACAAGAACUUCACUUUCUUUUGGGUCAACCGAGUNNNNNNNNNNNNNNNNNNNNNNNNNNNNNNNNNNNNNNNNNNNNNNNNNNNNNNNNNNNNNNNNNNNNNNNNNNNNNNNNNNNCAGCCAACUCAAGGUCAUGGGUGGGGUAAUUUUUCUCAUGGGGUUUCAACUUUCUAGAAGCAUAAGCUAUCACCUUACCCUUCUGUAUCAAUACGCAACCCAACCCAACUCUCGAAGCAUCACAGUACACCACAAAACCAUCAACACCAUCAGGCAAAGUCAAAAUAGGGGCUGAACUGAGUUGAGUCUUCAACUCCUGAAAACUCUUCUUACAAGAUUCGAACCAUAAGAACUUCACUUUCUUUUGGGUCAACUGAGUCAUAGGAGACUCUAUAGAGGAGAAACCCUUAAAAAAAUGGUGGUAAUAGCCAGCUAAACCCAAGAAACUUCAGAUAUCAGUUGGAGAAAUAGGUUUAGGCCAAUUUCUAACAGCUUUGAUCUUUUGGGGAUUAACUCUAAUACCCUCGGAAGCAAUGAUAUGACCCAAAAAAGCAAUUGACCUUGGCCAAAACUCACACUUACUGAACUUGGAAAACAACUUGUGAUCUCUAAGGGUUUGCAAGACAGUUCAGAGAUGAUCAGAAUGUUCAUCCUCACUACGGGAGUAUAUUAGUAUAUCAUCGAUGAACACUAUGACAAACAUAUCAAGUUAUGGUCUGAACACUCGAUUCAUGAGGUCCAUGAAAGCUACUGGGGCAUUAGUUAACCCGAAAGACAUAACAAGAAAGUCAAAAUGGCCAUAAUGAGUUUGAAAAGCGGUUUUCGGUAGAUCACACUCCCUAACUUUGAGUUGAUGAUAGCCGGAAUAAAGGUCUAUCUUUGAGAAAUAACUUGCACCUUGCAAUUGGUCAAACAAAUCAUCUAUUCUUGAAAGGGGGUACUUAUUUUUGAUAGGGACUUUAUUCAGUUGGCAGUAAUCAAUGCACAUACACAAAGAGCCAUCUUUGUUUUUCACAAACAACACAGGAGAACCCCAAGGAGAAACACUGGGCCUUAUGAAACCCUUAUCUAGUAGAUCUUUGAGUUACUCUUUCAACUCUUUAAGUUCUAUAGGGGCCAUACGGUAAGGAGAAAUAGAAAUGGGUUGGGUAUCGGGAAGAAGAUCAAUCCCAAACUCUAUCUCUCUAUCAGGAGGUAUCCCUAGGAGAUCAUCCGAAAAGACAUCAGAAAACUCAUUGAUGACGUUAACAGACUGGAGAGCUGAAGUCUCAGACUUAGUGUCUUUGACUCUAACCAAAUGGCAAAUACACCCUUUGGAAAUAAGCUUUCUAGUUUUGAGGUAAGACAUAAAAUGACUCUUGGGUGACAAAGAAUUCCCAGACCACUCAAACACGGAUGUACCCAAAAACUGAAACUUGACCACUCGGGUCCGACAAUCAAUAGAGGCAUAAGAAGAAUACAGCUAGUCCAUACCCAGAAUCACAUCAAAAUCUACCAUGUCUAACUCAAUCAGAUCAGCCAACAAGACUCUAUGAAGAACGGUAAUAGGACACUUUUUAUACACUUUCUGGGCAACAAUCGAAUCACUCACUGGGGUAGAAACUAGGAUAGGCUCAGGAAUAAUCUCUGGACUCAUUUCAAAAUUCACAGUAAUCAAAGGUGUAACAUAUGAGAAACUGGAUCCAGGAUCCAACAAAGUAUACACAUCAAACUAAAAUAUACGAAGCAUACCAGUAACAACAUUGGGAGAGUCCUCCUGUUCCUGGCAGGAUGGUAAAGCAUAGAAUCUAUUCUGGCACUGCCCGCCAGUAUUGCUAGAAGAGGCACCCUGAGCUGGGGCUGGGCAAGUCGCUGGAACUGGAGCACUAACAGUCUUAGUCUGGGUUUGAGGGCGAUAGUCACGAUGCCCUUGUCUAUCCUGUGGAAAAUCUCUAACUCUGUAAGCCAUGUCACCACACCGAAAACAACCCCUCUUCUCACCCCAACACUCACCCGAAUGAGCCCUACCAUACUUAGGACACAGGGUAUGAUUUGGCUUACUGCUAAUACUGUACUGAGACCUGGAUGCAUAUGACCUGCUACCUUGCUCCUGCCUACCUCUAGGCAUGGGAGCACUAGCAGAUGACGGUGCUGGCAUAGACAAAGGAUCCUGAUACUGAGGGCGACUCCCUCCCUGCGAUCUAGUCUGACACUGUUCGUGCUGCUUGGACCUAACUCUCCUAUUCCCUCUUAUUCUAUCUCUCUCCUUAAUCUUGUCUGCCUCAAUCUGUUGGGCAUGAGUCAUCAACCUAUAAAGAUUCAUCUCAUUAUUCAGCAUAGCAGACCUACACUCCAUAACCACAUAACUAGAUAAUCCAGUCACUAACUUACUCAUACUAGCCCGAUUAUCAGCCACUAAGUCAGGAGCAUACUUGGCCAACUGAUUGAACUUUAGACAGUAUUCCCUAAUAGUCAUAGAGCCCUGUCACAGGUUCAUAAACUCUUCCACCUUCGCCUCUCUCAUCUCCAAAAGGAAAAACUUACCUAGGAAUGCAUCCUGGAACUCUUGCCAAGUAGUAGGGACAGCUCCCUCACCUCUACAUUUCCUCCAAGAAACAACCCAAUCAUAAGCUAGGUCUUUUAAGAUAUACGCAGCCAACUCCACACUAUAUUCCUCAGAUAUAUGCAUCACUUGAAUAGUCUUCCGCACCUCCUUUAAAAACAACCAUGGAUCCUCAUCAGACUUGGACCCAUAGAAUUCUGGCGGAUUCAUCCGCAUGAAGUCAUGGAUCCUGGCAGCAGCUGAAUCACCUCCUUGUUGCUGUGGAGCUAGGCCCAGGUUGGCCUGAACAUUUGCAGUAACAAAUUGGGCCGGCGCGGGAAAGGCUACCCGAAAUUUAGCAUGAGACACGUUUUCAUUCAAUGGGUCAGCGGGUUGAGGUUGCUGGCCAUCAUUAUUUCUUCUCGCUCGACGUGGAGGUAUAUUUCUGAAAGAGGAGAGCAUGAAUCAAUAGCAGAGAGAGACACUUUAAAAAUGAUAGACUUCUGAAAGAAAGAAUCACACUUUUUCCUAAAACGUCUUGUAGCUUCUUGCUCAUAGAUAUGGCGCGCUACACACCGAUGAUCAAGACUCUACUUAACGCGGCUUGUCAGACUCCCUAGGACACCUUAAAAACUUAGGCUCUGAUACCAAGUUUGUAACUCCCCAGAAAAUGGGUCCCAGAGCGUCACACAGUGCUUGAGGCUACAUGUAGCCCCAAGCUAACCCUUUGAGCCAUUUUCAUUCAAUUCAACACAAAUCAACGGGGUUUCCUUAAAUAACCCUCAAAUAUCAAUAGAGUAAUCAUCAUCCAAGAAUAAAAAAAUUUCAUAAAGAUAACAAAAUAUGACUUAUUAGUCAACUCCUAACAUCUAUACUAGUCUGACAAGCCUCAGAGGAUGUAGAACAGCGUGCCCGAAGAAUCACUGUCGAAUCUGAACCUACAUUCUGAGAAAAUGUAGCCCGCAUCCGAAGAUGUGGGUCAGUACCAUGGAAAGGAACCAAGUAUAUGGGGGUGCAUAUAGUUGUAUAAACAUCAUCAUCAUAAAUAUUUAUAAGAAAUAUGCAGGAUUUAUGAAAUACUCACAUAGCCUGAAGAAAAUCAUCAUAAUCAUGAGAGGAUGAAAUAAGUACAAUAACACAUGUGAGUCAUCAUAUAAUUUGUCAAUCACUUUCAGUUCAUCAAGAAUAUCAAUUCUCAUAAUGUAAAUAUCAUUUGAAUCUUUUGAAAGAAUAACUUUCACAAUUUCACUUUCAAAUCACUUCACCAUUCACCAUAGACACAAGACAACACACACACACUGGGAGAUCCUAUAACCGACAUAAACCUUGUGAGAUACAUGGAGUCCAACGUACAACCCACAUUGGGGAGAGUUAUCCUUUCCUUGCCAUCGAAGUAGGACUAUCGAUAUCAAAUCCGUACAAACUAGUGAUCACUAUAUAAAUCAGCCUCAGGCUCACUCCUAUGGGGGCAUGUAGUUCUAGGGAAGUUAGGUCGGCUUAUACCUCCCACUCGGUGCUAAAGAUUUCUCCCAGACUUAGCUCAGAUCAUUUCAAAGACAAUCCAUAACAAAAUAAUUUUCAGCAAUAUAUAAAUAUAUAUCGGGAGCCAUCAUGCUACCCAUCUAUCAAAAUCAACCACGUUGUGGAUUUCUUUCACACUCGAGUUCAGAAGAACUCUAUUAAGAACAAAAGGUAAAAUCAUUCAAAAUAUCUCAAAUAUACAACAUCAACGUGCUUAUAACACACACUUUCUAAAAAAACACAAUUUCCAAUGGAGAUUCACCACUCAAAUAGCAAAAUCAUGAUAACUAUCGUUCAAGAUUCAUGCUUUAUAUCUCCACACAUGUAAAUUCAUCUUUCAAAAUCAUAAACAUGAAGAUUUCAUAGUAAUCAUCAUAAGAUAUGAGUUCAUGCUUCAAAUUCAUAAAAAUCAAAUAAAAAUCGUGCUUUUGUAAAGAAAAUUACUUUUGGGCACAAGAACGAAAGAGAGUUCUUGUUGAAAACCCCCACAUACCUUGAAUGAUAAACUUUGGAUCGAUAAUCGUUUUUGAGAUGUUAAUCGUGCCUUUGAAUGAUGGUUCUUGGAUUUCUUGAACUUGGAGCUUGGAAUCUUGAAUAAAUUUACAGAAUUAAUGGUGAACUUUGGAGGUUUUUGAAGUUGGAUGUAGGAGCUUAGGAUUUUUCUUUUUGACGGAAUUUGAUGAAAUAUAACAUAUAAUGUUUGUAAUAGGCUUUAAUAUAGGGUUUGGACGGAUUUUGGGUGAGGGGGAAUGACCAAAACGCCCCUAAAAAUCAAAUAAUUCUCGAAUCUGUUCUUUGGUGGAAUGUUUUGAUAGUCUGAAGUAGAUCAAUCAUAACAUUUUACUCUGAUAUCCAAAUUGGAUAAAACUAAUCUCAUUUGAAAGAAGACUCUCAUAUCUUUCUAUUGAUAUAUAUUAUCUCACCCAAAUUAUUGUGUACGAGGAGUUAUGAUCAUUUGAAGUUGACCCAAAAAUUUGCUUUUGAUAGGCUGAAGUAGACCGACCAUAACUUUUUGCUCCGAUAGACAAAUUUGAUGAAACCAAUUUCAUUGGAAAGAGAACUCGCAGAGCUUUUCAUUGAUAUAUAUUAUCUCACCCAAAUUAUUGUGUACGAGGAGUUAUGAUCAUUUGAAGUUGACCCAAAAAUUUGCUUUUGAUAGGCUGAAGUAGACCGACCAUAACUUUUUGCUCCGAUAGACAAAUUUGAUGAAACCAAUUUCAUUGGAAAGAGAACUCGCAGAGCUUUUCAUUGAUAUAUAGUAAAUCACCCAGAUCAUUAUGUACAAGGAGAUAUGAUUGUUUAAAUUUGGAACAAAAAUACGCCAGGCCUUAGUACUUUACCUGGACGGUUUAUUGUUCACUACUAUUCACGGUUCGAUCGGAAUGUUCAUAACUCAUCGCUCUGGUGUCCGUUUUGGAUGAUCCACAUAUCGUUGGAAAUCUUAUUCGAUACUCUACACAAUGGUGGGUCAUAAUCUAAGACAUUCUGUACGAAAAAUUUAUAAUUUACUCUAGAAGAUAGAACCCAACACGUUUACGCACAAAAUUUCAACAAAAAAUUUCCCGGGGUAUUACACUACUAGGUAUUUAAGAAUGUUCCUCUUAUUUGUGAUUUAGUUCAUGCUUCAGAGUCUAAUAUCACCCCUAAUCAAUGACCUCUUGCUUGUUAGAAAACCAGCGAUGCCUCCCCAUCGCACCAAUAUUAACGCUGAGGAUGAUGAAGUCUGUCCCACCCAUAGGAUACGGACCCGUAACAGAGCUCAUACCCUAAAAUAUAUUCCUACUCUGGGAGUACCUACUGUACUAACCAGUCCUCCCAAAGCUCUCCAGAUGGGGGCCAGUCGCACUCAGCCUCGUGAAUGAGAGGUUUCUAGUGCUGAAUUCAGACAAUCUAUUCAUAUUCUUGAACAACUGGUAGCUACAUAGACUCAUAGAUUGGAGAAUACUGGGUCUGCAUCUAUUACUUUGGAAGUUACUAGAGUGGGCCAGUUCAUGAGAAUGAACUCGCUCAAGUUCUCUGGCGCUAAGGUAGAAGAGGACCCGCAGGAGUUCGUAUACAAAAUGGAGAAGAUUUUCAAAGUAAUGCAUGUUGAUCAAGUGGAGGGUGUUAAGCUAUCAUUAUACUAGCCAAACGAUGUAGCGAACCAAUGGUACAAUGAGUGGGAAGAUACGAAGGGUGACAGUGCUGAGCCCACAGGUUGGGACAAGUUCGUGAAAGCUUUACUUGACCAAUUCUUUCCUCUAGAGCUGAGGAAAGCUAAAGUAGAGGAGUUUAUGAACCUUAAGUAGGGUAAGAUAAGUGUUCAAGAGUGUACUUUGACGUUUAACCAACUGGACCGUUAUGCUCCUGAGAUGACGAGUAGUAUGAUGGCCCGAAUGAGGAAGUUUGCUUCUGGCCUUUUAGAUGACCUGGUUCUUGGGUGUCAGGGAGCUAUGCUGAACAGGGAUAUGGAAUUUGCAAGACUAUUAGUCAAUAUGCUGCAAGUUGAGGAGAAUAACCAGAAGAUAGUUGAAUCUAGGGAAAACUACAGGUAGAUAAAGAGAGCCAGAGCAACAGAGCAGAGUCAUAGUCAGUAGUAAGAUGGUAAUUAGGGAGGCAAAUGGCAAAAGAAAAAGAAUUAGGGUAAUACACAAUCGGCAGCUAGUGCUUCGGUGUCCAGACACAUAUUUGAGCAGUGCACCUAGAAUUUUCAGUUUAUUCAGGGGCUGAGGAUUCAGGGUACACAGUCGCAGGUAAGUAUAGCCCAGACCUCUCGGUCCUAUCCGCGCUAUGGGAGAUGCAGGAGAAAUCAUCUAGGGAGAUGUCAGUUUGGCACUUUGGUGUGUUAUUCAUGCGGCCAGUUGGGCCAUAUCCAGAGAGACUAUCCAAUAGCAAAGAGUAGUGUUGGAGGAGCUAAGUCGCAGGAAAACUCAUCUGCACCACCACCUUAAAAGGGUUCCACUUCAGCCAUCAAAAAUGGUCAGAACCAGUUGUAUGCUUUGACCAACCGCCAGGAGGCAAAGGCCUCACUAGAUGUAGUCACCGGUAUGUUGCAAAUCUUUUCUCGUAAUGUGUAUGUAUUAAUUGAUCCUGAGUCUACCUUAUCUUAUAUGACCCCAUACGUGUCUGUUGGUUUAGGGUUUGAGCCUGAUGUGAUUGCUGAACCUUUUUCAGUUUUCACCCCGGUAAGAGAUUUUGUUGUGUCUAAGAGGGUGUAUAAAAAUUAUGUUGUGUCUAUUUUCAGCUGGAUACUGAGUCCGAUCUCAUAGAACUUGAUAUGGUUUAUUUUGAUGCCAUCUUAGGGAUAGACUGGCUCCAUUCGUGCUAUGCCACCUUGAAUUGUAGGACCCAAAGAGUCCCCUUUUCUUUUCCAAAUGAGUCGGUGAUAGAAUGGGAGGGACAAUCUCUAGCACCUAGAGGGCAUUUCAUAUCUUAUCUCAGGGCCCAUAAACUUAUUUCCAAAGGUUGCUUGUAUCAUCUUAUUCGGGUUAAAAAUUCUAGUGAUGAAAGACUUUCUCUUCAGUCUGUCUCCAUAGUGAAUAAAUUCUUGUAAGUUUUUCUAGAUAAUCUCCCAGGAAUACCACCUGAUAGGGACAUAGAUUUUGGUAUUGAUUUAUUGCGAGAUACCUAUCCUAAUUCUAUUUCGCCAUAUAGGAUGGCUCCUGCAGAGCUAAAAGAGUUGAAAGAACAGCUAGUAGAUCAUCUAGAUAAAGUUUUUAUCCACCCCAGUGUGUCUCCCUGUGGUGCACCUAUAUUUUUCGUACAAAAGAAAGAUGGUUCCCUUCAUAUGUGCAUAGAUUACUGCCAGUUAAAUAAGGUUACGAUUAAAAAUAAAUAUCCCCUUCAUAGAAUUGAUGAUCUUUUUGAUCAACUUCAGGGUGCUAAAUGAUUUUCAAAGAUAAAACUUCAUUUAGGAUAUCACCUGUUGAAAGUUAGAGUGCCAGAUAUUCCUAAAAUAGCUUUCCGAACUAGAUACGGCCAUUAUGAAUUCUUAGUCAUGUCCUUCAAGUUUACUUAUGCCCCUGCAGCUUUCAUGGAUCUAAUGAAUAGGGUUUUUGAUCAGUUUCUGGAUCUGUUUGUCAUUGUAUUCAUUGAUAACAUUUUGGUGUAUUAUAAGAGCGAGGAGGACCAUGCCAAUCACCUUCGAAUCAUCCUUUAUACCCUUAAAGAUAAUAAAUUGUAUGCAAAAUUUUCCAAGUGGGAAUUCUGGUUGAACGCUAUUGCAUUCUUGGGGCAUAUCGUGUCUUGUGAAGGGAUUAAGGUUGAUCCCCAAAAGAUUGAGGCAGCGAUAAAAUGGCCCAGACCCACGACUGCAACCGAAAUUCGGAGCUUCUUGGGUUUGGUGAGUUAUUACAAAAGAUUCGGCAAGAGUUUUUCUUCCAUAGCUGCACUACUUACUAAGUUGACUCAGAAAAAGGUGAAGUUUUUAUGGUCUGACUCUUGUGGGAAUAGUUUUGAGAAGUUGAAAGACAAGUUGACUACUGCUCUUGUUUCGACUAUUUUGGAGGGUACAGAGGGUUUUAUUGUAUACUGUGAUGCAUCCCGAGUAGGACUUGGGUGUAUCCUUAUGCAACACGGUAAUGUAGUGGCUUAUGCAUCUAGGUAGUUAAAAGUGCAUGAAUGAAACUACCUACUCAUGACUUGGAGUUAGCGGCUAUGGUUUUUGCACUUAAGAUCUAGCAACACUAUUUGUAUGGGGUACACGUUGAUAUAUUUACUGACCACAAGAUUUUAUAGUAUGUUUUCUUACAGAAAGAAUUGAAUCUCAGGAAGAGGCGGUGGUUGGACAUUUUAAAAGACUAUGACAUAAGCCUUCACUAUCAUCCGGGCAAGGCUAAUGUGGUAGUCGACGCCCUCAGCAGGUUAUCUAUGGGCAGUCUUUCUCAUGUGGGGAACGAAAAGAGGGAGAUGGUGAAGGAUAUUCACCGACUUGCAAAUCUAGGAGUGCGGAUUUUAGAUUCCGAUGAUGGAGGAGUAGUUGUUCAUGAGAUAACUAAAUCUUCCCUUUGUGCAGAAGUUAAAAAGAAGCAGGUUAAAGAUCCCAUCUUGAUGUAGAUCAAGAAAGAUGUGGGUCAACAAAAGUUAAUGUCAUUUGAAAUUGGUGGUGAUGGUGUUUUGAGAUACCAGGGUAGAUUGUGUGUGCCAGAUGUAUAUGGUCUGAGGAAGAGAAUCCUUGACGAAGCUCACACGUCGAGAUAUGUUGUUCACCAUGAAUCUACUAAGAUGUUUCAGGAUUUGAAAACCAUUUAUUGGUGAAAUAAUAUGAAGCGUGAUGUGGCUAACUAUGUUGCCAAAUAUUUGAAUUGUCAACAAGUUAAAGUGAAACAAGUGAGGCCAGGUGGUUCUUCUCAAGAGAUAGCUUUGCCUUUGUGGAAGUGGGAGAUGAUUAGUAUGGACUUCAUUACAGGACUUACGAGGCCCCAAAACCAGUAUGCUUUUAUUUGGAUAAUUGUAGAUAGGUUGACCAAGUCAGCUCACUUUCUACCUGUCUAGACAAAUUAUUCGGAGAGGAUUAUGACAAGCUGUUCAUUGUAGAAAUAGUUCGUUUGCAUGGGGCACCUGUGUCCAUCAUAUUUGACAGAGGUACACAUUUUUCUUCAUAAUUUUGGAGAUCAUUUCAAAAGGGUUUAGGUACCUAAGUGAAUUUGAGCACGACUUUCCACCUUCAGAUAGAUGGGCAAGCUGAGUGCACCAUCCAGACCCAUGAAGGGAGUCAUGCAGUUCAGGAAGAAAGGUAACCUGAGUCCUCGCUAUAUAAUACCAUAUCAGAUUGUGAGAAGGAUAGGUGGAGUUACGUAUGAGUUAGAAUUGCCAGUUAGUUUGGGUUCGGUUCAUCCGGUAUUUCAUAUAUCUAUGUUGAAGAAGUGUAUUGGAGACCAUUCUUUAGUAUUGCAUGUUAAAGAGAUCAAAGUGACAGACUCCUUAUCCUAUGAAGAAGAGCCUGUAGAGAUUUUGGAUCACCAAGUUAUAAUAUUGAGGAACAAAGAGAUAGCCUCAGUUAAAGUGUUGUGGAGAAACCAGAAAAUUGAAGAAGCGACUUGGGAAUUAGAAGUUGACAUGAGAGCUAGCUUCCCAAACCUUUUUGAUACAAUGGAUGAUGAAAUGGAAAGUACAAUCCUUACCUUAUUCUUUCUAUGCCUUAGUAUGCUUGACAUUAUACUUGUUUGUAUCCCGCAUCAACAUUCGGGGAUGAAUAUUCCCAAGGGGGGAUAUUGUAAUGCCCCAAAGUUUUUCUUAGCUAAAUUUUGUCCCUAAAAUAUCAAGCAUUGGCUUAUAUACUGAUUUAUACUUAUUUUCUUGUGAAAUCCCUUAUUUUUCAACUUUUCAUUACGUAGAUGACUGAAUAAGCUUUCCAUCGAUAUAAGAUUUGUCCAAAAUGGACACUCAGUGAAGAAGUUAUGGCUAUUUUAUGUGCUAGUCAUAAAACAUUGUCAUUCUGGUGUUUAGCGCAUCACAGAGAGGGUUUAAUUAGAAAUUUUCAAUUUCUUGUGGGACCUACCAAUAGUGACGCGUCAUAGAGGAUCCCAAUUUUCCAUUCGUCAAUUUCCAAUGAGCCACCGCGAUAGUGGCGCGUUGCGGUGGCCCAUAAAAUUGAGUUCCCAGUUUAAUUUUUUCAUCUUUGUUCAGAAGUUAACAAGGGUAAUUUGGACUUUUUCCAAGCCUAUUAAAAUGUCCAAAUAGCAUAUUUAAAACAUCAAGAAGAAUAUAUGACAUUCUCAAAAUUUUCCUCAAAACAAAAACCCUAGUUCAUAUACUUUUCCUCCAAGAAACUCAAGAUUUAACCGUAGGUUUUCAAAAUUGACUGAAGAUUUGGAAUCCUCAAACCAUAGGCUUCAAGGAUCAUCCCUUAUUCUUAAUAAUCGAGGUACGUGGUGUUUGUCCUAAAAACUACAUGGGCUUAAAACCAUUAGAGCAUGAUUUUUAGAUUUUUAUGCAUGAAUUUCGAAGGGGUUUUGGAAUCUAUGUUCUAAAUUACGUACUCUGAAUGUUGUAAUGUUACUAUUGUUUUGACCUUGUGGUCCUAUCCCAUAAAUUGAUUUACAUGUAUACGUAUAUGUAUGGAAUUUGAGAUUUAAGAUCGUUUAGAGCGUAAAUUAUGAACUCCCUCUCGUGUAUUGAAUUAAAAAUUAUGGUUUUGUGAUUUGAAAGAUGUUUUUGCAAUACUAUAGCAUUUGAGCAUUGAUUUGAAAUUGUUGAGAGGGUGUUUCUUGAUAUAAAUGUGUUCUUGUGUUUAAGAUAAAGAAUCACAUGUGAAUUGAGAACUUUGACAUGACCACCUUGUACUAUUGAAAUGCUUUACCCCCCUCCCCCUAUCUCUCAGGUUUUGACACUCGGUCUAGGGGUCUAUAAUUCGAACAGCUGAUCAGACUUAGCAGUGGUGAGCCUUCUCUAUUCCGGAAGACCUUUCUUUUUAGAUUAUGUCACUAAAUUCUAUUUUGGUCUACUGGGGGCCUUGUCCAAGUUUCAGAUAGUUGUCAGAUUUUCAUAAAGUAGAGAUUUCAUAGACUGAUUCAGAUUUUGUUUAGAUGUAGUUGAUUUACAGUUUUCAUACUUAUGUUGAAUUCAGAAUUGACCAUGUUUUGAUAGCAGAUUAUGUUUCCGCAUCUUCUUUUAUUAUAUGAAUGUGGUCCAUGAUUACCAAAUAAAGAAGGGCGUUCCACGCCUUCAUAGUUUGGGAUAUCCAUCACGGCCAGGCCCUCAUUCGGGUCGUGACAGUAUCUAUCUCUCAUGUUAUCUUCUGAUUCCUAAGUUGCUUCUUCAACUUUAUGAUUCUUCCACAACACUUUAAUUGAGGUUAUCUCUUUGCUCCUCAAUCUUCUAACUUGAUAAUAUAAGAUUUCUAGAGGAUCUUCUUUAUAAGACAAGGAGUCUGUUACCUUGAUCUUCUCUACAGGAAAUACUAAAGAAUGGUCUCCGAUACAUUUCUUCAACAUGGACACAUAGAAUACUGGAUGAACGGAACUCAAACUAGCAGGCAACUCUAACUCAUACGCAACUGAACCUACCCUUCUCAAAAUCUGAUAUGGUCCUAUAUAGCGAGGACUCAACUUACCUUUCUUCCCAAAUCGCAUGACCCCCUUCAUAGGAGAAACUUUUAGAAAUACCUAAUCACCAACCUCGAAUUAGAAGUCCCUUCUUCUAACAUCGGCAUAGGAUUUUUGUCUACUCUGAGUUGUCUUAAGUCAUUCCCUAAUAAGUUUAACAUCUUCCAUUGCCUGGUGAACAAGAUCAGGCCUAAACAACUGAGUCUCGUCCACCUCAUACCACCCUAUAGGCGACCUAUAUCUUCUCCCUUACAACGCUUCAAAAAGGAGCCAUCUUAAUUCUGGCAUGGUAGCUAUUAUUAUUUGCAAACUCUAUUAGAGUCAAGUGAUCCACCCAACUAACCUUGAAAUCAAUAACACAGGCUCUCAACAUAUCCUCUAGGGUCUGAAUGGUGUGAUCAGGCCUCAGUACUUUUUCCUGCACGUUUUACUGUUCACUACUAUUCAUGGUUCAUUCGGAAUGUUCAUAACUCGUUGCUCCGGUGUCCGUUUUGGAUGAUUCACAUAUCAUUGGAAAUCUUAUUCGAUACUCUAUGUAAUGGUGGGUCAUAAUCUAAGACAUUCUAUACUAAAAAUUUAUAAUUCAUUCUAGAAGAUAGAACCCAACACGUUUAUGCACAAAAUUUCAACGAAAAAUUCCCGGGGUAUUACAUCAUCCCCCCUUGGAAACAUUCAUCCUCGAAUGACGCUAGACAUGACAAGAUUAGAUAGGGAAUAGAGAAAAUAGCUGAAACCAUUCGUUAGACUCAUCGCCACAUUGUUUCUCACUCCGAAUGCAAUAUAGAAUGCAUAAAUUCAAGAAACUACCGCUGAACACAUUAUAAAUGACAGCUGAACUGCUGCAACUUUUAUCAAAAGUGCAUGAUUUAGGAAAGAACGGUACCUUCGGCCUGAUCGGAGUUCGCGAAAAAUAGGUGCGGGUACUUGGAUUGCAUAUCCGCCUCAGCUUCCCAAGUUACAACCUCAACAGAUUGGUUUCACCACAACACCUUGACCAAGGGAACUUCUUUGUUCCUUAGUCUUCAGACACUGAAAUCAAGAAUCUCAAUAGGAAUCUCAUCAAAAGAAAUAUUUCCUUGAAUGUCAGCACUCACAGAGGAAUCCACUACCACAGCAUCGCUAAUAUGCUUUCUAAGCAUGGAGACAUGGAAUAUUGGAUGAACAGAGAGGGCAACUCGACCUCAUAAGCUACCUUACCAACACGGCUAAGAAUUUUGUAAGGACCAACAUAACGGGGACUAAGCUUCCCCUUCUUUCCGAAUCUCUUCACCCCCCUCAUGGGUGAAAUUUUCAGANNNNNNNNNNNNNNNNNNNNNNNNNNNNNNNNNNNNNNNNNNNNNNNNNNNNNNNNNNNNNNNNNNNNNNNNNNNNNNNNNNNNNNNNNNNNNNNNNNNNNNNNNNNNNNNNNNNNNNNNNNNNNNNNNNNNNNNNNNNNNNNNNNNNNNNNNNNNNNNNNNNNNNNNNNNNNNNNNNNNNNNNNNNNNNNNNNNNNNNNNNNNNNNNNNNNNNNNNNNNNNNNNNNNNNNNNNNNNNNNNNNNNNNNNNNNNNNNNNNNNNNNNNNNNNNNNNNNNNNNNNNNNNNNNNNNNNNNNNNNNNNNNNNNNNNNNNNNNNNNNNNNNNNNNNNNNNNNNNNNNNNNNNNNNNNNNNNNNNNNNNNNNNNNNNNNNNNNNNNNNNNNNNNNNNNNNNNNNNNNNNNNNNNNNNNNNNNNNNNNNNNNNNNNNNNNNNNNNNNNNNNNNNNNNNNNNNNNNNNNNNNNNNNNNNNNNNNNNNNNNNNNNNNNNNNNNNNNNNNNNNNNNNNNNNNNNNNNNUAUCAACCACAACCCAAAUGGAAUCAUGAUGUCAUCAGGAAGGAGGUAAACCAAUCAUGAAGUCCAUAUUUAUCUCUUCCCACUUCCAGGUGGGAAUACUAAACUCUUGCAUCAUAUCACCAGGUCUUUGGUGUUCAACCUUAACCUGUUGGCAUAUUGCACACUUAGCUACAAAUGCUGCUAUAUCUUUCUUAAUGCCACUCCACCAAUAGAUUUCCCGCAAGUCUUGAUUCAUCUUGGUGGCACCAGGAUGAAUAAAAUAUCGCGCCUCGUGCGCUUCAUCCAUAAUCCUCUAUCUCAGGUCAUCAACAUUGGGGAUACAAAAUCUACCCUGUAAUCUCAACACACCAUCUCCCUCUUGGGAGAAAACCUCUACUUUUUGGUCCUUGACUGACGCCUUUAGUCUGACCAAACUACCAUCUAAGUAUUGCUUUUCCUUCACUUCCAAAACCAAGGAGGAUUCGGAACUACUCUGAACCCCUAUACUACCUUUAGCAGAGUCAAACAUCCUAACCCCCAAUCAAGCCAAACGAUGUACAUUAAUGAUCCAACUCUUUCUUACCUUAUACCACCUGCGAAACACUACCCAUGGACACUCUACUUAGGGUAUUCGCCACAAUAUUGGCCUUCCUCGGAUGGUACAACACACUCAUAUCAUAGUCCUUUAACAAUUAUAACCAUCGUCUCUGCCUAAGAUUCAAUUCUCUCUAGGUAAACACAUGCUACAGACUCUUAUGAUUAGUGAAAACAUCAACAUGGACACCAUACAAAUAGUGUCUUUAGAUUUUCAAAGCAAACACAAUAGCAGCCAACUCAAGGUCAUGGGNNNNNNNNNNNNNNNNNNNNNNNNNNNNNNNNNNNNNNNNNNNNNNNNNNNNNNNNNNNNNNNNNNNNNNNNNNNNNNNNNNNNNNNNNNNNNNNNNNNNNNNNNNNNNNNNNNNNNNNNNNNNNNNNNNNNNNNNNNNNNNNNNNNNNNNNNNNNNNNNNNNNNNNNNNNNNNNNNNNNNNNNNNNNNNNNNNNNNNNNNNNNNNNNNNNNNNNNNNNNNNNNNNNNNNNNNNNNNNNNNNNNNNNNNNNNNNNNNNNNNNNNNNNNNNNNNNNNNNNNNNNNNNNNNNNNNNNNNNNNNNNNNNNNNNNNNNNNNNNNNNNNNNNNNNNNNNNNNNNNNNNNNNNNNNNNNNNNNNNNNNNNNNNNNNNNNNNNNNNNNNNNNNNNNNNNNNNNNNNNNNNNNNNNNNNNNNNNNNNNNNNNNNNNNNNNNNNNNNNNNNNNNNNNNNNNNNNNNNNNNNNNNNNNNNNNNNNNNNNNNNNNNNNNNNNNNNNNNNNNNNNNNNNNNNNNNNNNNNNNNNNNNNNNNNNNNNNNNNNNNNNNNNNNNNNNNNNNNNNNNNNNNNNNNNNNNNNNNNNNNNNNNNNNNNNNNNNNNNNNNNNNNNNNNNNNNNNNNNNNNNNNNNNNNNNNNNNNNNNNNNNNNNNNNNNNNNNNNNNNNNNNNNNNNNNNNNNNNNNNNNNNNNNNNNNNNNNNNNNNNNNNNNNNNNNNNNNNNNNNNNNNNNNNNNNNNNNNNNNNNNNNNNNNNNNNNNNNNNNNNNNNNNNNNNNNNNNNNNNNNNNNNNNNNNNNNNNNNNNNNNNNNNNNNNNNNNAGUUCGAAAAGUAGUUUUCGGGAUGUCACACUCCCUAACUUUGAGUUGAUAGUCAGAACGAAGGUCUAUCUUUGAGAAAUAACUUGCACCUUGAAAUUGGUCAAACAAAUCAUCUAUUCUCAGAAGGGGGUACUUAUUUUUUACGGUGACUUUAUUCAGUUGGCGGUAAUCAAUGCACAUACACUAAGAGCCAUCUUUCUUUCUCAUAAACAACACAGGAGCACCCCAAGAAAUGGGCUGAGUAUCGGGAAGAGGAUAAAUUUUGAACUCUAUCUCUCUAUCAGGAGGUAUCCCUGGGAGAUCAUCCAGAAAGAAAUCAGAAAACUGAUUGACGACGUUAACAGAUUGAAGAGUUGGAGUCUCAGACUUAGUGUCUUUGACUCUAACCAAAUGGUAAAUACACCCCUUGCAAAUAAGCUUUCUAGCUUUAGGGUAAGAGGUAAAAUGACUCUUGGGUGACACAGAAUUCCCAGACCACUCAAAAAUGGAUGCACCCGGAAACUGAAACUUGACCACUCGGGUCCGACAAUCAAUAGAGGCAUAAGAAGAAUAUAGCUAGUCCAUACCCAGAAUCACAUCAAAAUCUACCAUGUCUAACUCAAUCAGAUCAGCCAACAAAACUCUAUGAAGAACGGUAACAUGACACUUUUUAUACACUUUCUGGGCAACAAUCAAAUCACCCACUGGGGUAGAAACUAGGAUAGGCUCAAGAAUAAUCUCAGGACUCAUUUCAACAUUCACAGUAAUCAAAGGUGUAACAUAUGAGAAACUGGAUCCAGGAUUCAACAAAGCAUACACAUAGAACUGAAAUAUACGAAGCAUACCAGUAACAACAUUGGGAGAGUCCUCCUGUUCCUGGCAGGAUGGUAAAGCAUAGAAUCUAUUCUGGCACUGCCCGCCAGCAUUGCUAGAAGAGGUGCCCUGAGCUGCGGCUGGGCGAGUCACUAGAACUGGAGCACUAACAGUCUUAGUCUGGGUCUGAGGGCGAUAGUCACGGUGCCUUUGUCCAUCCUAUGGAAAAUAUCUAAAUCUGUGACCCAUGUCACCACAUCGGAAACAACCCCUCUUCUCACCCCAAUACUCACCCGAAUGAGCCCUACCACACUUAGGACACAAGGGAUUAUUUGGCUUACUGCCAGCACUGUACUAGGACCUGGAUGCAUAUGAACUGCUACCUUGAUCCUGCCUACCUCUAGGCACGGGAGCACUAGAAGAUGACGGUGCUGGCAUAGACGAACAAUCCGGAUACUGAGGGCGACUCCCUCCCUAUGAUCUAGUUUGACCCUGUCUAUGCUGCUCGAACCUAACUCUUUUAUUCUCUCUCAUUCUAUCUCUCUCCUUAAUCUUGUCUGCCUCUAUUUGUUUGGCAUGAGUCAUCAACCUAGAAAGAUUCAUCUCACUAUUUAGCAAACCAACACUCCUUAACCACAUAACUAGAUACUCCAGUCACUAACUUACUCAUACUAACCUGAUUAUCAGCCACUAAGUUAGGAGCACACUUGGCAAAAUGAUUGAACUUUAGACAGUACUCCCUAAUAGUCAUAGAGCCCUGUCGCAGGUUCAUAAACUCUUCCACCUUUGCCUCCCUCAUCUCCAAAGGGAAAAACUUACACAGGAGUGUAUCUUAGAACACUUCCCAAGUUGUAGGGACAGCUCCCUCACCUCUACUUUUUCUUCAAGCAACAACCUAAUCAUAAGCAAGGUCUUUCAACCUAUAUGCAGCCAACUCCACACUAUGUUCCUCAUAUACAUGCAUCACCUGAGUAAUCUUUCGUACCUCCUCUAAAAACAAUCGUGGAUCCUUAUUAGAUUUGGACCCAUAGAAUUCUGAUGGAUUCAUCCGCAUGAAGUCAUGGAUCCUGGCAGCAGCUGAAUCACCUCCCUGAUGCUAUGGAGCUGGGGCCAGGUUGGCCUGAACAUUUACAGUAAUAGCUUGGACCGGCGCCUGAAAGGCUACCCAAAAUUUAGCAUGAGACACAUUUUCAUUCAAUGGGUCAGCGGGUUAAGCUUGCUGACCAUCAUUAUUUCUUCUCGCUCUAUGUGGAGGCAUAUUUCUGAAAGAGGAGAGCACUAAUCAAUAGCAGAGAGAGACACUUUAAGAAUGAUAGACUUCUAAAAGAAAGAAUCAUACUUUUUCCUAAAACGUCUUGUAGCCUCUUGCUCAUAGAUGUGGCGCGCUGCACACCGAUGAUCAAGACUCUACUUAACACGGCUUCUCAGACUCCCUAGGAUAGCUUAAAAUCUUAGGCUCUGAUACCAAGUUUGUAACGCCCAAAAAAUGGGUCUCAGAGCGUCACACGGUGCUUGAGGCUACGUGUAGCCCCAAGCUAACCCUUUGAUUCAUUUUCAUUCAGUUCAACACAAAUCAACGGGGUUUCUAUAAAUAGACCUCAAAUAUCAACAAAAUAAUCAUCAUCCAAGAAUUAAAGUAUUUCAAAAAGAUAACAAAAUAUGACUUAUUAGUCAACUCCUAACAUCUAUACUAGUCUGAUAAGCCUCUAAGAAAAUCAAUAAAACCAAUGAGCCAUUGAGACAUCCCCCAACUGACUCAUACUCAGUUAUCAAAUGUAAAUAANNNNNNNNNNNNNNNNNNNNNNNNNNNNNNNNNNNNNNNNNNNNNNNNNNNNNNNNNNNNNNNNNNNNNNNNNNNNNNNNNNNNNNNNNNNNNNNNNNNNNNNNNNNNNNNNNNNNNNNNNNNNNNNNNNNNNNNNNNNNNNNNNNNNNNNNNNNNNNNNNNNNNNNNNNNNNNNNNNNNNNNNNNNNNNNNNNNNNNNNNNNNNNNNNNNNNNNNNNNNNNNNNNNNNNNNNNNNNNNNNNNNNNNNNNNNNNNNNNNNNNNNNNNNNNNNNNNNNNNNNNNNNNNNNNNNNNNNNNNNNNNNNNNNNNNNNNNNNNNNNNNNNNNNNNNNNNNNNNNNNNNNNNNNNNNNNNNNNNNNNNNNNNNNNNNNNNNNNNNNNNNNNNNNNNNNNNNNNNNNNNNNNNNNNNNNNNNNNNNNNNNNNNNNNNNNNNNNNNNNNNNNNNNNNNNNNNNNNNNNNNNNNNNNNNNNNNNNNNNNNNNNNNNNNNNNNNNNNNNNNNNNNNNNNNNNNNNNNNNNNNNNNNNNNNNNNNNNNNNNNNNNNNNNNNNNNNNNNNNNNNNNNNNNNNNNNNNNNNNNNNNNNNNNNNNNNNNNNNNNNNNNNNNNNNNNNNNNNNNNNNNNNNNNNNNNNNNNNNNNNNNNNNNNCAGUUGUAUAAACAUCAUCAUCAUAAAUAUUUAUAAGAAAUAUGCGGGAUGUAUGAAAGACUCACAUAUCCCAAAGAAAAUCAUCAUAAUCAUGGGAGGAUGAAAUAAGUACAAUAACACAUAUGAGUCAUCAUAUAAUUUGUCAAUCACUUUCAGUUUAUCAAGAAUAUCAAUUCUCAUAAUGUAAAUAUCAUUUAAAUCUUUCGAAAAAAUAACUUUCACAAUUUCACUUUCAAAUCACUUCACCAUUCACCAUAGACACAAGGAAGCACACACACACUGGGAGAUCCUAUAACCGACAUAAACCAUGUGAGCUACAUGGAGUACAACGUACAACCACGUUGGGGAGAGUCAUUCUAUCCUUGCCAUCGAAGUAAGACUAUCGAUAUCAAAUCCACACAAACUAGUGAUCACUAUAUAAAUCAGCCUCAGGCUCACUUCUAUGGGGGCACAUAGUUCUAGGGAAGUAAGGUCGCCUUAUACCUCCCACUCGGUGCUAAAGAUUUCUCCUGGACUUAGCUCACAUCAUUUCAAAGACAAUCCAUAACAAAAUAAUUUUUAGCAAUAUAUAAAUAUAUAUCGGGAGCCAUCAUGCUACCCAUCUAUCAAAAUCAACAAUGUUGUGGAUUUCUUUCACACUCGAGUUCAAAACAACUUCAUUAAGACCAAAAGGUCAAAUCAUUCAAAAUAUCUCAAAUAUUGAAAAACCCCACAUACAUUGAAUGAUGAACUUUAGAUUGAUACUUGUUUUUGAGAUGUUAAUCAUGCCUUUGAAUGAUGGUUCUUGGAGUUCUUGAACUAGGAGCUUGGAAUUUUGAAUAAAUUUGCAGAAUUAAUGAACUUUGGAGGUUUUUGAAGUUGGAUGUAGGAGCUUAGGGUUUUCUUUUUGAGGAAAUUUGAUGAAAUAUAACAUAUAAUACUUCUAAUGGGAUUUAAUAUAGGGUUUGGAUGGAUUUUGGGUGAGGCGGGAUGACCAAAACGCCCCUAAAAAUCAAAUAAUUCUCGAAUCUGUCCUUUGGUGGAAUGUUUUGAUAGUUUGAAGUAGAUCAACCAUAACAUUUUACUCUGAUAUCCAAAUUGGAUGAAACUAAUUUCAUUAGAAAGAGGACUCUCAUAUCUUUCCAUUGAUAUAUAGUAUGUCACCCAGAUCAUUGUUUAAGAGGAGUUAUGAUCGUUUGAAGUUUACCUAAAAAUUUGCUUUUGGUAGGCUGAAGUAGAUCAACCAUAACUUUUUGCUCCGAUAGACAAAUUGGAUGAAACCAAUUUCAUUGGAAAGAGAACUCAUAGAGCUUUUCGUUAAUAUAUAGUAGAUCACCUAGAUCAAUAUGUACAAGGAGUUAUGAUCAUUUAAAUUUGUAGCAAAAAUACGCCAGGCCUCAGUACUUUUUCCUGGAUGUUUUACUGUUCACUACUAUUCAUGGUUCAAUUGAAAUGUUCAUAACUCGUCGCUCGGGUGUCUGUUUUGGAUGAUCCACAUAUCGUUGGAAAUCUUAUUCGAUACUCUACGCAAUGGUGGGUCAUAAUCUAAGACAUUCCUCAUGAAAAAUUUACAAUUUAUUCUAGAAGAUAGAACCCAACACAUUUACGCACAAAAUUUCAACGAAAAAUUUCCCGGGGUAUUACACUACUAGGUAUUUAAGAAUGUUCCUCUUAUUUGUGAUUUAGUUCAUGCUUCAAAUUCUAAUAUCUCCCCUAAUCAAUGACCUCUUACUUUUUAGAAAACCAGUGAUGCCUCCCCGUCGCACCAACAUUAAUACUGAGGAUGAUGAAGUCCAUCCCACCCAUGGGAUAUGGACCCGUAACAGAGCUCAUACCCUAAAAUAUAUUCCUACUCCGGGAGUACCUUAUGUACUAACUAGUCCUCCCAGAGCUCUCCAUACGGGGGCCAGUCGCACUUAGCCUCGUGAAGGAGAGGUUUCUAAUGCUGAAUUCAGACAAUCUAUUCAUAUUUUUUCACAGCUGGUAGCUACACAGACUCAUAGAUUAGAGAAUACUAGGUAUGCAUCUAUUACUUUUGAAGUUACUAGAGUAGGCCAGUUCAUGAGAAUGAACUUGCCCAAGUUCUCUGGCGCUAAGGUAGAAGAGGACCCGCAGGAGUUCGUGUAUGAAAUGGAGAAGAUUUUUAAAGUAAUGCAUGUUGAUCAAGUGGAGGGUGUUAAGCUAUCAUUAUACCAGCCAAAGGAUGUAGCGAACCAAUGGUACAAUGAGUGGGAAGAUACGAAGGGUGACAGUGCUAAGCCCACAGUUUAGGACAAGUUCGUGAAAGCUUUACUUGACCGAUUCUUUCCUCUAGAGCUGAGAAAAGAUAAAGUAGAGGAGUUUAUGAACCUUAAGUAGGGUAAGAUAAGUUUUCAAGAGUAUACUUUAAUGUUUAACCAACUGGACCGUUAUGCUCCUGAGAUGAUGAGUAGUAUGAGGGCCCGAAUGAGGAAGUUUGCUUCUGGCCUUUUAGAUGACCUAGUUCUUGGGUGUCAGGGAGCUAUGCUGAACAGGGAUAUGGAAUUUGCUAGACUAUCAGUCCACAUGCAGUAAGUUGAGGAGAAUAAGAAGAAGAUAAUUGAAUCUAGGGAAAACUAUAGGUAGAUAAAGAGAGCCAAACCGAAAGACCAGAGUCAUAGUCAACAGUAGAGCGGUAAUUGGGGAGAAAAAUGGCAAAAGAAAAAGAAUUAGGGUUAUGCACAAUCGGCAGCUAGUGCUUCGGUGACCAGACACACAGCUGAGCAGCGCACCCAGAAUUUUCAGUUUAGUCAGGGGCUGAGGAUGUAGGGUACGCAGUCGUAGGGAAGUGUAGCCCAGACCUCUCGGUCCUAUCCGCACUAUGGGAGAUACAGGGGAAAUCAUGUAGGGAGAUGUCAGUUUGACACUUUGGUGUGUUAUUCAUGUGGCCAGAUGGGCCAUAUCCAGAGAGACUGUGCAGUAGCAAAGAGUAGUGUUGGAGGAGCCAAGUCGCAGGCAAACUCAUCUGCACCACCACCUCAAAAGGGUUCCACUUUAGCCAUCGAAAAUGGUCGGAACUAGUUGUAUGCUUUGACUAAUCGCCAAGAGGCAAAGGCCUCACUAGAUGUAGUCACCGGUAUAUUGCAAAUAUUUUCUUUUGAUGUGUAUGUAUUACUUGAUCCCAAGUCUACCUUAUCUUAUGUGACCCCAUACGUGUCUGUUGGUUUUAGGUUUGAGCUUGAUGUGAUUGUUGAACCUUUUUUAGUUUCCACCCCGGUAGGAGAUUCUGUUGUGUCUAAGAGGGUGUAUAGAAAUUAUUUUGUGUCUAUUUUCAGCUGGGAUACUGAGGCCGAUCUCAUAGAACUUGAUAUGGUUGAUUUUGAUGCCAUCUUAGGGAUAGACUGGCUCCAUUCGUGCUAUGCCACCUUGAAUUAUAGGACCCAAAGAGUCACCUUUUCUUUUCUGAAUGAGUCGAUGAUAGAAUGGGGAGGGGGCAAUCUCUAGCACCUAGAGGGCAUUUCAUAGCUUAUCUUAGGGCCCAUAAACUUAUUUCCAAAGGUUGCUUGUAUCAUCUUAUUUGGGUUAAAAAUUCUAGUGCCGAAAGCCUUUCUCUUCAGUCUGUCUCCGUAGUGAAUAAAUUCUCAAAAGUUUUUCCAGAUGAUCUCCUAGGAAUACCACCUAAUAGGGAGAUAGAGUUUGGUAUUGAUUUAUUGCGAGAUACCUGUCCUGAUUCUAUUCCGCCAUAUCGGAUGGCCCCUGCAGAGCUAAAAGAGUUGAAAGAACAGCUAGUAGAUCUUCUAGAUAAAAUUUUUAUCCACCCCAGUGUGUCUCCCUGUGGUGCACCUGUACUUUUUGUAUGAAAGAAAGAUGGUUCCCUUUGUAUGUGCAUAGAUUACUGCCAGUUGAAUAAGGUCACGAUUAAAAAUAAAUAUCUCCUUCCUAGAAUUGAUGAUCUUUUGGAUCAACUUCAGGGUGCUAAAUGUUUUUCAAAGAUAGAACUUCAUUUGGGAUAUCACCUGUUGAAAGUUAGAGUGCUAGAUAUUCCUAAAACAUCUUUUCGAACCAGAUAUAGCCAUUAUGAAUUCUUAGUCAUGUCUUUCAGGUUGUCUAACGCCCUUGCAGCUUUCAUGGAUCUAAUGAAUAGGGUUUUUCAUUAGUUUCUAGAUCUGUUUGUCAUUGUAUUCAUUAAUGACAUUUUGGUAUAUUAUAAGAGUGAGGAGGACCAUGCCAAUCAACUCCAAAUCAUCCUUCAAACCCUUAAAGAUCAUAAAUUGUAUGCAAAAUUUUCCAAGUGGGAAUUCUGGUUGAACGCUAUUGCAUUCGUGGGGCAUAUCAUGUCUUGUGAAGGGAUUAAGGUUGAUCCCCAAAAGAUUGAGGAUGCGAUAAAAUGGCCUAGACCCACGACUCCAACCGACAUUCGGAGCUUCUUGGGUUUGGUGGGUUAUUACAAAAGAUUCGGCAAGAGUUUUUCUUCCAUAGCUGCAUUACUUACUAAGUUGACUCAGAAAAAGGUGAUGUUUUUGUGGUCUAACUCUUGUGAGAAUAGUUUUGAGAAGUUGAAAGAAAAGUUGACUACUGCUCCUAUUCCGACCAUUUUAGAGGGUACAUAAGGUUUUGUUGUAUACUGUGAUGCAUCCUGAGUAGGACUUGGGUGUGUCUUUAUACAGCACGGUAAGGUAGUGGCUUAUGCAUCUAGGCAGUUGAAGGUGCAUGAACGAAACUACCUACUCAUGACUUGGAUUUAGCGGCUAUGGUUUUUGUACUUAAGAUCUGGAGGCACUAUUUGUAUGGGGUAUACGUUGAUAUAUUUACUGACCACAAGAGUUUAUAGUAUGUUUUCUUGCAGAAAGAAUUGAAUCUCAGGAAGAGGCGGUGGUUGGAACUUUUAAAAGACUAUGACAUAAGCCUUCACUAUCAUCCGGGCAAGGCAAAUGUGGUAACCGACGCCCUCAACAGGUUAUCUAUGGGCAGUCUUUCUCAUGUGGGGAAUGAAAAGAGGGAGAUGGUGAAGGAUAUUCACUGACUUGCAAAUCUAGGAGUGCAACUUUUCGAUUCCGAUGAUGGAGGAGUAGUUGUUCAUGAGAUAACUAAAUCUUCCCUUUGUACAGAAGUUAAAGAGAAGCAGGUCAAAGAUCCCAUCUUGAUGCAGAUCAAGAAAGAUGUGGGUCAACAAAAGGUAAUGACAUUUGAAAUUGGUGGUGAUGGUGUUUUGAGAUACCGGGGUAGAUUGUGUGUGCCAGAUUUUGAUGGUCUGAGGAAGAGAAUCCUUGACGAAGCUCACACGUCGACAUAUAUUGUUCACCCUGACUCUACUAAGAUGUAUCAGGAUUUGAAAACCAUUUAUUGGUGGAAUAAUAUGAAGCGUGAUGUGGCUAACUAUGUUGCCAAAUGUUUGAAUUGUCAACAAGUUAACAUAGGAGAAACAUUUAGAAAUACCUAAUCACCAACCUCGAAUUCCAACUCCCUUCUUCUAACAUCGGCAUAGGAUUUUUGUCUACUCUGAGCUGUCUUAAGUCAUUCCCUAAUAAGUUUAACAUUUUCCAUUGCCUGGUGAACAAGAUCAGGCCUAAACAACUGAGUUUCGCCUACCUCAUACCAUCCUAUAGGCGACCUAUAUCUUCUUCCUUACAACGUUUCAAAAAGGAGCCAUCUUAAUUCUGGCAUGGUAGCUAUUAUUAUUUGCAAACUCUAUUAGAGUCAAGUGAUCCACCCAACUACCCUUGAAAUCAAUAACACAGGCUCUCAACAUAUCCUCUAGGGUCUGAAUGGUGUGCUCAACUUUCCCAUUCAUCUAAGGGUGAAAUGCAGUACUUAGGUUCACUUGAGUACCUAAACCCCUCUGAAAAGACCUCAAAAACUAUGAAGAAAAUUGUGUACCUCGAUAAGAUAUGAUGGAUACUGGUGUUCCAUGCAAACAGAUUAUUUCCUCAAUGUCAAUCUUGGAAUAAUUAUCUCCCGAAUAGUUGGUCCUAACAGGCAGAAAAUGGGCUGACUUAGUCAGCUGAUUAACAAUUACCAAAAUGGAAUCAUAUUGGUUUCGAGGCCUCGGAAGCCCCGUAAUGGUCCAUAUUGACCAUUUCCCACUUCCACAAAGGUAAGGCUAUCUCUUGGGAUUUACCACCUCGCCUUAAAUGCUCUACUUUAACUUGCUGACAAUUCAAACACUUGGCAACAAAGUUAGCCACAUCACAUUUCAUAUUAUUCCACCAGUAUAUAGCUUUUAAAUCAUGACACAUCUUAGUAUAACCUGGAUAAACAACAUCCCUCAAAGUGUGAGCUUCGUCAAGGAUUCUUUUUUGCAUACCAUCCACAUCUGGCACAUAUAAUCUCCCCUGAUAUCUCAAAAUACCAUCACCACCAAUUUCAAAUAACAUCACCUUCUGCUGACCCACAUUAUUCUUAAUUUUCAUCAAGAUGGGAUCUUCGGUUUGCUUUUCUUUAACUUCUGUACAAAGGAAAGAUUUAGCUAUCUCAUGAACAACCACACCCCCAUCCUUGGAAUCUAAGAGUUGUACCCCAAGAUUUGCAAUUCUGUGAAUAUCCUUCACCAUUUCCCUCUUUCCUUCCUCAACAUGAGAAAGACUACCCAUAGACAACCUGCUGAGGGUAUCAGCUACAAUAUUUACCUUACCCGGAUGAUAGUGAAGGCUCAUGUCAUAAUCUUUCAAAAGGUCUAUCCAACUCCUAUGCCUGAGGUUUAAUUCUUUCUGUGAGAAAAUAUACUGCAAACUUUUGUGGUCAGUGAAAAUAUCAACAUGCACCCCAUAAAGAUAAUGCCGCCAGAUUCUAAGUGCAAACACCACAGCCGCUAAUUCUAAGUCAUGGGUAGGGUAAUUGCGCUCAUGUACUUUUAACUGCCUAGAUGCAUAAACCACCACCUUAUAUACUGCAUAAGAAUACAUCCAAGUCCCAUUCGGGAUGCAUCGCAGUAUACAACAAAACCUUCUGUACCUUUCAUAAGAUUCAGUACAGGUGCAGUAGUCAAUUUUUCCUUCAACUUCUCAAAACUACUCUCAAAUGAGUCAGACCAAACAAAUUUCACCUUUUUCUGGGUCAAUUUAGUAAGUCGAGAAGCUAUGGAAGAAAAAUUCUCUAUGAAUCUUCUGUAAUACCUUGACAAACCCAAGAAGCUCUGGAUGUCGAUUAGAGUUGUGGGUCUGGGCCAUUUUCUCACUGCCUCAAUCUUUUGGGGAUCAACCUUAAUUCCCUCACAAGACACAAUAUGCCCCAAGAGAGAAAUAACAUUCAACCAGAAUUCACAUUUGAAGAAUUUUGCAUACAACUUAUGAUCCUUGAGAGUCUGAAGGAUCAUUCAGAGAUGAUUGGCAUGAUCCUCCCCACUCUUAGAAUAGGCCCAAAUUUCAUCAAUAAAAACUAUGAAAAACAGAUCUAGAAAUUGACGGAAGACCCUAUUUAUUAGAUCCAUAAAAGCUGCAGGGGCGUUAGUUAAUUCGAAGGACAUGACUAAGAAUUUGUAAUGGCCGUAUCUGGUUUGGAAAGCUAUUUUAGGAAUAUCUAACUCUCUAAAUUUGAACUGAUAGUAUCCCGAACGAAGGUCUAUCUUUUAAAAACAUUUAGCACCCUGGAGUUGGUCGAACAAAUCGUCAAUUCUAGGCAGAGGGUACUUAUUUUAAAUGGUGACCUUAUUCAGCUGGCGGUAAUCUAUGCACAUACGCAAGGAGCCAUUUUUCGUUCACACGAAAAGUACAGGUGCAGUCCAGGGAGAAAUACUAGGACGAAUAAAACCGUUAUCUAGAAGAUCUGCUAGCUGCUCUUUCAUCUCUUUCAACUCUACUGGAGCCAUUCUAUAUGGAGAAAUAGAGAUGGGACGGGUAUCUGGCAAUAAAUCAAUGCCAAAAUCUAUCUCUGUAUCAUGUGGUAUUCCUGGGAGAUCAUCAGGAAAGGCUUCUAGAAACUCAUUUACCACAGAGACUAACUGAAGAGGUGGACUCUCAAUAUUAGAAUCUUUCACUCAAAUCAGAUGAUAUAGACAACCCCUGAAAAUGAUCUUACAAGCUCUAAGAUAAGAUAUAAAGUGCCCUCUAGGUGCUAAAGAAUGCCCUUCCCAUUCUACCACUGGUUCAUUUGGAAAGGAAAAAUUAAUCUUUCGAGUUCUACAGUCUAGUGUGGCAUAACAUGAAUGAAGCCAUUAUGUCCAUAUGAUGGCAUCAAAAUUGACCAUAUCAAGCUCUACGAGGUCUGCUACUGUAUCCCGGCUAAAAAUAGACACAACGCAAUUCUUUUACACUCUCUUAGCCACAAUAGGGUCACCUACUGAGGUGGAAAUAGAAAAAGGUUCAGCAAUCACAUCAGGCUCAAACCCAAAACCAACAGCUACAUAAGGGGUCACAUAGGAUAAGGUAGACCCAAGAUCUAGUAACACAUAAACAUCAUGUGAAAAGAUUUGCAACGUACCGGUGACUACAACAGGUGAGGCUUCUGCCUCCUGAUGGUUGGACAAAUCAUAUAGCCGGUUGCGACCACUCCCGACGGCUGAAGUAGUGUCCUUUUGAGGAGGUGGUGGCGCGAAAGAAUUUGCAUGUGACUUAGCUCCACUAAAAUUUCUCCUAUUGGAGGGACAAUUUCUUUGAAAGUGACCCGACUGACCACAUGAAUAACACACCAGCUUGCCCAACUGACACCUCCCUGGGUGUUUCUUUUCGCAUGUCUCACACCACGAACAAUGACGGUACUGCUGAGCCACACUGCCCUGUGACUGAGUAUCCUGAGCUCUGGGUCCAUGACUAGUUUGAAAACUUGAGAUCGUCUAUCAAAUGGGGUUCUGGGAGCUGAGGCGCUAGCUGCAGACUACGCAUUACUCCAAAACUUCUUCUUUUGCCAUCUAUUUCCCCAAUUACCACUCUGUCCUUGAUUGUUGUUCUGAUCCACUGUUCUGGCUUUCUUUGCCUGUCUGUCCUUCUCCCUAGAUUUGGUGAUUUUCUUUUCUUCACUUCUACCUGCUGCAUGUGAACUGACAACCUAGCAACGUCCAUAUACCUAUUUAGCAUCGCCCUUUGACAUUCAAGUUCUAGAUCAUCUGAAAGGCCAGAUGCAAAUUUACUCAUCCGGGCUCUCAUAUUUCCUAUCAUCUCUGGUGCAUAACGGGCCAGUUGGUUAAAAUAUCCAGAGUGUACUCUUGGACACUCAUUUUCUCCUGUUUAAGAUUCAUAAAUUCUUUUGCGUUGGCUUUCCUCAAAUCCAGAGGAAAGAAUUAGUCAAGAAAAGUUUCCACGAACUCGCCCCAAACUGUGGGCUCAACACUCUCACCCUUCGUCUCUUCCCACUCGUUAUACCAUUGGUUCGCUACAUCCUUAAGCUAGUAUGAUGCUAACUCAACCCCUUUUACCUGAUCCAUAUGCAUUGCUCUGAGAAUCUUCUCUAUUUUGUCUAUGAACUCCUGGGGGUCCUCUUCUACCUUAGUGCCAGAAAAUUCGGGCGGGUUCAUUUUCAUGAACUGGCCCACCCUAGUAUCCUCAGAAGUAACAGAUACAGACCCAGUAUCUUUCGACCUCUGAGUUUGAGCGGCUACUAGCUGUGAAAACAUAUGAAUGAACUGUCUGAAUUCUGCAUUUGAUAUGUCCCUCUAAGAAUACUGGGGACGAUUAACAUUUGUUCUUGGAGCUCGAGGAGGACUGGUCGGGAUUGGAGGUACUCUCAGAGUAGGAACAGGUUUUGGGGUGUGCGCUCUAUUACGGGUCCGCAUACUAUGGGUGGGGUGGACUUCAUCAUCCUAAGUAUCCUGGUUAUUGGAGAGACGAGGAGGCAUGGUUGUUUUCUAAAAUACAAUAGAUCACUAAUUAGGGGACAAUUCUAAUUCAGACUUUAAAGCACGAACUAAAUCACAAAGAGGGGAAACACUUUCCUAAACGCCUAGUAGCCUCCUGCUUAUAAGUGUGGCAUGCUACACACCCAUAAACAAGAUUCUACCUGAUGCGAUUUCGCAGACACCCUGGGAUCAUGAACCGUACUCUGAUACCAAGUUUGUCAUAAACUGAACCGAGGCCCUAGCCGCGAUGAGCAUCCCGAACCAUAAACGCCCGAGAAACCUUCUAACUCAUAAUAAUGUACACCAUUCAUAUACAAAUAGAAAAUGCGGAAUAAUACAAAAUAAAAUAGAAUAAUGGUCAUAAAUCUGAUAUAAUUUGAACUAUGGAAAAUGAAAUCCAAACCGUCUAACGAUAUCUGAAAACUGUCUGCGAAAUCUCUACUACAUGACCACUAACAAAAUCUAAAAACUGGGACAAGGCCACCAGUAGACCAAAAACAUAACUAAUAAUAAUUGACUGAAAGUAAACAGUCAUUCUGGAAUAUAGAAGGCUCACCAACUAGACACUGCAUGAAAUCUACUGCUUAUCUAGACCCCUAGACUGAGCCUCAGAACCUGAGAGGUAGGAGUAGGGUUCAAUACAGAUAUACUGGUACACAAAGUAAUCCAAAAUAAAGCUUUUAUAUAAAUAAAAUAAUGGAGAGCAAUUUGUCAAAACAUCAUAGAUAAAAUAGUUUUCAAAACACAUGGGCAUCUUUCUGAAAAAAAAGCCAUAAAACAUUCUUGACAAUGAAGUUUCUGAUCUUUGUAUUAAUUCUGAGUUAGGUGGUACACUCCUACAAGUUUAAACUCCACGGGAAAUAUGGAGUCCUCCAUGACUCGGCGGGGAAUCCCCCAACCCAAGUGUACCGCAAGGGUUGGAGUGUCUAAGUCUUAUACACCACAGAGCACUAGGCCAGCGUAUAAUAAUAUACCAGGAUCGUCAAAUCACAGUUUUGGGCAAUGAGUUGUCUGAAACUCGUGCCUUCUUCGGGGACCACCCAACAUCUCUUUGUGCCCAAUUUUAAUCCAUUUCUAGCACAUAUCAUUCUAAAAUCUUAAGUCAUGAAAAUCUGGUUUCUAAGCUUGUUUGAGUCUAUUAUGGCAUUGUUUAUUUUGGUAUCAUCAUACCAAGACUUGCAAGUCAUAAUUAUAAGCCAUAAUUCAUUAAGCAUAAUUCUUUCAUUAAAACUCAAUUUAUACCACCUAGCUUUGCAAAUAGUAUAAGAGAUUUCAUAUUCCGAAACAUAAGUCAAAACUAUGCAAGAAUCCUUCAAACGUAUGGUGGUCAUGUGCUUUUGGAAAAAUCAUGCACUCUUUUAUUAUAUGAAUAUUUUCAACAUUUAUCAACACAACUACCCUCUCUUUUAAAAUCCAAAUCGUAAUCCAAUCAUAACACAAUUCAAGACAUUUUAUACCAUGCUUUUCAAGGAUGCAUUCAAAAUAAUCUAUAGCAUACGAUAAGUAAAGAAAAAUCAAAACAAGAGAGGGAUUUUACAUAAAUCACGCUCUCAAUUAAAUUAUCAACCUUAAAUCACAAGCAUACAUAUAUACACAAUUUCAAAUCAAUGUAGUGGAGGGUCAAAAGACCAAAACAAUACCGUCAAGAUUUCUAAAACAUGAAUGUAUUUAUAUAUUUGAAAACCCUUUCUUAAAAUCAUGAUUUCUAUGCCUAUGAAAUUUUAGGAAAACCCCACGUACCUCUAUUUAGGAAAUUAAAGAAUGCUUCUUGAUGCCUACGGCUUGGGGAUUCCAAAUCUUUAAUUUAUUUCGAAACCCACGGUUGAAUCUUGAGUUAUUUGGGUUUUUAGUUUGAAACCCUUGGGAUUGUUCUUGAUGAAUUUUGGAGAAAAUAUGUAUAAUGUGGUUAUUUGGGAGCUUGAUCCCAUGUUUAAGAUGUUAUAGGGAUUGGAAAAUACCCUCAAUAUCAUGGGAAAAACUGAAUAAUUGGCUUGGGGCGCCAGGAGAGGUGCCGCCCUGGCUGGACCGCUGCUCUAAGCAAGGCGCCGCCUUGCCUAUCGAGGGGUCCCCCAGAAAAGGCUCCAGGCAAGGCGUCGUAGGCCAAAUGCCUUUUGGCCACUGGUUCACAAUCCCAAAUAUGGCCUUAUGCUUGUCUAAAAAUUUUGAAACACACUCGAGACAUACCCUUGAAUUCCCCGAUUAUAACGCUACUUGAGAAUUGGAAAACGGAGGUCGGGAUGGUCAAAAAUAAAUUGCUCGAAGAUUGAAAGCUAAAAAUGAUUCUAAGUCCCCUUUUACACUUAGAAAAUUUUUAAGCUUUUAACUCAAUAAGCAUACUACUACGAUAUAACAUAUGAAGGAUUUUACGGGGUGUUACACUUAUAAAAGCAUGCGACUUCCUAAAUUCAGAGAUGAAGAGCAUAUAUGAUAAAGAUGGGUUUCAUCAGACCAUGAAGAAGUUUGUGCAGAAUGCCGAGCCUGAUGUCAUGUCAUUACUUAAGGAAGAAAAGCGAAUAAUGGCUCUUGUUAAGAGCACGGGUGAUUAUUUCCAUGGAAAUGCUAAGAGGGAUGAAGGUUUGUGAUUGUUAGUGAUUGUUAGGGAUUUUCUAGCUAUUUUGGAUAAGGUAUGCAAAGAGGUAAAAAAUUCUCCAAGAAAGAUAAAUAGCACACCAAGGAGUUCAGAAUCCACCCUUUCGCAGUGACCUGAUCAAUCCACCCCUUCACAACGACCUGGUCUAUCCAUCCCUUCACCAAGACCUGAUCAAUCUGUUCCUUCACAACCACCUGAUCAGUGUCAGAAGCUUUUUCCGGCUAUCUCAGACUGGCAAAUUGAUGAUUUUAGUUCAGACGAUGACAAUCCUUAUAUACUUUUUUUCUCAUCAGGUACAAGGUACCUAGCUCUUAUUGUUUGUUUCCGUUUAAUUCCUUCUAUUUUUCCUAGCUAACUAGUAUAGCUUCCUUAUUUAUUGGUUUUCAUGUUAUGUUUUGCUUAGGGAUCUGAGCACACCAACUAUGCCUCAAUAUGAAUCCUUACUGCCCAUAUCGCUCCAUUUAUGCUCGUCUGAGUCUGAUAACCGCUGCUUAGGGAUCUUAGUGAACGAGGACAAUGGGAUAAAAUAUUCUUUCAUUUCGAACCCCAGGAAUGGUAGAUGGAAAUCCAGAAGAGAUUGACUCGUUGCUUGGUAGGCUAACUUGAUUGGAACAGAGACCUGACAAAAGCUUCAGUGAAUUCCAGAGAUGAUCUGCUACCUGGCUCUGCAUCGAUGUUUCCCAUCUUGCAGCUUCGUUUGUCCUUAAGGAAGUAGCUAGGAUCAUCCUUUUUGUUCUUUGUAAUUAUUUUGUCAUUUUUGCUGACAAUUCUUUGUUGGAAUGGAAGUAGCGCUGUGCAUUAUUUAUUCGCGAUGUUUACACGAAAGCAAUGUAUAUAGUUUGUUCCGCCACAGGAAAUUAUUUGAUUCGUCAUUUAAAAAGUUGUCCAAAUUAUUCUUGCCCAGUUUUCUUGCCUUCUCUACUAGUUUUGGGGUGUUAAAAGGACUUCUUGUACACUUCCUCAGUUUCUUGUAAGGUCAAAUUAUCAAUGUUCUGUGAGGUCAUGAUCCGUAGGGGAUUGGAUUACUCGUUCUUUCACUGGGGAUGGGCGAAAGAAGGAUAACUCCAAACGUCACACAUUCAUCGCCUAUCUACCAUUUAGGUGGCACAUUGAUACAGUUCCAAGCGAACAAAUUUAACCCAAAAUCUCGCUAUAUAUUAUGAAUUAUUCAGCUUUCGCUAUUUCAAAUAGAUACAGAGUUUGCUCUGUAACAUAAUUUUUCCGAAACGUAAAAAGACAUAAGUACAUAAAAUAAUCUCUUGGCAUUAGUUUUGCCCAAGAACAAGUGCAAAUAAAUUGCGAGAAAAGAAAAGAUAAAAAUAAAAGACUAAAUUUGAAUUUAAAAAGAGAAUUAAGUUCAAAGACUAAAAUAUAUAUAUAGCAAGUAAAAGUUACAACCGCUUCUGUUACAGACAGUUAACCAUCUGUUGAGUGACUUGAUAUUCGAAAGCAAGCGUUAAAAUCUCUCCUCUCCUUUUUUUUCUUUCUGUCUGCAAGAAAAUGGUAGCUUCAUCAUCACCAAUUCCUGAUCCUCCGCAGGCCGAUGAAUCCGUGAGUGAUAUUAUGAAAGAAGAAAAUGAAGAAGAAGUUGUUAACUCUGAUGCUUCUCCCACUAAUAAUUAUACUGGCCUUGCGUUGAGUGGACGUAAGAGAUUACGUACUGAUGAAAAAGAAGAUGGUAAUGCAACAUCUGAUGCAAAUAAAUUACGUAAUGGAGAAGAAGAAGAAGAAGAAGAAGAAGAAGAAGAAUGGCUAAAGGAGGUUGAUGGACAGAAUGAAAAUCAAGAAUCGAAACAAGGAGAAAGAGGAAACAAUGGAAAUCAAGAAAACAAGAAUGGAGAAGAGGAAGAAGCUGGAGGGAGUCUAUUAGGAGAAGCAGAUGAAAAUCAAGAAGAAAAUGAUAACGAAGAAGAAGACAGCAGAGAGAAUACAGGAGGGGACGGUAAUGUGAUUCAUCAAAAUUCUGAACAAAAUGGAAGUGGAAAUCAAGAAUCAGAAGGAGAUGAAGGCGACGAAGACACAGAAAAUAAUGAUAAUCAAGAAGAAAUUGACGACCAAGAGGAAGAUGAAGAGGAAUACGAAUUAGUAAUAGAAGAAGAUGACAACGAAGAAGAAGAAGAAGAAGAAGAAGAAGAAGAAGAAGAAGAAGAAGAAGAAGAAGAAGAAGAGGAAGAAGAAGAAGUUGAAGAUGAAGAAGAAAGAAGAAGAAGAGCUGCUGAAAAAGGAAAACAACAAGUGUCAGAACAAGGAGGACUAUCAGCUACUGAAUACUACGUCGGCUAUGAUGCUGAUCCUCUGGAUGUGGCGAUUUUAAGAUCAAUCUUGGAUUUCAAGUGCCACUAUGGGUAUUGUCCACAUCCACCCUUACUUGAUCUCAUCUAUCACAUCAUGACUGCAGUCCCCCAUUUGGAAAUCAGCAGAGAGGAAUUAAGAGAAAAGAUCAUAGCAUAUAAGGAAAAUUUCAAUAAAGUUAGGAAACUGGAAGGAGAUAACCCCCAGAUGGACCGACCUAUUGAUUAAGAAUUUUUUGACUUGUGUAUGCGAAUAUGGGGUAAUCAGGAUGAUGAUAAUAGAUUGACAUAGAAAGCUUGUGAUACUAAUUUUCAAACUCAUUGCAGUAUAAACAUUACAGCAGCAUCAGGAUUUUCUGGGUAAAAGUUCUUUUACUCAUUAGCAGGUUGAUUUUGUGAGUGGAUUUGAUGUAUGGGCUAUUCUUGUUAACCUGUUUGAAAUAUCUUUUCUUCCAUUUAUAGAUGGAGUAUUGUUAAUGACAAUUAGUUAGCAUAUCAAUUUGAAAACGAAGUGCACGAUGCAGUUUAUGAGAAUGUGAGAAACUGGAGCUUCUGAUCCAUUUAUUCUGAUAUGCAAUCUAUGGUUGGUAUAUAUUACAUGCAUAGUAUGUUACGAAACCUUUAAAGUAGAUAAUCAGAUCAUUGUGAUGUGGUUUGCCUGUAUUUUCAGUUCACUUUCCGCUUUUGUUUGAUAUCUUCUCUUUAACUUAAUUACAGAAUCAGAGAUGUUAAUUAUUCUGAGGACGGCAAAAAAAAAACAGAUAGAUAUAUAGCAAUCUUCCAUUUAUAGAUGGAGUAUUGUUAAUGACAAUUAGUUAGCAUAUAAAUUUGAAAAUGAAGUGCACGAUGCAGUUUAUGAGAAUGUGAGAAACUGGAGCUUCUGAUCCAUUUAUUCUGAUAUGCAAUGUAUGGUUGAUAUAUAUUGCAUGCAUAGUAUGUUACGAAACCUUUAAAGUAGAUAAUCAGAUCAUCGUGAUGUGGUUUGCCUGUAUUUUCAGUUCACUUUCCGCUUUUGUUUGAUAUCUUCUCUUUAACUUAAUUACAGAAUCAGAGAUGUUAAUUAUUCUGAGGACGGCGAAAAAAAAAAACAGAUAGAUAUAUGGCAUGCUUGAAAUGUACAAGCAGAUGGUAUUAGCUAUCGUAUUGAUGAAACUCGAAAGACCUAGAAAUGAUGAGCAGAAAAACCUAGUGACAGAUGUACCAUAUAAUCUAAGAAUCUAAGUGAACCCGACAUUUGAAAAAUCCUCGGAGAUGAAUUAACGAAGAUUUGAAGAUGAAUUUUGUCUAAUGUGCUAUGUACUUUGUCUCUGCUAUAGAUGAAAUGAUCAUCAUAUCCGAAUUAUAAAGUUAUGACACAAUCAAAUCUGAGCAAAUAGAAUGUUGAAUUGAAUCGAACCAAUUUCUGCCGGAGGUUAAUACAAGUAGUUUGCUGGCGCUUUUCAGUUCACUAGAAAACUGGAAAAGACUAAUGGGAUCAGAAAACAUGCACAGACUCUGUAUUUUUCAUCAACAACUUAAUAAUAUGUUCGAUCGAUAAAGAACAUUUAACUCAGUGUUUAGUCUAUAUUAGAAUGUACGCUAUGCUUGAGGACAUUCCUAUUUGUUGUAGUUUUCCAUAUAAGCCAAGUUUUACCAGCCAUAAAUCACGACAGAUCAGUACACGCCUUACUCGAAAGGUCAUUUAAUGUAUGGUCAACAAAAUGAUCUAGUGUGAACACUAUACGUAGAGUUAUGGACAGUAAUCUACAGUGAGAUUUAGUACAACUAAUAUUUUACUGAUUUUAGUGAAAUGAAAUAGCUAUAAAUGUAGCAAGAGAAAGAACCAUCUCCUCAUUCUCAUCAACAAAUCUUCUUUCUUUCUUUAUCAGCUCCAACAUUUUCACAAAGAAUCACCAUGCCCAAAAUGCUAACUUCAGGAGAAAAUCAAUAAUCGAUCAUCCCUGAACUUGCAAAAACAACAGGAAAAAGAAAGCUCCCAGCAUCUGAAGUGNNNNNNNNNNNNNNNNNNNNNNNNNNNNNNNNNNNNNNNNNNNNNNNNNNNNNNNNNNNNNNNNNNNNNNNNNNNNNNNNNNNNNNNNNNNNNNNNNNNNNNNNNNNNNNNNNNNNNNNNNNNNNNNNNNNNNNNNNNNNNNNNNNNNNNNNNNNNNNNNNNNNNNNNNNNNNNNNNNNNNNNNNNNNNNNNNNNNNNNNNNNNNNNNNNNNNNNNNNNNNNNNNNNNNNNNNNNNNNNNNNNNNNNNNNNNNNNNNNNNNNNNNNNNNNNNNNNNNNNNNNNNNNNNNNNNNNNNNNNNNNNNNNNNNNNNNNNNNNNNNNNNNNNNNNNNNNNNNNNNNNNNNNNNNNNNNNNNNNNNNNNNNNNNNNNNNNNNNNNNNNNNNNNNNNNNNNNNNNNNNNNNNNNNNNNNNNNNNNNNNNNNNNNNNNNNNNNNNNNNNNNNNNNNNNNNNNNNNNNNNNNNNNNNNNNNNNNNNNNNNNNNNNNNNNNNNNNNNNNNNNNNNNNNNNNNNNNNNNNNNNNNNNNNNNNNNNNNNNNNNNNNNNNNNNNNNNNNNNNNNNNNNNNNNNNNNNNNNNNNNNNNNNNNNNNNNNNNNNNNNNNNNNNNNNNNNNNNNNNNNNNNNNNNNNNNNNNNNNNNNNNNNNNNNNNNNNNNNNNNNNNNNNNNNNNNNNNNNNNNNNNNNNNNNNNNNNNNNNNNNNNNNNNNNNNNNNNNNNNNNNNNNNNNNNNNNNNNNNNNNNNNNNNNNNNNNNNNNNNNNNNNNNNNNNNNNNNNNNNNNNNNNNNNNNNNNNNNNNNNNNNNNNNNNNNNNNNNNNNNNNNNNNNNNNNNNNNNNNNNNNNNNNNNNNNNNNNNNNNNNNNNNNNNNNNNAAACUUGAAAGCUUAGAAAUGAAGAGCAACACCACUCCUCUAAGUAAAUAGAAUGUUAGCAAAAUCAAGUUACCGUCAUCAUUUGUCCAAAUGGGGGAAUCAGUAGAUACGGUUAAGUCUGGAAAGGAUACGUCGUACAUAUAUGUAUAGAGAAGUAUCACUUAAAUGCAUCAACUUAUGCUUCAAUACUGAAAAAACAACCUAGAAUUAUGCUUCAAUUUAAAACUUUAUCUACCUAAAACUGCUGGGGUCUGAAUGUGGUAAAGAUUUUAGGUAACUAUUGGACGAGAAUACGAACGUAAAAUGGAACGUAAAUUGGAACCUAAAAUUUCAAUUUUUGGAACGUAAAUUUCAUAGUAAUUAAUAUUGUUAUUAUGUUUUCGCUUGUAGAAUUGCAGUGCAAGGGGAUCAAAAAUUGUAAACUUAAUAUUGGAUAUAAGUCGCAAAAAGAAAAAAAGCUUAAUAUUGUUAUUAUGUUUUCACUUGUAGAAUUUCACAGGUAUUUCAUAUCUUUUCUUCCUCGGGUUAAGUAGAAGUGCAAAGUGAAAAGGAAGUUCUUGUCACUAUUUCACAAGUCCUUUCAGUUCUCCCUAGUCAUAUCCUUUGUAUCAGAUUACUUAACAUCAAUUAGUAAAUAAUCGUUUUAUUCUACAAAAUAAUAUAAGCCUAUAAUGACAUCGACAACUUUCAUAUUAACGGAAUGUAAGAGUAAUUUGUAUUUUCAACGAGUUUAGAAAAAUUUACUUGAAAAAAGAUGCGCUUGGUAGAAGAAUAUUUAGUUGUAUACUUGACUGAGAAACUACCUUUCCCAUUCCUCAUCCCAAUACGCUAAAAUCUCAGUUUUCUUCUUCCCUGUUCCCUUCCCACAACCCUCAAAAUUCAUGUUCCAUUGCCGACCUUGUCGUUUGGAGAUUUUAAAACUUCACCAUUGUUUUACUUGUUUAAUCCAGAAAAUGAUUUCGUGCAAGUACAUCUUGUUAGGAUUGAUUAGCAGUUCACACACACUAAAUCUGUGGAGAAGAUGAAGACAACUAGAGAGAGAGUUCUUUAGGAGACAGAGAGAAUUAAUUUCGUGGUAGCACCCGUGGGUAACCUCCACGGUGGAUGGGCUAUUUAUAUUAAUGAAUCGGAGUAUGUACAAUUACACAGAGAAAUGAGAAUGAAAGGUACAACCUAAAAUCACACCCCCUGGCAACCUCACCGCGGAGGUUGAACCGCGUGAACAUUAAUAUAUAAUAGUAAGUUACAUAUUAAUCAGGCUCCAAAACCUAACAAUUCUCCCCCUUGGAGACUAAUUCUGUCAUCCAAGAAUUACAUUCUCAAAAAAAAAAAAAUUCCUCUAUCAUCAAUAUGUUCGCCACACCGCAACAUCUAUAGUCACAACUAUAGAAAACCAACUAAGAUUUUGCACAACCUUAAUUUACCAACAUCAAUACAUUUUGUCAACAUGUCUGCUGGAUUUUUUUCACCCUCUAUCUUUUCCAAACACAUAUCACCUUUUUCCACUGCCUUGUGAGUGAAAUGGUACCGUGUGAGUGAAAUGGUACCGUCUUCUAAUGUGCUUCGUCUUUGAAUGAUAGACCGGGUUCUUCACCAAAUGUAUGGCACUCUGGCUAUCUGUGUAAAGAAUCUUCUUAAGCUGCUUCUUGCCCAGUUCUUCCAGAUAAUCUGCCAGCCAUAUCAUCUUCUUUCCAGCUUUAGCUAUUGCCACAUACUUAGCCUCAAUAGAUGAAACAGCAACGCACUUCUGAAGCCUGGACAUCCAAUUCACUACUUUACCACCUAUGGUGUAAAUGUAUCCGAAAGUGCUCAUGCUUGAGUCCACAUCCCCACCAAGAUCAGCAUCAACAAAACCUUGCAGAAUCACUUCACCAUUGCCAAAACAAAGUGAAGUACUAGAUGUACCUUUCAGAUAUCUUAGAAGCCACUUCACAGCUUCCCAAUGCUCUUUCCCGGGGAUUACUAUGUACCUGAUAACAACUCCCACUGCAUGUGCUAUAUCAGGUCUAGUGUAGUCCAUAGCAUACAUCAGGCUCCCAAUUGCAGAGGCAUAUGGAACAAGUGCCAUGUGCUCCCACUCCUGAGCUGUCUUUGGUGACUGCUCCUUUAAUAAUUUUGUGUGAUUUGCCAAUGGAGUAGUCCUGGGUUUAGCAUCAUUAACUCUAAAUCUGGCUAGCACCUUCUCAACAUACUACUAUUGGGAUAGAUUCAAAGUGCCAGUACAUCUAUCCCGAGAAAUCCUCAUCCCAAGAAUCUGUUUUACUGUACCUAAAUCUUUCAUCUUAAACUCAAAAGAUAGACUUUGAUAUGAGUAUAACCACGAGGAUGGACAAGAAUGAGUGCGUAUUGAAUCUUUCCAAGGAAGUGCUCAAGUAAAGUGUGAAAGAGGGCCUAAAUGCACUAAAAUAGCCCCUAAGUUACACUUGAUGGGAACCUCACCCUUGAGGGGUAUUGUGGUCAUUUUGUAUUCUAUUUUGUAAUACACUAUAUAUCGAUCCUAUUAGGGUCUUUAGUCUUAGAUGUUUUUUGAUAUUGAAAGUUGUAAAAAGAACAUUUCUCUCUUGUGAGAAAGGCCUAUGGUCGAAACAUUGUAACUAGGAUUUCCAACUUGAGUGUGGAAUCAUUCGUGUUGGAUUCAUGCUUAGAACGUUGGGUGCUAGAGGAGGUUGAGUUCUCUCUUGUGCUCACCGGAUAGGUAUUUGUAGUGUGUAGUGUUAAGGGUCCAAGAGUGGAAUAGGCUCUUGGGUUCUUAAGAUUAUACCUCCACUUUGUCUAUCUAUCUUUUACAUUUCUUGUACUCUUUGUUGUUGUUCUAGUCAAAAACCGUGUGUUGUUGUUUCCAUUGUAUUAUUGUUCAUCUUGUUCUUCAUAUUAUUAUCUUGAUACUCUCUUUGUUAGUUUGUAGUGGCAGUUUUGGUGUCAAAUACACCAUUGUUAUCUCGUAUUGUUAUUGUUGUAGUGAAUCCGAGAGUGGUCUCCAAAAAGGUCCUCGGAUCCUUAAGAUUAGUGGACUGAUUUGGAGUGUGUUUUCGUGCUUUCGUUGUCUUUCUCGUAUCAUUUGGUAUCAAAGCAUGGCUUGAACUUAUUCCUACAAGAUAAAUCUUGGGCUUUCUUGUUAGAAAAUUCAAAAAAAAAAGAAUUGUUGUUGAUAAACUGAAAAUUCCAGAAAAAAAAGAGAAAUCUGUCCAUUUAGUGUUCUUGGCCGAAAAUUGUGUUUUUGUUGUGUAUUGGCCAAUAUUUUUACUUGUCUUUGUUGUCUUUAAGUGUUAGUUUUGUUUCUCAUUAACACGUUGAGUCUAUAUCAUAGAUUUGAGCUUGAAAUAUUGAUGUUGUUAAUGUGAACAAAGUGUGGCCGAUUGUUGUUGGUAUUGUUGUUGCGGGUUCAAGACUUGAAUGUGUGAUAUUGUCACGACCCGAAACAGAGCCCUGGUCGUGACGAGCAUUCUAGAAAUCCAAAGGCCCAAAACGCCCUCUGUCUAUAUGGUAAUCAUGCACAUAAUUCAUAUGAUCAAAGUAAUAUGGAAUAGACACAAUAAUAUGGAAACAUGAUCAACAAUUUAAAAUAGUUAAAGGCCUGAAAACAUGCCCAACAAUAUUCAAUAAACAUCUGCAACAGUCUGCAAAAUCUCUACUGACAUACUAUCUGAAUAACUGGGACAAGGCCUCCAGCAAACCAAAAGCCAUACUGAAAUAAAUACCUAAAUGACUAGGCCUUCCGAAGCAAAGAAGGCUCACCAACUGAACUCUGAGACAACCCUGUCUAUAGACUCUACUGAGGAUCUGGACCCUUAGACUGCACCUCAGUACCUGGGAGGAAGGAGGGGUCAGCACAAUUGUACUAGCAUGCGAAGCAAUCCAAAAUAGAGUAAUUUAACAUAUAUAUAUAUAUAAUACGUGAGAGCAAAUGUUCAUCAAAAAUUAUGCAUAAAACAGUUUCUGAAAAACACAUGGGCACCUUCUGAAAACAUGUAACUUGUCUGUAAAUCUCAAACUCUGAUCUGUGUAUUACUUCUGAGUUAGGUGGUAUCCCCUUCAAGUCUGAUAUUCCACGGGCAAUAUGUAAUCCGCCAUUUACUCGGCGGGGAAGCCUCCAACCCGAGUAUGCCUCAAGGGUUGGAGUUCCCGAAUUUGAUACGCCACACGACAGUUAAGUCAGCGUAUAAUAAUAUACAUGGGUCGGCAAACCACAGUUUUAGGCAAUGAUUUGCUUGAACUCAAUCCUUCUUUGGGGAACCACCUAACAUCUCUGUAUGCCCAUUUUUUAACCUUUUCUGUACAUGCAACAUUCUGAAUGUCUAAAAUCAUGAUAGUCUGAAAUGUCUAUUAGUCUGAGUCUGAUAUGGCAUUGGUCUAAAUUGGUAUCUUCAUACCAAGACUUGCAAGUCAUCAUUUCUGAGUCAUAAUACAUUAAGCUAAAUCUUUCAUUUAAAGUAUAAUUUAGACCACCAAAAACAUGCAAUUGAUAUGGAAGAUUUCAUAUUUCGAAACUCAAGUCAAAAUCAUGCAAAAACUUCAUCAACAUAUGGUGGUCUAGUGCCUUUAGCAAAUCCAUGCACUCUUUCAUUAUAUGCAUUAUGAACAUUAAACAUUUAUUCUAGAUUCCUUCUUUAGUGAUUUAAAACCACCUUAAAAUCAUAACAAGAGUUCAAUCAUUUCAUAUAGUGUUUUUCAGGGAUGCAUUGCAAAACAAUUCAUAUGCCAUGAGAAAUCUGAAAAAUUCACUAAAGAGGGAAUUCACCAAAAAUCAUGCUCUCAACAAGAAUUCAUUCUUAAAUACAUGGUUUCAUACAUUCAUAUUCUCAAAUCACUUUGGGGAAGGUCAAAAGACCAAAACAAUGAUGGCUAAACAUUUAAUACAUGAAUAUAUACAUAGAUUCAAAAACCCCAUUCUAAAACAUGAUUUUUCUUCCAAAACCCAAGGUUGAAUCUUGAGUUAUUUGGGAUUUUUGUUUGAAACCCUAAGGGGUGUUCUGGAGAGAAAAUUUGAGAGAAGGAUUAUAUUUUUAUAAAUUGGGGGCUAAAUCUGGUGUUAUAGAUGAAAUUUGGGUGAGGUGAAAUGACUAAAAUGCCCCUAAGAAAACAAACAAAGUCGAAACUGUCCCUCAGUUGACAAACUGAUAGGCUGAAGUAAAAUGGGUAUAACUCCUUACUCAGAUGUUAGAUUUGGAUGAAACCAGUUGCAUUGGAAAUAAAACAUAAAGAGAUUUUAUUUGAUAGGUAGCAUCUCUCCCAGUUCAUUAUAUUCAGAGAGUUCUGAUCGUUUGAAGUUGACCCUGAAAUGCUGAAAACUGGGCAACAGGCUAUGCAUUUUACUACUGUUUUGAAAUCCAAACGCAGCCUUAUGCGUUCCGAGAAAUUCUGAAACUUAUCCGAGAUGUACUAUGAGCUUGUCCGAUCGUAACGCAGCUUGAAAAUCUAAAAACGGAGGUCAAAAAAUGUUGAAAAGUUGUAUCCCAAAGAUUUCCAGCUAAAAUGACUCUAAGUCCUCAUUACACUUACAAAAAUUUUCAUGUUUUUAUGUGUAAGAGCACUCAAUUAAAGGCUAAUCCAUGCACAACUUUUACGGGGAGUUACAUUAUCUCCCCCUUGGGAUCAUUCGUCCCCGAAUGAUUGAUUGGAAAUGUUGAAGCUCAAAGGUAUAGAAUGACACUGACAUGAUGUGUCUUCUAAGAAAGUAUAUAACUGAUCUAAAACAUUUAAACUUCUAUCACGAAACGGAAUUCUGAGUUGACUUGCCCUUACUUGCUUCAAGAAACUGAUUCAUGCUAAGCGUUUAGGAUUCCCUUGAAGUGUUCAUGAUACAAUCAUACAUAUUGAAUUGAGAAGUGAUAACUUAUGCAAUUAUGAAUCAUUAGGCAUCAAGACUUACAUCGUACCAGGGUAUUAUACUAACUGGGCUAAAAUACAUGGAAGUAUUUGAGAUUAUGCAAUGAACACUUAUGAACUGAGUCACGACUAAAUAGCUGAAUCUGAAACAUGAUGCUUUGACUGAACUGAAUUCGCAACUUAGGAUGAAAUAUAUUAUUUCUUGGGAUGGUCAUACACAUGAGACUUCAGAUAGCAGGAUUGGUGAAAAGGUGGAUAACCACCGUAACUUCUCUGCCUGACUGUUAAACUGAAAUACAUCGGAAACUUAUAUUCAACGGGAGUAUCUGUUCAACACUUAAUCUAAAGAAAUUCUAGCAGAAUUAUGGAGCAAAAGAUCUUGGACAAUGCAACUUCUUAUUUUCGAGCUUAGCACACUUCUUUAAUACUCCCUUAACUAUACUAUUUCCCUUAAAUACCAUAUUCAUUCCAUUCAACUUAUAAUUCUCAUAUGGGUAUUGAUAGCUCUUUCUCCAAUGUCUAUAGUAGCUUAAAUCCUUUCAGUGCGAUCAAGCCUAACUCCAAGUCACAAAAAUACAACAUGUCAUACCAUGAUACUAGUCUAAACAAUAUGAUUCAAUCUUCCAUAUCUUUUUAAAGUUCGCACCCUAAGCAUAUCAUGCCUUCCCACAUUAAUGACUAACUCUGAACUCUUACUAUAGAUUCACUAGCGCAUAUUGCGUCCGUUCACUAAAAUCCCAACAUGUCAUUCAAGUCUAUCUUUAUAACCUCAUAUGAACUUCAAGGCAAACACCCAUGAAGACACACUUCACAUAUUCUCAAAACCACUAUUAAUAUAACUCCCACGGCUACCGCAAGAACAUACACACACAAAUUUCCACUAACCAUCACAUAUAUCAAAAACUUGGCCCCAAAUCUUACUUCACACUUAUGGUCUUAUCUAAAACAAGAAUACUAUAAAGCGUGAGUACAUGAGUCAUGAGCUACAUGACCUGAAUUUGGAGUUCAUAAUUUAUGGAAUGGGAUUCCGACUACUGAAUGAACUGAAACUUCUCAUUUUGGAACUUGAAGAGUACAUGAUUCUCUAUCAUAAGCAUGAACAUGAAUUUUGAUCAUUGGACUAAAGCGUAAGGCAUGAGUAGAUAUUGGGAUAACUGGAAAAAAAAAUACUGAGAUAAGAAUGGGUGGAGUCUCACCCUCACUUUCUGACGUUCUAAAUCAUCAUGACAUCACGACUAGAAUCUGAAAGUCUGACUUGGUUAUUCGCUCUAUCAUCUCCCCCUUAGCUUCAAGCCAUCAUAUUAUGUUUGGGAGAUCCCUUACUAGACUCUAAACUGAAGUACACUUACUGCACUCUGGGUCUGGAAAACUACUAUACACGCAUCUCAUGGCACUUAACCCGAAUGACUACACCUAAAAGUGGAAAACCCAUUGUUAAUACUACCUUCUUAGAUACACUUUAUCAUUCUAUAGACCCAACAGUCAUCAUAUAAUACUUGCACACUUACUAACUUUGGGUCUUCAUGAGUAUCCCCAUAGUCGGAGUGCACACCCUCUAGUGCUUUAACUCUUAUUUCUAUUAGUUCAACCUUCAAAAACUCAAACUUAGAAUCUAGCAAUCAAAUACCUUGGGCAUAUUUCUACAUUAUAUAUGCAACAUCAUACUUCACUACGAAUCAAAUAAACUUAAGCUCUUGCAUAUACCGUUCAAGCCUAUUAGAUUACUUCCAUAAAACUCGUAUCAUUAACCAAGAAAUCAUCACAUCCACCUUCAUAGACAUCAAUUGUUCAAACUUAAUGUCCAGUGCUAAACAUGAUUUACAAACCAACCUUAUACAUAAUUCUUACAAAACAUACAUCAUUAAUAUUAAGUCACUAUUUUUACAACCACAUUGUGAUGCUCAACGUCACAACCCAUUAAAUUCCUCACGUUUUGGGCAUGUUUCGAACUAUUCGGGCGUGUUUUUGAGCUUGGCGGGGCUUCGAUAAAUGCCCCGCAUUGCUGCCAACGUUCCAGCACCUUCUAGAUGGUCAAAAUAGGAUGGCAGCACAUUUAUUAGACUUUAGGAAGUUAACACGGGCUGGUAUGAAAGUGCAGAUUUUCCAUCUUUAAAAGGUCCACAAAGGUUGGCAUGCAUGUGCAGAAAUUUCAGCAUCCAUGUGCAGGAUUUGCAGAUUUUCAGCUUGUAGUUGAUAAUUGUAUAGCUUGCAUUGUUGUACUUUGUUGACUUAGGGACUUUUAGGAACUAUAAAUAUAUGUUGUAAGGCAUCAUAGGCAUCAUCUCAUACUUGUUUUAUUCAGUAAAUACCACCCAUGAAGAAUACAACAUAAUUUACUGGUCCAUCAAAUUGGGACAUUCUACCCCAAAUACCUGAUUUUAUCUAGAUACUAUCCACGACCAAAGCACCUUUAUGACAUUACUACUACACCUAAAAAAUCUACUACAUACCUUCUCACAAGUAGUACUAGUUUACAACUACCAAGGAAAAGAAGGUCAAGGGGUAAAGUCACAUAAUAGACAUGAUCGACAUUAAUCCUAUACUAUAACCCCAUACAAUCUUAUCUACUUAUACAGCUUCUCACAUCACGCUUACUUAUCCAAGCAUACAUUUAAAAUACCUUUAAAUUCCACAAACAACCAUGAGUCUAUACUUACAACUUACUGGCUAAUAUAGUCAUUUUCACACUUCAAGCAACCGACAAAUCACCCUAACUAACAACUCCUUCUCUACUUUCUACUAAACUAACACAAAAGGACGAAUCACCUCUUUACCAACUCAAUCUCAUGCAAACAAUUUGGCUAUACAUAUAUUAAACCAACACAAGAACAACAAGUUGGACAACAAGUUGCUAGUGAAUCAAAAUAGGCCUCACACGGCUUCACUAGACUUUGAUUUUUUUUGAACAAACAUGAGAUAGAAAUUUAAUAUGCAAUAUCCAAUGAACUAAGAAUACACAUCUUACUCUGUAUAAAUAAAAUAGAAGUCAAACACUUCCUCCACGAACUACCAUACCAUCCACACAUGCUACUAGUUACCAAUUAGUCUAUCACCAUAAGGGGGGUAAAUCAUUCUCGAACAUCGGUUAUUCAACUAAAAUAUUCAUUUACACAAAAGUCACCUUCACUCUGACUUCUAACUUUGUAACAUCACAUCACCAACUUCUUGGUCUAAUUUCACUACCAAUAGGUCAUGACAACAACACUUUAACGCAUACUACUAUUCGGGUGGAAAUAUAGUUCCAACAUUCUACUACACAUCAUCACCCCUUAAGCAAGAUAUUUGUAACAUAAAUUUGAAGGGGACUAAAUGCAGUUAAUACCUCAAGCUGAAAAGCACGAUUCCAUCAGGAUCAAUGUUUACAUCGGAAUCAAUACACAUUGAAGCACUAAUGGACUCUUCUCAAGUCAUUGCACAAAUUUUAACUCUUAUAUGGUUCAAUUAGAAAGGACCAUACCAUUUAGAUUCUAAACUUCUGCACUUGAAUCACCUCAAUAAUGAGACAUAUCUGAGGACAUUAGAGUAAGGAAAGAAUUUAGGAUGACUUUUUACUUUCAUAUGGGCGACACCAUAGCACGAAUUAGAGUAUGAAAGAGGAACAUUCUGACUCGAUUGCACGAACUAGAACAAGAAGAAAGAGAGACAUUCCUAAACUCUUAGUAGUCUCCUGCUUAUAAGUGUAGUGUGCUACACACCCAUAAACAAGACUACCCGAUGCGAUUUUGCAGACAUCCUAGGACCAUGAACCAUGCUUUGUUACCAAGUUUAUCACGACCCAAACUGGGGCCCUGUCUGUGAUGAGCAUUCCCAAACCCGAAGGCCUAAAACGCCCUCUGUCUAUUUGAUAAUCAUGCACAUAAUUCAUAUGAUCAAAGUAACACGGAAUAGACACAAUAAUACGGAUACAUGGUCAACAAUUUAAAAUAUUUAAAGGCCUGAAAAUAUGCCCAACAAUAUUUAAUAAAUAUUUGUAACAGUCUACGAAAUCUCUACUGACAUACUAUCUGAAUAACUGGGACAAGGCCCUCCGCAGACCAAAAGGCAUACUGAAAUAAAUACCUAAAUGACUAGGCCUUUCGAAGCAAAGAAGGCUCACCAACUGAACUCUGAGACAACCCUGUCUGUAGACUCUACUGAGGAUCUGGACCCUUAGACUGCGCCUUAGUAACUGGGAGGAAAGGGGGGUCAACACAAUUGUACUGGCAUGCAAAGCAAUCCAAAAUAGAGUAAUUUAACAUAUAUAUAUAUAUAAUACGUGAGAAAAUAUUCAUCAAACAUUAUGCAUAAAAUAGUUUCUGAAAAACACAUGGGCACCUUCUAAAAACAUGUAACCUGUUUGUAAAUCUCAAACUCUGAUCUGUGUAUUACUUCUGAGUUAGGUGGUAUUCCCUACAAGUCUAAUAUUCUACGGGCGAUAUGUAACCCUCCAUUGAAUCGGCAGGGAAGCCUCUAAAUCAAGUAUGACUCAAGGGUUGGAGUUCCUGAAACUGAUACGUCACACGACAUUUAAGUCAGCGUAUAAUAAUAUACCUGGGUUGACAGACCACGAUUUUAGGCAAUGAAUUGCUUGAACUCAAGCCCUCUUCAGGGAACCACCUAACAUCUCUGUAUGCCCAUUUUUAAACCUUUUUUGUACAUGCAACAUUCUGAAUGUCUAAAAUCAUGAUAGUCUGAAAUGUCUAUUAGUCUGAGUCUGAUAUCGCAUUGGUCUGAAUUGGUAUCGUCAUACCAAGACUUGCAAGUCAUGAUUUCUGAGCCAUAAUACAUUAAGCUAAAAUUUUCAUUUAAAGCAUAAUUUAGACAACCAAAAACUUGCAACAAAUAUAGAAAAUUUUGUGUUACGAAACUCAAGUCAAAAUCAUGCAAAAACUUCAUCAACAUAUGGUGGUCUAGUUCCUUUAGCAAAUCCAUGCACUCUUUCAUUACAUGCAUUAUGAACAUUAAAUAUUCAUGCUAGAUUCCCUCUUUAGUGAUUUAAAACCACCUUAAAAUCAUAACAAGAGUUCAAUCAUUUCAUAUAGUUCUUUUCAAGGAUGCAUUGCAAAACAAUUCAUAUGCUAUGAGAAAUCUGAAAAAUUCACUGAAGAGGGAAUCACCUAAAAUCUUGCUUUCAACACGAAUUCAUUCUUAAAUACAUGGUUUCAUACAUUCAUAUUCUCAAAUCACUUUGGGGAAGGUCAAAAGAUCAAAACAAUGAUGGCUAAACAUUUAAUACAUGAAUAUAUACAUAGAUUCAAAAACCCUAUUCUAAAACAUGAUUUUUCUAUGCCCACGAGAAUUUAGGAAAGCCCCGCGUAUCUCUAUUUAAGAAAUUGAGGGAUGAUCCUUGAAGCCUAUGAUUUGGGGAUUCCAAAUCUCUAAUUAUCUUCCAAAACCCAAGGUUGAAUCUUGAGUUAUUUGGGAUCUUUGUUUGAAACCCUAAGAGGUGUUCUUGAGAGAAAAUUUGAGAAAAGGAUUAUAUUUUUAUAAAUUGGGGGCUAAAUCUGGUGUUAUAGAUGAAAUUUGGGUGAGGUGAAAUGACUAAAAUGCCCCUAGGAAAACAAACAAAGUCGAAACUGUCCCUCAGUUGACAAACUGACUGACAGGCUGAAGUAAAACGGGUAUAACUUCUUACUCAGAUGUUGGAUUUGGAUGAAACCAGUUGCAUUGGAAAGAAAACUCAAAGAUAUUUCAUUUGAUAGGUAGCAUAUCUCCCAGUUUAUUAUAUUUAGAGAGUUAUGAUCGUUUGAAGUUGACCUUGAAAUGCUGAAAACUGGGCAAUAGGCUAUGCGUUUUGCUACUGUUUUGAAAUCCAAACGCAGCCUUAUGCGUUCCAAGAAAUUCAAUAACUUAUCCGAGAUGUACUAUGAGCUUGUCCGAUCGUAACACAGCUUGAAAAUCUAAGAGAGGAGGUCAGAAAGGUUGAAAAGUUGUAUCCUGAAGAUUUCCAGCUAAAAUGACUCUAAGUCCUCAUUACACUUAGAAAAAUUUUCAAAUUUUUAAGUCUAAGAGCACUCUAUUAAAGGCUAAUCCAUCCACGACUUUUACGGGGUGUUACAGAUAUAUUGUUGGUUCAAGUUUUGAACGUGUAUUGUGGAGAUUGUGUUGUGGAAUUUAAGCUUGGGAAGUUUUUGUUGUUGUUUGGGAGGUCCAACUUGAACCUUAGAACUUCGAGACUCAAAGUUUGUGUUCUUGGUGUUCUUCACCAUCUCCAUAUAUUGUUGACAAAGAAAGUGGUUGUUGAUCUUAGAAGUUGAAGAAAAAGAGUGUUUAUUAUGUAUUCUUGCAAGACAUAGAUCUAAGUUUCAAGGUGUAGUACUUGUGACUCAAAGGAUUUUCCUACACACUAAAGACUUUACAUCACUUUUCAACCACUUUUCUAUGAAACAAGGGUCCAUGUUUUAAGGAAAAGUGCUACAAAAGUCAAGUCUUGAAAUGAGAAACUUGAAAAAAAGGCUCCAAGACUUAUUCUUCCCUCCUUAAAACAAAUUUCACCAAUCCAGAUUAAAAUUGGUCAAGACUUGGACUUUGGAAAAUAUAAAUUGAAGAAACCGCAACCAAUACGUGGCUACCAUGUCAUCAAGUUACUGUUCACGCAUCAAAUUUUGGCUCAAAUUUCAGAUUUUCUUAGUUUCUUUUUAUUGUUCCGUAGUUUCAUUUGUUGGUUCCAAUACUAAUUGGAAAACUAGUACUCAUCUACUAGAUUGUUAGUUAGUCUUUGUGUUCGUUCAUUCGUGUUUAGCAUUUGUUGUAUGCUUUUUUUCUCUUUUGUGAAUUCAUUGUGUCUUGUUGGUUCAAGUUCGUAAAUAAUUUUUCUUUUGAGUCAAAUCAAACGAAAAUAUACAGCAAAUAUGGAGUCAUCCCUCAAUCACUCACAAAGUACAAGCCAACUUUCAACACUUUUGAAACCAAGUGUGAGGUAAAACCAAGAGUGAGAGUGUGGUGAGGCAGUUUGAACUAACAAGUUUGUUUUGUUGCUUGUUGUUGUCCUUUGCUUUAGGUACAGCUGCCACUAAUCUUGAUGCCACAUUUGAUCGCAUCAAUGAUGAUAUUAAAGAAAUGAAAUGGCACGUGAAAAGGCUACGCCAAUUGUUACCUAAACUUAUCCCACAAAAUCCAACUUCCCUUGUCCAAAUACCUUGUUUCGAGAGCUUCCCGAAGGAAGAGGUGGGUUUCCCCGAACCAUACCAAGGUAAAGAGGAGAUUGAAACAUCUUUGGUACUUGAUAGUGAACUUAUAGAGAGUGAAACACUUGGUAGUUCCAAAUUUGUCCGUGAGAUAGAUCAUGCUCUCUUUAGGUUUAAUGUUUUAUUUGAAGAUGAUAGAAAUACUCCUAAUGAACCUACUGGUGAAAAUGAUGGUAUAGCUUACCUUGAAGGCUAUAGCCGAUAUGCUAACCCACUAUGGUGUGACAACAUUCCUAAUAAAGAUAGAAAUCUUUUCUUGAAAGAUGAUAGUACUCUUAUGGGGAAGGAAUGUUUAGUCUCGGUAAUGAGUACUCUUCGUGUUCAUGAUGAUCAAUUUACUCUUAAAUGUAGCUUACUACUUGAGCAUAUGAAUUUAGUGCUUAAAAAUUCGCAAGUUAGUGAUGGUGUCUAUAGAAUUGAUCUUGAUAAUGCGCAUGACUCUUUGAACAUCUUAUGUGGUAAAAACAUUGCGAUUAGUUUUCUUCAUAGAGAUCAUGUGUAUAAAAAUGUUUUUAUGUGUGAAUGUGGGAGUGACAUUCUAUAUAAAGGAAGGGCUAGCCUCGGCUUAGGCCUUUGGAUAAUUCUUCCAUUUGAUCUCGGUACCAUCUUAGGGUGGGAAAGGAUGACUCUCGACCUAUUUUCCUUUUGUCUUAAUGCUUGUCCGAGCCACUUCCUUUGUAGCAAUUGUACUAAUAUUUUCAUGCUUAAAACAAAGGACCCAUGGAUAUACUUGAAAUUUGUCCCACCUCGGCAUGGCAUGUUGAUGUCUUAUUUUUGCUAACUCUAACCUCUCAUAUCAUGAGGAUGUGUGCUUGUUUGUCUUCUCUUGAUUUUCAAGGUAUGGAUUUGAGGUCGAAUCCUUUUCAAAAAUAGGAGGAUGAUACGAGUACGUCCACGAGGAUGGAUGAGAACGUGUGAGUAUUGAAUCUGUCCAAGGAAGUGCACAAGUAAAGUGUGAAAGAGGGCCUAAAUGCACUAAAAACAACCCUAAGUUACACUUGAUGGGCACCUCACCCUUGAGGGGUAUUGUGGUCAUUUAGUAUUCUAUUUUGUAAUACAUUAUAUAUAGAACCUCUUAGGUUUUUAGUCUCAGAUGUUUAUUGAUAUUGAAAGUUGUAAAAAGAAUAUUUCUCUCUAGUGAGAAAGGCCUAUGGCCGAAACAUUGUAACCAGGAUUUCCAACUUGAGUGUGGAAUCAUUCGUGUUGGAUUCAUGCUUGGAGCGUUGGGUGCUAUAGGAGGUUGAGGUCUCUUUUGUGCUCACCGAAGAGAUAGGUCUCUUAAGGGUCCAAGAGUGGAAUAGGCUCUUGGGUUCUUAAGAUUAUACCUUCACUUUGUUGAUCUAUCUAUCUUUACAUUUCUUUUACUCUUUGUUGUUGUUCUAGUCAAAAACCAUGUGUUGUUGUUUCCAUUGUGUUAUUGUUCAUCUUGUUCUUCAUAUUAUUAUCUUGAUACUCUUUUUUUAGUUUGUGGUGUCUGUUUUGGUGUCAAAUACACCAUUGUUAUCUCGUAUUGUUAUUGUUGUAGUGAAUCGAGAGUGGUCUCCAAAAAGGUCCUCGGAUCCUUAAGAUUAGUGGACUGAUUUGGAGUGUGUUUUCGUGCUUCCGUUGUCUAUCUCGUCAGACUUGACUUCAGAGAAAUUAUCUCCUUCAUACUGGAUCUACAAUCAACAUAUCACCCACAUACAAGAGUAAAAAUACAUAAGAAUCAGUGUAUUUCUUGAAGUAGCAACAUUGAUCCUUUUCACUCUUGCGGAAGCCGCUCUUGCUCAUAAAGGAGUCAAACUUCUUGUACCACUGUCUAGGUGCUUGCUUCUGCCCAUACAAGCUCCUGUUGAGCUUGAACACCAUGUGUUCCUUGCCUGGAACUACAAACCCCCCUGGCUGCUGCAUAUAGAUUUCCUUAUCCAAAUCUCCAUGUAAAAAUGCAGUCUUUACAUCCAUUUGCUCAAGAUGCAAAUUCUCCAAUGCUACAAUACUCAAUAAAAUUUGGAUAGUAGUUAAUUUCACAAUAGGAGAAAAUAUUUCAGCAUAAUCAAUACCUUUUCUUUGUGAAUAUCUUUUAACUACUAACUGGGCCUUGAACUUUCUUUUGCCAUCUGGUUCUGCCUUGAUUCUGAACACCCACUUGUUCAACAAGGCUCUCUUCCCUGCAGGUAACUUAAUCAACAUCCACGUGUUAUUCCUCUCAAGUUAUCUCAUCUCAUCAUCCAUGGCUUGCUCCUACUUGAUUGAAUCCUCCACCUCCAGGGCCUUAGCAGCAGACUCUGGUUCCCCUUCACCAGUCAGCAACAGAUAAUGUAAUGAUGGUGAAUACCUAUCUGGUGCUCUAAUGGUCCUGGAUGAUCUCCUCUCAACCUGCUCAGGUGUCACUUAUUUCGCCUCUGGUUCCUCAACGACAGUCUCUGGAUUUUGUUGAGUAUCCGCUGUAACAUCUUUGGGUGUGCUCUUCGGCAACUCAAGCUCAACUCCCACUUGCUUUGUAGUUUUUUGGAACCUUUUGCUCUCUGUCCUUGUACAAGACAUUUUCAUCAAAUGUCACAUCACAAUGUAUUAGGGUCUUCUUGUUCAUACGAUACAACUUUGGUACGUGUAAAAAACAAGCCAAAAAUAGUUCACAAACAAAGGAAACCCGAAAGCUCAACAAACACCAAAUCUCGGUUCCAAUAACAUUAAGAAACAAGGUGUAAAUGAAACCAAAAGCACCACCAACAACAAGAGAUAAACAACAAUAACUAGAGGAACAACACUGCAAUAACAACAAUCCAAUGGUUACAAGAUUACAAGAACAACAAGAACCAAACGGUUCACUAGACUACACAACUAGUACAUGAUAUGUAAAGAUAGGAAGUGAGACAUACACUAUUACAAGGUUAAUAACCCAAAGUUUUAUUAAAUCGAAGGACCCUUAAGACUUACAAUAUAAACACCACACUCUUACGUGACACAAGAGGGAUUCCACCGCUUAACAACCAACGUUUCCAAGCAAUACACAAUCACAACUGAAUCCACACUUGUUCAUGUCCUAGUUUAGGCCUAGAGACCCUCUCUCUCAAGAGAUGUGUUCUUUCAACAGUAUCCAACAAAAACUAAUAAACUAAAACCGUAUAUUGUUCUAGUUAUAGUACUUUACAAAUAAAAAGAUAAAAUGACAAAAAGACCUUUUAACGACUAAGUAGGCAAAUAGGCACCCAUGGAGUGUUUUUAGGGGCGGUUUGGAGCCCUUUUUAACACUUCAACUCAUACACCUCUGAGGUUACAUCCAAAAUGCUCAAAAAUGUUCAUCUUCAUGAUCGUGCUUGUAUUACUGUCAGACCAAAAACUGUACCCAAACAUGUCAGAACCAUAACCUAUAAAGUAGCACUUUAUAGAUUUAGCAUCAAGCUUAUCUCUCUUCUCUGGAUCAACAUGAACAUAAGCAGUGGAACCAAAAGUUCUCAAGUGAGAAUACUUGAGCUCUUUUCCUGUCCAUACUUCUUCAGGAAUCUUGAACCCCAGAGGAACUGAUGGUCCCCUGUUGAUCAAGUAUGCAGCUGUGCUCACAUCAUUUGCCAAAAAGUCUUAGGCAGUCCACAGUGUAUCCUCAUGCUUCUUGCACGCUCAUUCAAUAUUUUGUUCGUCCUUUCAGUAACUCCAUUCUACCUUGCCUUCCCAGGAACUGUCCUCAUCAAUCUGAUUCCCUCAACUACACAAAAUUGUUUGAACUCUGACUUGUCAUAUUCUCCUCCAUUAUUAGACCUCAGGCAUUUGAUUUUCAAGCCAGUUUGAUUUUCAACUUUAGCUUUCCACCUCUUGAAAGUAUCAAACACAUCUAACUUAUGUUUCAAGAAGUAAACCCAUACCUUUCUACUGAAAUCAUCAAUGAAGUGACAUAGAAUCUGGAUCCACCAAGUGAUGAAAUAGGAGAUGGUCCCCAAACAUCUGUAUGGACCAUUUCCACCCGUACUUUCUUUGGUUCUCUUGCAGUCUUCGUAAAGCUUACUCGUUUCUAUUUACCCAUAACACAACUCUCACAAAGACUCAUAUCAAUAGAUUUUAGCCCCUCUAAAGCUCCUUUUGCAGCCAACAUCUUCAUUCCUUUAGCACUCAUGUGUCCAAGUCUGUUGUGCCACAGACAUGAACCGGAAUCACCCUCAGCAACAAUAGUAGCCAUGUUUAUACACCAUGUAGUGGUGCUACAAAGUUUCGAUUUUGAUCUUCCAUGUGUAUUUUUCUUCAGUUUUUGGAAAUGAUUCAAUUUAUUUGUUUGCUUAUUAAUGAAUUAAACACAAUAUGAAUUGCUAUACCAACAAUUUUGCUUAUAUUCAUAAUUGAUCUAAUUUAUGUUAUUAGUUGGAUUUAUGUUUUAUAAUUGAUUUAAUUUCUAUUCUUUGUUGGAUCUAUUAAUAAGUAAUGUGCUUCCUCACUUAAAUAUAUGAAAACGACUCACACAUUCAGGUAUAAUUUUUUUCAACUCAUCAAUUUUUUCCUUCUAAAUCAUUCGUUGUUGCUUUUAUAAUUUAUUUUUUUAGGCUACUAUUGCAAUGGACCCAAAGAAAAGAGGUAUUGCAUGGCAAACACAAUUUUCGGUGGUAAAAUAUAUACGUGCUUACACUAAAAUGUAUGUUUAUGUUUACACUAUUAUAUUAAAGUGUGAAGGAUAUUUGAAAAGUAAUUUGAACUUUUUGUACUUCAUUACACAUCUCCUCAAUAAAUAAGACUAUUUAAUUCUAAAUAAUCAAAUGUUACAUGUGCAAGACACGUGCGGCUAAACUAGUUUAACUAAAAUCACUAAAAUACUAUACUUCACUUCAGAUUAUUAUUCCAUAGUGUCAUUUAAUGAAUGGAUUAUGGAGAAGUAAUUAAGGAUGUAAACAAUGAAUUUGAAAUAACUUCAGCGUUAUCAAAAUUAGUCUUACAAAGAGAAAUGGUUAACAAUGAUAUAAACUCAUUCCUAUCUUAAUUACUCGUUCCAUUUUAAAAUAGUUGUCAUGUUUUACUUUUUGAAAGUCAAGUUGACUAAUUUUCAAGAGAUAAGGCACAAAUAUCCCUCCCCUCCCCCCCCUCCAAAAAAAAACUAUAUUCGAAAUCCUAACGACACAGCUAAACUUUACAGGGGUCCAAUUACCCCCCUAAACUCAUAUAAUUGUAUUUUUAUACUCGUUUUGUGCUCAAAAAAAAAAAGAUACUUGUGCCUUAUCCCAAUUUUCAAAGCUAAAUCAUUUUAUAUUAACACAAAAUUUUAAAAUUAAAUUUAGAUAGUCAAAAAUUAUAUGAGAAGUAUUAUAAAUUGCACUUUUUCUCAUAUCAAUAUGAUGAAAAGCAUAUCUUAAAACAUUGAUAAAAAUUAUAUCAUCUGACUCUCAAAAUGAAAAUUGUGACGAGUAAAAAGGAACGGUGAAAAGAUUACUAUAUGCUACUCAUAAUGUCACUCUUGAGUCUUGACAAAGAUUUCAUAGAAACUUUAAAUAAGACCUCCUAUUCAUAUAAUUUUAUAAUAAUUGUGGAUUAUGUAUAAUAUGUUAUUAAAAAUUAUUAAGUCAUGUCAUUCUUACAUCUACUUAUGAUAGAUCAUGGUAAAUUAGCUUUUAAGUCUCUUCAAGUUUUCAAUUAGCAAAAUGGUCUAAUUCUAUUUUUUCAUCUAUCGGAUUGAUAAUCGAUCUGUCCAUAUAUAGGUAAGAUGAUAAUUGAUCUGUCAGACUGAUAAUCGAUUUGUCCAUAUAUAGGUCGGAUUGAUAAUCGAUCUGUCUAUAUAUCCGUUGGAUAGAUAAUAUAUCUGUCUCAAAAAUGGCUCAUUUCCACCCAAAAAAAUUGUAGUUUAUUUAAUUAAAAAGAAGACUUGAAAAGGCCAUUUAACAAAAGAUCCCGUGCUAUGUCUACUUAAGUGUUUUGUUGUUAAAUGAAAUUUACUCCUUUUAGGGUUCAGUAACUAUUUUCUACUCAUUGUUUGUUAUAUUCAUACCAAAAUUUAAUUUUUCACUUUAUUCGAAAACACACACACGGAAGCCAUUGAAGCAGAGAAGAGAAGAAAGGAAAGUGGUAAGAUAUUGUUAUUCAAGUGGUAAAAGUGUACAAUGAGAGGCAUGGUUGCUAUUUAUAGGCUCACAUGUAUGUCACAUGAGCUUUUAGAACAUUCCUAACUAACUCUAACAAAUUGGAUAACUAAUCUAAUUAGCAACCACUAACAUGGUGCCUCCACUAAAUUCAAUAACUAAGUUGGCUAAUCAACAUUUUAUCAAUGUAACAGUGAAAACAAAAAAAACAGUAAAAUAUGAGCUAAUGAGCUAACUCAGAAAAGUGAUCAAUAACUAAUACAUUCUAACACUCCCCCUCAAGCUGAAGGGUGCAAAAUGUUUAUCAUACCAAGCUUGCUCAUGAGGUGUACGUGUUGAUCUUGAGUCAAACUUUUGGUAAGGAUGUCAGCAACUUGGUGAUUGGUUGGAACAUACACAGGCUGAACCAAUCUCUCCUUGAUCUUGUCUCUAAUGAACUGAUAGUCAACUUCAAUGUGCUUUGUUAUUUCGUGAAAAAUAGGGUUGGCAGCUAACUGUAUUGCAGACUUGUUGUCACUGAACACUGUGAUAGGUUUACUGAUAGAUACACCUAGUUUUGAAAACAAGCCUUCCAGCCAUGUAAUUUCUGAUAAAGCUGAAACCAUGCUUCUAUAUUCAGCUUCUGCUGAACUUAUGGAUACUGUGUGCUGUUUUUUAAACUUCCAAGAUAUCAGAGAACCACCAAAAUGUACUGCAUUGCAUAACCUUUAACAGAUCUCCUUGUAUUUGGGCAUGCAACCUAAUCUGAAUCACACCAACACACAAGCUUAGUUAUAGGUUGAGACUUAAGCCAAACAUCUUGUCCCACAGUGCCUUUCAAGUAUCUCACAACCUUGUUUAAAGCUUCCAAAUGAUACUUCUUAGGUUGCUGUAUAAACUGGCUUAAAGUUUGUACUGCAUAGCUGAUGUUUGAUCUUGUAAUAGUUGCAUACAUUAGCUUCCCAACCAACCUUUGAUAGGAUGUAUCAUCUUGAAGAAUAGCAUCUUCUAUAACUCUCAUUGCAUUGUCUACUUCUACUGAUGUUAGCCUGGCAUUGGUUUCCAUUGGAGUAAGGGCUGGUUUUGCACCAGCAAGUCUUGUGUCAGCUAUGAGAUCCAAAAUGUACUUCCUUUGGUUUAAUAUAUCUCCUUUUGUAGAUAUCAACACUUCAAUGCCUAGAAAAUACUUUAUUUCUCCAAGAUCUUUGAGUUUGAACUGUUGAUGUAGUAUUCCCUUUGCCUCAUUUAUCAUGGCAUCAUUGUUUCCUAUAACAAGAAGAUCAUCUACAUAUACCAAUAUCACCACCAUUCCUUCUGAUCUUUUUAAGGUGAAAAGAGAGUAAUCAUAUGUGCUUUGAGAGAAACCAUCCUUACUAGUGCAGCAGUAAGCUUAAUGUUCCACUGCCUGGAAGCUUGUUUAAGUCCAUAUAAGGACUUCACUAAUCUACAAACCUUGUGUAUCCCUUCUUUUUAGAAUCCAUCUGGUAAUUCCAUAUACACUUCCUCAUCUAAGUCACCUUUCAAAAAAGCAUUGUAGGCAGCCAUCUGGUACAUGUACCAGCCUUUUGAAACUGCCAGAGAAAUGACACUUCUUACAGUAACCAUCUUUGCUAUUGGUGAGAAAGUAUCAUGAUAGUCCAACCCUUCUAGCUGACUGUACUCUUUAGCAACUAGUCUAGCUUUGAAUCUUUCAACCUUUCCAAUGGACUUAUACUUGAUCUUGUAUACCCAUCUUGACCCUAUGAUAUUUUCAUCUUGUGGCAACUCAACGACCUCCCAAGUAUGAUUAUCUUUAAGUGACUUCACCUCUGCUUUCAUAGCUUCAAUCCACCUUUCAUCCUUGUUGACACCUAAUUUUUGCCCUCUGCAAUUCAAUUUAAUUUUGAGUUUCUUCAAUUUUAAAAUAAAAUCACAACAAUUAUUUUGUUCAAAUAAAUGCUAGUUUAAAUUACUUAUUCAAUUUAAUUUUAUCAUUUAAUUAAUGAUUAUACAUUCUUCGCAUUUUUAUAUACGAGAGUGUAUAAAUUUUGUUAUCUAAAUGAACGUUUUCAUUAAAAUUAGAUUUUUAUUGAUUAAGCUUGAAAAUUAAUUCAAAUGGAUAAAAUCUUGGUUUUAAAAAUGUUUUGCUCUCAAAAUAUUUUAUCUGGAUGAAUAUUUGUUAGAUUUUUAUCAAAUUAAGAAACUCGAGGUUGAUUUGUUACUUGAUUCGUGCUAGAUUGUGAUUCAAUUUAGCGAACGAAUUAAAUAUGACCUCAAUUGAAAUCAAAUUGGCCAAUAGAUAUUCAAUUUGGUUAUAAUUUAAAUAAGCCGUUUAAAUUGUAAUUCAAUCUUAAUCCCAAAAGUUAUCAUUUCUCAAUUGGGAUUAUUUUAAUUCGAUUAAAUUUAAUUAGAGUUAUUUUUUUUAUCCAAUUAAAUUUAAUUAUGAUUAUUCUAAUCUAAUUAAAUUUAAUUAGGGUUAUUUAAUAAUCCAAUUAGAUUUAAUUAGGGUUAUUAAAUAAUCCCAAUUGUUAACCCAUGUACCAGCAGCCUACAACAAUUUCAGCCCAACACCUAAAGUUGUCCAACCCAGCCCAUUUCUCCCUUCUUCUUCAAUAGCACUAACAACAGCUAAGCACCGAUAUUCUAUCAAUAACAAAACAACAAUAACGCAUCCAGUGACCUACUCAACCCGAAUUCGUCAACCCAAUACACGAACAACUUCAAUCCCGACCCAACCGGACCUUUCUCCAUGCACGUCUCACAUGGAUUCGUCCGAAGAAAGCUUGAUAAGUUUCUAGAAUCGGAUGAGCUGUCCCCCCAAUGGUUUGAUUCCGUGAUUUUUGGGUGUAGUUGUACGAUUUCGUACAUAUCUGGACGAAUCUCAUUGGUUCUUGGGGUUAAUUUAUUUUUUUCCAAAUCUUAUUGGUCCAUAAUUUUCAUUUUUCUUCAAGGAAUCCAAAAAUGGAUGCGACAUGGAUAAACACCGAAGAGGGGGAGGUUUGGAAUUUCAAAUUUCAAAAUUUCCUAUUAUGGAAAAUCCCUAAUUUACGCCCAUAGAUAAACCCUAUUUGACUCUCUAUAAAAGGGGAGUUUUAGAAGCAAGGAAGGGGAUUCCGGUUCAAGAGGAGAAAGGUUGGAAAUUUAGGGUUGAAGAUUCUUGGGUUGGGAAACUUUUGGGUCCAAAAAGGAUUAGAAAUUCCGAACUCGAAAACCUAGGUAGAAAAGUUCUUUUAGGGUGGCAAAACUUUUCUUUGAGAGGUGAAAACAAGAAAGAAAAAAGGAAAAACAGUCAUCUAGUCGAGUGUUCACAACGGUAUUGAGCUUUUCGGUGGUGGUGGAAGUCUGAAGUUAGCUCGUAGUACUGUUUUGCUGCUCCGAAAUAGGUAACACUCCACUACGUUCAGUUUUUAAAUUGUUUCUGCCUGUUUCUGCUUCAUCUUGUUGUUCUAUGGUGAUAAAUAAUAUCUUGCUAUGCUAGGAUGUUCGCUGUUAGAGGCCUCGAAAGCCAUAGGUUAUGAUGGAUGCUGGCUGUUUGCUUUUGUGAUUUUAUUAUACCCUCAUUUCCCGUGUCUAUAAGCUGUUGUAGCUAAAGAGAAAAUGCAUUCUUUCUACGUGUCCAAACUAGUCUUCCUUCUUAGUAUGGUUAUGGUUAGAAUAUAGAGUAUUAAAACAUUUUCCUUUAUCUUACCUGCGAAGUGCAAAUAAUGGUUUGACUAUGAAGUUGGUUUUGGUUGAGUCCAAGAUCAUAAUUUAUUUGAUUAUUGAUGUUAAAAUUUAUGCUUUGAUGAACUUUGCACCAGUCUGCUUGAAAUUUGCCCUAUUUGUAGUUAUUUGACUAUCUCUAGAAAUGCCAUUGUUCAUGUUCUGUUGGUAUUUUACUGCUUGAAAUAGUUACUUUAGGAUAAUGUAAAUCUUAUAUCCUUUUGGGUGAUAUUUUGUGAAAGACGUUUCGAGUUCUAUGCAUAUUUAAUAUUGCUUGUUUCUUGUUGUUUUCUUGGUUGAAAGAGGACUCUUCACUUUGUUUUUCCUUGACUCAUAAUGUCAAGAAUUUAUCUUUCAAAUGAAUGAUAAAUCAAUACUCGAAGAUGUCCAUCUCUAGCAUUUUCCUUAACCCCAUUUGUUUUUUCGUGGCUUGUUAUGAUUGACGUCAAAAAUUUGAAUUUUUUUUUGUUGCUUAGUCAAGCAUGUUUUAAAGAAGGAUUUUUCCUGUUGUAGUAUAGACGGACCAAAAGAGGUCUUAUAGGAGUGAUAUUUUGAAAAAAAAAAAAAAAUUCUUUCUCUAUUUUCAUGGUUCUUCGAAACUGCAUUUUAGUUUGCUGAACAAAGAUAUGAAAGCCGCUCUUAAUUCAUGAGGAUGGGUUGGUCAAGUGUCAAAUUCUUACUUCUUUUUUUUAGUCUUUAAUGUCUACAAGUAUCAUGUUAUGAAGAUGCUCCUAUUUUUCUCUUGAUAAAAAUAAUACUGGAUCUUGGUUAUCCAUAAAGUUGACUUUUUCAUCAUUGGUUAGCUUCCUUCUUUAUGUCCCAACUAAAGGCAGUGCAUUGAUUUGCCUGCAUAUUCGUUGAAAAUCUGGUUUAAUUCUUUUUUCUAAAAAUUUUAGUGAUUAUAUCGGUACCAUACGCGAUCGAAAGUAGUUGAGACUUGGUUAUUUAAGCUUCCUAACACUCUCUUGAAAUAGUGUAGAGAUUAUAGAAUGUGGAUUUAUUUGUCCGAGUGUAUUGAUUAACACAUUCGUUAACUAAUUAACUUGCUUGCAAGCCAUAUACUUUUCUAAUCUUAAGGCUCAUGUAUUUAUGUUUUUUAUAGUUCACAUGUCUAUAUGUAGCAAGUGAAUUGCUAUUUUCUCCCGCCUAAAGCGUUGUGCCUUUUAUUGCAUAAUUUAUCUAUUAGUGUAAAAACUCUUGAGAACGUAUACUAAUUCACUCAUCUUUUUCUUUGCAUGAACCCGCUUCGGAGUCUGAAGGGACUACUUCCCCUUUGCAUGUCUUAAACGGGCCAAUGAGGCCUAUCUUUCGUGUCAAUUCUUAGAGAAAGCUUGAAUAUCAACCCUAUGGUAUACUGGGCGCAAGGAGCUGAAACAAGAAAGUGGGUUAAAGUUCCACUUCGAAGCGGUUAAGAGACAAAAGUCGCAUUUAUUAUUUCAUUUUAUAUAUUUAUUGUCAUCUUUUAUUUAUUUACUUAUUUAUUUGUUUAUUUAUUCAUUCAUGUGGGCCUCGAAGCCAAAGUUGUAAAUUUAAUACAGUUGGAGCGAGACUCGAGCCAAAGGCUCAAAAUAUAGACUAGGACAGGUGGAAGAUGGGUCGAAAGCCCAAUAUCUAGACUAGGACAGGGUGACAGAUUUGGGCAUAAAAGCCCAAAUCAUUUAUUUCUUCCUCUAUUUCCCUUUCGUUAUUUUAUUUGCUUAGUGUUCGAAUCUAGUUAAUCCCUAACUAAGUCGCUACAAAACUGAUUUUGCAAAAAAACUUUUCCUUAAUCAAAUACUUUUCCCACAAGUUGAUUUUCCAAGUUAGUCAAAAGAGAUGAUUUUCAAACAGAUCGGAUAACCUCAAGUUAGCGAACGUUUUAGGUGCCUAACACCUUCCUAAAACGUUAAUAGGAACUGCUUAUUCAGAAUCUCUGACUUAAAUGAUUUUUUUUCUAUUUUGGAUCGUUUAAAGUAUUUAAGGUUUCUUAAUUUCUUUUCAAAAUUAAGUGGCGACUCUUAUCAAAAAGUCAAAAUUAUUGCAAAACAAUCCUUAACUGCUUGAUUAUAUGAUUGAGGUUCAACUAAUACUGACAAAUUGGACACAAAAUACUGAUAAUUAAGACUAGUCCCAGCGUAGAACAAAUAUUUGGCUAAGGGAAAUCUUGUUCCUUUUCCCUUUCCUGGUGUUGCAUAGUCCAUCAUCCAAGCAGGUAGCUUGUGUACUCUGGUUGAUUUUCUUGGAGCAGGUACUUCAGGUUGUGAGGAUGAUGUUGUAGCAUAUGAUGAGUUGGAGGGAACAUCAUCUAGUAUGCUAUUUGGAACAUUGGAAAUAUUCAUAUUCUCAUCUGAAGACAUAGGAAUCUGGUGACAAGACUCUGGUAUAACAGGUGAGAAUCUACAUGAUCAUCCAUGUCUGCAUCUGCACAUUCAUUCUCACUUAUUGUGAGAAAGUCAGAAGACAACUCUGAAGUGGUCUUGUCUGCAAAAGGGAACAAGUGUUCUUGAAACACAACAUCUUUUGUAACAAAUAGUUUGUUAGUAAGAAAUUCCAUUAACAAAUGACCUUUCUGAGAAGUAGAAUAUCCCAUAAGUACUGCAGGUUUGGCUCUUUCAGUAAACUUAUCUCCUCUGGGUUGUAUUGAGGCAUAACACUUACAGCCAAUAACUCUAAGAUGUGUCAGUGAGGGAAUUUUACAGAAUAGCACCUCAUAAGGACUCUUAUCUCCAAUAGAAGAAGAAGGUAGCAUGUUCAUAAGAUAAACCACAGCCUUGGCAUUCAAUCCCCAAAACUUGAUAGGCAUCUGAGACUGAAGCCUGAUAGCUCAAGCAAUAUUUAGUAUUUGCCUGUGCUUUCUUUCAACAAUCUCAUUCUGCUGUGGUGUGUAGGGGUAGCUACUUUGAUGAAAUACACCCAAGGAUUGAAAUAACUCUCUAUAUUGUGAGUUUAUAAAUUCCGUUCCAUUAUUUGAUCUGAGAACUUUUAUUUGAGCACCAAAUUGAUUUCUCAUCAAAUUCAAAAAGUUUUUAAUAGCCAUAAUACAUUCAGAUUUCAACUGUAACAAGUGAAGCCAAGUAUACCUACUAUGAUCAUCUACUACAGUAAGAAAGUAGUGUUUCUUAUCAAAAGUAGGAACUUUUUAAGGCCCCCAAAGAUCCAUACGUACUACAUCAAAAGGCUUCACAACUUUAGAAUUACUAUCAGGAAAUGGUAUUCUAGUUCGUUUAGCUAGAAGAAAGACAUGGCAUUGGUAGACACCUAAUUUCGUCCCUCCCCAAUAUCGUUUUUACUCAUUUUUUACUUUAUCCUACCGUGUACCCUCACCCAUGUAAUUAUACCCCACAAAAAUACAAAAAUAACAAAAAUUUAAUAAAUCCCUAACCUUAUACUAACAAACUUUAUCCUAUACCCUAUCCCACUACCUCACCACCCCUUACCCCUACCUUUAACCCUCCUCCCAUGUUUCUUUCCAAAAAAAAAAAGAAAAGAAGAAGACAAAACAAAAUAGGGGGGAGGGGGGGUUAUGAUCAUCUUCAACAGAGAACUCUCCAUGUUCACACUCUCACACACACACAAGCAUUUUUAUACACACUUACUGGAAACCAUGGUGAAGGAUUACCCACACACUUCACAGUAAAGAGGAGGGGGUUUCUUUUCUUCUUCGGAGCAAUAGAGAGAGAUUAACAAAGAGAAAGAGAAAGUAACCAAGAGAAAAACUGUGGGACUGAGGCAAAAUGGGAUAGAUCAUCGCACAUAGAGGAAAGGAUUACAGAUUUGGGUGUGAGAGAGACGGAGAAAAUGUAAGAGAGAGAGAAAAGGUUGUUCACCAUCUGUCACUCUUACGACGGACGAUCCACCACCGAUUGUGAGUCCAAAAUGGAGUCCUUCACCGGAAAGGGACACCCAUCACCGAUCUCGGUCGAAAUCAUCUCAAAUCAUCCAGAAAACCAUCGCAAAUCAGUCAUUAAACAACCCACCACUGCUAAAAAUCAAUAGCCAAGCCUACCAGGGUUUUGAUCAAGUUAGCGAGUUCGUAGUUGAGGUUUGAAUUGAAGUUCUCGAUGCGGGCCGCACCUGAUUUUGAUUAAAAUAAUAUAUUGAUUUCGAAAGCUUCUUCUAAGGUCCAAUUUUUCAAAUCCUUUUAAUUUUACUCAAUUUGAUAUGUUGAUGUUGUGAUUUGAAUAUUUCGUGAUGAUUGAUGCUAUAAUUUUGAUCGAUGUCUGAACAUCUAUGAUUGUCGUGGAUUUGAUUGGUUGUUUCUAUAUUGAAGUUGAUUGUUUGAUCAAAAAUGAGAUUUGAGGGGCGGGAAUUAAGAACAUUGAUAAAAGUGAAUAUUAGUUUAUGUUGAUUCAUUGAUAGUCGCUUGAUUCGGGAUAAGCAUCGACUUUGUUAAAUUCGAUAGUCCCUUGUGAUAGGUCGAUUCGGAUAGGCAAAUGUAGAUUCGGGUAGGAAAAUUUAGAACUUAUGUUUGGUUGAAUGUUUGAAUGUGUGUGGGAAUGUUUCUUUCAAGUUUAUCAUAUUUUAUUCAAGUGUAUUCAUUUGGCCGGGGAAUGCCCCAAGGUUUCUUGUAUUUAUUCACCAGGGAAUGCCCCGACGUAUUAUGUCCUCGAAGGAAGUUCGUGAUCAAGUCCCGAGGCAUCGGGUAAAGUAUUGGAGCUUAGUUUAGGUCUAAUUUAGAAUAGGUUUUAUAUUUUCUGCAGUUUUCUAUUUCAGACUGUAUAAUUGGACUGGACACUAAGUUUUGAACUGUUUUGUUCUGUUUUGUUUGCUUGAUUGAUUGUUUUGCGUGCUUUGUGUGGUUUAUAACUUCGUAGUGUAUUAGCCGAUAUACUCCACCAAGUGAUAGUGUUCAAACUACGGAAAUUAGGGGUGCCUAACACCUUCUCCUCGGUCAACAAAAUUCCUUAGCCGGAAUCUCUGUUCACAAACUACUUUUAAAAAGUCAAAACAGUUUUGAAAAGGAUUUUUCAAAGGUGACAUGGCACACCGAAAUAUGCCAAGUGUCGACUCUGAAUGAAAAACUUAAAUAGUCCUUUUUGGAAAUAAAUUUUUAAUCUUUUUUCACUUUAAUAAUAAAAACCCUUUCAAACUAAAAAUCAAAUCUUUUGGGAGUUAAAAAGGAGGUGUGACAACAUUUAUUUUGAACCUCUAAGUAUGUUUUGCGUCUUAUUAGACUAAGUGAUUGCAAAGCAUGAGAAGAAGGGUGCCCAAGACUUCUAUGCCAUAAGUUGCAGUCUUGCAUAUCUACUUCCACAACCAGCAGCCUUUGAGAACUUCUUUCCUAUGCGUCAUUCAAUUCACAGACGUUCUUAAGAAAGUAUAGUCCCCCUUUUUCCUUACCAAUCCCCUUCAUCUUGUCAGUAUGAAGGUCCUGAACUAAACAUAAAUCAGGGUAGAAUGACACAAAGCAUGAAAGUAGUUUGGUCAUUUUUGAUACUGAUAACAGAUUGAGUUUAAAGUCAGGAACAAACAACACAUCACUAACAGUUUCCUCAUUUAGGAUUUGUGUUUCUCCGAUGUGUGAAAUAUUUUCCUUGGCUCGAGUAGGAAGAUUCACCAUUUCUUUUUCGAUAUUAACUACUUUAUGACACUGUGAGAAUACACGUUUAUGUUCUGCCACAUGAUGUGUUGCAAUAGAAUCUAUUACUUGUAGACACGUAAUUUUGUCCAUCCCAGAAAACAUUUUUUUCUAUUUUUUACCUUAUCCUACUGUGUACCCUCAACCAUAUAAUCAUACCCCACAAAAAUACAAAAAUAACAAAUUUUAUCUUGUUCUAAUUCUAUCCAAACAACCUCUCCAAUUAAAAAUGGACACAUUACCACCCCACCCCAUACCCUACGUUUACCCGACCUACCCUACCCCUACCCCACCCAUUUCCCUUCACAUUUUUCCACUGGUCAACAUUUAUACACCAUCACACAAUAUACAAAGAGGGGGACACAAAAAAAAGGGGAGCACACAUAGACUCCAUUUUUCUUCUGGAAGCUCCAUUUUGGUUUCAUUUUUGAUUCAUCAAGAGCAUACCUGCACAUACUAUCUUCUUCUCCACUAAUACACAUAGCUCACCCUCCAAAUUCAUAGACCACCAAUCAAUUGUCCAUCAUCUUCCAUUUUUUUUAUUCACAGAAACCAUCGCAUAGAGGAAAGAAAAACCCAGGGAUCUCCAUUUUUUUUGAUCGACUCACACGCACACAAAGACGCCAUAGUUAACACCCUCACGGAUCCUCACUCUCAACGUAGAAGAAAAUUGCACACAUACACUGAUUAAAAUUCAUAAAAAAUAUAGUGAAAAACCAGUGAGAAAAGAAGUAAAAAAUGGGUAAGAUGAAGUAAAAACAUCGAGGGAAAUAACAAAUCUCAGGUCGACGAUCACUGUUCCGGCGAUUGGUUCGCCGAAAAAAUGUCAAGCCACUCAAAACUUGCUGGAAUCCGACUUAUUCCUAUCGGUUCUAUUACUGUUAGCUCACCGGAGUUCAGCUUGUAAGGUUUCUCAGUUUUUUUUUUGCCGGAAAUUGGGUUCGGAUUUUGUUCGUUAGUCUUUGUUACCGGGCUGGAGUAGUUUAUUUUAAGAUUCUCCAUCGGGUUUCAAACCUGAUCGAGUUGUAUUUCUCUACACCAAGUAGAGUUUGGUCGUGGUUGAGGUUUGGUUCGAGGUUUCCAGAUGUGGACUCUCUUAGUUGAAUAACAUUGAGUUCGAAAGCUUCAAAUUGAGGUCCGAUUCUACUCUUUCACUCUUUUAUUUCACUGUUGAUGAUACUUGGGGCAUCGGAUUGAAUGUUGUGUUGAUUGAUCUUGAUUGGUGGUUGCAUUGCUACUUGUUUGAUUUUUUGUUGAUUUUCUUAGAUUAUAAAUUAUGGAAAUUUGGUAUUAAAAGGAAUUUGGGGUGGAAUCGAGAAGUUGAUAAAAUAGUGAAUUGAGUUUAACGUUGGUUUUACUAUUGUUUUUGUUUAAUUCGAAAUAAGCAUGAAUGUGAAUCGGAGCGUGAUAGAAUCAUGACAUGUUGAAACGGAUAGGCAAAGUUUAGGUUUAGGUAGGUAAAUUUAGAGAUAUUUUUGAAUGUUGAAAGUUUGAAUGCAUGUGUGGUGAAUGUUUUAUAGUUUAUCAUACUUGAUUAAGUGUAUUCAUUCAGCCAGGGAAUGCCCCGAGGUUUCAUGUAUUUAUUCACCGAGAAAUUACCCAACAUAUUAUGUAGUCAAAGGACGUCCAUGACGAAGGACCGAGGAAUUGGGUAAAGCAUUGGAGCGUAGCCUAGGAUUAGUUUAGAAUAGGAUUUAUAUUUUUGCAUUUUUUUGUUUCGGUUUGUAAUAAAUGGACUGGACAUUAUGAUUUUGGAUUUUUUUGUUUUGUUGGUUUGAUUGAUUGUUUUGUGUGUUUUAUGUGGUUUAUAUAUUUGUAGUGUCAAAAUUAGCCGAUAUUCUCCACCAAGCGACCGUGGUUGAACCAUGGGAUCGAGGGGUGCCUAACACCUUCCCCUCAGUCAACAGAAUUCCUUAGCUAGAAUCUUUGUUCGCAAACCAGUUUUAAAGAGUCAAAUUAUUUAUAAAAAGAUAGUCCAUAGGUGACUUGGCACACUGGAUUAUACCAAGUGGCGACGCUGAGUUUUGAAUGUAAAAAUAAUCCUUUUUCAAAUUUUUUUCACCUUUUGUCACUUUAAUAAUAACAAUCCCUUUCAAACUUAAAAAUGAAAUCUUUUGGGAGUUAAAAAAGGGGUGUGACAGCUCUAGUGACUCUGCUGGGGACCUUUUUCAGAAUUCGAUCUUAUUUUUGGAGUUAUAUCGGCUUAGUUUUGACAUUAUGAGUGUAUAGACAUUGUUUGUGUUAUUGUUUGUAUUUGUUUAUCGUUAUUGAGUGCCUACGUGCUUACAGUUUUUCUCUUAUGUGUUACCGCUUUAUAUCUGGCAUCAUUUGCAUAAUCUGAGUCAAUUCUUUCUGUAAGAAGUUCUGUAGUACACAUUGUGUACACGACCUAUAGUUGAGUCACCCUUAUUUUUAGGAGGGGGAGCCGUCGGCUGGUAUGGAGUGGGUGGAAAGCUAGAGCAGCCACUAUUGACCAUACGCUUCCCUGAACGGCCUUGUUAGUAAACCCCAAUGUAGGUCAGCCGUUAGGUCAUACUUAACUACAUCAUAUUGAGACCAAGCAGGACCCACUUAGUCCUUUGUAGGAGACUCACCUCAAAACCAUCCCUAUGUGCUAAAUGUUUCAUUUUUAGGGUAAUGGGGUCAUUUGACAUAUUGAUUUGGACAAAAGCAUGUGUUAGAAGCAAAGUGUGUAGGCAAAAUUUGUUGGAAAAAAAGAUUAAAAAAAAAUAAAAAGGUGUAUCGAAAAAAAAAGUGUUUCGUAGUGUUUUUAGAGUUUUUUAAUGGUUUUUGUUCUUCACAAUCCAAAAAUUCAAAAAGAUUUUUACCUUUUGCACUCACUUCUCAAAAACAAAAACAUCAAAAAGAUUUUUCCUUUGUCUCGUUUAGCAUGCAUUCACAAUUCAAAAAACUUCAAAAAGAUUCUUCAUUCAUAUAGGAGUUUUUAUACAAGAAGAAUGCAAAAAAAUUGUAGGAUUUUUGAACAUUUCAUGAAAAUACCAAAAAGAUUUUUCUUUCAUAGUUGUUGGUGUCAUUUUUCUGUAAAGUUUGAAAUUGAAAACUCAAAAAGAUUUUAUAGAUGUUUUGCAUGUUCAAUUUGUGCUCGUGUCUCUCAAGUCAGGGAGUUGGUUAUUUAAUCCUUAAUUGUCCAAUCUGUACGAACUACGCACCCCUGAUUCUCAUCUCUCGGGAGUGAGAUACGUAGGUAGACUAUUGUGGGUUCGGGGAUCUUAUUUGAAAAAUUCAAAAAAAAAAAAAUUCUUCACUUUUCCUUUAAAGUAGGUGUUUCCUAUAUAUCUUUAAAAUAAAAUUACAAAAAAGUUUUUUGUUAAUAGCUUCAGUCUCAUUUUCGUAUGAAAUUCAAAAAUUGAAAACCCAAAAAGAUUUUCGUCAAUUCUUUCGACAAUUUAUUAUUUUUGAAGUUUCUGAAAAAAAAAAGGAAAAAGAAUUAAUUGGCCAUUUUGGCAAGACUUCAUGAACUACGCACACCUGAUUCUCCUCUUUCGGGGGUGAGAUACGUAGGCACCCCUCUUGGGUUUGGUGACCUUUUCAAAAAGAAAAACAAGGUUUUGAAAAUAAAAUGUUGAAUUCUAAAGAAUUUGCUAUCUUUUGUUCAAUUAGUUUAAGGUGGUUAGUUUGUGGCAUUUUGGCUGGUCCUCCAUAUUGCACCAAGUCAUAGAUAAAGUUAUGGCCAAGAAGGAUAUCGAGUUUGUUGUCACUGAUUAGAGAAUUUAGGAGCUAAUGAAGAGAUUCGAAAAUUAAGGAAACAAAUGAUAGAAAUGCAUCGAGCUUGGGCUAAUGGGUUGCCACCUCCUCCAUUUCCCACUGAUAAUCUAGAAUAUCUUUCUAGCUUGCCUCCAGUGUCACAUACACAGUUUCCUAUUUUUGUUGACACACCACAACAUGCAUCAGGACCUGCUCCGGGGCAACACUAUCCAAACACUUCCAAUAUUCAUUUCCUCACUACUCAACACAAAGCUACCACAUGCUCGGCUCCACCCACUGUUCAGGUUUUUGCAGCACUACCCCUACCCGAAGAUCCUACUUUUGAGGUUUAUCCAUAAGUUGUGCCUCCCCACUCUGCAAGAAGAGGAAUAUUUCUACUGAUCAACAUCAUGCUAUUGAUCCCACAUUUAAGUUGACUAAUCCUUAUGGCUAUACUCACCCGCUUGAAUUUCCUCUUAACACUGAGAAGUCUGUUAUAAUAGAAGAACAAGGGGAAAUGACCAGAAAAUUAAAAAGUUUGGAACUGGCUAUGAAAGACCUCCAGGGACUUGAGGGGUACAAAAGUGUCUUAUAUAAAUAUCUGUGCAUAUUUCCAGGGGAUCAUCUUCCUUUUGGGUUUAAAAUGCCGAAGUUUGAGAAGUAUGAUGGACAUGGCGAUCUUGUGGAACAUUUGAGACGUUAUUCCAACCAACUAAGGGGUGAUGGGGGAAGGAAGUUACUCAUGGCAUAUUUCGGUGAGAGUCUUUCAGGCGUAGCUUCAGAAUGGUUUGUUGACCAAGACAUCCACAAGUGGAUUAGUUGGGAUGACCUAGCUAAUGAAUUUGUGCAACAAUUCCAAUACAAUGUGGAGUUGAUUCUUAAUGAGAAAUCCCUAACUACCAUGAAUAAAAAGAGUACUGAGACUUUCAGAGAAUAUGCGAUUAGAUGGCGUGAACAAGCUGCUAGGUUGAAACCGUCAAUGAAAAAAAGUAAGAUAGUGGAGGUAUUUAUUCAAGCAUAGGAUGAAACAUAUUAUCAACAAUUGUUACUUGUAUUAGGCAAGCCAUUUAUUAAGGUCCUCAAAAUGGGGGAGAUGAUAGAGGAUGGAAUUAAAACUGGCCGCAUUAUGAGUUUUGCAACAUUGAAAGCGACUACUCAAGCAGUUCAAAAAAGUUCGGGAAGUGUCGGAGGGAAGAAGUAUGAGGAAGAUGCAUCAGCCAUUGUAGUUGGACAAUAGGCAUGGGCAAGAGGACCACACCAUCAUUACCCAUAGGCUCAAACCCAAGUUUAUGCCCAAGCUCUACAGAAUCUUUCCCAAAAUCCAUUAUAUUCUAUUCACCCACUUCCAUAUCAAGUGUAUGAUGUGCAACCAUAUGUUCAACCUCUAUCUUACCCACAAUGGCGUGCGCCAACUCUAUCGAGUCAUCCUCUAACUCCACAUACAUACUGAAGCCCUUCUAGGCCUGGUUUUUAAUUUAAUCCAAACGAUGAAAUGAGAUAGAAGUUGAGAGAUAGUUUCACAUCAAUCGAAGAGUCGUAUGCAAGUUUAUUCCAGAGAUUGGUACAACAUGACGUGAUCACUCCUCUCCUUGGGUAUACUCCUGACCCACAUUCAAGAAGUUUUGAUGCUAAUAUACGAUGUCCAUAUCAUUCUGAUGUUCAGAGUCACAGUAUUGAAGAUUGUUGUUCUUUGAAAAGAGAAAUAGAAAAGAUGAUUCAAGAUAAAUCAAUUAUGGUGCAGACCAUUGACAGUGAGGAAAGCUCCAGUCAUGCUGAUAUGCAAACUAGUGGCUAAGAUGUCUGGAGCAAUUGAGAAGUCACCCCUCGCCCUACUAGGAAGAGGUCUGGUAGUUUGUUUUGUUUUUUAUUUUUUUCUAUUUUUUGAAUUAUUGUCCCUGUGUCGUUUAUGUUCAAACCAUUCUAUCUUUUAUUUCAAUUAAAUGGAGUGUCCCUUUUUUCUUUGUGUUUUAAAUUUAUGUUGUUUGUUUGUUUUCUUUACAUAGUACAUUUUCUGUUGAUUCUAGUGUUAUGAAAUGCUAGCAGAAUUUUCAUCCAGAUCUUAAAAUCCAGUUUAAGCAUGAGCAUUGAUUCAAAGGAUUAAUGUUAGAAAAAGAGAGUAUCUGAGGACAUAGGUAGAGUGUUGAGACAUUUGGUGACAAGUUGAAGCCUUAUUUGAAAAAUUAGCCUUAUUUGAAAAAUUAAGGCAAUUAUUUAUAGAAUCGUAAGAAUAAAUUGGUCAUUAAUGAAAAGACAUGUCUCAAUUAGGUCAAAUAGUGAAUGUGUGGUCCUACAUCAAAAGGAGAAGAAAAAUUAGCUCCAUGAAAAUAUGAGUCAUUCGAUGUGAUGAAUGUACAACAAAGGUGGAGUUUGCGGAAGAAGUAGUGAUGCACAAACUCAGUCAAAGUUAAUGUUGUAAAAGAUGUCACAAUGAUCUUCAUCUUUCACUUUCACAUGCAUGCUAUCUACUAGUAUUUUCAAGGAUUGAUAUGAUGAAGGCAUUUUAUUCUGUUAUCCAAACAUUGUGUCAUCCUUUGUUUACCCUAUUUGAGCUUUAGUCCCAUUUUAUUUCAUACCCCUCUUUUGGAAUCAAGAUAGAGUUAGGAAAACUCAAAAGAAAAGUGUCAAGCAAAAGAAUAGUCUCAGAAAGUUUCAAAAAAAAAAGAGAAAAAAUGUGUCCAAAAAGAAAAAAGAGUGUAAAGAAAAAUAAAGUCAGGAAAGUACCAAAGAGAAAGAGUCAAAAAAAGAAAAAUUUAGAAUCAAGUGGAAGAACAGGCUGCCAGAACUACGCAUGACCUGAUUCUCCUCUUUCAAGGGUGAGAUACGUAGGCUGCCCUAUUCUGGGCUCGGUCCAAUCAAAUAAAUUAUUUAGAGUCACCCAGUCAAAAGAAACUGGGGCAUGAGUUAAUCCUCAUUGUUUGAGUCGAUUCCAAAAGUUGUAAGUCCCACCCCACAUCAAAUUUCGUUUGGUCCUCAUGCCAUCCUUUCUUUCUAACCCUAUCCAAAAGCCAAGUUACAACCAAAGAAAAAUCUUCAGAUCAAUCUUUGAGGAUGUUAAGGCUAAGCAUGCAAGGGAUAUGAUGAUGUAUUUUGGAUCUAGUUGUCUUCCUUAGCAUAAGAAAUUAGGGGAGAAAUAAAACUGAGAGUCUAAUUGGUGAAAACCCUCAGGGGCACCAUAAGGCGAUGGUAAGUUGAGAGAGAUAAAAAUGAGAGAGACUUAUUGGUGAAAACCCCACGGGCACCAUAAAGAGAGGGUCAGUGAGAAAAAAAUGUGAGAGGCUUGUUGGGAAGGUGUCACUAGCAGAAUGAGCUCUUUGAAUGCAAUGGGUCAAAGCAAGUAACUCAGUUUCAGAGCCAUUAGCUCAAGAACAAUUGGUAGAAUGUUUGGAUGGAAAUAUCAGGAAGCCUAAUCCAAAAUGCAUGGCAUAAUCAUUAGAGUUGACUGUCAUUUUUCGAUAAAUUUUUGUUUCUUUGUUUCAAAUGGGGACAUUCGUUGUCUUUUCUUUCUUCUCUUCAUUUUUUAUUUUAUUUUCUUUAGUCAGUUAUCCAAAUAAAAAUCAUUGUCAUUUUUUCUAUUGUCUUUGAGUCAAGUUCAUGUCAAAAUAAGUGAAAAAAGAUUUCAAAAUUGGCUACCAUCUUCUUCAAUUGCACAAAGAAUGACAAAAGGCCAACACAUGAUUGUGAGCUGAAACAAGGCAUACAGAAAGUUUUGUCAACAGAUAUAUCAAGGUUAAAAGGGUUUAUCUGAGAAGUAUGGAAAAGAAGAAAUACUGUGUUUAUUUCAAAGUCACUCUUAAUAAUCUGAGUUCGGAUCAAUGAUGAAGUGAGUCAAUGACAUAUGCUAAUGGUUGAAAGCAAGAUUAAUGUGACAGGAGCAAGAAAGAUUUUCACAAAAUCCAAAGUCACAAACUAGCCACCAUGUUUUUAAACUAACAAGUUUUCUUUAUAUAAAACAAGAACACAUGUUACCUUCGAAUCAAGGAUUUCAAAGCCUACACAUCAAAAGUUGCAAUGCCUCACUUCUACAAAUGCAGAAGACAAUAUUGUUACACAGGUUUGGUAAUCAAAACCAUGGUAAAACUCAUCAUCCAAUAUAUCUAGGAGACACUUCCUUGUUGGGAUAAUUCAAGAGACAUUUGUAAGGAGACACACUUUCUUAUUUGGUAAUUCAAGCAGCAUUUGUAAGGAGAUGUACUUCCUUAUUUGGGUAAUUUCGGCAAUAUUUGCAAGGAGACGCACUUCCUUGUUUGGGAAAUUCAAGCAACAUUUGUAAGGAGACGUACUUCCUUGUUUGGUAAUUCAAGCGGUAUUUGUAAGGAGACACACUUCCUUGUUUGGAUAAUUCAAGCAGCAUUUGUAAGGAGACACACUUUCAUAUUUGGGUAAUUCAAGCGGUACUGGUAAGGAGACGCACUCCUUUGUUUUGAUAAUUCAAGCAACAUUUGUAAGGAGACGCAUUUCCUUGUUUGGUAAUUCAAGUGGUAUUUGUAAGGAGAGGCACUUCCUUAUUUGGUCAAUUCAUGAAACAUUUGUAAGAAGAUGCACUUCCUUAUUUGGGUAAUUCAAGCAACAUUGAUAAGGAGACGCACUUUCUUGUUUUGGUAAUUCAAGCGGCAUUGGUAAGGAUAUGCACUUUCUUGUUUUGAUAAUUUAAGGAACAUUGGUAAGGAAAUGCACUUCCUUGAUUGGGUAAUUUGAAUUUUGGUUUUUAGGUGAUGCAUUACCUAACUUAAGUCUUGAUUCCUAGUAGAUGUACUUCCUAGUCGAGUCAGUCCCUUUGAUUUCUAAAAAAUGCACUUUCUAGUUGAGUCAUUGGAUUUAACCCUUAGGAGAUGCACUUUCUUGCUAGUUUUCAUUUGUCAAGUGGCACACUUUUUAAUUUAAACUUCUAUCUCUGGAAGACGCACUUUAUAGUCAAAAUUCCUCACUUUAAUUUUUAGGAGACACACUUUCUAGUCAGAAUUCCUCACUUUAAUUCUUAGGAGACGCACUUCCUAGUCUUGGUCAUUCAAUUUUACUCUCAAGAGAUGCAUUUAUUUGUCAGAGUCUUGAUUCAUCAUUGCAACAUGCAAGUAGGUAUGAUGUGACUUUCUCAAAAGUCUUCUGAUGAUAAACUAGGGCAAAGAUUUAAUUUUUGUUUUUGGAAAUUUACUUUUCUGGCAAACGGAAUUUCUGUUUACAAUAAUUAUGUUUGGAAUAAUUUCCUUUCUAGUUUUGAUGUGAUUUUAGGAGCCCACUUGAAGAACAGGGCGAAUAAAUGGAAAGUCAAACAACAAGGUGAAGAAGUUGAGAGCCAAGCAGCAAGGUAAAGAAAUGGAAAGUUAAAAAAUUGAAAAAUAGCAAGUCAGGAGCCCACCUGAAGAAUAGGGUGAAGAAAUUCAAAGCCAUGCAACAAGUUAAAGAAAUUACAAGUCAGGAGCCCACCUGAAGAAUAGGGUGAUGAAGUAGCAAGUCAAGAGUCAAGGAAAUUUGCAUAGAUAGGAUUUUGUAAUUUCAUUUAUGUUUUAACUUGUAAUUUUCAUUUUGAUGUAAUGAUAGAGCCGCGAACCGGAGCCUCAAUGGGACCUCACUCGACUCUCCAACUCGAUUGUCCUUCUUCCUUUUGUUUCUUUCCUGUGAAUAAUGGUCGGGUCAAAAUUCUGUCUCAUUGUCUACUUCUUUGUAUGAAAACACUUUGUGUUUACAUACAAAGAGGGGCAUGAUGUGGACACGCAAUUUUGUCCAUCCCAGAAAGUGUUUUUGUCUAUUUUUUACCUUAUCCUACCGUGUACACCCAACCAUAUAAUCAUAACAAAUUUUAUCUUGUUUUAAUCCUAUCCUAACAACCUCACCAAUUAAAAGAGGACACAUUACCACCCCACCCCAUACCCUACCUCUACCCUACCUACCCUAUCCCUACCCCACCCAUUUCCCUUCAUGUUUUUCCACUGGUCAACAUUUAUACACAAUCACACAAUACACAAAGAAGGGGACACCAAAAAAAAGGGGAGCACACACAAACUCCAUUUUUCUUCUGGAAGCUCCAUUUUGGUUUCAUUUUUGAUUCAUCGAGAGCAUACGUGCACAUACUAUCUUCUUCUCCACUAAUACACACAGCUCACCCUCUAAAUUCACAGACCACCAAUCAAUUGUCCAUCAUCUUCCAUUUUUUAUUCACAGAAACCAUUGCACGGAGGAGAGAAAAACCCAGGGAUCUCCUUUUUUGUUGAUUGACUCACACGCACACAAAGACGCCAUAGUUAAUACCCUCACGGAUCCUCACUCUCAACACAGAAGAAAAUUGCACACAUACACUGAUUAAAAUUCAUAAAAAAUAUAGUGAAAAAUAGUGAGAAAAGAAGUGAAAAUGGGUAAGAUAAAGUAAAAAAAAUCGAGGGAAAUAACAGAUCUCAGGUCGACGAUCACUAUUCCAGUGACUGGGUCAUCGAAAAAACAUCAAGCCACUCAAAACUCGCCGGAAUUGACCUAUUCCUAUCGGUUCUAUCACUGUUAGCUCACCAGAGUUCACGUUGUAAGGUUUCUCAGUUUUUUUUUGCCAAAAAUCGGGUUCGGAUUUUGACGUUGGUUUUUGAUACCGGGCUGGAGUAGUUCAUUUUGAGAUUCUCCAUCGAUUUUCAAACCCGAUCGGGUUGUAUUUCUCUAAACCGAGUCGAGUUUGGUCGUGGUUGAGGUUUGGGGUUUCCAGAUGUGAACUCUCUUAUUUGAAUAACAUUGAGUUCGAAAGCUUCAAAUUGAGGCCCAAUUCUACUCUUUCACUCUUUUAUUUCACUAUUGAUGAUACUUGGGGCAUCGUAUUGAAUGUUGUGUUGAUUGAUCUUGAUUGGUGGUUGAAUUGCUACUUGUUCGAUUUGUUGUUGAUUUUCUUAGAUUAAAAAAUGUGGAAAUUUGGUAUUAAAAGGAAUUUUGGGUGGAAUCGAGAAGUUGAUAAAAUAGUGAAUUGAGUUUAACAUUGGUUUUACUAUUGUUUUUGUUUAAUUUAGAAUAAGCAUGAAUGUGGAUCGAAACGUGAUAGAAUCAUGACAUAUUGAAAUGGAUAGGCAAAGUGUAGGUUUGGGUAGGCAAAUUUAGAGAUAUUUUUGAAUGUUGAAAGUUUGAAUGUAUGUGUGGUAAAUGUCUUAUAGUUUAUCGUAGUUGAUUAAGUGUAUUCAUUCAGCCAGGGAAUGGCGCGAGGUUUCAUGUAUUUAUUCAUCGGGAAAUGUCCCGAAGUAUUAUGUACUCGGAGGAUGUCCAUGACGAAGGCUCAAAGCAUCGGGUAAAGCAUUGGAGCGUAGACUAGGACUAGUUUAGAAUAGGAUUUAUAUUUUAGCAUUUUUUUGUUUUGGUUUGUAAUAAUUGGACUGGAAAUUAUGAUUUUGGAUUUGUUUUAUUUUGUUGGUUUGAUUGAUUGUUUUAUGUGGUUUAUACAUUUUUAGUGUCAAAAUUAGCCGAUAUUCUCCACCAAGCGACCAUGGUUGAACCAUGGGAUCUAGGGGUGCCUAACACCUUCCCCUUAGUCAACAGAAUUCCUUAGCCGGAAUCUCUGUUUGCAAACUAGUUUUAAAGAGUCAAAUUAUUUUCAAAAGGAUUUUCCAAAGGUGACUUGGCACACAAGAUUAUGCCAAGUGGCGACUCUGAGUUUUGAAUGUAAAAGUAAUCCUUUUUAAAAAUUUUUUUUAACCUUUUGUCACUUUAAUAAUAAAAACCCCUUUCAAACUUAAAAAUGAAAUCUUUUGGGAGUUAAAAAAAGGGUGUGAAAUUACCCAUUCAUGUGGAACAACAUGUGUUGAUAGACAAGUAACUAUACUUGACAUGUUGACCUGCUUUGAAUCAUGUGCAUCUUUGUUCAGCAAUGCCAUGAUCUUUCUGUACUCUUCAUCUAAGAAACCUUGUCCUCUAGCUAUCAUUGCAUUAUUGAUAUCCUUUCUCCCUUGACCAACUUGACCAUUAGAUGAGCCUGCUACAUUUGUGUAACUUGUGUUCUCUCCUGACUGGUUCCCAGUGAAAUUAUGAGUUGAGAACUGAUUGUUAGAUUGUCCUGUGGCUUGAUAUCCAUAUCCACUUGAUCUUGACUGAUAUGAUCCCCUUGGAUUGCAAUUGUAGUUUUCUUUCUUCUUAUAUUUCUAAUCUGCAGGAUAUCCUAUCAAUAUAACAAGCAUCUCUAGUGUGUCCAUUUAGAUGACAGUAAUCACACCUCUUCCCUUUAUAACCUUGAGCACUAUGACUUGUUUCUGCAAAAUUUUUGUUUACCUACAUAGCUAUGGGAUCAGUCUUAUCACUAGUUACUGCAAUACAAGCCAGCUGCUGAAUCUCAUCCUCAAAUAUCAUUGCAUAUGCUUGAUUAAGAGUAGGUGUCACUCCUUUCAUAAGUAUCUGCCUCUUAGCUUGAUCAUAAGAUUCAUUCAACCCACUCAAAAAUUGUAUUAACCUCUGUUGAAUUAAGUAAUCUGCAUAGACUUUGGACUUGGCACAAUCACAAGAUGGUGCUAGGAUCACAACAUCAUACUCAUACGAGAGAUUUUUCAGCUUAGUAAAGUAUAUAGAAACAGAAUCAGUUCUUUGAUGAAGAUUGUUGAUUUCUUUGUGCAAAUGAUACAAUCGCAUUCUGUUAAUCUUGUCAAACUUUUCCUUGAGAUCUUCCCUUGUCAAACCUUUCCUUGAGAUCUUCCCAUCCUUCAAAUGCACUUGUGGCAUACAUAAUGCCACUCAGCAACUCAACACUUACUGAAAUCAUCAACCAAGACAACACAACUGCAUUAGAAGUCUCCUAUUGCUCAUGUAGAUCUUCUCUAUACAUAUCCUUUCUGCACAUGCCAGUCACAAAACCAUAUUUUCGUUUGCCUAGUAAUGCAAUAUUCAUAGAUCUACUCCAGAUUUCAUAAUUUUCCGAUCCAAUCAACUUGAUUGGAAUCAAUGUAGCACCAGUAACAUCCGAUGCUCCCAGAAACAAAGGAUCUGUAGGAUCGAUCUUAGGUUCCAUUACUUUCUUACUCAGAAUUCCAACUUCAACUUACAAAAAAAAAAACAGAGACCUACUUUCUCCUUAUUGAUAGUAGCACAUAAUCCAAAAUAGAAUGGAGUAUUGAUACUUUCUAUAGACCUCCAUGGAUCGUUGAUCUGAUACCAUGUUAAACUAAUGCAUUACAAUACUCACACGCACAUACGGAAGCCAUUGAAGCAGAGAAUAGAAGAAAGAAAAGUGAUAAGAUAUUGUUAUUCAAGUGAUAAAAAUGUACAAUGAGAGAGGCAUGGUUGCUAUUUAUAGGCUCACAUGUAUGUCACAUGAGCUUUUAGAAUAUUCCUAACUAACUCUAACAACUUGGAUAACUAAUCUAAUCAGCAACCACUAACUUGGUGUCUUAAAAGAUUGAAAAAAAGGUCCCACAUUGGGGGUUAAUGAGAUGGGUGGUCUCUUUAUAAGGCUUGGGCAAUCCUCCUCCUCAUAAGCUAGCUUUUGGGGUGUGAGUUAAUCCCAAGACCAAUUUUAACAUGGUAUCAGAGCAGGGCCCAUUCUCACCCAAUGUUGGGCCCCCGAAUUGAUAUGUCGGGGAGAUUGUCCACACCAAGUUGAGGUAUGGGCAUGAGGUGAGGUGUUAAAAGAUUGAAAAGAAAGUCCCACAUUGGUGGUUAAUGAUAUGGGUGGUCUCUUUAUAAGGCUUGGACAAUCCUCCUCCUCAUGUGCUAGCUUUUGGGGUGUGAGUUAGGCCCAAGACCAAUUUUAACAAAAUAAACCUAAAAAGGAUAAAUUUGUAACAUCUUGAUUGAUUUAACAAAGUGAGGGCAAACUUCACUAAUCAUUAAUUUAACACACGUGUGCCUAUGUGGACCUUCAGUGUGUUGAUUUACUGAUGUGCCACGUAGACACUAAGGUUGCCAAAAAUACGAUUUUAUUUAGUCCAUAGGGUAAUGAGAUCCUUCUAAAGUACGGGUGUAUCUCAGCAAUUUUGUGUAUAGUUCAGGGUGGAAGCAGAACAUUUUUCCAAAAAAAAUGAAAAUCCGUCGUGAAUGGGUCUCAAACCCGAGAACGUGAGGCCCUUUGCGUGAAAGCUUACACCCUUUUUGCCAUUGAACCAAGAUUCGAAUGAACCCCCAAAAUCCACGUAGCUCCACCCCUGGUUGAGAUGACGUAAUAAUCUCAACCAUUUAAGUUAAUAAAGAACAAAAGAUAAUCUUGAUCGUAUAAAUUAAUUUAGUACAAAAUUAAUAUCAAUUUAAAUAUAUGUACUUAAAGUUAGUUAGUAUGGACAAGAAUCUCGAGCGUAUAAAUGAAUAUGGUACAAAAAAAAAUCAAUUAAAACAUGAACACAUUAAGUUAAUAAAGUACAGAAAAAAUCUCAAAUAUAUAAACACACACAUAUAUAUACAGUAUGAAAAUAAAAUAACUUCAAACAUCAAUACUCUUAAUUAUAUUAAAGGUUGACUGGACGAAUUAAAUAAUACUAAAAUAAAAAUAAUCUAAAUCAUAAGGGAUAGAUAAAACAUAUCUGUCAUAAUAUAUAGAUCAGUCAUGUAGAAGGUUAAUUCAAGAAAAUAAGAAAGCAAGAAAGAAUUUUUUUUUUAUUUGAAGUGAGUGAGGAUAGGGUAUAUGUGUGAGAAUGGCGAUGCAGCUCUUCCUAGAUUCAUAGUACUAAAAUCAGUGUGUACAUAUUAAUUAAUUAUUAUUAUAAUAAUGUUUUAUUAUUUCAUUUGUUUAUUUUUCUAUUAUCUUUUUUAUUUAUUCAUUGACUUCUAUUUAUUGUUUAUCUUUAUUUAUUAUUAUUAAUUAAAUAAUAUAUAAUAUAUAGAUUUUGAUUUUUAAAUUUUAAUUUUUUUUCCCCUUCCCCUUAUCUGACUUUUAACCGUUCCCUCCCAAAAGUCCUUUUAUAAAAGGACUCUCUAUUCAGUUAAAAAAAGGCAGAGACUACGUACUUGAACUCUACAAUAUCAUGUAGAAAGAAAACCAGAGAGAAAAAUACAGAGAGAAAAACACAGUAAGGAAAAACUACAAAGGAGAAAACAAAGAAAAGAAAGACUAAAAAAUCAAACUUCAAGAUUCCGUUGAAGUUUUCGGUGACAAUCUUUUAUUUCAUCACUCAAUUUAUUCAUUACAGGUUCAUAUUCAAACAUUUAUGUUAUCAAUUUUAUGGUGAAAAAAACAUGAAUGAAAUAUUCAAUAUGUUCUCUGUGGAUGAAUACAUAUAAUAAGAUAAUUUAUGCUUGAUAUUUCACACAAUGUAUUAACUAAAUCCAUAUUUUGCACUGUAUAUUCACAGCACACUGCAUCACUGAUAUUUUAAUUUUUUACUGCCAUACACACACACCUCCAAAAACACAUGCAUAUACUGUAGCGCGCACAAAUACAGUAAUAAUAAUUGAUGGAAAAUUAGCAAAACAGAGAAGAAAAUCAGUGACAAAUGAGAAAGCAUGAGUCGAGAAAAAGGAUAAGUUAGAAAAGUUUGCAAAUCGUGGCCGAGGCAGAGGUGGCUUUCGAGGAAGAGGUCGUGGAAGAGGUCAAGGAAGGAGUCGAGAUAGAGGAGGAUCAAAUGAAGAGAAGCAUAACAGAACAUUUCUAUGCAACUACUGUAGAAAACCAGGUCAUAAAAAAGCUUAUUGCUGGCAAAAGCAAAAGGAUGAAAAUAGCUAAGCAAGCUUUGCAGAGGAAAAUGAUGAUGGAAGUAAGCUGUUCAUGGCCCUUUAUUGUGAAAAAUACUCCUAAAGAUGUUUGAUUUUUGGAAAGUGUAUGUUCCAACCAUAUGUCUACAACAAGAUAUUUGUUUAAGGAGCUCGAUGAGUCCAAAAAGUUAGACUUAAGGCUAGGAGACAAUAAUAAGAUUCAGGUUAAAGGCAGAUGUACUGUUAGCAUCAUGACCAGCCAAGGUAAUGCUAAAAUUUUAGAAGAUGUGAUGUUGUUUCUAGUCUAUCGCAUAAUUUACUUAGCAUUGGACAAUUAAUGAUUAACGGAUACUCGAUUUCUUUUGACAAUGGUGUUUGCACUAUUAAAAAUAAGAAAUCUGGGAAAACCAUUGCUAAAGUUCCAACGACUAACAAUAAAAUGUUUCCUUUAGAAGUUUCAAUGGUCGAGAAAUGUGCGAUGGUAGCUAGUGGUGAUAAUGAAACUAGACUAUGGCAUUUGUGCUAUGGGCAUUUAAAUGUUAAUGGGUUGAAGUUAUUGAGUCAAAAGGAAAUGGUUUUUGGAUUGCCAAAAUUUGAGAAUCUUGAUUUUUGGGAAAGUUGUGCUUAUGGAAAACAAAGUAAAAAGGUUUUUCCUGUAGGCAAGUCUUGGAGAGCUUCUAUUUGUCUUGAGUUAGUUCAUGCAGAUUUGUGCGGUCCUAUGAGUGUUGAGUCCUUAGGGGGGAGUCGAUAAUUUUUUGUUUUUACUGAUGACUAUAGUCGUAUGAAUUGGAUAUAUUUCUUUUAAAUCUAAAACAUUUGGUAAUUUCAAGAAAUUUAAAUCUUUUGUUAAGAGGCAAAGUGGAUGUAGGCUCAAAACUCUUUGGACAUAUAGAGGUGGUGAGUUUAUGUCUAAGGAAUUCAGUUCCUUUUGUGAAGAAAAUGGAAUACAUCGGGAGCUUACAGCAUCUUAUACACCAAUGGUGUAGCCGAAUGAAAGAACUGCACAAUUGUUGAGAUGGGCAGAAGCAUGAUGGAAGGGAGAAGUUCACCGAAAUGUUUUUGGGCUGAAGCUAUUGCCACUGCAGUCUAUUUGCUGAAUAUUUCACCCACCAAGGCUGUGUAUAAUCAAACACUGUAUGAAGCUUGGAGAGGUAACAAGCCCAAGGUAAGCCACUUACGUGUCUUUGGUUGUAUAGCUUAUGCAUUGGUAAAUUCACAAGAUCGACGUAAGCUUGAUGAAAAAUGUGAAAAAUGUAUCGUUGUUGGAGUGGCAAAAUUACGGUCAAUAGAAAUGUUGUGUUUAAUGAAGAUUCAAGAUGGAAACUUUAAUUCUGAAAAUGAAAUUUCAAAUAUUCAAUUAUUGCCUUCUAAUAAUAUUGUUGAUCAAGAGUAUGUAGCAGAUCCUGGUUUGGCAGGUCCGUCGACUACCUCAUCAGUUGCACCACCAACUUCUCCAAUAUUAGAAGAACCUUCAGCUGAGCCAACUCCAUUAAGAAGAUCAGCAAGGGAUAGAAAAUCAAAGCCCAGAUAUGCUGACAGUACAUCUUGUACUUUGCUUUACUUAUUUCAGAUCCUAUUUUCUUUAAAGAUGCCGAAGGAGAGGAUAAAUGGUGCAAAGCUAUGGAGGAAGAGCUGUUAGCUAUUCAAAAGAAUCAGACUUGGGACUUGGUAAAUUUGCCCGAAGGAGAGAAGGCAAUUGGGCUCAAAUGGGUGUUUAGAACCAAAUAUCAAGCAGAUGGCAGUAUUCAAAAACACAAGGCAAGGCUUGUUGCAAAAGGUUAUUCUCAAUAGUAAGGUAUUGACUUUGAUGAAACUUUUUCUCCUGUUGCCCGCUUUGAAACUGUGAGAACCUUUUUAGCCUUGGCUUCAAAAUUAAAUUGGUCAGUGUACCAAUUUGAUGUUAAAUUCGCCUUUUUAAAUGGUGUUUUGGAAGAGGAAUUUUAUGUCUCACAACCUGAAGGUUUGUAGUAAAUAGUAAAGAAGAUAAGGUUUACAGGUUAAAAAAGGCACUUUAUGGCUUGAAGCAAGCGUCGCGGGCAUGGUACUUCAAAAUUGAUUCUUAUUUCUAGGAGAGUGGCUUUGAAAGGAGUAACAAUGAACCUACUCUUUAUAUAAAAAGAGGAGGUAAAAAUGAUUUUCUGGUUGUAUAUAUUUAUGUAGACGAUAUGAUAUAUAUGGGUUCAAGUGAGUCUAUUGUCAAUGAAUUUAAAGACUGCAAGAAUUUUGAUAUGUCCAAUUUGGGAAUGUUGCAUUAAUUUCUUGGCCUUGAGGUGAAACAGGAAGUUGAUAGCAUAGUUCUUUCACAAAGAAAGUAUGCAACGGAUCUUUUGAAAAGGUUCAAUAUGGUAAAUUGUAAUGUUGCUGCUACUCCGAUGAAUAUCAAUGAGAAGUUGUGUCAUGAUGAUGGUUCUGAAAUGGCAAAUGCAACUUAUUUUAGAAGUAUAGCUGGUGGUUUGAACUACUUGUCUCAUACAAGACCAGACAUUGCUUUCUCUGUCGGUGUCGUUUCCAGAUUUAUGCACAAUCCAAGCAAGCUUCACCUUGGAGCUGUAAAGAGAAUACUUAGAUAUAUCGUUGGGACAUUAGAUCAUGGUAUUUGGUAUUCUAAGGUAACAAGUUUCACAUUAACUGGUUUUACUGAUAGUGACUAUGCAGGAAACAUUGAUGACAGAAAGAGCACCUCUGGUUUCUUGUUUAAUCUUGGAUCUGGAGCAAUUUCAUGGAGUUCGAAGAAGCAGGAAGUGGUGGCCUUGUCAACUUCAGAGUCUGAGUAUAUUGCAUUAGCUUCUGCAGCUUGUCAAGAAGUUUGGUUAAGGAGACUUGUUGCAGAUUUUAAUUAGAAACCAGCUGGUGCGACUGAGAUUUUUUGUGACAAUAGAUCUUCCAUUGCGAUAACGAAGAAGCCAACUUUCCACAGUAGAACAAAGCACAUAGAUGUUCCCUAUCAUUAUAUUUGAAAUCUUGUUUCUAAUGGAGAAAUUACUUUGAAGUCUUUUGAUACAAAUGAGCAAGUAGCAGACAUCUUCACCAAAUCACUUUCGCAAGAAAAGAACGAGUUCUUUAAAGGUCAACUUGGAGUUUGCAUUUUUGAAUCAAGGGGGAGUGUCAAGAAAUGAUUCAAAAAGAUUCUUGACCAAGUAUUCAGGAAGUUAGUGAGUUGUUAGUUAGUUUCCUAUACUCUAGCAAGUUGGAUAGUGCUGCAGAUUAUUAGCUAGUCAAUAAAUUAGUGGGUUAGUGGACCUAAAGUUUAGAAUUUUUAGUUUAUUGUGAGCCUAUUUAUAGGCAUGUCUCUUUACUUUCAUAUGCAAUCAGAAAUAAAGAAAUGACUGCAGUAUUUUCUUCUCUUUGCUCUGUUUCUGUCCAGCUAUUCAUUUAGCUUCUUUUUUUCCUUUACAACAUAUAUGCCCCUCUAUUACUGUAACUUCAAAUGGAUAGUGUACUUAUACUCUCGCCAUCUACCAAGUUAAAAUUAAUUCUUUUUAAUUUCAAACAAUAAGACAUGGCUUUAAAAAUUAUCUCACCCAUUUUAUUUACCUCUAGAGACCCAACCUAGCUAAAAAAAAUCAAUUAGUCUUUUAUUCAGACCUGACAAUUUCAUUUAUUGAUUGUGUAGAUGGAUUGGAUUUUUUCUGUUGGACAGUGUUUGGAGUGGUAAAAUGUGAGGUAAUUUUUUUAAAGCCGCAUGAUAUUCUUGGAAUUUAAAAAAAGUCAGUUUUAGAUUAUUUUCUAAUUCAGUAAAUAUAUGUCUUUCAACAAAAAUUGUAAAUAUGCCUAAUUUGUCAGACAAUGGCGUAUAUAUGCAUAAAUUUUUUUAAUGAGGCAUAUAUGUCACGACCUGACCUGAGGCCCUGGCCGCGACGGGCAUCCCAAAUCACGAAGGCCCGAGAGACCCCUGCCUCUGCCCAACCCACAAGUGAUAUUGUCCGCUCUGGGCCCAGGCCCGCACCACUUUAAAACGCGUCACUACGAAGUAAGAUUUUCUUACUUGUAUACCCAGCAUCCUUCCUGGGUUUUUGCUGAUAUGGGACUCCUUCCUAAGUUGGGGUGUUACAUACACCCCCCUUAUGGACUCAGCGUCCUCGCGGAGGUUUUUCUCACUGAAUGGGAUUUGCCUAGACACAAGACUGAGGUUUGCCCCGCCUUUUCAGGAUUUGCCUACACUCAGUUUGAACUCUGGCCCAUAUCGACAGGGCUGACAUAGUGGGUUGGGGAGUUAUAGGGGUAUCUCGGGCCUUUGUGGUUCGGGAUACCCAAUGCGGACAGAGCCCCGGCUCGGGUCGUGACAAAGUGGUAUCAGAGCCGCUCCUGUGUCAGCCCUGUCGAUGUGGGCUAGAGUUCAAACUAAGUGUAGACGUAUCCGGGUAACGCAGCAUAAACCUCAGUCCUGAGUGUAGGCGAAUCCCAUUCGGUAGGGCAAACCUCAGCGAGGACAUUGAGUCCAUAAGGGGGGUGUAUGUAACACCCCAACUUAGGAUAUAGAGUCCCACAUAGAUAAAAAACAAGAGGGAUGCUGGGUAUAUAAGUAAGAAAGCCUUACUCUCCAAUUACGCGUUUAAAAGCUAUGCGGGCCUGGGCCCAGAGCGGGCAAUAUCACUAGUUGGUUGGGUAGAGACAGGGGUCUCUCGGGCCUUCGUGGUUCAGGAUGCCCGUCGCUGCCAGGGCCUCGAGUUGUUUCAUGACAAUAUAUUCUCUCUAAAUCACAAAAUUGGCGGGUAUAUUUACCCCUUUUUUCCUAUAACAAUUGUUAAUUAUGCAUAAUUUGUUAUUAAAUGAUACGCUUCUUACAUCUACUUAUGAUUAAUCAUGGUCCAGGGCCUCGUGUCGGGUCAUGACAAUAUAUUCUCUCUAAAUCACAAAAUUGGCGGGUAUAUUUACCCCUUUUUUCCUAUAACAAUUGUUAAUUAUGCAUAAUUUGUUAUUAAAUGAUAUGCUUCUUACAUCGACUUAUGAUUAAUCAUGGUAAAAUAUCGCGCUGCGUCUACUACUCUCUUCAGUGGGAUCAGAAAACAUGCACAGACUAUAUUUUUUCUUCAACAACUUAAUAAUAUGUUCGAUAAAGAACAUUUAACUCAGUGUUUAGUCUAUAUUAGAAUGUAUGCUAUGCUUGAGGACAUUCCUAUGUGUUGUAGUUUUCCAUAUAAGCCAAGUUUUACCAGCCAUAAAUCAUGACAGAUCAGUACACGCCUUACUCGAAAGGUCAUUUAUUGUCUGAUCAACAAAAUAAUCUAGUGUGAACACUAUACAUAGAGUUAUGGACAGUAAUCUGCAGUGAGAUUUAGUACAAUAAAUAUUUCACUAGCAAGAGAAAGAACCAUCUCUGCAUUCUCAUAAAAAAAACUUCUUUCUUUCUUUAUCAGCUCCAAGAUUUUCAGAAAGAAUCACCUUGCCCAAAAUGCUAACUUCAGGAGAAAAGACUAAUGGGAUCAGUGUUUAGUCUAUAUUAGAAUGUACGCUAUGCUUGAGGACAUUCCUAUGUGUUUUUAGUUUUCCAUAUAAGCCAAGUUUUACCAGCCAUAUAAAUCAUGACAGAUCAGCACAUGCCAUACUCAAAAGGUCAUUUAAUGUCUCGUCAGCAAAGUAAUCUAGUAUGAACAUUAUACAUAGAGUUAUGGAUAGUAAUCUGCAGUGAGAUUUAGUACAAUUAAUAUUUUACUGAUUUUAGUGAAAUGAAUUAGCUGUAAAUAUAGCAAGAGAAAGUAUCAAUUGAAUCACCAAAAUUCUUUAUCAGCAUUCUCAUAAAAAAUUCAUUUUCAUAAAGAAUCACCAAGCCCAAAAUGCUAACUUCAGGAGAAGAAUAGAUCAUCUCUAGACAUGCAAAAACAACAGGAAAAAGAAAGCUCCCAGCAUCUGAAGUGUAUAAAUCGAAGCGCGUGUUUGCUAAAAUUGAAGAAAAAGGAAAGCAUAUGAUGUCUGAACCAUAUGAAUUGAAGCCAAUUAAUGUGCCUACAUUUUCCAAUCUUGAAAGGGGAGGAACAUCUGAAAGUAAACUGGAAAAAGAGGACGAUUAUGAUUAUAAUCAUGACUUAGCAAUCUUGAAGGCUAUCUAUCACUACUAUUUCAAUCGUGGGGUAAUUCCGAAUCCUCCUUAUUCAAAGAACUUCAUCGACUACAUCGAGGCUUCAGUUCCCAACAUGAAAUUUCGUGGUCAGGCAUUGGUGAAUAAGAUUGUUAUGUUAGAGCACCAUUUCUUAAAGGUUAUGAAAAUGGCUGCACGUGUAGGAUAUUACCCCGAAAUAAUCCACCCUAUUUGCCGCAAAAUUUUCAACUUGUCCAUGGGUUUAUGGGGAUAAUUUUGGAGACUAUUAUCCAGUUGGCAAAGAGCAAGAUGAAACUAGAGUUGUUGAUGCAUUCUUGAUUUUCAAGGUCGAUGUCUUCAUAGCGGCAUUUUAAAUUAUUUCUUGGAGCAUUAAUUUAAAGGUCUUAAUUUUCUUUCAUUAAACUGAAUCUAGUUGUCGUGUGAAUUAUUAAUUUGGAUAUUGGUUUGCUCAAAAUUUUCAGUUACGCUCAAAGUUUGAUUUGAUAUAAAAUGUUUCCUUUUUCCAAGUUUGAUAUCUUGUCUUCAACUUAUAGAAUCAGAUAUGUUAAUUGUUCCUCUCUUCUUUCGAGGAAGGAAAAGAAUAUCGAUCAAAUGACAUCAUUUAACAUAGAAAGAUAGCAAAAUCAAGUGAACGUCAUCAUUUGUCCAAAUGGGGGCAUCAGUAGCUACGGUUAAGUCUGGAAAGGAUACAUCGUACAUAUAUGUAUAGAGAAGUAUCAAUUAAAUGCAUCUACUUAUGGAAAAGAUUUUAGGUAACUAUUAAAGGAGAAUGAAUGAACUAGUAACUAAUAUAGUUAUUAUGUUUUCGCUUGUAGAAUUGCAGUGCAAGGGGAUGAAAAAUUGUAAACGUAAAAUUGGAUAUAAGUCGCAAAAAAAAUCCCAAUGAAGGUAUUUCAUAUCUUUUCUUCCUCGGGUUAAUAUAAGUAGAAGUGCAAAGUGAAAAGAAAGUCCUUUUCACUAUUUCACAUGUCCUUUCAGUUCUCCCUUGUCAUAUCCUUUGUAUCAGAUUCCUUAACGUCAACUAGUGAAUAAUCGUUUUAGUUUCAAUGAGUUAAAAAGUUUACUUGAAAAAAGAUGUUCAUGGUAAAAGAAUAUUUAGUUGUAUACUUGACUGAGAAACAGCCUUUCCCAUUCCUCGUCCCAAUACGCUGAAAUCUCAGUUUUCUUCUUCCCUGCUCCAUUCCCGCAUCAAAAUUCAUGUUCCAUUGCCAACCUUGUCGUUUGGAGAUUUUAAAAUCUCCCCAUUGUUUUGCUUCUUUAAUCCAGAAGAUGAUUUGGUGCAACUACUGUUAGAAUUAUUUAAUUUAUAUGGAUUUAACAUUAACUUUUUGGUACGUUAAAGUAAAACGGGUUGAUGUUAUUAGUUGGUGGACAAGACACGGGCGGUGUAUUCAUGCGAAUUCCAUAUGGAUCAGUGUAGGUCUGUAGUAGACCUAUAAGCCCAUAAUGGGGGUGCACUAGGUUAAGACUUUUAAGCCUAUAAAUAUAAGGCUAGGUCUCCUCUCCUGGCUUCAACAUAAGACAUAUUCCCAUAAGCUAUCCGCCGUCAUAAGCAAAGAUAAGUUCACUGAUGUAUAUAGGGCCCAAACCAUGAACUAAUAUGUGAUAGUUCAAUAUUACUCUAGAAAGAUACAUUGCAUGAGAUUGUAACUUCAUAUCUCUUCUAACCCCAUCUACGUCACCUAAAAGUUUCUUCCUUUCAUAAAUAGAUCUAUUAUUAAUGUAGUUACUUUGAUGUCCAUAUUUAUGAGAAAUUAUCUCCAUUACUGAUGGGCAGUUCUUCCCUUUCCCCAUACCUCACCAUUUACAGGUAUCAAAACAAUGUCUCGAUCAGCAUACAUUGGAUAUUAUAUCAUUCUAGAAUUUCGAUUUAAUGCCCAUCUCAAGCACCAUUUUGUUGAAAAUUUUCACAUGCAAUUUAUUUUUUCUUUUGUUUCUUCAUCAAGUUUCAUUAAAUUAAAAGUUUCCUCAAUUAAUGCUGCUGCAUAAAAGUUAACAAUGAGAAAACCACAACAUGUGUGUCAAACUAUUGAUCGAACACUAUUUUUUGUUGGAUUGAAGUUUUUUCUUUAUCUAUUUUUGAGAAAAAAAAAAUAAAAACAUAAUUAUCACUUCUCCUAAAGUUCUAUGUUCACGAGUUUUUCCGUCUAUUCCAUAAUCACAUCAAUCAAAUAUUUCCUCUAUUGCUUUCCCUAAUUAAUUCAACCCAUUCUUGCUAAUAUUAUUGUUAUUACUAAAGUGAAAGAAGAUACAACCUUCCAUUGGCCAAAUACCUAAAUUAAUUGAAGGACAAAGCCAAAGAAUUUAAUUAUCUAGUAGCAACAAUGAGAUUCUUUUUUCAUGAAAAUAGUAGAAAGGAAGGGUCAAAUGAAAUAUCCAUGAAGAUGUUGGUAAAGGUCUCCUUAAAAUAUGUCUUUUGCAAAAUACAUAAAAUCAAACACAUACAAAUCAUCACUUACAGUACAGUUGCAAUAAUCAUAAUAUUUGUCGCCUUCAAUCUUGUAGUGUCCCUGCUUCAUUUUGUGAAAGCGGGCAGACAAGGGUUGGAAAGAAUUCCGUCAAAAGACCAUAAUGAAAUUCAUUAAUAUGUAAACAGUUGCUUACAUUAUCCUUCAGAUUGUAUAUCAUGAUUUUAUCGUGAAACAUAAGCAGAAAUUCACCUCUUUUUGUUAGAAAAAAGAGUGAGAAAAUAAAUAAUCCACGGGAUAGUAAAAAUCUUUCUCCAGGAUUCUUUAUUCUCAUACAUUACUUUUCAACACUCCUAACACGAGAAAUUUAUCCUCUUCUCCACAAUAAGGUCGCUCUACCUUUUUCCAUUUCUCAUUCCUCAAAUCAAAAGAGGUUAUGCUCCAACCACUUUUUAUAUCAAUACUAGUAGCCCAAUAAAGAGUGCCAUUCACAUAUUUACCUGAACCAAUUAACCGCGUCACUCUCCGAGAACAAUGUAUUGUUCGCCAGGAAUUAUCCUUUAGGCUAUAGAUAUUGAUCUGUUGAAAGUUACGUGGAUAGCGAGUAAUAGAAAAACUACACAGUACCUUAUAACAAUCAUGAAUAUUAUCAUAUCCAAAACCAUAUGUGCAAUGAGCAUCAUCCUUCAAUUUAGUUCUAAAAUCAGGAGACUUCUUAUACUUUCUUAAUGCUGGAUUCCAUAAAAACAAUUCUUUUGCCUCAUUGACAAGACAAAUCAAUCCAUUGACAGAACCCUCAAUCACACAAGAUAUACUAAAGUUUUUCAUGUGAUAAUCCAAGUUAGUUUCCUCCAUAAUAGGACAUUCCUUAAGGUUGAAUCCUGGUUGUGCUAUCCUCCACAUAACACUAUGGUUAGUAUAGUCUUUGUUAUUAUUAGCUGAUAAACUUAGGUGAUAUUUGGUAAACUCAGGGCUAGAAAUCAAAGAACUCCAAGAUUAUAAAACAGACUUGAAUCGCAAGAGAGAUUUAAUGGGAAGCCUUGAGAGAAUUUCAGUAAGGAUUUUAGCUGGCCAAUAAAGUUUUGUGGGGUUGCUUUGAUUUGGGUGUUGAUGGGAGGCUUCAUCAGAUACCGGGUGUUUUCUUGAUAAGUCGAAGGCCUCAAUUUCAGAAAUUGUUUGUCCUAAUAGUUUCAGCUUUUCCAUGUCUUCUUGAUUGAUUAAUCCUUUAUCUUGUUCAUCAGAUUCUAAAUUUUCUUGCUUUAUUGCGUUGUUCUCUCCAUUUAGUAGCAUUUGGAUAUUUGUAAAUGUUGGAGCCGAUAAACAGAGAAAGAUAGAAAGAAAGAAAGAAAUGAAUGAACUAAAGAUGAAGUUUCUUUUGCUAGAAUUUAUAACUUGAUCAUAUCGCUAGAUUAAGUGAAGUGUUAUACUAAAUCUCUCAUCUCACUCAUUUAUGUAAAUUUAUGAUUAGAUUAUGGUGAAUUAAUUAAGGAUGGAAUCAAAUUGAAUGAACAAUUAUGAUUAGAUUAUGGUGAAUUAAUUAAGGAUGAAAUCAAGUUGAAUGAGCAAUUACAUAGGUUAUAAAUGCUAAAUGGUUCUUUUUGUUGUUUCGGAUACACAAUCUGUAUGUAACUUUGCAUAAACUUCAACUAAGUUCAAGAACAAACUAAUGUCCAAACUAAUAAUCCAUGUAAGUGUAGCAAGUAGAUUCAGCAUAGAGAAAUAAUAUUGGGAAAUUUAAACUAUUGCUCCAAGAAAUUAUUUAAAAUGCUGCUAUGAAGAUUUUGACCUUGAAAAUCAAGAAUGGAUCAGCAACUCCAAUUUCCAAUUUCAUUUUGCUGUUCAUCAACUAAUAAUAAUCUCUGAAAUUAAUCCCAUAAAGCCAUACACAAGAAGAAGAUCUGUUGAGAAACAGGGUGGAUUAUCUCAGGGUAAUAUCCCGUACGUGCUGCCAUAUUCAUAAGAGUUAAGAAAUGUUGCUCUAAUGUAAUGAUCUUAGUUGCCAUUGCUUGGCCACGGCAUUUCAAGUUGGGAACUGAAAUUUCGAUGUAAUCAAUAAAUUUCUCUGAAUAAGGAGGAUAUGGAACUACCCCAUGAUUAGAGUGGUAAUGAUAGAUAGACUUCAAGAUUGCUAAAUUUUGAUUAUAGUCAUAGUCAUCUUCAUUUUUCAAUUCAUUUUAUCAUGUUCCUCCUUGUUAGAAAUUGGAAAAUGUUGGUACAUUAAUGAGCUUCAAUUCAUAUGAUACGGACAUGGGACACUUUCCUUUUUCUUCAGUUUUUGGAAAUGAUUCAAUUCAUUUGCUUUCUUAUUAAUGAAUUAAACACAAUAUGAAUUUCUAUGCCAACAAUUUUGCUUAUAUUCUUAGUUGAUCUAAUUUAUGUUAUUAGUUGGAUUUAUGUUUUAUAAUUGAUUUAGUUUCUAUUCUUUGUUGGAUCUAUUAAUAAGUAAUGUGCUUCCUCAAUUAAAUAUGAGAAAACGACUCACACAUUCAGGUACAAUUUUUUCCAACUUAUCAAUUUUUUUCUUUCUAAAUCAUGCGUUGUUGCUUUUAUAAUUUAUAUUUUUAGGCUUCUAUUGCAAUGGACCCAAAGAAAAGAGGUAUUUCAUGGCAAACACAAUUUAUGGUGGUAAAAUAUAUACGUGCUUACACUAAAAUGUAUGUUUAUGUUUACACUAUUAUAUUAAAGUGUGAGGGAUAUUUGGAAAGUGAUUUGAACUUUUUGUACUUCAUUACAAAUCUCCGUAAUAAUUAAGACUAUUUCAUUUUAAAUAAUCAAAUGUUACACAUGCAAGACACGUGCGGUUAAACUAGUUUAACUAAAAUCACUAAAAAAUACUGUACUUCACUUCAGAUUAUUAUUCCAUAAUGUCAUUUAAUGAAUGGAUUAUGGAGAAGUGAUUAAGGAUGCCAACAAUAAAUUUGAAAUAACUUCAGUAUUAUCAAAAUUAAUCUUACAAAGAGAAAUGGUUAACAAUGAUAUAAACUCAUUCUUAUCUUAAUUACUCGCUCCAUUUCAAAAUAAUUAUCAUGUUUUACUUUUUGAAAGUCAAGUUGACUAAUUUUCAAGAGAUAAGGCCCAAAUACCCCCCCCCCCCCCCCCAUCCCCCCUAAAAAAGUAAAAAUAUAUUCGAAAUCCUAGCGACACAACUAAACUUUACAAAGGUCCAAUUACCCCCCUAAACUCAUAUAAUUGUAUUUUUAUACUCGUUUUAUACUCACGUGGUUGUCAAGUCAAAUACAAAAUGAACAUAAAAUAUUUUGCUACUUAGCAGCCACGUCAGCACAAAAGGAGUAAAAAAUAAUAGAAAAAUGAGCUUAGGGUGCAGUAGGACGUUGUAAAGUUUAGGUAUGUCACUAGAAUUUCGGGUAUAGUUUGGAAGAUACUUGUGUCUUAUCCCAAAAAAAAAAGACUUGUAGUUUAUUUAAUUAAAAAGAAAACUUGAAAAGACCAUUUAACAAAAGAUCCCAUGCUAUGUCUACUUAAGUGUUUCGUUGUUAAAUGAAAUUUACUCCUUUUAGGGUUCAAUUACUAUUUUCUACUCAUUGUUUGUUAUAUUCAUACCAAAAUUUAAUUUUUCACUUUAUCCGAAAAUUAACGUUUGACCUUUGAAAAUUUCAAACGCAACUGUUACAUUCUUUCGAAAAAGUUUAGUCUUUAGAAAAUAAUGUUAUGUGAAAGAUCUUUUAUUGAAGUUAUGAAUUAGUUAUUCUAUAUUAAAAUAAAACUAAACAGGACAAAUUUGUAACGUCUUGAUUGAUUUAGCAAAAGUGUGGGUAAACUUCACUAAUCAUUAAUUUAACACACGUGUAUCUAUGUGGACCCUCAGUAUAGACACGUAAAUUUUUUAUCCUCCCUAAAUUUUAACUUGUCUAUCAAUAUUAAAUAUUUAUAUUUAUAUUUAAUCAUAUAUUAUUUUUAUUUUUAUUCUAAUUUUAAAAAAAUAAUAUAAAAAUUAUGUAGUUGUAACGCUCUAAAAUUCUAUUCCGAGACAUCACAUGGUGCUUAGGACCACAAGUGAUCCCAAGCUAAUCUUAUACUGGCAUAACUCUUGACCAACUAUUUAAAACACAUAAAUCUGAAGAAAAUAUGGAAAAUAAUUUUUUUCUAAACUUGAACAAUGCAAAGCUACAUUAAGAUGAAUACAACUCUACUUAUACAAAACAAAACUGAAACUGAAGUUUACAUAACUGACGCUAACUGGCAUUUGUGAAACCUCUACUAUACUGACAAUAGAUAGCUAGGAUGCGACCCCAACUACCACUAAUUAAUACAUAGGAAUAAGAAAGUAAAGGCCCCCCCCCUACCCUUAUCUGACUUUUAACCAUUCCCUUUCAAAAGUACUUUUAUAAAAGGACUCCCUAUUCAGUUAAAAAGAGGCAGAGACUACGUACUUGAACUCUACAAUAUUAGAUAGAGAGAAAAUCAGAGAGAAAAAUACAGAGAGAAAAACACUGUAAGGAAAAACUCUAAAGGAGAAAACAAAGAAAAGAAAGAGUAAAAAAUCAAAUUUCAAGAUUCCGUUGAAGUUUUCGGUGACAAUCUCUUAUUUCAUCUCUCAAUUUAUUCAUUACAGGUUCAUAUUCAAACAUUUAUGUUAUCAAUUUUAUGGUGAAAAAACAUGAAUGAAAUAUUCAAUAUGUUCUCUGUGGAUGAAUACAUAUAAUGAGAUAAUUUAUACUUGAUAUUUCACACAAUGUAUUAUUAACAAAAUCCAUCUUUUACAUUGUAUAGUCACUGUCCUUUCUCCUCUUCUGCCGUCCUUGUCGCGCCAUGGAAAGGCUAGAUCUAGCCGGAAUUGUUUACCAGCGAAUCCCAAACGGCGCUACCCCUUCUCUUUCCUUUCUUCUGACACUGGUGAACCUCCUUAUCACUGUCGCCGACAAAAUUCCAGUGAAUUUUCAUCAUCCACACGCAGAAAAAUCCUAACCUCAAUAGCAGAUUUGGCUAGUUUGGUUGUACGUAAAAAAUAAGCUGUUAAAGAUUAUUUAAUGUACUAUUGUAUAUAUAUUUUUGAAUAUUCAAAUGAAUUUUAUGUUUAACUUAUAGUCUAUUUUGCUGUUUAAAGGUUUAAAUGAAAAGGCUUUACGUUUGUAUAUAUAUUUUAUUAUUUUAUUAUUAAACUUAAUUAUUAAAACUUAAUAAUUAUUUAUUAAAUUAAUUAUAUGCUUUAAUUGAAUAUUGUUUUAAUUUACUGUCACGGUUAAAUAGUAUUUCAAAAAGAUAAAUUGUAUGAAUUUACAAAAAAUAAAUUAAAGUGUUUAAUGCCAGAUAGUUUUUAGAUACGUUAAAAUAUUCAUCUCAAUUAAUAAUGCGGCAUAUGCAUCUUUCGGAGACCUUUAAAAAUUUAAGGAUGCAAUAAUGCACCUCGAUAAAUAUUUUUCUAAAUUUUUUUUUCACUGAAUUAACUCGAGAGUAUUAAAUAGUUUGAGUAUAUUAAAAAAAGGAGCGUACCUAGGCCUUAACAUAAUAUAUUCAAAAUAUUUUAAGUUAAGAUAAGUCAAGAAAAGCGACCGUGCUAGAACCACGGGACUCGAGGGGUGCCUCACACCUUCCCCUCGAUCAACAAAAUUCCUUACCCGGUCUUCUGUUUUCGCAGACCAACAAAGAGUCAUUUCCUUUUGAUUAGGGAUUCAAUAAGGUGACUUGGAACACCAUAACUCAAUUCCAAGUGGCAACUCUAAAAAUGAUAAAAAUUAAUUCCUAUUCAAUACCAUCAUUUUAAUUGAAAAAAUCCUUCGACUCAUUCUUGGAGCGAAAAAGUGAUGCGACAUCUCUGGCGACCCUGCUGGGGACUAAUAAGAAUUCGAGCUUUUUAUAUUGGCUUAUACUUUCUUUAAUUAUUGUUGAUAUUGUGUUUGUUGGUGUUAUGUGCUACUUGUCGCUUAUUUACCGCUUUAAUAUUUAUUGAACUAUAUUACAUACUGUCUUCUCUUGCGCACCUCUCUGAGUCUCUGAAAUAGGAUAGAAGGAAUGCAAAACAUGCAUCCUACUUUUAUUUUGAGAUAGGCGGAGUGUCAAGACACCUGGUGAAGGAUAUAGUCAUACAUGUAAGGCGGGGUUCAGAUCGACAACGAAGGCGGUGUUGCCCUGCCACCGACCAAGUUGUCCCUCCCUGGCUCGACGGACGCUCGGGUAAGCCAGUCUAGACACCUAUCCCUAUUAGGUUUAAACUUAGAAGAACUGAAAACUUAGAAUCCGGUUAUCCCUAUUAGGUGCCGCUUUAUUUGCAUCAUAUGCAUUUGACUUAGCGGGACUCGGCACAGAGGCCGGGUCUGUCUAGGACAGUUAACCUACUUUAUAAAGACCAACAUGUGUAUCCUAUGUGCUCUUUGACAUUUGUUUGGAAGGCUAUUUGUUUUUUGACCGGCUUUUAGGCAACAUUAAAAUGCAAGAGAUUAAAUUAAGUAUUUGAGUUUUUUGAUGAGUAUUAUGUCAAUCAAGCCUAAUAGGGAGGUGAUUGAUGCAUUACUAACCUUCUGGGACCCGAAGAACAAUGUGUUUCAUUUUUUGGAUUUUGAGUUCACUCCUACUUUAAGGAGAUAGGGGCGUAUGUUGGAUAUGGGGAUAUGAAUCGGAAGAAACUUAUAGCCCCAAGAUUCAUUUCGAUAAACAGAUUCUGCAAGCUCAUGAACAUAUAAAACUCAAAAGAAGAAUCAAUGAAAAAAGGUUGGGUUUCCUUGCAGUUUUUGUAUGACAAAUAUGGAAAAUGAGAGGGGUUUGAAAAGUACGGUAAACAGCUUUGUAAUAAAGAAAGUUUUGAGGCUUGGAAAGUUAAUAGACGAUUUACAUUCAUGGUAGCCUUUCUAGGCACUAUGAUCUUCUCGAGGAGAGAAGAAACAAUUAAUAUUCGUUUAGCGAGGGUGGUACAGAUACUUAUUGAGAAAGAUUACACUAUGGUCCAUGCUUUGACCGUUUGUCAAAAAGGAAAGAGUUUUUUUCGAGGGAUGUAAUAUCUUGUUACAGAUGUGGAUUAUGAAGCAGCUUUAUCGACGUCCUACAAUGGCAAGGUUUAAUCCUGAACGAUUUAAUCGUAUCAAAGAUUACGAAGAGAGAUUAGAGAAAUAUAAAUGCCCAGAAGGAGUUACAGAUUGGGAUAAGCUUUUUUGUUCUCUGACAGCAGAUAAAAUCACUUGCAAUCUCCCUUGGUUCCCUUGGAGGCAAGUCAUACAUAGUUCUAUCAUUCGGUCGUUCUUGUUAUUAAUGGGUAUUAGGGGUGUUCAACCGUAUGUUCCAUUGAGAGUUCUUUGUUAGCUAGGAAGACGUCAAAUAAUUCCCAUAACGGAAAAUAUGACCGAGUUUGUAUUUGAGAUUAGACCAGAGAUCCUACUUCCGGAGGAAUUGGCCCAGCAGAUUUGGGAGGGUUGCCGUAUCAUUGGGAUUGAAACAAUGGUCAUAGAGCAUGAGAAAGGAGAAGUGCACCCAAAUUACCGUGAAUGGUUUGAAGAAUAGUUAAGUCUCCCAGUCAGACCAGAAAGAUCGAUUAGGGGACCUAUAGAUCAGGAAGCUGCAAUCAAGAUAGGGAUUGAGAGAGCCAUGUGAGAAUAUCAUGAGUCUAACCAAACUUUGAGAGAAGAAUUAGAGCAUGCCAGGGCAAAAAUAGACGAACAACAAAGGGAAUUUACUGAAUACAAAGCUAAAUCAGCAGAUAUUGAGGUUGCACUUUGGGGACAAAUUAAACUGUUUACCACUAGAGGGUCUUGCCGCAUCUAGCCGAUAGCAGCUAUUAGAAGUUGAAAAUAACAUGCAAGAAGAAUUUGAUCGAGAGAGAUCUCACUGGAUCUGUGAAAGAGGAAUAUUACGAGAAAAGUUGGAGGUUGCUUCUGCUCGUAAAUAGCGUGCAAGAGAGAUGGUUGAUUUCCGAGAUCGACAGGCCCAUGAAUGGGAUCAGGCCUUUAGUUCCCUUUGAGGGAAGGUCCUCGCGUAGCACAGGAUACUGCCAAAAUAGGUUUGGAUUAUCAACAGUUAUAUCAUGAAGACUUUUUGGUGCAAGCACCAGCUUUUGUAUAGUGUCUCACUACUUCAUUGGAGGACAUAUACUUGGGUUUGGGAGGACAUAUCAAGCUGAAGUCUCCUUGAAUGGAUAGUUGUUUUCUUGGUCAUAGUUUUUCAUUUUCAUUUUUAAAACUUCUUGUUUAGAUGUUAUGUCUUUUAGUUUUCAGAUAACAGUUAGUAGGUUUUAUCUUAGGAGUUGGGUCAAUUCUUUUGUCGUAUUUAUAUUAUAGAAUGUAAUGAAGUUGAUUGUUUAUUACUAUAUAUAUUAUAUAUGUUUUACUUCCCUUACUUUAUUUUUCUUCAAUAACAAAAAAGACAAAACAAUCAUUUUGUUAAAAUUCCUCCCGAACUAUGCAAGAUCUGAUUCAUGUCCUGGCAUGAUACGUAGGCAACCCUCCAAAGGGUUCGAUCAUAACUUUUGAAAAGUACGCCUAGAAAAACUGGGAUGAAACACAAAGCCUUCCAUGGUAGGUUGGGAAAUGCAUAUAGAAGCAUGACAUACAAAGUGGCAUUAUAAUGUGUUAAAUAUAUAAAACUGACUUGUUUGUAACUUGAUAAUAGAAAGAUAAAGUAAUUGGUUGUUGGUUUGUGGUUUAAAAUGGCAUCACAUCCGUACAACACAAGAUACAAGGGGAAAAAAAAUGACCCACAAAGAAGGUAUAGAGUCUGAUAGUGAAGAAGAGCAAAAUCAUUUGAUUUCGCAAGAAAUAGCAUCAAUGGAAGAACUUAAGUUAUUGAAACAAUAGAUGGUAGAGAUGUACCAAGCUUGGUUGAAUAGAUAAGCCCCGCCUUCUUCAAUCCCCGGACUUUCGGCUUCAAAUGAUCUAAAUCCUGCUCCAGCUCGAACUAAUGAUCCAUUUUACCCACCAGGAUUUGUCCCAUUUGUUAAUAUGUCUGGUAAUGCUGGUACUUCUACCAUGCGCCCACCAAAUUCAGCUGUCACAAAUAAUCCACUUUUUACUUCUAUGGCACCAACUGCUAUGGGUACUCAACCGAUAGUACCAAAGAAUAUGGGGGAAACAAGUCAUGACCUAUUAUAUCCUCCUAAAAUAACUUUCAAAUCCCAAAAUCCUCAUUAUCAUGCUUAUCAACAUGAUUCUCUAAUCAUGAUUGAAAAGAUUAUUAAAAAUGAGGAACAAGAGAAAAUGACUAGAAAAGUAAGAAGCUUGGAGCAAAGUAUGAGAAAUAUGCAAGGAUUAGGUGGACCAAAAAGUGCUUCAUACAAAGAUUUAUGUAUGUUUCCUGACGUCCAUUUGUCGCAAGGGUUCAAAUUGCCAAAGUUUGACAAAUACGAAGGUCCUGGCGAUCCUGUUUCUCACUUGAAAAAGUUUUGCAACCAAUUAAGUGGAGCAAGAGGAAAAGAAGAAUUAUUGAUGGCUUACUUUGGAGAAAGCGUGACAGGAAUAGCUUCUGAAUGGUUUAUUGACCAAGACAUUUCCCGUUGGCACGUGUGGGAUGACAUGGCUUGAGAUUUCAUUCAACAAUUUAAAUAUAACAUUGAAAUAGUGCUAGAUCACACUACGCUUGCUAAUAUGAGAAAAAAUGACUGAAAGUUUUUGAGAAUAUGCUAUCAAAUGGAGAGAGCAGGCUUCAAGCGUCAGACCAUGGAUAAAGUAAUCUGAAAUGAUUGAUAUCUUUUUGCAAGCUCAAGAACCCAAUUAUUUCCAUCACUUACUUUCUACUAUUGGAAACAAAUUUGCUAAAGUUAUUAAAGUUGGAGAGAUGGUAGAGAAUGGAAUAAAGUCGGGAAAGAUUAUCAGCCAUGCCUGCAGGAAGUUUUGGGGGAAAGAAAAGAAAAAAGGAUGUAGCAAUUGUCAUACCAAGUCCACGACAACAUUGGAUAGGUACGUGUCAACCAUAUGCACAAAAUCAAUUAUAUUUUGUUCCAUCCCCCCAAUAUCCUAUUUACAAUACACAACCAUAUUGGGCUUCUUCAUACCCGCAAUGGCAUGCACCAGCCAUCCAAAAUCAUCCACCGGUCCCGCAAGUUCAAAUAGGCCCUCCUAGGUCUAAUUUUCGUCCUAGAGCAGACUACAAAAGGGAUAACAUGGGCAAAUAUAACUUCACUCCUAUUGGAAUAUCUUACACCAGUUUAUUUCAUAGGCUGAGGAAAAUGAAUGUUCAAAAUCCAAUUGAGAGAAUAAUCCCUAACCCUCCUUCGAAGAACUUGGACUAUUCUAGAAGAUGUGAAUACUAUUCUGAUGCCCCAGGGAACGACACAAGGAAAUAAUGGUAUCUGAAAAGAGCUAUUCAAGGGGUGAUUGACACCCAACAGAUCAUGGUACAAAGUCUAGAUGCUCCAAAUAUCAAUCAAAAUCCACUGCCAGAUCAUAAUGAAGUAAACAUGCUUGAAGUGAUACCCAGUGAUAAAGAUGUUGUAAUGUCCUUCAAGCCGAUCAUUAAAAUUUAAAAUAAUUCAAAAAAAUCAACAAAUACUGUAGAUUUGACAAAAGAAAAACCUGUAGAAGUAUAGGUGGUGAUAACAAACCUCGCAUCAUUGAAUGUUCCCUUGGUGUUAGAGAAAGAUAUUUCAGAAAAUGAUGGGUCAAGUCAAGUAAAGCCAAAACUCAUUGUUCCUGAAAGAUCCCCUAAACCUCUCUUAAUUAUAAAAGGAGCUCCUAUAGCUCCCAUUGUUAUUAAACCAGUGUCAUAGUUGCCUAUGGUUAAUACUAAGGCAGUUCCUUAGAAUUAUGAUCGUGUUGUGGUGAUGCACAAGGGGAAAGAAGUGAUUGAAGAUGUGGAUGAAGUAGGGGGAUUAACUCGAUCUGGAAGAUGUUAUGACCCAAUAGAGUUAAGAAAUAAUAAACAAGGCAAUGAAGAACUAAUGGCGGUCAAAAAGCCUUUUACUAAUGAAGAAGCUGAAGAAUUCUUAAAGAAAAUGAAAUUGCCAGAAUAUUCUGUUGUAGAACAGUUGAGAAGACAUCAGCACAAAUUUCUUUGUUGUCUUUAUUAAUAUAUUUAGAAGAACACCGCAAGGCUAUAAUUAAGAUUCUUAAGGAAUCAUGUGUUCCCAGUGAGAUUAAAGUGAAUCAGCUGGAAAAAGUUGUUGAAAGGAUCCUUGAAGCAAACAAGAUUACUUUCUCAAAAGAUGAAUUUUCUAUGGAAGGUACUGGACAUAAUAAGGGUCUCUACAUUACUAUGAAAUAUGAACAUUCCAUCGUCACUCGAGUGUUAAUUGAUGGAGGAUCAGGUGUUAACAUUUGUCCUAUGUCAACUUUGCAAAAGUUAAAUGUUAAUGUAGAAAGAAUCCGACCUAACAAUGUAUGCGUCAAAGGUUUUGACGGAUCAAAAACUGAUGCCAUUGGUGAAAUAGAACUCAUAUUGAAAAUUGGUCCUAUGGAUUUGCUAAGGAUUUCCAAGUACUGAACAUGGAUGCUUCAUAUAAUAUAUUAGUUGGAAGGCCAUGGAUUCAUAGGGCUAAAGCAGUCGCAUCAACGCUGCACCAAAUGGUCAAAUUUAAACAUGACAGACAAGAGAUAGUUGUUCAUGGUGAAGGAGACUUAUCCAUGUAUAAAGACUACUCCGUUUCCUCCAUCGAAGCAGAUACUACAAACAGAGUAUUAAUUCAUCAAACUUCUGAGGUAGUAGCUGUUGAGCAUAUCCUCGAGGGGAAUCUCACCACAAGACCACAAUUAUCCUCUGCAUCUGUUAUGGUAGUGAAUGAAAUGUUGAAGCAUGGUUUCAAACCAGGGAAAGAUCUAGGAUUAUUUUUGCAAGGCAGGGUUCAUCCAGUAAACCUCUAUGGGAACCUUGGUACUUUAGAUUUGGGAUACGUGCCUAAUGUUGAAGAUAUAAAGAAGGCUAAAAGGCAUAAGAAAGAGUCAUGGGCACUUACUAAGUCGAUACCGGCACUUCACGAAUCAUUUAUAAAAGUCAAUGUUAUGAGGUCCUCUAUGUUAUCUACUGCAGAGUUAGUGAAUGAUGAUGAUAUAGAGUUGAUUGGCCUUUUCCAGAAUAUGUUCAUUGAAGGUGAUAUGGUUGAAAUUGGGAAAGGUAUCAGCAAUGCAUAUGUGCAGUUUAUCGGCCCUGAUGUCCAGCUUAACAAUUGGGGGGCCACUCCUCUCCCUACUAUGAAGGAGUUUUGGUAGUUUGUUUGUUUUUCUUUUAGUCUUGGUAGCUUGUUUUUCUUUCUGUAAUUUGAAUAAUUUUAGGAUUGUAAUUCAGAUCUUUACCUUGGUAUUUUAGGUUAAAACUCUUUCUAGCUUUGUUUUUAAUAAAGUGCAGUCUCCCUUUAUUUUAUUUUGAGUCUGAUAUUUAUUUGUUUAUUUAUUUUCUAUCAUACAGUUCUUUCUAUGCUGAUUUUAAUGAUAUCACAUGCAUGAAGAAUUUUCAACUAAAUUUAAAAACCCAAUCUAAUUAUGAAAUAAUGAAUAAAGAAGAUGAAUAUGAUGAAGAAGUAUUCUAAGAUAUAAGCAAAGAUUUCAAAUAGUUUGAGAACAAGUCAAACACUAAUUUGGAGGAAACUGAAACGAUCAAUUUAGGAGAUUAUGAAAAUAUUAGGGAGACUAAUAUAAGUGCACAUGCUCAACCACAACAAAAGAAAGCUAUAAUUGAAUCUUUUCUUGAGUACAAAGACAUCUUUGCGUGGUCAUAUGAUGAUAUGCCCAAUUUGAGCACCGAUGUGGUAGUUCAUAAGUUGCUAAUUGAUCCUGCUUUCCUACCUGUCAAGCAAAAGUUAAGGAAUUUUAAAACCGAUAUGAGUGUAAAAAUCAAAGAGAAGAUCACAAAGCAACUUGAAGCUAAAGUCAUUGGAGUGGAUCAAUAUCCUACUUGGUUGGAAAAUAUUGUCCCUGUUCCAAAGAAGGAUGACAAAGUUUGGAUGUGUGUUGAUUAUCGUGAUCUAAAUAAAGCGAAUCCGAAAGAUAAUUUUCCACUUCCUAAUGUUCAUAUUUUGUUGGACAAUUAUGCUAAACAUGAUCUUGCAUCUUUUAUGGAUUGUUAUGCGGGGUAUCACCAGAUCAUUAUGGAUCCAGAGGAUUUAAAAAAAAAAAAUUUAUCACGUCAUGGGGGACAUAUUAUUAUCGAGUUAUUCCGUUCCGACUAAAGAAUGUUGGGGUAACUUAUAUGAGGGUAAUGACUACAAUGUUUCACGACAUGAUGCACAAGGAGAUUGAAGUUUAUGUUGACGAUGUGAUCAUUAAAUCCAGAGAGCAGUCUGACCAUGUCAAAGAUCUUAGAAAAUUCUUUGAAAGGCUUCAAAGAUACGAUCCCAAACUUAACCCAGCAAAAUAUGUAUUUGGAGUACCGUCAGGAAAGUUCUUAGGGUUUAUAGUCAGUCGACACGAUAUUGUGUUAGAUUCUUCAAAAAUAAAAGCUAUUCAAUAUUUUCCUCCACCAAAGAAUAAAACAGAGGUGAUGAUCUUACAUGAAAGGUUGAAUUAUAUCAGUAUAUUUAUUGCUCAGCAUACGACAACCUGCGAGCCAAUAUUCAAGUUGUUGAAGAAGAAUGCUAAAGUUGAAUGGACUAAAGAAUGUCAAGAGGCAUUUGACAAAAUUAAGAGAUACUUGUCGAAUCCGCCUAUUUUAGUUCCUCCAGAGCCAGUCAGACCCUUGAUAUUGUAUAUGUCUGUGUUAGAAAAUUCUUUCGACUGUGUAUUGGGUCAACAUGACGUUACAAGUAGAAAAGAACAGGCCAUAUACUACCUUAGCAAACAGUUUACCACUUAUGAGGCUAAGUACACUCUUCUUAAGAAGACAUGUUGCGCCUUAACUUGGGUAGCCCAAAAGCUGAAACAUUAAUUUUUAUAUUAUACUACUUACCUCAUAUCUCGUAUAGAUCCUUUAAAGUAUAUUUUUCAGAAGCCAAUGCUUACAGGCAGACUCGCGAAAUGGUAGAUGUUGCUCACAGAGUUUGAUAUUGUCUAUGUCACACUAACUGCAAUGAAAGAUCAACCUUUAGCAUAUCAUUUGGCUAAAAAUCCUAUUGAUGAGGAGUAUGAACCAUUAAAGACUUACUUUCUAGAUGAAGAGGUAUUUUAUGUUAAUGAGUUUAUUUUUGGCGAUAGCCAUUCAGGCUGGAAGUUGUUCUUUGAUGGAGCUGUUAAUGUAAAAGGAGUGAGAAUAGGAGCAGUUCUUAUUUCUGAAUCAGGACAAUAUUAUCCUACAACAGCCCAACUUUGAUUCUAUUGUACCAAAAAUAUGGCAGAAUAUUAAGCUUGCAUUUUGGGUUUGAGAUUAGCUAUUGACAUGGGGAUCUAAGAAUUGUUAGUGUUAGGAGACUAAAAUUUGUUAGUUCAUCAAAUCCGAGGAGAUUGAGAGACUCGUGAUUCAAAGCUCCUACCAUAUCGAGGGUGUUUGCAAGAUCUAUGUCAAUAAUUUGUAUCAGUAAAGUUCAAACACAUUCCCAGAGCUCAUAAUGUGAUUGCUGAUGCUUUGGUGACCUUAUCUUCCCGACAAAACUUAUAUUGACCCUUUGCAUAUACAGAUUCAUGAUCAAUAAGCAUAUUGCAAUGUGGUUGAGGAAGAACUUGAUGGGGAGCCGUGGUUCCAGGAUAUAAAAGAAUAUAUUCAGACUGAAAAAUAUCCUAUUCAUGCUAAUGGUAACCAAAAGAGAACCAUUUGACGUUUAUCUAGUGAAUUUUUCCUAAGUGGAGGAAUCUUGUAUAAGAAGACUCCUGAUUUGGGACUUUUGAGGUGUGUAGAUGCUAAAGAAGCUUCAAAAAUCAUGACUGAAGUACAUUCUGGGAUUUGUGGACCACACAUGAGUGGGUAUGUUUUGGCAACGAAAAUACUCCAAGCAGGUUAUUAUUGGCUCACCAUGGAGCGAUAUUCCAUAAAUUUCGUUCGUAAAUGUCAUGAAUGUCAAGUACAUGCCUCUAUCUAAGUUGCAUACAAUGACUGCUCCAUGGCCUUUGUGUCUUGGGGAAUGGACAUAAUUGGACCAAUUGAAUCAAAGGCUUCGAAUGGACAUAGGUUCAUCUUAGUAGCCAUUGAUUAUUUUACAAAGUGGGUGGAAGCAGUGACUUUCAAGUCAGUGACUAAGAAAGUGAUGGUUGAUUUUAUCCACUCAAACAUCAUUUGUCAGUUCGGCAUUUCAAAGAUAAUUAUCACGGACAAUACUGCGAAUCUCAAUAGCCAUUUGAUGCAAGAAGUGUGCCAGCAAUUUAAGAUUAUGUAUCGGAAUUCAACUCCUUAUCGUCCAAAGGCGAAUGGAGCUGUAGAAGCUGCCAACAAGAACUUAAAGAAAACACUCCGUAAGAUGGUGCAGGUUCCCGAUAGUGGCAUGAAAAGUUACCUUUUGCUUUUUUGGGUUAUUGUACUAUAGUUCAGACUUCAAUUGGUGCAACUCUUUACUUAUUAGUGUACGGAACUGAAGUAGUUAUACCUGCAAAGAUUGAAACUCUAUCUCUUUAAGUAGUUGUAGAAGCUGAAAUUGAUGAUGACCAAUAGGUCAAGAUUCGUUUGGAGCAACUAAGCUUGAUUGAUGAAAAAAAUUAACAUCAGUAUGUCAUGGACAACUAUACCAGAAGAGAAUGGCCCGAAAAAAAGGUGCGUCAGACACAUUUUGAAGUUGGUCAGUUAGUACUAAGAUGCAUGCUACCCCAUCAGAUUGAAGCCAAAGACAAAUUUUCUUCUAAUUGGCAUGAACCAUUCAUGGUGAAGAAAGUGUUACCUAAUGGCGCGUUAUAUCUGACUGAUAUAGAAGGUGAAAUGGAAGGAAUGUCGGUUAAUGCUGAUGCAGUUAAAAGAUAUUAUGUAUGAUAUUCAUGUACAAUUACAUUAUGUACGUUUUGUACUUGCAUUUUAAAAGAUUGAAAUGAUGAAGGCAUUUUGUUCUACUAUCCGAAUAAUAUAUCUACCUUUGCUUACCCCUUUUGAGUUUUUAUCUUUCUUCGUACCCCUCUUUUGGAAUCAAAUUAAAGUGAAAAAAAAUUAAUCAAAAAUUUAAAAUCAAGCAAAAGAAAUUUUCCUGAACUACGUUUGACCUGACUCUUACUAUGACAAGAUACGUAGGCACCCCUACUUUGGGGUUCGGUCCAACCAAAACAAAAUUCAAAUUACCCAGAAUAAAAUGAAACUGGGGCAAAAGUUUAUCUCCUUAAAAAGAGUCGAUUCCAAAAGUUGUAUGCUUUACGCAAUGUUGUGUAAAUUUUGAGCUUCACGCCGAUCUUUCUUUCUAACCCAGUCUAAAAGCCAAGUUACAACAAAAGAAAGACCUACAGAUCAAUCUUUGAGAAUGUAAAGGCUAAAGAUAUUAUGGGUGCAUGAUAUUUAUAUUUUUGGUGUUUACUUAAAAGAAAAAGUGAAUGAAAAUGAGAGAGUCUUAUUGGUGAAAACCUUUUUGGGCACCAUAAGGCGACUGUGAGCUGAAAAAAAAUGAAAAUAAGAUAGACUCAUUGGCAAAAACCCAUUGAGGUGCCACUAGCCGAAGGAGGUUUGUUAUCCAGAAGGAACAAGUUCAAGAUUGACCUAAUUUAAAUAUCAAUAAGUGGACAAAAGUUGUAAUGAUUAGUGUGGGUAUAUCUGGUUGUUUGAUUCAAAAUGCAUGUCAUAAUCACCCGAAUCAGUUUCCACAUUUAGAUAAGUUUUUCUUUUUGUUUUGAAAAAGAGAUGUCUAUUGUCUUUUUCUUUUUUCUUUUUGAUAUUUUGUGUCCUUAUCAUCAAAUGAAAAUUUUUGUUGUCUUUUGUGUGUUUUUGAGUCAAAUUCACGUCAGGUCAAGUGAGAAAGAACUCCGAACUUACUACCAAUUUCUUCAAUGGUAAAAACCAAGACAAAGGAUCGACGUACAAAAAAAACACUUCAAAAGUAUAAUAAAGUACUCAGAAUGAUUGUUAUUUGACAAUUCUUGGCUAGUUGAAAGAUAAAAGGUAUAUGAAAAGUUAAAUCUUGAGAUAUUAUACAAGAGAAAUAUGUUUUGAGUUGAGAGUAUCAGUAGUCAGAAUUUUGGGUCUGAAGUAUGACAAGUCAAUGGAUAUUAAUCAAGGAAUGAAAAGGAGUUGAGCAUGGAAAGUGCAAGAACAGUCAGCUCAAGAUCCAAAUACCACAAACCAACCACCAUGUGUUUUAAAAAGUCACAAUUUGUCUUUGUUUUGUUUGAAACAGUAACAAAAAGUUUUCAAAUAAAGGAUGCAAUUUCAUACUUCUGUCAAUGCAAGAGUCAUUAUUACAACAUACGAUAUUGAAUCUCAGUUAUGGAUCAUAUUUGAAAAAUCAAAAAAAGGAAGUCCAGGAGCCCGUCUGAAGAGCAGGGUGAAGAAAUUUGUAAGUCUAGGAGCCUGCCCGAAGAACAGGGGGAAGAAAUUUGUAAGCCCAGGAGCCCGCCUGAAGAAUAGGGUGAAGAAAUUACAAGUCUAGGAGCCUGCCUGAAGAACAGGGUGAAGAAAUUACAAGUCCAGGAGCCCGCCUGAAGAACAGGGUAAAAAAAUUUGUAAGUCAGGAGCCCGCCUGAAGAACAGGGUGAAGAAAUUUAUAAGUCUUGGAGCCCGCCUGAAGAACAGGGUGAAGAAAAAGAAAGUUCAGGAGCCUGACUGAAGAACAAGGUGAAGAAAUUAUAAGUCCAGGAGCCCGCAUGAAGAACAGGGUGAAGAAAAAAGGAAGUCCAGGAACCCACCUGAAGAGCAGGGUGAAGAAAAGAGAAAGUCCAGGAGCCCACCUGAAGAACAGGGUGAAGAAAAAAGGAAGUCUAGGAGCCCGCCUGAAGAACAGGGUGAAGAAAAAAGAAGUCCAGGAGCCCACCUGAAGAACAGGGUGAAGAAGUAACAAGUCAGGAGCUCGCCUGAAAAAUAGGGUGAAUUUUGAAGUUCAAGUCACGAAGAUUUGAAUCAAGAUUUUAGAGAUUGUAAUUUUCAUUUGUUUUUUUCAUUUUUGAUUUUUUGUUAGCCAUUUGAAUGUAAAAGGCAAAAGUCGUUAAACGGAAACUCGACGGAACCUUACUCGACUCUCCAACUUGGCAUAGUCCUUCUCAUUCCAAUCCUUUGAAAUACCCGUGACUUGAUUUUCUCAUGACUUGGUAGGUAGGAUUUCUUAAGUCAAGACCCGGUUGUCCUUCUUCCUUCUGUUUCUUUCUUUGAAUAAUUGUCGGGUCAAAAUUUGGUUCGCUGUCUACUUGUUUAUCUGAAAACACUUCGUGUUUACAUUCAAACGGGGCAUGAUUUAGACACCUAAUUUUGUCCCUUCCGAAGUCUAAUUUUAUUCAUUUUUAGUUCACCUUACCAUGUGUCCAACCCCAUGUAAUUAUAUCCCACAAAAAUACAAAAAUAAACAAAAACAAUACCUCUAACUAAUUUAUAAUAUCCCAAUAACCUAUCCAAUUAAAAGUGGACACCUCACACCUCACCACCCCAUACUCAUACCCUUACCUACCCUACCCCUACCCCCUCACCCCACUCACAUGUCCCACACAUCAACACACAAAAAAAAACCCAAGGAAUAAAAUUCACGAACCCCACAUCAAAAGAAAAAUUGAUUCCCUANNNNNNNNNNNNNNNNNNNNNNNNNNNNNNNNNNNNNNNNNNNNNNNNNNNNNNNNNNNGAGGGGGGGAGGGAAAAAGAGGCAAAUACCAUUAUUUCCUCUCUCUGGGAGGGACACAAAAAACAAAAACCUUCCUUCCUUCUUCACAAAAGGAAAUCACGCAUACACACAGAAUAACACACACACAACUCACCAUUCCACUCUCAAAUACAGCCAUACACACGCACACCCAUACAAAAGAUCACAUAAAAGGGAGAAAAAUAGUGAAAGGUGAGGUGAAUCGUAGGGGGAAACAGUGAAAUCGAGAUGAGGGAUGGAGAUGACAAUCGAUACGGGAUAGAGUGAAUGGAAUAGGAGAGAUGUCUGAGCAAGAGAGGAGAGAAAAGAGACUGGGUUGUAACUAUUUUGGCAUUCGUGGACAAGAAAUAGGAUCUUUUCACCAAAAAAUGUUGUUAUGUUCUCUUUCUGCUUGUUUUGGUCACCGUUGGAGCUCACCGGAGUUCCGACAGAAAGGUAACUGUUGAUUUUAACCAUGGUACCUGACUCGAAUUAGUCGACUUGACUGGUUUUGGGUCUAAUCUGGUGAGGUUUAAUCUAAUUUUGGAGAGAUUCAUUUUAGUCCUGGUGAAUUUCGUCUUCCAGUCUUGGUUUUUUUCGUAUUUUAUUUUGGGUGUUCACUAUUUUUGAGUUCAAAUAGGAUUCUGGACAUAUCCGUGUUGGAGUUGGAUCAUAGUCUAGAUUUGGUACCUGUUGAGACUCUCGGAACGACCCUUACUUUUCCCUUUACGUCAAUCGAAAACACUUGAGGUCCAAUUCUAUCCUUUCGCCACUUAAUCUCCACAUAGUUAUGAAUGAUUUGUGUGUUUGACAUGAUUGAAUUUCAUCGUUGUUUGUUGGUUUGAUGUUGAAUUUGAAGUUGAAAACUUGAUUGCUGAAAUGUGUAUAGAAUUGGUUUAAUCAUUCAGAAUAAGUGGGGCGAGAAUUGAAAACUUGAUAUAAUUAGUAAGUUUUGAUUAGUUUGAUUCAUUAGUUGUUUGACUAAAAAUAAACAUUAAUUGAACUUGGUAGUAUCAAGAUACGCCAAUUGGAAUAGGCAAGACGUAGGUCGGGUAGGCAAAUCUACAGAUUGUGGGUUGAUUGAAUGUUUGAAAUUUGAUUGAAUGGUUUGAUUUUAUCACUUUUGAAUCAAUUGUAUAAUUUGGCCGGGGAAUGCCCCGAAGUAUCUGUAUAUAUUUAUUCACAGGGAAAUGCCCUGAGGUAUCAUGUACCUGGAGGACGUUCGUGAUGAAGACUCGAGACGUUGGGUAGAGCAUUAGUCUAGAAUUAAUUUAGAGUAGGAUUUAUUUUUACACAUUUUUUAUUUUUGGACUGUAUAAUUGGACUGGACACUAAAUUUUGGAUUUUUUUAUCUUGUUUGCUUGAUUGAUUGUUUUGCAUGUUUUGUGCGGUUUAUAUAUUCAUAAUGUCAAAUUAGCCUAUACGCUCCGCCAAGGGACCGUGGUCAAACCACGGGUAUAUGUUAUUAUCUUUUUCAGAUUGAGUUAAUAAUUUUAUGUACCGAAAGUCUAUUCUUUUUACACUGCUAGAUUUUAAAUGUCAAUUAUUUUAAACAUCUUAGAGUUAAAAAAAACAUUCAAUAUAAAUUAAUAGGUCAAAUUACACUAUCAUUACAAAAAUCACCUAUAUAAGCUAAAUCCUACGAUAAAUAAAUAUGUACAAAUGCUUUACACGAUUAAUUAAAAUACUCAUUGAUAUAUCUUGUUUAAAGCCGGUUAAAUAAGAAAAACUUAAAAUUUAUAAAUAUUCUUUAAAUGAUCUGAUAGUAAAAAAAAAAAAACUUUUUAUACUAAUAAUGUGUAUAACUUAAUGUAAGUGUUGUUUGUCAUUUCAAUAGUUAAUCACUUCAAGGAGAAAGUGAAAUUAUUAAUUAAUCUUCUGAACCUAGGAUUUUGGUUACGCACCGGAUUAUAUAUACACACACAUAGUAUUAAUUUCCUUUUUUGAACAAAAUGAUGAAGUUCUCUUGAUUUCGCUCACUUUUCUGCUACUUAUUAAUUAGGGGAGUAGUGUUACUCUUUAUUUCUAAGCUUUCACACAAUUGAUUUUUAGUAUCUGUUGGUUUUGUUCUCUCUUAAACUACGCCAUUCCAUCCAUGAAAUCAAUCCAUUGACAGAACCCUCAAUCACACAUGCUAUACUGGAGUUUUUCAUGUGAUAAUCCAAGUUAGUUUCCUCCAUUGUAGGACAUUCCUUAAGGUUGAAUUCUGGUUGGGCUAUCCUCCACAUAACACUAUUGUUAGUGUAGUCUUUGUUAUUUUUAGCUGAUAAACUUAGAUGAUAUUUGGUAAACUCAGGGCUACUAAUCAAAGAACUCCAUGAUUUUAAAACAGACUUGAAUCGAGCCUUGAGAGAAUUUCAGUUGGCCAAUAAAGGUUUCUGGGGUUGCUUUGAUUUGGGUGUUGGUGGGAUGCUUCAUCAAAUACCGGUUGUUUUCUUGAUAAGUCGAAAACCUCAGUUUCACAACUUGUUUGUUCUUCUAGUUCCAGCUUUUCCAUGACUUCUUGACUGAUUAAUCUGUUAUCUUGUUCAUUAGAUUCUGAAUUUUCCUGCUUUACGCCAUUAUUCUCUCCAUUUAGUUUUUUCCGCAGGUAACAUUUAUAUAAAUGUUGGAAGCGAUAAAUAAAGAAAGAGAAAGAAAAAUGAAUGAAAAAUCUUGACCAAAUGUUAAAAUCUUAACGGAGGCUAUAAAUGCUAAAUGAUUCUUUAUUCUUCGAUGAGAGCGUCAAAAAUCUUUCAACAAUAACAAAGCCGGUCUUACUAGGAGAAAUGGUCAAUAGUGAUGUAAUUUCAAGGAAACAUAAAAUACGACCUCCUCCAUAUUUUCUACAUAUUAUAUAACAAUAGAAAAAAAGAUAAAUAUAUUGUUGAGAAAUGAUUCAAAAAGAUUCUUGACCAAGUCUUCAGGAAGUUAGUGAGUUGUUAGUUAGUUUCCUAUAUUCUAGCAAGUUGGAUAGUGCUGCAGAUUAUUAGCUAGUCAAUAAAUUAGUGGGUUAGUGGACCUAAAGCUUAGAAUUUUCAGUUUAUUGUGAGCCUAUUUAUAGGCAUGUCUCUUUACUUUCAUAUGCAAUCAUAAAUAAAGAAAUGACUGCAGUAUUUUCUUCUCUUUGUUGUGCUUCUGUCCAGCUAUUCAUUUAGCUUCUUUUUUUCCUUUCCAACAAAUCUGGUAUCAGCGCCUGGUUUAUUUUUGAAAUGGCAGUGAGUCGUGAGGUUUCGUAACCACUCAUGCCAAUUUUUACUUGUGAAAAGUAUGAGUUUUGGAGUAUCAAAAUGAAAACUCUUUUCAAAUCACAGGGGGUUUGGGAGCUGGUGGAAGCAGGCUUUGUGGAUCAAGCAAGCUUUGAAGAGGAGGCAGACAAAUUGAAAGGGAUCAAAAGGAGUGACGCCAAAGCGUUGUUCCUGAUUCAACAAGCAGUCCAUGACACAAUAUUUGCAAGAAUUGCAGUAGCAACUACAUCUUCGGAGCCAUGGAAUAUUUUGAAGAAGGAAUUUCAAGGUUCAGCCACGGUGAUUACGGUAAAAAUGCAGACUUAUCGUCGUGACUUUGAAACUGUUUUUAUGAAAAGUAAUGAAUCUGUUCAGACUUAUUUGUCUAGAUUUUCUUCUCUUGUUAAUCAAAUGAAUUCUUAUGGUGAAGAUAUAUCUAAGGAAACUGUUGUAGCAAAAGUUUGAAGGAGUCUUACUCCAAAGUUUGAACAUGUUAUUGCUGCGAUAGAAGAAUCUCAUAACUUAUCUGAUUAUACUUUUGAUGAACUAAUGAUUUCUUUGCAAGAUAAUGAAGAGAGGAUCGUAAGGUCACACGAGAAAAAUGAAGAGAAAGCAUUUCAGGUGAAGGGGAGUCCACUCCUAAAAAGGAUAAGUUAGAAAACUUUGCAAAUCGUGGCCGAGGAAGAGGUGGCUUUCGAGGAAGAGGUCAUAGAAGAGGUCAUAGAAGAGGCCAAGGAAGGAGUCGAGAUCGAGGAGGAUAAAAUGAAGAGAAGCAUAACAGAACGUUUCUAUUGAAGGCUAUCUAUCACUACUAUUUCAAUCGUGGGGUAAUUCCGAAUCCUCCUUAUUCAAAGAACUUCAUCGACUACAUCGAGGCUUCAGUUCCCAACGUGAAAUUUCGUGGUAAGGCAUUGGCGAAAACGAUUGUUAUGUUAGAGCACCAUUUCUUAAAGGUUAUGAAAAUGGCUGCACAAGUAGGAUAUUACCCCAAAAUAAUCCACCCUAUUUGCCGCAAAAUUUUCAACUUUUCCAUGGGUUUAUGGGGAUACUUUCGGAGACUAUUAUCCAGUUGGCAAAGAUCAAGAUGAAACUGGAGUUGUUGAUACAUUCUUGAUUUUCAAGGUCGAUGUCUUCAUAGCGUCAUUUUAAAUUAUUUCUUGGAGCAUUAAUUUAAAGUUCUUAAUUUUCUUUCAUUAAACUGAAUCUAGCUGUCCUGUGAAUUAUUAAUUUGGAUAUUAGUUUGCUCGAAAUUUUCAGUUCCGCUCAAAGUUUGAUUUGAUAUAAAAUGUUUCCUUUUUCCAAGUUUGAUAUCUUGUCUUCAACUUAUAGAAUCAGAUAUGUUAAUUGUUCCUCUCUUCUUUCGAGGAAGGAAAAGAACAACGAUGAAAUGACAUAAUUUAACAUAGAAAGUUAGUAAAAUCAAGUGAACGUCAUCAUGUGUCCAAAUGGGGGCAUCAGUAGCUACGGUUAGGUCUGGAAAGGAUACAUCGUACAUAUAUGUAUAAAGAAGUAUCACUUAAAUGCAUCUACUUAUGGUAAAGAUUUUAGGUAACUAUUAAAGGAGAAUGAACGAACUAGUAACUAAUAUAGUUAUUAUGUUUUCGCUUGUAGAAUUACAGUUCAAGGGGAUGAAAAAUUGUAAAUGUAAAAUUGGAUAUAAGUCGCAGAAAAAAAGCCAAUGAAGGUAUUUCAUAUCUUUUCUUCCUCGGGUUAAUAUAAGUAGAAGUGCAAAGUGAAAAGAAAGUCCUUUUCACUAUUUCACAUGUCCUUUCUGUUCUCCCUUGUCAUAUCCUUUAUAUCAGAUUCCUUAACGUCAACUAGUGAAUAAUCGUUUUAGUUUCAAUGAGUUAAAAAGUUUACUUGAAAAAAGAUGUGCAUGGUAGAAGAAUAUUUAGUUGUAUACUUGACUGAGAAACUGCCUUUCCCAUUCCUCGUCCCAAUAUGCUGAAAUCUCAGUUUUCUUCUUCCCUGCUCCAUUCCCACAACCCUCAAAUUCAUGUUCCAUUUCCAACCUUGUCGUUUGGAGAUUUUAAAAUCUCCCCAUUGUUUUGCUUCUUUAAUCCAGAAGAUGAUUUGGUGCAACUACUGUUAGAAUUAUUUAUUUUAUAUGGAUUUAACAUUAACUUUUUGGUACGUUAAAGUAAAACGGGUUGGUGUUAUUAGUUGGUGGACAAGACACGGGCGGUGUAUUCAUGCUAAUUCCAUAUGGAUCAGUGUAGGCCUGUAGUAGACCUAUAAGCCCAUAAUGGGGGUGCACUAGGUUAAGGCUUUUAAGCCUAUAAAUAUAAGGCUAGGUCCCCUCUCCUAUCAUCAACAUAAGACGUAUUGCCAUAAGCUGUCAACAGUCAUAAGCAAAGGUAAGUACAUAAGACGUAUUGCCAUAAGCUGUUAACCUUGUUGCUUGACUAUCAACUUCUUCACUUUGUUGCUUGACAUUUCAUUUCUUCACCCUAUUCUCCAAGCAGGUUCCUGACUUGCUAUUUCAUCAAGUUGUUGCCAUGCUUUCAACUUCUUCACACUGUUCUACAGGUGGGCUCCUGACUUGCUAUUUUUCAAUCUGUUUAACUUUCAAUUUCUUCACCUUGUUGCUUGGUUUUUCAUUUAUUCGCCCUGUGCUUCGGGCAGGCUCCUGAAAUCACAUCAAAACUAAAAAGAAAAUUAUCCCAAACAAAUAUUAUUAUAAAGAGGUUUUAUUUGCUAGAAAAGUUAAGUUUCAAAAACAGAAAUUGAAUUUUUGUCCCAGUUUAUCAUCAGAAGACUUUUGGAAAAGUUACAUCAUACAUAUUUGCAUGUUGGAAUAAUGAAUCAAGACUCUGACCAAGAAAUGCAUCUCUUGAGAGUACAAUUGAAUAAUCAAGACUAGGAAGUGCGUCUCUUAAGAAUUAAAGUGUGGGAUUCUAACUAGAAAGUGUGUCUUCUAGAGAUACAAUUUAAGUUAAAAGUGUGUUACCUGACAAAUGAAAACUAGCAAGGAAGUGCGUCUCCUAAGUAUUAAGUGAAAUAACUCGACUAGAAAGUGCAUUUUCUAGAAAUCAAGACUCAAGUUAGGAAGUGCAUCAUCUAAAAAUCAAAAUUCAAAAUACCCAAUGAAGGAAGUGCAUCUCCUUACCAAUGUUGCUUAAAUUAUCAAAACGAGGAAGUGCAUCACCUAAAAAUCAAAAUUUGAAAUACCCGAUCAAGGAAGUGUAUCUCCUUAUCAAUGUUGCUUGAAUUAUCAAAACAAGGAGGUGCAUCUCCUUACCAAUGCCGCUUGAAUUACUUAAACAAGGAAGUGCAUCUCCUCACAAAUGCUUCUUGAAUUAACCAAACAAGGAACUGCAUCUCCUUAGAAAUGUUUUCAUGAGUUAACCAAACAAGAAAGUUCUUCUCCUUACAAAUGUUGCUCGAAUUGCCUAAACAAGGAAGUGCAUCUCCUUAAAAAUGUUGCUUGAAUUAACCGAGCAAGGAAGUGCAUCUCCUUACCAACAUCGCUUGAAUUACCAAAAUAAGGAAGUGCGUCUCUGAACAAAUUUUGCUUGAAUUAACCAAUCAAGGAAGUGCGUCUUCUUACAAAUGUCGAUCGAAUUACCAAAUAAGGAAGUGCUUCUCUUAACAAAUGUCUUUUGAAUUACUCAAACAAGGAAGUGCAUCUCCUCACAAAUAUUUCUUGAAUUAACCAAAUAAAGGAAGUGCAUCUCCUCACAAAUAUUUCUUGAAUUAACCAAACAAGGAAGUGAAUCUCCUUACAAAUGUUGCUUGAAUUACCAAAAUAAGGAAGGGCGUCUCCUAACAAAUUUUGCUUGAAUUAACCAAUCAAAGAAGUGAAUCUCCUUACAAAUGUCGAUCGAAUUACCAAAUAAGGAAGUGAGUCUCCUAACAAAUGUCUUUUGAAUUAAUCAAACAAGGAAGUGCGUCUCCUCACAAAUGUUUCUUGAAUUAACCAAAUAAAGGAAGUGCAUCUCCUUACAAUUUUGCUUGAAUUUUCCAAACAAGGAAGUGCUUCUCCUUACCAACAUCGCUUGAAUUACAAAAACAAAGAAAUGUGUUUCCUAAUAUAUGUCUCUUGAAUUGCUCUAACAAGGAAGUUCAUCUCCUUACAAAUGUUGUUUGAAUUACCCAACCAAGGAAGUGUGUCUCCUUACAAGGAAGCAUGUCUCCUAGAAAUCUUUAAUUAUGAGUUUUACCAGGGCUUUGAAUACCAAAUAUGUGCAGAAAUAUUGUCUCUUUCAUUUGUGGAAGUGCGGUAUUGCAACUUUCGAUGUUUAGACUUUGAAAUCCUUGAUUUAAAGGUUACAUGUGUUCCUAUUUCAUAAAAGAAAACUUGUUAGUUUAAAAAUAUGGUGGCUGGUUUGCGGCUUUGGCUUUCGUGGAAAUUGCUCUUGCCCCAGUCGUAUUUAAUAUUGCUUUUAAACAUUAGCAUGUGUACUGUCUUGCUGUAUCAAUGACCCAAACUCAGAUUACUAAGAGUGACUCUGAAACAAAUAUAGUAUCCCUGGUUUGUCAUGCUUCUCAGAUAAACCCUCUGAACCUUGGUAUUUCCAUGAGUUCCCAGACUUGUCGGUUGACAAAACUUUCUGCAUUCCUUGUUUUGGCUCAGAAUGAUGUCUUUAGCAUGUGCUUACCCUUUUGUCUUGCUUUGUGCAAUUGAAGAAGCUGGUAGCCAGUUCUGAAAUAUUUCUCACUCAUUUUGACACAAACUUGACUCAAAGACAAGAGAAAAAAGACAAUGACUUUUAUUUGGACAAUUGACUUAAGAAAACAAAAUAAAAAUAAAGAGAAGAAAGAAAAGACAAUGAGUGUCUCCAUUUGAAACAAAGAAAUGAAAAUUUUUUCUAGAGAUGACAGUCAACUCUAAUGAUUAUGCCAUACAUUUUGGAUUAAGCUACCUAAUCUUUCCAUCCAAACUUUCUACCAAUUGUUGUUGAGUUAAUGGCGUUGAAACUGAGAUGCUCUCUUAGGACAAUUGCAUUCAGACCUCAUUUGACUAGUGACGCCUUGAAGGGUCUUUUCCUAAGCUCACCAUUGUCUUACGGUAUCUGUGAGGGUUUUUACUAAUGAAACUCUCUUAUUCUCAUUUCUCCUAACUCAUAAUCGUCUCACGGUGCCCGUGAGGGUUUUCACCAAUAAGACUCUCUCCUUUUUAUCUCUCUCAACUUACUAUCGCCUUACGGUGCCUGUGAGGAUUUUCACCAAUAAGACUCUCUCAUAUUUUAAUUCUCUCUAGAUUCCUUAUGCUGAGAAAGACAAGUAGUUUCCAAAAUGCGUCAUCAUAUCCAUUGCAUGCUUAGCUUUAACAUUCUCAAAGAUUGAUCUGAAGGUCUUUCUUUGGUUAUAACUUGGCUUUUGGAUAGGGUUAGAAAGAAAGGAUGGCAUGAGACCCAAACGACACUUUAAGUGGGUUAGAACUUACAACUUUUGGAAUCGACUCAAACAAAUGAGGAUUAACUCAUGCCCCAGUUUCUUUUGACCGGAUGAUUCUAAAUUAUUUAUUUGGUUGGACCAAGCCCUUGACACUCUUUUUUUGGAAACAUUUUUGUCUAUUUUUUGAAACUUUUUGACUUUAUCUUUUUACUAGACACUAUUCUUUGAACUUUGCUUACUCUAUCUUGAUUCCAAAAGAGAGGGGUAUGAAAGAAAAUAACACUAAGGCUCAAAUAGGAUAAACAAAGGAUGACUCAAUGUUUGGAUAGUAGAAUGAAAUGCCUUCAUCAUAUCAAUCCUUGAGAAUGCAAGUACAUAGCAUGCAAUUGGAAGUGAGAUAUGAAGAUCAUUUGCGAUAUCUUUUUAAGUAGAUUGAGUCUGUGGUCACUACUUCUUCUGUAAACUCCACAUUUGUUGUAUAUUCCUCACAUCAAAUGACUCAUACUUUCGUGGAGCUGCUUAUCUUCUUGUUUCUCUUGAUAUAGCGAUCACACAUCCACUAUUUGACCUAAUUGUGACUUGCCUUUCGAUCGAUGACCAAGUUGUUCUUGUGAUUCCCAAAAUAAUUGCCUUAACUUGUCACCAAAUGUCUCAGCACUCUAUCUAUUUUCUCAUAUGCUCUCUUUUUCUAACUUUAACCCUCUAAUUCAAUGUUCAUGCUUAAACUGGAUUUUAAGAUCUGGCUGAAAAUUUCACUAGCAUGCCAUAUCACUAGAGUUAACAAAAAAUGUACUAUGUAAAGAAAACAAAAAAAACAACACAUAUUUAAAACACAAAGUAAAAUAAGACACUUCAUUUAGUCAAAACAAAAGAUAAAAGGGAUUGAACAUAAACAACAAAAGGAGAAAACAAGACAGAUCCCGAACUACAACCCUGAAAUAAUUCGGAGAACAGAAAAUAAAACAAAACAAGCUACCAAACCCCUUCCUACUAAGGAGAGAGGUGACUUCUCAAUUGCUUAGCCUGACAUCUUAACCACUGGUUUGCAUAUCAGCAUGACUAGAGUUUUCCUCACUGUCAAUGUCUGCACCAUGAUUAAUUUAUCUUGAAUCAUCUUUUCAAUUUCUCUUUUCAAAGCACGAAAAUCUUCAAUACUGUGACCCUGAACAUUGGAAUGAUUUGUACAUCAUACAUUAGGAUCAAAACUUCUUGAAUGUGGGUCAGGAGUAUACCCAAGGAGAGGAGUGAUCAUGUCCUGCUGUACCAAUAUCUAGAAUAAACUUACAUAUGACUCUCCAAUGGGUGUGAAGCUAUCCCUCGACUUCUGUCUCAUUUCAUUAUUUGGCUUAAAUUGAAAACCAGGCCUAGAAGGGCUCAGCAGAGUUGGCGUGCACCAGUGUGGGUAAGAUGGGGUUUGAACAUAUGGUUGCGCAUUAUACACUUGAUAUGGAGAUGGGGGAAUGGAAUAUAAUGGAUUUUGGGAAGGAUUCUGUGGAACUUGGCCAUAAACAUGGGUUUGAGCCCAUGGGUAAUUAUGGUAUGGUCCUCUUGCCCAUGCAUGUUGUCCAACUAUAAUAGAAGAUGCAUCUUCCUCAUUCUUCUUUCCUCCAACACUUCCCAAACCUUUUUGAAUUGCUUGAGUAGUCGCUUUCAAUGUUGCAAAACUCGCAAUGUGACCGGUCUUAAUUCCAUCCUCUAUCAUCUCCCCCAUUUUGAGGACCUCAAUAAAUGGCUUGCCUAAUGUAGGUAACAAGUGUUGAUAAUAUGUUUCAUCUUGCACUUGAAUAAAAACCUCCACUAUCUUGCUUUGUUUCAUUGGCGAUUUUACUCUAGCAGCUUCUUCGCGCCAUCUGAUCGCAUACUCCCUGAAACUCUUAGUAUUCUUCAUUUUUAAACUAGUUAGGGAUUUUUCGUCGGGUCAACUCCACAUUGUAUUGAAAUUGUUGCACAAAUCCAUUAGCUAGGUCAUCCCAACUAAUCCACUUGUCAAUGUCUUGAUCAACAAACCAUUCCGAAGCUAGGCCUGAAAGACUCUCCCCGAAAUAAGCCAUUAGUAGUUCUUCCUUCCCUCUAGCGCCCCUUAGCUGGUUGCAAUAGCGUCUCAAAUGUGCUACAGGAUCACCAUGUCCAUCACACUUCUCAAACUUCGGCAUUUUAACACCAAGAGGAAGAUGUACACCUGGGAACAUGCACAGAUCUUUAUAUGAGACACUUUUGUACCCCCCAAGUCCUUGAAAUUUUUUCAUAGUCAGUUCCAAAGUUCUCAAUAUUUUGGCUAUUUUCUCUUGUUCUUCUGUCAUAACAGGAUACUCAGUGUUAGGAGGAAAUUCAAGCGGUUGAAGGCAAUCGUAAGGACCAGUCGACUUAAAUGUGGGCUCGGGAGUGUAAUGCUGAUCACUAAAAAUAUUCAAUACAGGGUCACUUGUAGAGUGAGGAAUCACAACCGUUGGAUUGACAUUAAAAGCAGGAGCUCCAGACGGGAUUGGGGCUGCAAAAGCAUGAAUAGAAGGCGGAGCCAAACAUGUGGUAAUUUUGUAUGGAGGAGUGAGGAAAUGACUAUUAGAAGUGUUUGGAUACUGUUUCCCCGGAGUAGGUCCUGAUGCAUGUUGUGGCAUGUCGACCAAAAUAGGAAAUUAUGCAUGUGACACUGGAGGCAAACUAAAAAGAUAUUCCAGAUUAUCAACGGGAAAUAGAGGUGGCGGCAACCCAUUAGCCCAAGCUCGAUGCAUUUCUAUCAUUUGUUGCCUCGAUUUCGUAAUCUCUUCAUUGGCUCCUAUAUUCUCAUUCCCCAAACUUCCCAUCUGAUUAGUGACAACAAACUCGGUAUCCUUGUUGGCCAUAACUUUCUCUGUGACUUGGAGUAAUAUGGAGGACCAGCCAAAAUGCCACAAACCAAUCACCUUAAACUAAGUGGACAAGAGAUAGCAAAUGCGUUAGAGUUCAACGAUUUUUCAAAACCUCUCCUUUUUUUUUUUCUUGAAAAAAAUCAGCGAACCCUAGAAGGGCGCCUAAGUAUCUAACCCCCGAAAGGGGAAAAUCAGGUGUGCGUAGUUUGUGAAGUUUUGCCAAAAUGGCCAAUUAAACUCUUUUUUCUUUCUUGAAACAACGUGCCAAAAGAAUUGACAAAUUUUUUUUUAAGGUUUAAAUCUCUAUACAAAAUGAAACUUGUGAUUACCAAAGAAAAAUCUUUUUGAAUUUUUUAUUUUUGAAUUUCAUGUGAAAAUGAAAGUUAAACCUAUUAAAAGAAAAUCUUUUUGUAGUUUUCUUUUAAAGACGUAUAUGAAAUGCCUACUCUAAAUGGAGAGUGAAGAAAUAUUUUUGGAUUUUUUAAAUAAGAUCCCCGAACAACCAAUAGGCUGCCACGUAUCUCACUCCGAAAAGAGGAGAAUCAGGCGUGCGUAGUUCGUCCAUAUUGGACAAAUAAAGAUUAACUAAUAGACUAACCCUAACUUAAGAGACACAACCAAUGACCAAUGAAUAAAAGAAAAUAAAAAAAAAUAAAAAUUGGGUUUUUAAUUUGACACCAACAACUAUGAAAGAAAAAUCUUUUUUUUUUUAAAUUUUCGAAUUAUGAAUGCAUGGUAAAGGAAUAAAAAGAUUUUUUUUUUUUGAUAUUUUCGUUAUAUGAAAUGUACAAAACUUCUAUCAUUUUUUUAUUAUAUUUUUUUUUUUGCAUUUUCCUUUAUAAAACCUCCUAUUAUAAAAACAAAUCUUUUUUAUGAAAUUUUUGAAUUGUGAAAAACAAAAGUCAUAAAUAACUCUAAAAACUACAAAACUCUUUUUUGGACUAAUUUUUUUCUUUUUCUUUUUUCUCUUUUUUUAUUUCACACACUUUACUUUCUAACACAUGCUUUACCCCACAUCAGUCUGUCAAACGACCACGUUAUCCUCAAAGAUGCAACAUUUAGCACGUAGGAAUACUUUAGAGGUAAGUCUCCUACAAAGGAGCAGGUGGACCCGCUAGGUCUCAAUAUGAUGCACAUAAGCAUGACCUAAAGGCUGACCUACGUUGGGGUUCACUAACAAGGACAUUCGGGUGAACAUAUGGUCGAUAGUUGCUACUUAGCUUUCCAUCUACUCCAUACAACCAACGGCUCUCCCCCAAAAAUAAAGGUGACUCAACUAAAGUUCGUGCGUACGACGUGCGCUCCGAGACUUGUUGCAGAAAGAAUUGACUCGGGUUAUGCAAAUGAUGCCAGAUAUAAAGCGGUAACACAUAAGGAAAUCUGUAAACAAAGAGCACAGAACCACACAACAAUGAUUACAAUAACACAAACAAUAAUCACAAACAAUGUUUAUACACCCAUAAUGCCAAACAAAGCUGAUACGACUUCAAAAAUAAGCCCAAAUUCUAAAAUGUCCCCAGUGGACUCGCCAGAGCUGUCACACCCCUUUUUUGGACUCCAGAAGAUUAAUUUUUAAGUUCGAAAGAGUUUUAUUAUUAAGUGACCAAAAAUGAAAAUUUUGUUCCGAAAAGGAAUUUUUUUAUAAUUAAAUUCAGAGCCGCCACUAGGCAUAAUCCGGUGUGCCAAGUCACCUUUGGAAAAUUCUUUUCGAAAUGGUUUGACUCUUUAAAACAGGUUUACGAACAGAGAUUCCGGCUAAGAAAUUUUGUUGACCGAGGGGAAGGUGUUUGGCACCCCUCGAUCCCGUGGUUUGACCACGGUCGCUUGGCGGAGCGUAUAGGCUAAUUUGACAUUAUGAAUAUAUAAACCACACAAAACAUGCAAAACAAUCAAUCAAGCAAACAAGAUAAAACAAUCCAAAAUUUAGUGUCCGGUCCAAUUAUACAGUCCAAAAAUAAAAAAAUAUGUAAAAAUAAAUCCUACUCUAAAUUAAUUCUAGACUAAUGCUCUACCCGACGCCUCGGGCCUUCAUCACGAACGUCCUCUAGGUACAUGAUACCUCGGGGCAUUCCCCGGUGAAUAAAUAUAUACAGAUACUUCGGGGCAUUCCCCGGCCAAAUUAUACAAUUGAUUCAAAAGUGAUAAAAUCAAACCAUUCAAUCAAAUUUCAAACAUUCAAUCAACCCCCAAUCUGUAGAUUUGCCUAUCCGACCUACGUCUUGCCUAUUCCAAUCGGCGUAUUUUGAUACUACCAAGUUCAAUUAACAUUUAUUUCUAGCCAAAAAACUAACGAAUCAAACUAAUCAAGACUCGCUAAUUAUAUCAAGUUUUCAAUUCUUGCCCCACUUAUUCUUAAUGAUUAAACCAAUUCUAUAUACAUUUCAUCAAUCAAGUUUUCAACUUCAAAUUCAACAUCAAACUAACAAACAACGAUGAAAUUUAAUCAUGUCAAACACACAAAUCAUUCAUAAUUAUGUGGGGAUUAAGAGGUAAAAGGAUAUAAUUGGACAUCAAGUGUUUUCGAUUGACUUAAAAGGAGAAGUAAGAGUCGGUCCGAGAGCCUCAACAGGUACCAAAUCUAGACUAUGAUCCAAUCCCAACACGGAUAUGUCCAGAAUACAAUUCGAACUCAAAAAUAGUGAACACCCAAAAUAAAAUACGAAUAAAACCGAGACUGGAAGACAAAAUUCACCUGUACUAAAAUGAAUCUCUCCAGAAUUAGAUUAAAAAUCACCAGAAUUAGACCCAAAACCGGCCAAGUCGACUAAUUCGAGUCAGGUACCACGGUCAAAAUCCACAGUUACCUUUCUGUCGGAACUCCGGUGAGCUCCAACGGUGACCAAAACAUGCAGAAAGAGAACACAACAACAUUUUUUGGUGAAAAGAUCCUAUUUCUUGGCCACGAAUGCCAAAACAGUUAAACCCCAAUCCCUUUUCUCUCCUCUCUUGCUUAGACUUCUCUCCUAUUCCAUUCACUCUAUCCCUUAUCGAUCGUCAUCUCCAUCCCUCUUCUCGAUUUUACUGUUUGCCCCUACGAUUCACCUCGCCUUUGACUAUUUUUCACCUUUUUUAUGUGAUUUUUUGUAUGGGUGUGCGUGUAUAUGGCUGUAUUUGAGAGAGUAAUGGUUAGUUGUGUGUGUGUUAUUCUGUGUGUAUGCGUGAUUUCCUUAUGUGAAGAAGGAAAGAAUGUUUUUGUUUUUGUGUCCCUCCCAGAGAGAGGAAAUAAUGGUAUUUGCCUCUUUUUCCCUCCCCCCCGAAAAAGGAAGUUCUUGGCAUAUAUAUGUUAGAAUGGAAAAAUAGGGAAUUAAUUUUUCUUUUGCUGUGGGGUUCGUGAAUUUUAUUCCUUGGGUUCUUUUUUGUGUGUUGAUGUGUGGGACAUGUGAGUGGGGUGAGGGGGUAGGGGUAGGGUAGGUGAGGGUAUGGGUAUGGGGUGGUGAGGUGUGAGGUGUCCACUUUUAAUUGGAUAGGUUGUUAGGAUAAGAUAUAUUAGUUAGAGGUAUUAUUUUUGUUUAUUUUUGUAUUUUUGUGGGAUAUAAUUACAUGGGGUUGGACACAUGGUAAGGUGAACUAAAAAUGAAUAAAAUUAGACUUCGGGAGGGACAAAAUUAGGUGUCUACAUCAUGGCCCCUUUGAAUGUAAACACGAAGUGUUUUCAGAUAAACAAGUAGACAGCGAGACCAAAUUAUGACCAGACAAUUAUUCAAAGAAAGAAAGAAGGACAACCGGGUCUUGACUUAAGAAAUCCUACCUACCCAAGUUAUGAGAGAAUCAAGUCACAGGUAUUUCAAAGGAUUGAAAAGAGAAGGACUAUGCCGAGUUGGAGAGUCGAGUGAGGUUCCAUCGAGGUUCCGGUCCGACGUUCUAUUACUACAUCAAAAAUGAAAAUUACAAGUUAAAAACAUAAAUGAAAUUACAAAAUCCUAUCUAUGCAGCUUCCUCUGGACUUUUGACUGGAGUUUCAUUACCCUAUUCUUCAGGCAGGCUCCUGACUUUCAAUUUCAUCAACUUGUUGUUUGGCUUUCAAUUGUUUCACCUCGUUGCUUAACUUUAAAUUUCCUCACCCUAUUCUUCAGGCGGGCUCCUGACUUGAUAUUUUUAAAUCUGCUAACUUUCAACUUUUCACGUUGUUGCUUUGUUUUCAACUUCUUCACCUUGUUGCUUGACUUUCAACUUCUUCACUUUGUUGCUUGACUUUUCAUUUCUUCACCCUAUUCUCCAGGUGGGUUCCUGACUUGUUAUUUUUCAAUCUGUUUAACUUUCAAUUUCUUCACCUUGUUGCUUGGUUUUCUAUUUAUUCGCCCUGUGCUUCGGGCAGGCUCCUGAAAUUAUAUCAAAGCUAAAGAGAAAAUUAUCCCAAACAAAUAUUAUUAUAAAGAGGUUUUAUUUGCCAAAAAAGUAAAGUUUCAAAAACAGAAAUUGAAUUUUUACCCCAGUUUAUCAUCAAAAGACUUUUGGAAAAGUCACAUCAGACCUACUUGCAUGUUGCAAUAAUGAAUCAAGACUCUAACCAAGAAAUUCAUCUCUUGAGAGUACAAUUGAAUAAGCAAGACUAGGAAGUGCGUCUCCUAAGAAUUAAAGCGAGGGAUUCUAACUAGAAAGUGUGUCUUCUAGAGAUACAAGUUUAAGUUAAAAGUGUGUCACCUGACAAAUGAAAACUAGCAAGGAAGUGUGUCUCCUCAGAAUUAAGUGCAAUAACUCGACUUGAAAGUGCAUUUUCUAGAAAUCAAGACUCAAGUUAGGAAGUGCAUCACCUAAAAAUCAAAAUUCGAAAUACGCAAUCAAGGAAGUGCAUCUCCUAGCCAAUGUUGCUUAAAUCAUCAAAAGGAGGAAGUGCAUCACCUAAAAAUCAAAAUUCGAAAUACCCAAUCAAGGAAGUUCAUCUCCUUACCAAUGUUGCUUGAAUUAUCAAAACAAGGAAGUGCAUCUCCUUACCAAUGACACUUGAAUUACUCAAACAAGGAAGUGCAUCUCCUCACAAAUGCUUCUUGAAUUAACCAAACAAGGAAGUGCAUCUCUUUAGUAAUGUUUUCAUGAAUUAACCAAACAAGAAAGUGCUUCUCCUUACAAAUAUUGAUCGAAUUGCGUAAACAAGAAAGUGCAUCUCCUUACAAAUGUUGCUUGAAUUAACCGAAUAAGGAAGUGCAUCUCCUUACCAACACCGCUUCAAUUACCAAAAUAAGGAAGUGCGUCUCCUAACAAAUUUUGCUUGAAUUAACCAAUCAAGAAAGUGCGUCUCCUUACAAAUGUCGAUCGAAUUACCAAAUAAAGAAGUGCGUCUCCUAACAAAUGUCUCUUGAAUUAAUCAAAGAAAGUGCAUCUCCUCACAAAUGUUUCUUGAAUUAACAAAAUAAAGGAAGUGCAUCUCCUUACAAUAUUGCUUGAAUUGUCCAAACAAGGAAGUGUGUUUCCUUACAAAUGUUGCUUGAAUUAACCAAACAAGGAAGUGCAUCUCCUAACAAAUGUCUCUUGAAUUAAUCAAAGAAAGUGCAUCUCCUCACAAAUGUUUCUUGAAUUAACCAAAUAAAGGAAGUGCAUCUCCUUACAAUAUUGCUUGAAUUGUCAAAACAAGGAAGUGCUUCGCCUUACCAACAUCGCUUGAAUUACAAAAACAUGGAAGUGUGUCUCCUAAUAAAUGUCUCUUGAAUUGCUGUAAUAAGGAAGUACAUCUCCUUACAAAUGUUGUUUGAAUUACCCAACCAAGGAAGUGUGUCUCCUUACAAGGAAGCGUGUCUCCUAGAAAUCUUUAAUUAUGAGUUUUACCAGGGCUUUGAAUACCAAGUAUGUGCAGAAAUAUUGUCUCCUUCAUUUAUGGAAAUGCGGUAUUGUAACUUUGGAUGUUUAGGCUUUGAAAUCCUUGAUUCGAAGGUAACAUGUGUUCCUAUUUCAUACAAAGAAAACUUGUUAGUUUAAAAACAUGGUGGCUGGUUUGCGACUUUGGCUUUCGUGGAAAUUGCUCUUGCCCCAGUCGUAUUUAAUCUUGAUUUCAACCAUUAGCAUAUGUCACUGGCUUGCUAUAUCAUUGACCUGAACUCAGAUUAUUAAGAGUGACUCUAAAACAAAUACAGUAUCCCUGCUUUGUCAUUCUUCUCAGAUAAACCCUUUGAACCUCGGUAUUUCCAUGAGUUCCCUGACUUGUCGGUUGACAAAACUUUCUGCAUUCCUUGUUUUGGAUCACAAUCAUGUCUUUAGCAUGUGUUCACCCUUUUGUCUUGCUUUGUGCAAUAGAAGAAGCUGGUAGCUAGUUUUGAAAUAUGUCUCACUUAUUUUGACAUGAACUUGACUCAAAGACAAAGACAAGAGAAAAAUGACAAGGACUUUUAUUUGGACAAUUGACUCAAGAAAACAAAAUAAAAAUAAAGAGAAGAAAGAAAAGAUAAUGAGUGCCCCAUUUGAAACAAAGAAAUGAAAAUUUUUUCUAGACAUGAUAGUCAACUCUAAUGAUUAUGCCAUUCAUUUUGGAUUAAGCUACCUGAUCUUUCCAUCAAAACUUUCUACCAAUUGUUGUUGAGAUAAUGGCCUUGGAACUAAGUUGCUCUCUUUGGCCAAUUGCAUUCAGACCUCAUUCGGCUAGUGACGCCAUGAAGGGUCUUUUCCUCAGCUCACCAUUGUCUUAUGGUGUCUGUGAGGGUUUUUACUAAUGAGACUCUCUUAUUCUGAUUUCUCCCAACUCACAAUCGUCUCACAGUGCCCGUGAGGGUUUUCACCAAUAAGACUCUCUCAUUUUUAUAUCUCUCAACUUACUAUCGCCUUACGGUGCCUGUGAGGGUUUUCACCAAUAAGACUGUGUCAUAUUUUAUUUCUCUAUUGAUUCCUUAUGCUGAGGAAGACAAGUAGUUCCCAAACUGCGUCAUCAUAUCCAUUGUAUGCUUAGACUUAACAUUCUUAAAGAUUGAUCUGAAGGUCUUGCUUUGGUUGUAACUUGGCUUUUGGAUAGGGUUAGAAAGAAAGGAUGGUAUGAGGCCCAAACGAUACUUGAAGUGGGUAAGAACAUACAACUUUUGGAAUCGACUCAAACAAAUGAGGAUUAACUUAUGCCCCAGUUUCUUUUGACCGGAUGAUUCUAAAUUGUUUAUUUGGUUUAACCGAGUCCUUAGUAGGGCAGCCUAUGUAUCUCACCCCCGAGAGAGGAGAAUAAGGUCAUGCGUAGUUCUGGCAGCUUGUCUUUUUGCUUUGAUCUAAUUUUUCAUUUUUUUUCUUUUAUUCGUUCUUUUCACUUUACGAUUUUUUUUUCUAACUCUAUUUUUCUUGACACUCUUUUUUUGGAAACAUUUUUGUCUCUUUUUUGUAACUUGUUGACUUUAUCUUUUUACUCGACACUAUUCUUUGAACUUUGCUUACUCUAUCUUGAUUCCAAAAGAGGGGUAUGAAAGAAAAUAACACUAAGGCUCAAAUAGGGUAAACAAAGGAUGACACAAUGUUUGGAUAGAAGAAUAAAAUGCCUUCAUCAUAUCAAUCCUUGAGAAUACAAGUACAUAACAUGCAAUUGGAAGUGAGAGAUGAAGAUCAUUUGCGACAUCUUUUUAAGCAGAUUGAGUCUGUGCAUCACUACUUCUUCUGUAAACUCCACCUUUUUGUACAUUCCUCACAUCAAAUGACUCAUACUUUCAUGGAGCUGCUUAUCCUCUUGUUUCUCUUGAUAUAGCGAUCACACGUCUACUAUUUGACCUAAUUGGGACUUGUCUUUCGAUCGAUGACCAAGUUAUUCUUGUGAUUCUCAAAAUAAUUGCCUUAACUUGUCACCAAAUNNNNNNNNNNNNNNNNNNNNNNNNNNNNNNNNNNNNNNNNNNNNNNNNNNNNNAAACAAACAACACAUAUUUAAAACACAAAGGAAAAUGAGACACUUCAUUUAGUCAAAACAAAAGAUAGAAGGAUUUGAACAUAAACAACAAAAGGACAAAAUAAGACAGAUCCCGAACUACAACCCUGAAAUAAUUCGGAGAACAGAAAAUAAAACAAAAUAAUCUACCAAACCCCUUCCUACUAAGGAGAGAGGUGACUUCUAAAUUGCUCAACCUGACAUCUUAGCCAUUGGUUUGCAUAUUAGCAUGACUAUAGUUUUGCUCACUGUCAAUCAUCUGCACCAUGAUUGAUUUAUCUUGAAUCAUCUUUUCAAUUUCUCUUUUCAAAGCACGAUAAUCUUCAAUACUGUGACCCUGAACAUCGGAAUGAUAUGUACAUCGUACAUUAGGAUCAACACUUAUUGAAUGUGGGUCAGGAGUAUACCCAAGGAGAGGAGUGAUAAUGCCCUGCUGUACCAAUCUCUGGAAUAAACUUGCAUACGACUCUCCAAUGGGUGUGAAGCUAUCCCUCGACUUCUGUCUCAUUUCAUUAUUUGGCUUAAAUUGAAAACCAGGCCUAGAAAAGCUUCGGUAUGUAUGUGGAGUUGGAGGAUAACUCGACAGAGUUGGCGCGCGCCUGUAUGGGUAAGAUAGGGGUUGAAUAUAUGGUUGCGCAUUAUAAACUUGAUAAGGAGAUGGGGGAAUGGAAUAUAAUGGAUUUUGGGAAGAAUUCUGUGGAACUUGGCCAUAAACUUGGGUUUGAGCCCGUGGGUAAAGAUGGUAUGGUCCUCUUGCCCGUGCCUGUUGUCCAACUAUAAUAGCAGAUGCAUCUUCCUCAUUCUUCUUUCCUCCAACACUUCCCGAACCUUUUUUAAUUGCUUGAGUAGUUGUUUUCAAUGUCGCAAAACUCACAAUGCGACCGAUCUUAAUUCUAUCCUCUACCAUCUCCCCCAUUUUAUGACCUCAAUAAAUGGAUUUCUUAAUGUAGGUAACAAGUGUUGAUAAUAUGUUUCAUCUUGCACUUGGAUAAACACCUCCACUAUCUUGCUUUUUUUCAUUGGCGGAUUACUCUAGCAUCUUGGUCGCGCCAUCUGAUCGCAUAGUCCCUGAAACUCUCAGUAUUCUUCUUUUUUAUGCCAGUUAGGGAUUUUUCGUCAGGUAUCAACUCCACAUUGAAUUGAAAUUGUUUCACAAAUCCAUUAGCUAGGUCAUCCCAACUAAUCCAUUUUUCAAUGUCUUGAUCAACAAACCAUUCCAAAGCUAGGCCUGAAAGACUCUCCCCGAAAUAAGCCAUGAGUAGUUCUUCCUUCCUUCUAGCACCCCUUAGCUAGUUGCAAUAGCGUCUCAAAUGUGCUAUAGCAUCAUCAUGUCCAUCAUACUUCUCAAACUUCAGCAUUUUAAAACCAAGAGGAAGAUGUACACCUGGAAACAUGUACAGAUCUUUAUAUCAGACACUUUUGUACCCCGCAAGUCUUUGCAAUUUUUUCAUAGUCAGUUCCAAACUUCUCAAUUUUUUGGCUAUUUUCUCUUGUUAUUCUGUCAUAAUAGGAUUCUCAGUGUUAGGAGGAAAUUCAGGCAGUUGAAGGCAAUCGUAAGGACCAGUCGACUUAAAUGUGGGCUCGGGAGCGUAAUGCUGAUCACUAAAAAUAUUCAAUACAGGGUCACUUGUAGUGUGAGGAAUCACAACCGUUAGAUUGACAUUAAAAGCAGGAGCUCCAGAAGGGAGUGGGGCUGCAAGAGCAUGAAUAGCAGGAGGAGCCGAGCAUGUGGUAAUUUUGUAUUGAGGAGUGAGAAAAUGAAUAUUGGAAGUGUUUGGAUACUGUUUCCCCGGAGUAGGUCCUGAUGCAUGUUGUGGCGUGUCGACCAAAAUAGGAAAUUGUACAUGUGACAAUGGAGGCAAACUAAAAAGAUAUUCCAGAUUAUCUACAGGAAAUAGAGGAGGCGGCAACCCAUUAGCCCAAGCUCGAUGCAUUUCUAUCAUUUGUUGCCUCAAUUUCCGAAUCUCUUCAUUAGCUCCUAUAUUCUCAUUCCUUAAACUCCCCAUCUGAUUAGUGAAAACAAACUUAGUAUCCUUGUUGGCCAUAACUUUCUCUGUGACUUGGAGCAAUAUGGAGGACCAGCCAAAAUGCCACAAACCAACCACCUUAAACUAACUGGACAAGAGAUAGCAAAUGCGUUAGAGUUCAACAAUUUUUCAAAACCUCUUCUUCUUUUUUUUUCUUGAAAAAAAUCAUCGAACCCUAGAAGGGUACCUACAUAUCUCACCUCCAAAAGGGGAGAAUCAGGUGUGCGUAGUUCGUGAAGUUUUGCCAAAAUGGCCAAUUAAACUCUUUUUUCUUUCUUGAAACGUGUCAAAAGAAUUGAUGAAUUUGUUUUUUUUUUACCAAAGAAAAAUCUUUUUGGGUUUUCGAUUUUUGAAUUUCAUGUGAAAAUGAAAGUUGAACCUAUUAAAGGAAAAUCUUUUUGUAGUUUUCUUUUAAAGACGUAUAUGAAAAGCCUACUCUAAAUGGAGAGUGAAGAAAUAUAUUUGGAUUUUCCAAAUAAGAUCCCCGAACCAAGAAUAGGCUGCCUACGUAUCUCACUUCCGAAAAAGGAGAAUCAGGGGUGCGUAGUUCGUCCAUAUUGGACAAAUAAAGAUUAACUAACAGACUGACCCUAACUUAAGAGACACAACCAAAGACCGAUGAAUAAAAGAAAAUAAAAAAAAUAGAAAUUGGGUUUUUAAUUUGACACCAACAACUAUGAAAGAAAAAACUUUUUUUUUUUUUUGAAAUUUUCGAAUUAUGAAUGCGUGGUAAACGAAUAAAAAGAUUUUUUUUUUUUUUUAUAUUUUCGUUAUAUGAAAUGUACAAAACUUCUACCAUUUUUUUAUUAUAUUUUUUUUGCAUUUUCCUUUAUAAAACCUCCUAUUGUAAAAACAAAUCUUUUUUUUUUGAAAUUUUUGAAUUGUGAAAAACAAAAAACAUAAAGAACUCUAAAAACUACAAAACUCUUUUACGGACUAAUUUUUUUCUUUUUCUUUUUUCUUUUUUCUUUUUUCUUUUUCACACCCUUUACUUUCUAACACAUGCUUUACCCCACAUCAGUCUGUCAAAUGACCACGUUAUCUUCAAAGGUGCAACAUUUAGCACGUAGGAAUGCUUUAGAGGUAAGUCUCCUACAAAGGACCAAGUGGACCCGCUAGGUCUCAAUAUGAUGCAUAUAAGCAUGACAUAAAGGCUGACCUACGUUGGGGUUCACUAACAAGGCCAUUCGGGGGAGCAUAUGGUCGAUAGUGGCUGCUUAGCUUUUCAUCUACUCCAUACAUCCAACGGCUCCCCCCCAAAAUAAAGGUGACUCAACUAAAGUUCGUGCGCACGACGUGCGCUCCGAGACUUGUUGCAGAAAGAAUUGACUCGGGUUAUGCAAAUGAUGUCCGAUAUAAAGCGGUAACACAUAAGGAAAACUGCAAACAAAGAGCACAGAAACACACAACAGUGAUAACAAUAACACAAACAAUAAUCACAAACAUUGUUUCUACACCCAUAAUGCAAAACAAAGCUGAUAUGACUCCGAAAAUAAGCCCAAAUUCUGAAACGUCCCAAGUGGAGUCGCCAGACCUGUCACACUCCUUUUUCGUACUCUAAAAGAUUAAUUUUUAAGUUUGAAAGGGUUUUAUUAUUAAGUAACAAAAAAUGAAAAUUCUGUUCCAAAAAGGAUUUUCUAUAAUUAAAUUCAGAGUCGCCACUUGGCAUAAUUCGGUGUGCCAAGUCACCUUUGGAAAAUUCUUUUCGAAAUGGUUUGACUCUUUAAAACUAGUUUGCAAAUAGAGAUUCAGGCUAAGAAAUUUUGUUGACCGAGGGGAAGGUGUUAGGCACCCCUCGAUCCCGUGGUUUGACCACGGUCGCUUGGUGGAGCGUAUAGGCUAAUUUGACAUUAUGAAUAUAUAAACCACACAAAACAUGCAAAACAAUCAAUCAAGCAAACAAGAUAAAACAAUCCAAAAUUUAGUGUCCAGUCCAAAAAUAAAAAAAUGUAUAAAAAUAAAUCCUACUCUAAAUUAAUUCUAGACUAAUGCUCUACCCGACGCAUCGGGCCUUCAUCACGAACGUCCUCCGGGUACAUGAUACCUCAGGGCAUUCCCCAGUGAAUAAAUAUAUACAGAUACUUCGUGGCAUUCCCCGGUCAAAUUAUACAAUUGAUUCAAAAGUGAUAAAAUCAAACCAUUCAAUCAAAUUUCAAACAUUCAAUCAACCCACAAUCUCUAGAUUUGCCUACCCGACCUAUGUCUUGCCUAUUCCAAUCGGCGUAUCCUGAUACUACCAAAUUCAAUUAACGUUUAUUUCAAGUCAAACAACUAAUGAAUCAAACUAAUUAAAAUUCACUAAUUAUAUCAAGUUUCAAUUCUCGCCCCACUUAUUCUUAAAGAUUAAACCAAUUCUAUACACAUUUCAUCAAUCAAGUUUUCAACUUCAGAUUCAACAUCAAAUCAACAAACAACGAUGAAAUUCAAUCAUGUCAAACACACAAAUCAUUCAUAACUAUGUAGAGAUUAAGAGGCGAAAGGAUAGAAUUGGACCUCAAGUGUUUUCGAUUGACUUAAAGGGAUAAGUAAGAGUCGUCCGAGAGCCUCAACGGGUACCAAAUCUCGACUAUGCUCCAACUCCAACACGGAUAUCUCCAGAAUCCAAUUCGAACUCAAAAAUAGUGAACACCCAAAAUAAAAUACGAACAAAACCGAGACUGGAAGACGAAAUUCACCAGGACUAAACUGAAUCUCUCCAGAAUUAGAUUGAACCUCACUGGAAUUAGACCCAAAACUGGUUAAGUUGACUGAUUCAAGUCAGGUACCAUGGUCAAAAUCCAUAGUUACCUCUCCGUCGGAACUCCGGUGAGCUCCAACAGUGACCGAAAUAAGCAGAAAGAGAACACAACAACAUUUUUUGGUGAAAAGAUGCUAUUUCUUGGCCUCGAACGCCGAAACAGUUAAACCCCAGUCCCUUUUCUCUCCUCUCUUGCUCAGACAUCUCUCCUAUUCCAUUCACUCUAUCCCCUGUCGAUCCUCAUCUCCAUCCCUCUUCUCGAUUUCAUUGUUCCCCCUGUGAUUCACCUCGCCUUUCACUGUUUUUCGCCCUUUUUUAUGUGAUUUUUUGUAUGGGUGUGCGUGUGUAUGACUGUAUUUGAGAGUGGAAUGGUGAGUUGUGUGUGUGUUAUUCUGUGUGUUUGUGUGAUUUCCUUUUGUGAAGAAGGAAGGAAGGUUUUUGUUUUUUGUCUCCCUCCCAGAGAGAGGAAAUAAUGGUAUUUGUCUCUUUUUCCCUCACCCCCCCCC